Molecule: long non-coding RNA, 273064 nt
Filed under: Solanum lycopersicum (tomato)
Lineage: Eukaryota; Viridiplantae; Streptophyta; Magnoliopsida; Solanales; Solanaceae
Description: long non-coding RNA (SLYC_LNC001271)
Rfam family: tRNA (bases 209541-209612)
Source: RNAcentral
AUAACAAUCCCAGAUAGCAACUUAUAUGCGCAACCCGAAAUUACAUACAAAGGAUACAUGAUUCAGAUAAUAAGUGCCGUAUCAAAAAUGAAUCUUGAGAUGGAAGUAAACCUGACAAAGCACUACAACUGGACUAAGUCUGGUAAGUUAAAAAUCCUAAUAUGUGCUUAUUGGCUGUUGUUUGUUCUGUUUUCGUAAACAGAACUGCACAGCAGCUAAAAAUAUAUGAAAAUGUUUUUAAGCAUCAUUUCAUAUCACUUUCAGUUACCUUUUCCUAUCCUUCUGAUUUAGUUAUACAGUACAUUACUAAGCUAUGUUUCUCGGACACUCCAAAAUGCUGUCAUGAUCAUGUCGUAUCCUCUAAAACUGCAUAGCUUUUGGAUGAUCCAACACAUACCUGAAAUUCUCCAGAUCCCAAUAUAGUUUAAGUGUGGCAAAGGAAGUUAUCCAGUUUUUACAAUCCCAUUUUAUUGAGACAUACUAGAAGGUUUGUGUUUAGUUAAAAAAUUUCAGAGAGUCAGCAGAAAAUUUGAGUAAAUAAUGAGAUGACCAUUGAUGGCAGUCCUAUUAGUAUAUAGAUUGAAUGGAUGGCUUUGUAAAGAAUCAUAUGGUUGAUAGUUUUCCACAUUUUAGCAUACUUCUCGUAGACGAGGUUUUCCCCCACAAAUACGAACAAGAAAAUGCUUUAUCAAAAUGAGUUUGGAUGAGAGUACUGCGGGUUAGACUAAAGGUAAACAGCACGCUAAGAAGGUAUUGUUUUCUUAGUCUUACUUCACUACAUGAUGUCUUCAAUGAGAAGAUACAAAGAGGCUAAAACCUAUGUUAUUCGGUCUUUUAAAAAAUGUCAACGGGUGCAUGUCAUAUUCUCUAAAAGUAGUGUAUUUUUGGAGAAUUCGACACAGGUGCGGCAUCGAAAGUGAAGAGUCCGCACAACUUAGGCUACAAAUGACCUAUAGCAGGCAAUGCAGUAUAAGGGACUAGGAAAACAGUGCGCAACAGAAUUAGGUUAAUCUUAAUCAAAUUAAACAGAAUACCAAUAACUCGUGAAUAAGAUCAGGGCAGAGUCAAAAAAGUAUUCUACUGGUAGCAUUUUGCCUUGCUUCAAGAAAGUGGAUGCAGAAUAAGAAGAAAAUGUUGAAUUGCUGCAGGACCGUCUAACUCCAGAAACUGCCCUUACUAAUGAGAGACAUAAUCAAAUUAUCAUGUGUUUACAGAUAUUCAAUAAAAGGAAACUCCUUGAGAUUCAUCAAAGCUAUAUAUUGUAUGCAUAUUAUGUUCAUGCUCAUAUGAGAACUAUGUUGCUCAGACUCUCCAAAAGUCUUGCCGCACCCAUGUCAGGUCCUCCAAAACAACACUACUUUUGGAUGAUCCAACACGCAUCCAUCAGCUUCUUUGAAGAGUCCGAGCAACAUAGUAUGAGAAGAUUAUGGCACAAUGAAGUUGAUAAAGGUCAAACAGAUUUCUCAAAGCCAACUACACUUCACAGUAUAAACACAAAAGGGAAAGGGAAACAAUGAAGGAAUUCAAACAGUUACCACUUUCAGAAGAAGGCGUCUCAUUUGAAGUCUCUUAAUGCCAGUGAUCUUCUGAGCCACUAUAUCACUGAUAGCUGACAAAACUGCAGCUGUUAUCGCCUGCAAUUAUAAAUUGCAAAAUUAGAAACUAAAAAAAUAAAAUCACAAUACCAGUCGAGCAAAAAGGCUUUAUACACAAGCUAACCAUCAACUCGAUCAACUACAUCUCAAGAUCAAACUAGUUAAAUUCAACUAUAUAAACCUUCUACAUCAUUCGAUUCAAUUCAAGUCCAUUGAUAUCCCCACAUACAAAUGGAGAUGUGUGAUGAACCUCUUUACUCACUACGCCCGGAUGCCAAUAUAAUGCAGUGAGAUUCAUCAUAGUUGAACUAACAUAAAUCCAAUAAGGAUGGUGUUCAGCCAACUUAGACGCACCUCAACGAUCAACUGCAUGGUUGCUACCUCCCACUGGCAUAAAUACUCUAUAUGUCAAGAUUUAGACAGAUAAAAAGAGAUCACCUAAUUAUUAGCCUCUAUGGUUCACCAUGAACAAUUUCUAACAUCAUUAACCAUUAGCUCACGUCCUUUUAAGUGUCAUGAUGUCAUUAGAGUUAAAAGUAUAAAACUACUAAUCCCUCCAUUUAUUUUGUUUGUCAUACUUCCCUUUAUAGUUCGUUUCUUUUUUUCCUUUUUAGACAACUCUUUAAUUUCAACUUUUCACGUUACAUGUUUGACACCACAAAAUUAAAUGACAUUUUUGUACAGUUUACAUAUCUUUAGUUCAAGAUCACAAAAUUCAAAGUGUUCUUACUUUCAUAAACUCUGUGUUAUACCAAAACCAAAUAAACAAAUUAAAAUUGAUUAGUAUAUUUUUAAGCUAGUCGUUGCUUUGCAACCCAAAAGUUCUUUCUUUUACCAAACCAAAAAUCAACUAUCCUUUGCAAAACUCAUAGAGAACAGAGCUAAAUCUUCCACCUAUUAAAAUAUAAGGAAAAGAAGUAGAGUGAAAGAGUCGAAAUCACACCUAUUCUAAUUUUUUCGAGUUUCAUACCUGCACUAUCACCUACUAUUAAAACACUACCUCGACAGGAUAGAUAUUUCAGGUAGAAAAAAGUAAACAAUUGACGUUAAAGUGUAUUUCGAUAAAUAGUUGGCGAUAGUUUAAUAAUAUUAGUUCGAGUAUGACACUCCAAUAAUCAAGAUAGAGAUCUCAGUUCUAAAAUUGCAACACCCACAUCAUAAAUUGAACUUAACAGCUCAAAAUAACCAAAACCCACUUCACAAGUUAGACAAAAUUGAAAGUAUAGAACCAAAAAAGAAAAAAAAAAGAAAUCAAGAAAGUGAAAAAAAGGUGAGACCUUUGUUCUUAAAGGGUGUUGCUGAAGUUGUAUGAAGUAAUUCUGCAACCCCUUUUUAGCUAUUGACCCCAUUCUUCUUCUUCUUCAGUUUAUCAAAUAUGAAAAAGAAGAAAAAAAUGAUCUUUUUUUUUGUUGACUUCUUGUGAAUCAAUGAUGAAAUUUCAGUCUUGUGUUGUUUGGUUUUCAGCUAAAUAUCUACAAUGUAUAGCAUGUUGGACCCAUUUAGAUUUCAAUUUGGAUUUUCAACAACCUCUUUUGUCCUCAUAUCUCUUUUUGAUUAAUAUUUGCAUUUCGUUCAAAUAAUUGAUAAGUAUUGUUUUAUAAUAUCGUAUUGUAUUAUUUUAAGUACGAAAAAAAAGUUUGAAAUAGGUUUAACUUUUGAUCGAAAUUGCUUUAACAAUUCUCACUCUGGGAAGGAACUUUUACUUUUAUAAUACUAUUUAAUAUUUUCUCCGCUUAAAAAAGAAUGUUCAUAUUUCCUUUUUAAUUUGUUUCAAAAAGAAUGAUUUUAUUUUUUUGUAACAAUUUAACUUUAACUUUUCACGUGGCAUUUAUAAGACCACAAAAUUAAAAGACAUUUUAGUAUAUUUGACAUAAUUUUAAUUUAGAACCAGAAGAUUAAAAAUCUUCAUUUUUUUCUUAAACUCCAUUCCAAGUCAAAUUAGGUCAUUCUUUUUUAAACGGAGGGAAUAGUGUAUUCUAAAGGUAUAUAUGUGCCCACAUAGACAUAAUAUUUCUUAAACUCCAUUCCAAGUCAACAACCUCUUUUGUCCUCAUAUUUCUUUUUUGAUACGCCCAAUAUAUAAACGUGUCUUCUAAUUUAAUUUUGAUUAAUAUUUGCAUUUUGUUUGAAUAAUUGUUAAGUAUUAUUUUAUAAUAUCGUAUUUAUAUUUAUUUAAGUAGGGAAAAAAAUCUGAAAUAGAUUCAACUUUUGAUCGGAAUUGCUUUAACAAUUCUCACUUUGGGAAUGAACUUUUAUUCUUAAGGGUCAUUUGGUACAAAAAUGAAUAAUGUAGGGAUUAGUAAUUUAGGGAUUAGCAAUGCAGCGAUUAUUUUUAUCAAGUGUUUGGUUCAUUGUUUCUUAUCUAAUUUUGUGUGUGGUUUAAAAGUUUAAAAAAAAAAAAAAACUUUCCAACUAUACCUUAUAGUUAUUAUGAGAUUUUGUAUUUCAUGUAAUUGAGUCAAAUUAAAUAAUUAAUGGAGAAUAUUAUUUUUUUAUAAUAUUUUUAACUAGUUAGGAGAAUAAAAUUUUUAUUGUCAUGUUCACUAUUUUCUCAUUUAAAUUAUUUGAGAUUAAAUGAUUGUAAUCUUAAUAAAUUAGAGUUAAUAACUCAAAAGGUCACACAACUAUAAUAAUUAGAGAGAAUAUUUAUUGAACUUUGUUUUGUAUCAAUAAAUUUUAAAAAACUCUUUGUCAUAAAAUAAAAUAAAUAUAAAAAAAUAAAUUAAACUAUUUUUAUACUCGAGAUGUGUGUGUAUAUAUAUAUACACACACACUUGUUUUAGACUACUUGUGUAAUGUUUAAAGAACUUUCAUUAAGAGACAAUAUUUUACUUAUGAAUUGUUCUUAAAUUCAUACAUCAACAUUAACAUAUUAGUCGGAUUAUAAUAUUUUAUAUUAAUAAUAAAUAGAUUAAGUAAUUCAUAUUUUAGAAACAAAAAAUUAAAUCUAAAUAAUAAAAUUUGUAAGCUAAUUUAAUUAAAUAACUUUAUUAGUAUAAAAAUAAAAUAUAAAAUAUAAAUAUAAAAUUAAAAAUAUAAAUAAACUAUUAAAAAGAUUUGAGGGGUAUUUUUGUCUUUCCCUAGAAUAGUCCCAUGGUAUUAGAGCUAAUACCUCCAAAUGGAAGUAUUAGUAAUACAUCACAUAAUACCAUGUAGGAUGUAUUAACUAAUCCAUGGAUUAGUUAUACAUAGGUUCACAUUCCUAUCAAACACAGUAUUAAAUUAUACCACAUCUAAUACAUAGAUUAUUUCUUUUAAUACAGCCUACCAAACGCUUCCUUAUAGUACAAAUUAAUACUUCCUCCGUUUAAAAAAGAAUGUCAUUAUUUCCUUUUUAAUUUGUUUAAAAAAGAAUGAUCCCUUUAUUUUUUUUGUAACACUUUAACUUUAACUUUCCACGUGGCAUGUUUAAGACCACAAGAUUAAAAGACAUUUGGGUACAUUUGACAUAAUUUUAAUUUAAAAUCAAAAGAUUAAAAAUCUUCUUUCUUUUCUUAAACUCGAUUUCAAAUCAAACUAGGUCAUUCUUUUUUAAACGGAGGGAAUAGUGUAUUCUAAAGGUAUAUAUGUGUCCACGUGGACAUUAUAAAUAUUGUAUCAUUAUAAAUAGUAACUUGUCCACAUGAGCACAUAUGUAUCUUUAAAAUACACUAUUAAAUAGUGUAGGGGUAAUAGGUCCUAUUCAAAAUUUGAAAUUGUUACAACAAUUUUUGUCAAAGAUCAGAUAUAUUUCAAACUCUUUUCUCUUUUUAAUAUUAACACUUUAAAUAAUAUAAAUUGGUGAUUACACAAAAUGAGACCUUUUAUUAUUAUUAUAAGAUGAAUUUAAAUAAUAAAAUUAAAUUUAAAUAACAAUCAAAAUAAACAUCGGAUGUGAAUGAUGAAGUCCAGUCUUCUGCUGUUUGGUUUUCAGCUACAUAUCUACACAUUAUAGCACUUGGAAAACAUUUGGAGACCAUGUUAUUUCUAAAAGGAUAUAAAUUAAAUUGAAAUGCAUAUUUAUGUGUAUGUCUUUUUUAAAUUACGAUAACAAAAUGAUGUUAUAAAAAACAUAAAAUUAUAACAUAACAUAAAAAGAAAAAUCAAUAUUGUAGAAUACAUAGUUGAUAUAAUAAAAUGAAUGUUGUUAUAGCUGAUGUUGGUAACAAAGAGAAUUAUGAUUUUUUAGAUAUGACAAUAUUUUAGCUAUCAUUUUUAACUUGUUUCAAUAUUGUUCAUUUGUUUUUUGAAUUUAAAAAAAAUCAAGAUAAUAAUAAUUAAUUUUAUUUAAAAAAUGUUGAAUAAAAAAAUAUUUUUCGUAACUUAAAAAAACAAGCGGGACACAUUUGGACUAUGUGUUAAUUUUGAUUAGGUAAAAAAUGGAUAUUCAAUUUUUGGAAUUAAUGAUUGGAUAAAUACAUCUUUGGAGAGGUUAAGAAUAUGCUUUUUCCCUUAUUGUCCAUUAUGAUUUGUAAUGGAAUUUAUAGUUUUGAAGAAUUCUUUCUAGAGUAUUUUUAAUAAAACGAAGGAGAUGUUUCAAAAAAAUAUAUAGUUGAUCGAUUAUAUAUUCUGAUCAACUUAUGUGAUAUAAUUUGAUUUGAUAUGAAGUUUAAAAAUGAAAAAAAAAAUAUAGGAUCUAAAAUAAGUCAUAGGUGUUUAUAUAACUAUAAAUCAUUAUAUUAAAGGUAAAAUAAACAUUUUACAAUUUUAAUUUUACGUACAAAAUAUAAAAAUGUAUUUAUUUUUUUGUUGAUAAAUGAAAAAAAAAAGUAAUUCAUAGAUGGAGAUAGAGAAAGUAGUUUGAAAAAAAAGAUUCAUUUUUAAGAGCCUCAUUGUAUUAGAAGAUUAAAAGUAGCUAAUGAUUAGUAUUAACUAUCAAAGUAUUUGGAUAGAAGUGGUUGAAAUCGAUAAUGAGUUGUUUGUGUGAUCGAUAAAAUUAUGUUAUCAGGUUAAUUUUUUGUUAAAAUGAUUCAAAAUUUCUUGAAGUAUAUAAGAUAGAGGUGGAUUCUGAAUUUAAAGGUGGCGAAACACUACUAUACAUAAUUAACGUAAAUAUUUAUUCAAAUUCACAUGAUGGAAAGCUCAUUGAAAUUUCUCAUUCCAUCUUAUAUGUGGAAAAUUAGGGAAUUUCUGGUAUUGAUAGUGACAAAUUGUUUUGAGUAAUAUAAUGCAUAAAAAUGUUUUUUUUUUCUUUUGUUUAACAUGAAAAUCAUAAUAGACAUACAAUUAGGAGUCAUUAUCACAUUUUAUUAUAUUUCCUAGACUUAUUUUCACAUAUUUUGAACUUCUUAAUAAAAAAUAUUUGAUUCUAUCGGUCGCCGUAUUUGAAGAGAUGUAAUUAACAUUAAUGACGUCCAAGUGCUCCAUCAUUUACUUCAACUUUUCCACUACCAAUUAACACACUUUGAUCAUUAGCAUUGCCAUUUCCAAAAUUAGUACCAAAACUUGAUCCAACAUGACCAAAACUUAAACCAAAUGGUUUAGGGAGUGGAUAAUAUGGAUACAUUUCAUCACUUGAGUUUGCCACAAAUUUAAUGUUUCUAGCAUUUGUGGAUACAACAAAAAGUGUACUAGCAACAAGGAGGAGGAAAAUAAACUUUGUUGCCAUUUUUUUUAUGAGUUGAAUUAAGACAAAAAUUAGUGUUUUGUUAUUUGUAUUUUGUAGUGUGUGAGAAUUUUGUUUUGGGAUUUGAAAUUAUAUAUAGAUGUUGAGAAUUGUAAUUAUGUUGAAAAUUAGGAAGAUGUUAAGUUCUUGAUCAUGCAUUGCAUGUUAUCAACUAUAUAAGUCCUUAAUUUCAAAGAUUAAUCUCAACUUCAUGAUCAACCUAAUUCUAGUUUAUAUAAACUAGUAACUAAGAUAACCAAGAAUACAAGUGCUCCAUUUUCAAUAGUUCAACGGUAUUUUUUUUUCCGCCCAUUUUGAACGAGGUAAUGUCAAAAAGUAGGGCUAGUGACUAGAGUGAAAUCAUAACGAGGUAGCCUAGCCAAUACAAUGAACAACCAAAAUAUUGAUUUCAAAUAAAUUGAGUCCCUAGAAAUUAAGCUCUCACCAAAGAUGGAUAUACAAAAAGUUUAAGUUAAAAAGGGAAAACAAUGGAGUGGACUAAGAGGACAGUAUAAGUCCAUACAACCUCACAAGUUCUUUUUUUUUUCUUGAUAACACUGUGGUGUCCAAACCAGCUUGCACGCAACUUUUGUAUUGCGGAAUAGCUUCUCAUCAAGAUAUGUAAACACAUUAUAUGUUUUUCAUCUGAGGGCAUUCACAAAAGCUAGCAAGGAGUCGACAUCUCUCUUCUCCGACGGGUACUUAAUGGGCUGUGAAGAUUGUCUAGGGAAGAAGAGUAUUGUAGGGAAGCUACCAAGCUGCAAUUCUUCUUGUGCAAAUGUUUUCUGCUCACCAUCUCCCCUGAAUUUUGCUACUUUCACACCUGAACUCGCCAACUUCUCCGCUAAUUCAACGUAGGAUCCUUCCAUUGCCUGUACAAAAUCAGAAAAAAAGAUCAUUAAGAUGAUCCCCUGAUACCAUCCGGCUGGAGAAGUAGAGGGCGAAUGCAAAACAGCCUAUAUUCAAUGGCUCAACUGAAUUCAGUAAUUUCGAGACAUGGCUUAUAAUGUCUUAUGCUCGGUGUUAAGAACCUUGAAGGUUGAACUAAUCAAAUUCAAAUCUUGGAUAUGCCUUGGUGGAGAAAGAAAAAGUUGUUGAUGAGAAGAUAAAUUACCUGGCAAAACCGGCACCAAGGGGCAUAAAGAACAACAAUCCAAGGCUCUCUACGAUUUUCCAACUUCAAUAGGUUCUCGAUUCCAGGCCUGCUCAAGCUUACAAUGUCGUUGGUGUCAAAAAUAUCAGCAUGAGCAGCACUACCAUUUGCAUGGACAGUGGCAUUUCCAUUACCGUUCAUGCUUUCGUCCUUGAUGUUGCCCUUAUGUAAGCCACACUCCUUGGCCUUGGAAUCCUCCCACCACCACCUUCCUUCUCGCUCGUGUUGGCCAGGUAGGACAGCUCGUGUGCAAGGUUCACAUCCAAUGGAAACAUAACCUUGUGAAUGCAAUGAAUUCACUGGAACAUUCAUGGCUCGCAAGAAAUUCCAAAUAUCACUGCCAUCCACAUUAGCAACAGGAUUCCAUUUCACCAAGCUGCCUACUCCACCAUCCAACCCCUCAAACGAAGGGUCUAUCUGAACAAUGGGAAUUUCAGAUCGAGUACCAGGGGACUGAUCUUUACGUUGCCCUGUGAUCCAGGCACGUAAACCUUUCAGGGCUCUCCUCAAGGGCCUAACUUUCCUUAUGCGACAGCAUUCUUGGUGGCCAUCUUCAUAGAAAGAGUACAGGCCCUUGUUCCUCACUAAAGCCUGAACUUCAACAGCAUCAGGGAACAUAUACUCAAUACGAAUCCCAUAGUGCUUCUCCACUGCAUCAAAUAAUUGGUAGGUUUCCGGAUUCAACCUCCCAGUAUCAAGGCUGAAUACUCUAAAUGGACGACCAGUUAAACGAGCAUACUCUAACAAAGCAACAUCUUCAGCGCCACUACAAAAUAAGGAUAUCAUUUAGGAGAUGUACCAAAGCGAGCUAACCAAUCUAGAAAUUCAUUUGAGAGAGACAUCUAAAAGGAAACCAACAUUUCGGAUAAACAAGUAGAACAGCAGAUGUAUCAGGAUAAUACUCAAAAUCCUAGACCAAAAAAAAAACGAUAUAGCAUGAUGACCAUCUAAACUCUUCAUCGCAUUUGCAUCACACAAAGCAUUAACUGAUGAUUGAUUUGGAAAAACUAACAAAUUAGAAUGCAACAUAAGUUAUCUUCAGUGAGAAACAUAUAAAUGAAACUAGUUUGCAAUGUUCAUACACAUUUAGGAGAUAUUAUACUCCACCUUGAGUAGUUCCUAUGAAACAAAACACCAACCAGUUUUUUAAAACAAAAGAAACAUGAUCAAUAUUUUCCAUGCUACAAUGCUUAAAUUUCAAUUUGGAUACGAAAAUUCAACACCAAUAGGUAAUCCGGUGCACAAUGCAUCCCGCGUUAGCAGGGUUCGAGAAAGGGACACACCCCCUAAUCCAAAAAAAAAAAAGGUAUACCUGAAAGCAAUGGCAAUUUCACUUCCAAAUUUCUCAAGGGCUUUAUCCAUAAUCUUCAAAGGAGAAGCAUUUGUUAGCUCUUUUGCCAAUUUCUCAUAAUCAUCUGCUUCUGCUUUCUGUUCCACCUCUAAACCCCACAAAAAAAAUUUACAAAAGCAAACAAAUAAAUCAUUUCCAUUACAAAAAUUAGCAGUAAAUCACACAAAUUACUAAAAAUCUAAUUAACUCACCAGGAGCAACGAUAGUUGCUGCUAAUGGAACUAAUGGCUUCAUAGCCAAACUCCUCUGAGUAAAAUUCACUGCUUUCAAUGGAAUUCGAGACCGAUCCAUCGGCUGAGUGAUACCCAUGUGUGAAACUGUAAAAAGAACAGCAAAUUAGACCAAAAAAAACGAAACCCAGAUGAUAAAAUUCUCCGAUUUUCAUCACAUUAACACUUUUAAGUGUAAAAAUUGAAACUUUAGGAACUCAAACAAAGAAAUAGCAAACCCCAGAUGUUUAAAUUCUCUGAUCUUUAUCAUAUUAACAGUUUUAAGUGCAAAAAUUAAAAAUUUGAGAACCAAAGAAGAAAAAAAAACGAAACCCAGAUGAGAAAAUUCUCUAGCACAUUUACAGAAUUAAAAGCAAAAACUGAAAAAAUGGAGAGAAAAAGAGUAAUGGGUAACCUUUAGGUUGUUGUUGUUCAUAUGAAGAUGAAGAAGAAAGAGAGCCAUGAAUUACAGCCGAAGAACUGAAAGCCAAAGCCAUUUUCUCAAAUCUCAAACAACAAAUCUUCAAUCCCAAAUACUUUUUUCAAACAAAAACAGAGGAUUUGCUUUCUGGGUUUUUGUUGAAUUUGUAAUAUUUUGCUUCUUUUUUUUUUCUUCUUUGAUUUAUAAGAGAAAAAAAAAUAUCACCUGAAGAAGACGACAGUGUACAGAUUCAUUGAACCUGGACGUGUUUUCGGAAUUUGAUGGUUGUCUGACGUGGCGUAAUGUUAUUGGAUGGACUUUUAUUUGUAAAUAAUUUGUUUCUCUUGUUAGCGAAACUGAAUGGAACAAGAAGACAAAGAGGUUGUUUGCGUAAUAUUAGGGGUCUUUUACAAUUUUGCCCCUAUAUUUUGUAUUGAUAUUUAAUUUAGGUAAAAUAAUCAAAAAUACCUAUUUAGAAAAAUAAAAGUAAAAAUUUAAGGAAUCUCAUAGUGUAAUUCAAUAAUUACACUCUGUCUCGACAAAUUUAGUAUUUACUAAAAAUCCCUUAAAAUUUUUGUUCCGUGAUACUUUAGACUCUAGUGAUAUAUGGUAAAUGAUACAUGGUAAAUUUAAACUGUUAAGAAAAAAAUGGGGAAAAAACAGUACAUUUAAACUUGUUAACUGAAAUAGCUUAAUUUACGGUAACAGAUCAUUAAUCAGCAUUAAAUUAGUACGUAAUUGAAUAUUAAUUUCAAAUUUUGAAAAUCAAAGAUUAUAUCAUCUAUUUUGAAUACAAUUUUCAAAACCGCUACAUAGAAAACAUUAUGAUACACAACAAAUUCAUGUAUCAAUGCAUCGUCUAAAGCACUAUACACACUGAUUCAAAAUAUAUCAGCAAGCACACUUGAUGGAUUCAAAAUGUAUCAAUGCAUCAUCUAAAACACUAUACACACUUGAUGGAUUCAAAAUGUAUCAGCAAGCACACUGAUUCAAAAUGUAUCAGCAAGCACACUUGAUGCCGCAGUUAUUGAAAUUAAUCACUGAUACAUGAGAAAAAAUUUCAAAAACCCUUGAUACAUAGGAAAUCAUAUGAUACACAUCUAAUUCAUGUAUCAAAUCAUAGACUAAACAUUAUAAUCCACUUAGUACUUAUGUAUUAAACCUUGUCUGAUAUAUGAUAAUAAUUUUCAUAAUUUUUUGAUACAUAUUGUAUUCCUUAAAAUUUUUACUAAUUUCAACAACAAUUUUAAAAUAAGUAUAAAAAUACAAACCCGAAACAAUGUAGGCCUGACAACAAUGUUUGCUGCUUCUUUUUUCUUUUUUUGUUGUAUUUUGAUAAACUUUGAUUUUGAUGUUUCGCCAGAGUCUUUGUUUGAAUCCUUCUGAAGAUUCAUAGGAUCAUGCAAAGAUUUUUUUUUAUUUUCUUUCUAAUUUUCAUCGUCGGAAUCAUAUAAUUUAAAACUCUUUCAUAGAGAAAAAUUAAGAAGAAAAAUUGGGAUCUCUGUGAUAAUUGGGUCGGCAUCGACCCGAUUUUCAGCAAAAUCAUCAACUUGGAUUUGAUCAAGCACAAGUACUAAUCCCAUGGCAAAGGCACAAUCAAACUCAGGCUUUAUUGAGAGAGAGAAAACGUCUUUUCCAAGCAUCACAUGAGCACAAGCAUCCAAUUUUCAAAAAUUUCAAAUUUUUUUGAAUUUUGAAAUUCAAAAUUUCAUAUUAAAUGUUGUGAAACAUUUUUAAUUAAAAUUAAUAAUUCAAAAUUCAAAAAGUGAUUCAGAAGAUUGAGUGUUUUAGUGGAAAAAAAUAGGCAUGAUAUGGGGAAGUGUGUGUUAUAGAAGAGAGAAGACUAUGUAUGUCUAAACUUCUACUAAAAUAAAAAAAAGAAUUAUGUAAUAUUUGAAAAAAGAAGGGAAAAUUAGAGAAUACUAAACUUAUAGUUGUGUAUUUAAGUUAUUUUUCCAAAAUAAAAGACGUAAGUUGGUUCUAUAAUUUAGUCGAUACAUCACUCGAUAAUUCAAUAUCAAAUCAAUCGGUAUAUUACUGGUUAACUAAUUGAUUAAUACAUUUGAAAAAUCGAUAUUUAAUAAGUUGAUUGAUUAACUGUAAUUAUUUAUCUGAUUUGUCCGAUGAAUAAUUUUGAUUCUAUACAUCUCUACAAUCUUGUGGAUAUCAUAUAUCCCGGAUUCACCUAAAUAACAAUUUUUUUAAAACAUAAACAUAGCAUAAAUUAAAUUAACAAAUUUUACAUAGGCUUUGUUUAAUCACUUUAUUAUAGUUAUAUUUAAUCUGGAUAAAUAUUCAGAUCUCCGUAAUCUCAUAUAUAUUUACAUUGCAAUGUCUAAAGACAAAAGUUUUAAAAAUUAACAUAAAAUUAUAUUUAUUAAAUAAGUAAUUAACAAUUCUAAGUCCUAAUCCUAAAAAAAGCUCUCUUUCAUAUACCAAACUUGUAUCAAGAUCGAUAAAUUAAUAACAAAAUAUAUCAUAUAUAUAAUCAAGACAUAAUACAUAAAUAUGUAGUUUAACAUGGUUUCAAAUUAUAUUUAUAUCUUUCAACUUUGAAUGUGCACAAGUAAAUACUUAAACUUGUAUAAAAUUAAACAAAUAGACGCAUAUAUACAUGUCAUUAUUUGUCCUACGUGUAUUGUACCAUGUAUAAUUCGUGUGUUCAUAUGUUCUAUAUACAAGUUUAAGUGUCUACUUGUAUAUAUCUAAAGUUGGAGGACAUAAACAUAAAUAAGGCCAGAUUAAAAAGCACGUUUAUGUUAUAAUCAAAAUUGUAGUAAAAUCAACAAGCCAAACACGAAUAUUCUUUACAAAAUUAGUAUCAUUAAUUAUUGAAAAUAUUGAAUUAAGACAAUUUAAUUGUGGAAACUUAAUUAGCAAUAUAUUUGUCUGGUAUACACUUAUACAACUUCAGUUUGUUUUCUUUUAAACCCUGAGAUCUCGAAUUAAAAUUUACAGAAAUAAAAAAUAUUAAAUAAAAUAAAAUAAUGAAUUUCGAAUAUUAAAUAGUCCAUCCCGCUUGAAAUUGCUAGCCAAUAAUCUGUUGGCUAUGCAAUACUAGUGCUUUUAUAGCUUUCAUAGUCCCAAAAUGCCUCCUUUUUUUUCUUUUACCGUUCAAUAUUUGUAAUUCACUAGCUCUUUUAUUUUUUAAAAUAUUAAUUUGAAAUCUCACGUUUUCAACAAAAUUGGCUCUUUAUAGAAAAAACCCUCUCAAAAAUUCAAGAAAAUUGAAAAACUUGAGGUUGAAAAUUCUGACUAUAAUUUCGUUGAUUUAAUUUAUAAAUUUUAAAAUUUAACAUAAAUAAUAUAAUUUAAUAUUUAAAAAUUUUAAAAUCAACUCGAUCCAUAUAUAUUGACCAACCAACAGAUUAUGUCAUUAAUCUGUGUGCAAGAAUUCAAAAUACACACACUUUUAUUAGUCUUGUUGACUCCUACGAUAACAUGUACUUGACAAAACUAGCAACUCUAAAUUGGUAGUCUUCCAAUACUUGACAAAAAGCAUAUUGUAUAAAUAGAAUUUCUGCUACAAAUUAUUUAUAUUCAUUAAUUGUGUUUCAAUAGCAGCAACAAAUUCAUACCACAAAAAUGAGUGUAGAAGUUCUUGAUGGCGCCACAAUCCUUAGCUUCGUGGAAGACGAAGAAGCGUUCAGUGAAUUUAUCGUCGAACGCUUCAACAAUCUCGAUAAAGAUCAUGAUGGCAUACUUUCUUAUUCAGAAAUGUUGAAAGAGUUGCAGGUAAGGGCAUAUCCAAGCCAUAUAGUUUAAAGAUUACUUUUUAAUGAAUAUAUAAUUUCAAAGAUUAAAGGUAGGUAAGAAUAAUAAGGUCAGUGUACACGUCAUCUUCUAGAGAAUUCACGUUUCAAAUUACAAUAACAUCAUGUUUUUUAUAUUCAAUUUCUCUAACUAAAUUUUGAAUAUUAUUCUUAAUAAAAUUCUUGAUUUCACCACUGGUUGCAGGGGUUAAGGGUUUUCGAUACACAUUUUGGUAUCGACGUGAAAAUCGAUCCAAACGAGAUUUCUCGAGUUUAUAGUUCAAUUUUCGUUCAGUUCGAUCACGACUCGAACGGGACGGUGGAUUUAAAAGAAUUUAAACAAGAGAUGAAGGAGAUGAUGGUGGCUAUGGCUAAUGGUUUAGGGUUCUUGCCAAUUCAAAUGGUACUUGAAGAAAAUAGUUUCUUGAAGAAAGCUAUUGAUAGGGAAUUAAAAUAUUACUCUAUAUAAUAAGAAUGGUUAAAUAUCUUGUAUUUUGUCGUAUCAAUUUACUACACAUGGUUUAUACAUGCAAUAUCAUUAAAAUUAUGAGUUGUAAUAUUUUGAAAUAAAUUUGAUGUAUUAUGAUUUAUUAUUAUACUUUAUAAAUAUAGAUUUUGUUUCGUAUAUUUCUAUGUAAAAGUCCCAAAAUAAGAAAUGAUUAUUUAUAAUUUCCUCUGAUUUAAAAUUUUACUGAUAUUUUUUUUAAAAAAAGUUAGAUUUCAUACUUAUUAUCUUAAAAGUAUCUAUAUAUAUCACACCGUGAUAGAUCAUUUUUCUUACCAAUUAUUAUUACACCGUUCUUUAUCAUAGAAUUCAAACUUCUAGAUAAACCGGACGGCUUCUACGAAGAAGGCGGCGCAUAAGAGGCUCGACGGCUUGUUAAGGAAGGCGGCAAGGGUCGACUAAGGGUGGAAAACGAAAAGCGUUUUUUGGUCCCCUGAGCCGGAGGGUGCUUGUGUGUGUGGGUGAAAGGGGGGGGGGUGCCACGAUGAAACAAGGGAAUGAAAGGCCGCUAUGCGUUGGAUGCUCUUUAACCUCCCCAUGACUCCGUUGUCUUGAGGAGCGUUGAAGCUUGCUUCUUCGGAAGACUUUUCUUAAGUCACACACACAAAAAAUGGCAAAAUAUUUGCGUCUGCCGGGAGUCGAACCCGGGUCUAUUGCUUGGAAGGCAAUUAUCCUAACCGUUGGACUACAAACGCUUUGAUGACAGAAUUAUAUUAAGAAAGUUAAUAUACAAACAUGAAACAAAACAAGAGUUGUGAUUCUCACAUAGUAUACUUUUUAAAUGAAUUGAACUAAUAAAUGAACGGAUUAAUAAUCAACCUAUGAGAGAUAUUGGGAUAAGAGUGCAAAGACUUGUCAUCUGUACAUUUCAAAUUGGUAGCAGGUUUACGAUACAGAUAGUUAACUUGAAAAAUUUAAUUACAAAGCUCGAGGAACCCAAAUGUAUUUUCACCGCUAUAUGUCAUAUAAAGGAAUCCGUCUUCAUCCUUGUUUUCCUCGUAAAUUGCAGACAUCAGAGCAGCUGCAACAGGAAGAUAUGUCAAAGACAAAUGUCUCGGAAUAGUAUCGAGACCUUAUGUUAUAAUCUACUUCACUUACCAGUUGGAGGCAGAAUGUUUUUGACAAAGACAUAUAUGGCCUUUUCUGCACUGAGAUUGAUCCUCUUUCGGACAACGUAAACAAAUUGGCCAACAGUCAAGUCAGCUGGGACGAGAUACCUAUGUCACGAACGUAACAGAAAUAAAUAAUGGUCCUGUCGGAUCUACUUAUACAUAGGAAUGAACAAUCGGCAACAAUCAAGUAGUAUGAGACUAAUUCUGUUAACAUAUUGAAGUUUAUUGCGCAACAAGUAGCAUGACACUCGAGCAGCAGCCUGUGUUUAAUUGCGAAAGGAAGAAACACAUGAGGUACUGAAGAAAAGAAGCAACUUACUUCUUCUUAUCAAUGUCGGAGAUAUCACUCUUUUCUGCUCUCUCAACAAUCACCUGAAUGGGAAACAUAGCCACGAGAAAUAAGGGUACUGAAGUAUCAAUGAAGUGCAAGACCUUUUUAACACCAGAUAUCAUACCGGAAUUCUGUCAGGAUACUUCUCCCUGAUGCGAGAAGAUUCCGCCUGUCUCCUCUCUAUUUAAAAAGGACAAACAUUGAUAACAUCAGCAUAAUUACAUACAUCCUUUUUGUCUCAUUCCCCGGCUUUUCUUAACCAGGAAGUUAUCAGCUCAAGUAAAUAAGGAUAUGCUCGAAAGAAAAAGAAAAGAACAGGCAACACAUCUGAUAUCUUGAAGGCUGAAGCUAUAUGGAAAGAAAAGCAUCAAAAACCAUCACUUCCUAUACUAGUCGGCAAUCCCAAAUCAGAAUAUCAAACAAUCAACUAAAUAUCAACCGCAAAAUCAGUUGGGGUCAGCUAUUCCACUCAAUUCAUUCCCAUACUAAAUAUUGCCUUCUAAGGCAAAUAAGAAUUUUUCUAAUGAAACUUAUCUCGACUAGUUGGUGUUGUCGAUUUGAAUAAGCUGUGUUUUAACUAAAAGCUGCAAUUAUUCCCUGAUACUUCAGUGAUGAAUUUAUGCACCUGAUAUAUUCGUAGAUUCAGGAAGACUAAUAACAGAAUAUAUAUAGACCAUCAGACCAUGAAAGGAUAUAGAUCAAAACUUCAAUGAUAUCUGGUUGUUGCUUUACCAAAUAUUUACCUUUCGUCAAUUAACUUGCUCUCAAAGAGGCAUCUAGAAAUAUUCAAAUAUAUACAAUGUAACAAGGAGGUUACAAAGCAUAAACAUCACUAAACUACCCACAUCCUGGCACCUGCCAACCUAAGCUGAUGUAGCAUUUGGAUGGUGGGUAUAGCUGCACCAACAGCGUGUGCAAGCAAACUAACUGUGAAGCCACUUACAGAGGAUGGGUCAAGCAGGACUGGCCGAAGAUGAGAUGUGCAUGACAUGACUUAGGCAAAUCCCACAUCAAAAUGGGAGAGGAAAGUGGAGAGCUUUAUAAAGCAUAGCUCAAGUUCACAUAGUACAUGCAUAAUUAGGGUCGGAUGUGCAUAUCCCGAAAGACAAAUCCGUUUGGGCCUAGGUCCAAAGUGGACAAUACGUGCUAUGGAUUUGAAUCAUGAAAAUAUGGUAUGAGAGGGGAAAACCUUAGAGCUAGAACUGCUUAGGGCGUAUUUGAUGCCCUUGACAGAAGGCAAGCUAAUGAGAACUUCUAAAGAUAAGGUGCAUAUGACAUCUUAGACGACUCCCAGUAAGAGGAAAUUGAAGAGUUUUAUACGACAUAGCUCAAGUUCACACAGUAAGUGCUUUUAUGGCCCUUCUGUAAAGACAAAUCCUUGUUAGCCUAGGCCCAAAGCGAACAAUACAUUAACACACACAUGUAUGUCUACAAAUAGCACACCUACGUAGACACUAUUAGCUGCUAUAGCACAACUUUUCUUCAACCAAGCCCUACAAUUUUAUAUAGGAAACUAGUAUUAUCAUACAAAUUAAAUUAAUUGAUCAAUACUCAAUAAUUAUCCUCAUUAUGUAUAUGUAUACACAUAUAAUCCCCCCACCCACCUACUCACCCACACUAAGUCUGCACACAUUUACUCUACAACAACAACAUACCCCGUCAAAUCCCACUAAGGCAGACCUUACCACUACCUCGUGGAGGUAAGAGAGACAGUUUCCCAAAGACCCUCUACCUUAUCAUCUCUGUCUACCAAUAAUUCAAUUUAAAGAUAAUCAAAUCAUGUCCAACAAAGAAAAGUUAAAAGAAAACAUACCCAAAGGAUGUUCAACCUUGAAAGAACUCUUAGCCAUUGAAAGACUCAAACUUUUAUCUCUUACUGCAAAUUUCAAACAUCUAAAGAACAUCAGAAUCACAUAAAUAUACACUUAUAAACGCAAUUCAAGCAAAAGGGUAUCUCUAAAUUUACUCAAAAAUGCAAGAAAACCACAAAAAAAAUUAACUUUAAUAUAUGAAUCUUUUCUACACAUCAAAAUCAAGAAUCAUAAUUAUAAACAAAAUUUUUACCAGAAUUCAACAGAGAACAAAUUGUUUUUUUUUUCUGAUUUCUGAAUCGUACACGAAACUUAAUGAUUUUUGUUGAAAUUCACAAGAAAACUCUAUGAAUUAUUGCGAAUUAUUUAUGUAAUUAUUCAAAUUUAUAUGUUUGGAUCCGGUAAUAAAACGACAUCGUGGAGUAACUUAAAAGGAACAAACGGCUGCGUUUUGUUUGCGUGGUUGUGGCAGUUUGCGUAUAUAAUGGGACUUGCCAUUUAUAUUUAGAAUUUGAUUAAGGAAAGAAUCUAUUUUAAUGAAUUGUUUAGUCAAUUAAAUUACAAAAUUAUUAAGUCUUUUUCUUUUUUAAAAAAUAAAUUAAUAUGCUAUAAAUUUAACCAUUCGAAUAUCCUAAACUCACUAAUAGUAGUAGAAGGUGAUAUCUUGCCUUGCUAUUAAGGAAAAUUUAAAAAAAAAAUAAAAAAUGAUGCACAACGCAUUAUAUAUUUAUGCAAAUUAAUAAAAUUUUAUACCGUAAUUAAAUGUGAUGAAAAUAGCCUACUCUGAUUUGAACUCACACUAAUAAAACUGACUACUUGUCUUGCUAAUAAGAAUAAUUAUAAAAAGAUUAACUUGAUGCACAAAGCAUUUCACAUUCACGUAAAGUUUAAAAAAGAACUACAUUUCCUCAUUUAUACAUCUUGAUGCGCCUACAACUUAUUAAUUCCAUAAUUUAAACCUAAUAUAUCUAUGUUACUACUUAAAAAUAAUUUCAUAAUUUUACCAUUGUUGAAAACUUUUUUAAGCUGAUAAGGAAGAUCAUAAUGCAACUGAGAAAUGACAUUUUGACACAUGAUGAAGAUGGAUCGUCUUAUGUUAUUGGUUGAAUGCUACCAAAAUUAUCAUAGUAUCAUAUAUUAUUAAUAAAUAUUAUUAAUAAUUAUUAUUAAAUUAUUAAAAAUGGAAAGCUCUUAACCUUAAAGUAUAAUUACCAUUUUGUCUUUUUACUUAUCCUAAUUUUAAAGUUUGAUUAUUGUUUUACCCUUCUACUUAUUUUAAAUGAUUAAAUAUCUAAUUAAAUAAUAAUAAUUUAAUUACGUAAUUACAUGAUUUGAAUUUCAUGAAUUAUACUUUAAUUCUUUAAUUAUGACAUUACAAAUUUCUUUUGUUUUCUACUUCUUUUUAGCUUCCAUACCUUUAAAAAAAAAUUCAUAUCUUUUUAUCUUGUAUUAAACCAAUAGCUUUAGCCUUUGGUCCAUUGUCAAUUUAUUUUAAUGUUUUAUUUUUUAAAAAUGCUCAAAAUUUGGUGUAUGCACAACACUCUCUAGAUAAAGAUAUAAUAUUUUUGUAUUAAUUUCUUCAAUUAACUUUCCUUUAAUAAGUUGUGUAUCUGCUCAGUUUUUUUAUUUUUUUACUUUAAGAAAUUUAUACUAAUUAACAUAGUAUACACGACAUGUAAUGCAUGUGUUUGAAAAUUAAUUUACUAUAAUGAUAAUGAUUUUAUUCCAAGAAAUCAAUCUUUAUUAAAAUGACAUUCCACAAUUUGCUAACACCUCCUCGCAUAGAAAAGAACAAUUUGACUUCUAGCAACCCUUCUUGCAAUAUACAUUCAUGAGCUAUUUGUUGUUAUGAAUUAUCUCUCCGUCCAUAAGUUAAUUCUCACGAAAUUUUAAGAUUAAACAUAAAAAAAAAUUUGAUUUAUUGAAUAAGUCUCUAAGUUUUAUGUUUUGUUGGUGUAAAAAUAUUUAUAUAAUUAGGCUAUGUUGCUCGGACUCUUCAAAAUGUCAUUGAGUGUGUGUUGAAUCCUUAAAAAAUAGUCAUUUUCUGCAUAAUUCAACACGUGAAGUUCAAACAGCAUAGCUUGGUUGUAUGUACAUUUUUUACAUCGAUGAUAGCUAGCACUUAAGAAUCAUUCAAGAAAUCAACUUUUUCCCUACAAUAUCACGAUUGUGUGUCGAAUCAUCCAAAAAAGUAUUUAAUUUCUUGAGGAUCCCAACACAAAUGUAACAACAACAUAACAAAUCAAGUGAUAUUAACAUAUAAAUCACUAUAACAUACAUUAAUUGAUAACCUUACAAAAAAAAAUUAUUAUUACUAACCUGAUAGUAUAAAAAAUAUUUUCGCAAUUACUAUUUGAGUAUACUAAGAACCAACUAGCCAAUUUUCUCAAAUAUUUAUAGGUCUAGUUGGGUUUUCUUGGAAAUCAUCAAAACACAAAAAUCUUCACUUAUGGACAAAUAGCUCUUAAUUAAGAAGAAGAACAUGUUUUAUCCUUUUUCUAAAAAUUGGUACAUUGAAUUGAAUAACAUAUUCCACUCAAAAUUUCAAAAAAAUAAUAAAAAUACACAGACUUCAAAUGCUUAUAUUAUAAGGAAAAAAAUGAAAAAAACAGAGAGAUAAUUCAUAACAAUAAUAAACAUAGUCAGUGUAAUUUCAGAGCUGAGAUCUGAUAAUAUGAUGUAUACCAUGCAGUCGUAACUUCUAUUUAGUAAAAUUAGAAAUAUUGGUUAUGAUAAUCAACUGCUUAUAUAAUAACAAUAAAUAAUGCAAUAAUUGAAGUAAAGAAAUUUAUACUAAUUAACAUAUCCACUAUCUAGAGUAAUUAAAGGCGCACUUAAGCCCUAAAGUGAGGCACAAAAUAUAUUGAGCACUUCACCUCUCUUCACGUGCCCUUCAAUAUCAUCAUCAAGGCUAUAAGACGUACUUUUUCUUACCAAAUGAAAAGGUGACACUAAACCAUUGAUAUUUCACUUUAUCUGUCCUUCUUCUAAUUUCUUUGUCUAUAUGUUUGUUAUUUUUAAAUUAUGAUCUUAGCCUUAGACUAUAUACGCUAAACAUGUUUGUCUAUAUGUUUGUUAUUUGUCCGUAUUUUUGCGUUUUUCGCCUUUUCUACUUCGAUAUCUGCUGUUGCUGUUAUGUUUGAAACUAUGCUGCUAAUUUUCUUUUGUUAUGCAAGUACCAACAAGUAGAAAAUUUCUGAAUUCGUAUAAUUGUCAUCAUUCAAGUUAGUAAGCUAAUUUUACUGCCCCCAACAAUGUUAUUUACUCACAUAGGGGCUACCAUAACUGUUCUUGCAAGUAACAACAUGCCUAAUCUUAUUCCUGUUUACUUCUGUCUUGAAUCUGUACUGCUUGAACUACUGUUUGACUCCCUUUUAGCCUCAUCUAAUGCUCCAUUUUGCUUCUCAUCAGUCCCUAAAGUUAGUGGUAUGAAAGGAUUAUAGUAAGAAGAAUAUGGAUGUAAUGUAAUACAGCUUCCAGGUGCAAUAUAUCCAUAAGAAGAGGGGUAAGGGAAUGGAGCGAUCGCAUUAGGUUGAGGCCAAUAUACAAAAGGCAUGACAGAGUUUGGUGGAUACAUUGGGAAAACAGGAUAAGAACAUUGGUUAUGGUAGUGAAUAUUGGCUGCAGUAUUAGCCAUUUCAGGUUUUCGCGUAUCUGCUGGUGCUUGAGUUGAUGGUAUUGGUAUAGUCAUCUGACUUGGAGACGAGGCGUAGCCCAUUAGUCCAAAUGGUUCAGGAGGUGGGGCAGAACAUGAAGGUUUAGAAUGUAUAGUUGUAGCUUUUUCUGAUGUUUUGGUCUUAGAGAUUGCUUCUCUCUUGACUUUCGAUGACUUCGUUGAUGCUUUUUUCCCUUGCUCUGAAGUGGGACUAAUAUUCUGGAACAACAUGAACAAUUGCAUCAAAAAAGACCUUUUUAACAGGAAUAAAAAGGUAUUUAAGUCUAAAAUGUGAAAGCUGAACUCAAAAUUGAGGGUGAGGUUUUCACAUGAUGAUUAACUUUAAAGUCACAAACAAUGAAUACCUUGCCUAGCAUAACUUAUACUCCCUCCGUUUCAAUUUAAAUGUCUUUAGUUUGACUAAGGUACAGAGUUUAUGAAAAUAAAUGAGACUUUUGAAUCUUGUAGUUACAUUAAGAGAGUGUGUAAAUGUGUCAAAAUCUUCUUUGAAUCUUGUGGUCUUAAACAUGUCGUUCAAAAUGUUGGAAUGAAAAAGUUACCAAAUACAGAAAGAGGUGUUCUUUUUAAAACGGAAUAAAAGUUAAGACACUUAUAUUGAAACGGAAGUAGUAUUCAUGAGAACAUUUAGGCAGGAAUUAUUAUUAGUGACUUGAUCUUGAUGUAACUGAGUUUUACUUUGCAUCAGAGUUGCCACUAAUUUUGGAGAAAAUGAUUAUGAGUUGCAGAUCUUACAAUAGCAUCAGUCUCGGUAUGUGAUAGAAAUAACUCCUCCUUUUCUGCAUCCUCAUCUGUCCUGCAAAUAUGGAUAUGAUUUGACAAUAAGAAGAAUCAUUCGAGCCCAACAAAAUCGAAAAAUUGCCCAGCAGAAUGUCUGUGAACAAGGUAAAAGGGCAGCCAGGUGCAUGAAGCAUCCUCGUUCAUGAAGGGUCCGAGUAAGGGCCAUACCCAAGGGGAUGUGAUGGUGGCAUCUUACAUUGAAUCAAGCAUCAGUCGCUGAUUCUACAGAUCGAACAUGUGACCUCGACAAACUUUACAUUGCUCCAAGGCUCGAAAAGGUUUUCUUUUUCUUUACAUUUGCUUCCUUUGAUCAAUUCGGAGUUGUUUUUGUGAUACCAAAUCAUUUAUAGGCAUUCUGAUAACUUGUAAAAAUGUACUCCCUCCAUCCCGACCGAUUUAUGUGUGUUUCUUUCAAAAAGAAUGUUUUUAUAUAUUUUGUAUGUUUUGAAUUCCAACAUUCCCAUUUUACGAUUACGACCCUCUCUUAUUGGAGUGUGCAUGACAUGUUCAAGACUACAAGAUACAAAGGGUAUUUUUGGUAUGUUAUACGCACCUUUAGCUUAACACCACAAGAUUCAAAAUCCUUGUUUACAUUCUUAAACGUCAUAUCAAGUCAAACUAACAUAACGAAAUGAAACGGAGGGAGUAUGUACUCAUUUUCCGCGAUGCACUAUAGGCUACUUGAUAAGUACACAAGACAAACAUGCUAUGCAGAAUACCUGUAAUACUUCUGUAAGAGGUCCAAGUUCUUAUAUUUGGUUUCUCUUUGAACCAGGUCAUUAGGAAAGCCAGCCAUGAAGAGAAGUGUAAUUCCUAAGGCCUUAAAGAAGAAGCUUCCGCUGCGAAUAUGGAUCAGCAUAGCCAUCCGACAUAUCACCGGACCAAAAGAUUUCAGUUUGUUUCUUCCCAUUCGCUGCCGGACAUAUCUGGUAUGACAAUGCAUCAAUUUACAGACUAGUAAAAUCUCAUCUAUGAGAAAAAAAAUGCCUAAUUAAUUUCAUGUUUGUGCCUUCAGACAAGAUUUUGAUAUAUAUAGACACAACUAAAAACUCAAUUUUGUUGUAAUGUUAACUAGAUCAUUCAAGUUAUAUACAUUACAAUGUAAAGGAUUUUUACACUAUCACUGCAUUUUUUAGUUUGUCAUAUCAGAUUCUAUAUGUAGAGUUACCUAUAGGUCAACUGAACCUACAUAACACAAAAAAGUCCCUUACAUGGUCAGUACAUGAAACAUGAAGUUAAUAUUAUUGCAACGAGAUGUAUAUUAAUUCUAUAGUUUUAAGCAGUCUUACUCAUUUUGAGGAAGAUUUCUUGUCCUUCCUCCAUACUUGAUGCAUAGGAAUAAGCAUGACGGGCAGGUGGCAUCCGAGGGACGCAUAGACUUCUCCUCUUCAAGUAUUUUAACAGGACACAAGGUUGGGUUGUGUCUGUUGGGAUAGAAUAUCUUCCUCCGAAAUCCAGGGUUGUCGUAUAAUACAUGCUCCUGGUACAGAACAUAUCAAGUCAAUUGAAAUUUGAACCACUUGUAAGUAUAAGAAAGUGAUACGCCAAAAGUUUUUAGACAUUCAUGUUUAAUAAAAUAACUAAAUGUAUAAUAUGUGUAUAACCAUGUAUAAUAUAUGUGUAUAAUCUAUGUAUACGGUCUAGAGUUAGUAAACAGUGAAGCGACAUAUAAUUGAAGUUUAGUGGCAUACCCCUGGAUUUUUUGAAUCUAUAUAUGGUUCUCCCUUGUGUAAAAUGCUGAAAUGAUUGAAGUCUAGUUCAUACAUGUCUUCACUCCCGUGCCUUGUACCAAGAGGUGUGAAAACUAAGAUUUUUCUCAUAGUAUGAGAUUGAGCAUUUUCCAGUGAAAGUUCUUUUGAUCCUAGCAUUUUCUUUACUUCCUUGGGACAGAAUGCCAUCUUUAGGGACUUUUUAUGUGACGAUGCACUUCCCGGUCUUCUUAUUUCAUGAUCAAUAGGACAGGCUUUUGAAAGCUCCUCGUAUGCUUCGAGCAUAUUAGUUUCUGCGUUCUUGCAGACGUCCAUAUCUGCAUGAUGAUCACAACUUUCCAAGACGGGUGGAUCACUUGCUUCACCGGUAUCUUCUUUCAGUUCAUCGCUCUCCUUGUCAAUUUGCAAGCUCUUGACAUUUCCUCUAUCUACAAUGUCAGUAUAAGUGCCACUGUCCUCGGAUUCUUGGUCAUCUUCGUCUUCACUAUCAUCAGGGUUGUUAUCUUCUGCUGAAUCACUGUCUUUGGAUCUUUCAAAAUUCAGAAACUGAGUAUCAUCCGUGCUCAUCCAAUUCACUAGGCAAUGUUCUGUAUGAACGUCUUUCGUUAGGAAAAUUUCGGUAUGAUCCUUCACCUCUGAGUCCAUUUUUCGUGUUCUGUCCUCAUUAGGGUCGAUGUCGAUAGAUUGUGCUACUCUUUGUCUCUUGAGCUUUCUGAAAUGCCUUUCGUCUAUACUUUGACUACUGGCCUGUGAUACAGAUAUAUUAAACACGACAUAUUCCGUUAGUACUCAGCAUUGAGCACAUACAUAUUGAAUGUUCAUAAAAUUUACAGGAAGAUUUUCACUUAUAGAAUUGUUAUAUUAUAUGCUUUAAAUCUCUGGUGCUGCAUAUAUAUACAUAGAUAAUAUAUCAGGAUAAAAUUUUACUUCUCAACAUAACAUAAAUGCAUUAGUGCUGAAACUCUGAAACAGUAGCUAGUGAUUAGUUAUGUUAUGAGAAUCUAUCAAUUUCAAAUUUAUUUACUAUGCUCAACCAUAUGCUUCUGCAUUUAUUUUUUUUGACUUUGGAAGUGAAUCAUGUUGUUGCAUACGCUCCGGGGAGAACUCAUGGUUGAACUUUUAUAUACACACAUAACCUAUGUUGUUUACUAUUCAAAAAAUGUUGUCUUAUACGUGUCAGAUCCUCCAAAAAUGCACUACUUUUGGAGGAUUAGUCAUACACCAGUUGGCAUUUUUGAAGAGUUCAAGUACAUAGCUUAUAAAUCAUUACUUCACUGCCUAAGCAUAAACUUGCUAGCUAUUGAAGUUCAAAUAUCUAUUAACUAUUGAACUCUGCUACCAGUAUCUUUUCAAGUAACUGUCCAUUUGAACAUUUAAGUCUUUUAGAAGAGCAAAACAUCAUGAAAAAAGGAACUCCGUAGAUAUCUGAUAAUCUCAAGUUAGCUCGAUCAGAUGAAAAUAGACCUCGAGUUCCUAACUCAAUCUCUAAAGCUUAGCUCGUGAGAUGAGAACUGUCUCCGAGACCAUAAAAGGAUACAACAACUCAUUCCCUUAACCAGUGUGUGGCACACUUACCAAUAGUGAAGCAAAAAUAGCUAAUAUACAUAUAAAAAGUUGAGUUGAGAAAUCAUACAUUUCCAUUUGAGAAGUUGAUGUCUUUAUGUUUUCCUUGUAUGUGAGAUUCAAGAACUGAUAUUCUCUUCAUUAGCUUCGCGUUUUUCUGUUUUUCCCUUUGCAAUUCUGCAGAUAUCUCAGCAAUAUUGACAUUCCGAGUUUUCUCUUCUUUCAGUUCUUGCUCAACAGUGCAACAUGUAGCAGAACCAUUCACCAUGCUGUUUCUCAACAUUCUUGUUUGUGAUAUUUCACCACAAAUCCACAAAUAGAAACUAGUUUUAUUAUUUUUAUGUUGGCAAGAGGCAGAGCUAAGGGUCAGGGCGUCGUUGAAAAAUUAUAAUGUAUAUACAAGAUCAAAAUUACCAUUUGUGUUUGUAUAUAUACAUCACAUGUUGAAUCCCUUUGUUGACUUCUUCGUAUAUUUACUUCUUUAUAUUAUGAAGGCAACACUAGUCUCUCCCUAUAAGUGGAGUCUGGUGAAGGAUCAAACCACGUUGAGUUUAUUGUAUAGUAGAUAUUGAGCCUGUGUCUUGACUUCUUCGUGUGUUUACUUCUUUAUGUUUUGAAGGGAAACACUAAGCUCUCCCUAUAUAAGUGGAGUCUGGAGACGGAUCGAACCACAUUGAGUCUCUUGUAGGUAGUCUCCCUGCAUUUUUUGCAGGUAUUUUUCUCGUACGACUUUCUAGUCAAGUUUAAGACCACAAAAUUAAAGUGCAUAUCUUACGUUCUACGUAUCUUCAGUUUAAGACUACAAUAUUCAAAAAUCAUUUUUUAUUUUUAAAAUUUCGUAUCGUCAAAAUCAAACAAAUAAAUUUUGAAACGGAAGGUGUAAUAAAAAUAACUUGUGUGCAACAAACAGAACACUCAAUACUUUUACUAAAACAAAAUUAAGAACUAUAUAUAUGUCUUCAAGAUUGAUGCAUAGGUUAAGGAAUCUGUUUACUUCUGUCAUUCAAUUCUUUGGUUGAUUUUUUUUUCUUUUUAUGGCACAAAAAUUAAAAUAAUACUUAAUAAGAUAACAAUUUUAAAAAAAGAAAGCUUUGCUGUUAAGUGAGGUUAGUUUCCCAAUAAUAUUAAACAUUAGGAGCAUCCUAGGCUAUAAUUUGAUGUUUCAUAUUUUUUUUUUAUUUUCAAUUCUCUCAAAAAUUCUGACUUUAUCACUGAACUGGAACUGAAAUAGUGAUAGAAAUCAAUGUGCGAGUUCGAUCAAACUCAUAGUCCUAAUAUCCAGAAUUUACAAUAUACAAAGCUCAAAUCUUUACUCUGCAUGCACUUAUUUUUCUUGUUCAGUAUUCGAUUAAGUCUGACUAAUUCAGAUUUAUACGAAGCUUCUUACUAAAAAUUUUUCCAUAUUUAAAAUUCAAACUUCCAUCGUAUUAUAUUCUUUGAUGGUGAUCAUAAAUAUUUCAUCUCUCCACUCCACAUAGUAAACUCCAAGAAUCAACAUUUAUUAAAGACCAAUUCUUUUAGGAAAAAUUACACAAGUAUCUCCUCAACUUAUGUCCGAAAUUUCAGACAUAUCUAUAUUAUAAUAAGAUUCUAUUACCCCCUGAACUUAUUUUAUAAGUAAUUUUCUACCUGUUUUCGACCUACGUGGCACUAGUUUAAAAAAAAAGUCAAUCAACGUUAAGCUCACAAAAUAGUGUCACGCAAAUCGAAAAGGAGUGAUUUCGAGCAUAGAUCGAAGAAAUACUCAAUACAUUAUCUUUUCUUUUUAUAUGAAUUUUAUCUUGGCAUAUGAGCCCAAUGUAGCAAUGACAGUCUGUUUUUUCCAAGACAAAAAAAAGGAGAAAGUGCACACGUGCACAUGAAUAUAAUAUGAAUUUUGGAGGUACAACAUAGAAUAUUUUAUAUUAACCUCACGUGCAACUGACAACUCCAAAAGAUUUGUCUCCAUUGCAAUUUAUAUCAAUAUAGGCUUAAAACGGAUAAUAUCAUAUUAAGCGAUUAAAUAUAUAUUUAAAUUAUACUAUUUUAGUAAUUGAUAUCAAAGCUAAUAAUUUAACGAGCAUAUUGAUGGUGAUAAAGUGAUAGGCAUGAGGUUUAGCUUAUUGUGUUUGUUACAUUAUACAAAUCAAUAUUCUAGUAUAAGAAAAAGUGUUAAAAGAGCAAAAAGAUAUAAUCACCAAAGAAAACAGAAGAUAGACAGUAGCAUUCCAUAAAUUUUUGUAGUAUUUUAUGUUAUUUGGACUCUAAAAAUAUUGUAAUAUUAUUGAAUUCUCUAAAAAUGCAUUAUUUUAAAUAAAUUAUCAUCUUCAUAUUCAGUGUCGUCUCUUGCCUUAGAACUUUUAGGCCAUUGCCUUAGACCCCCAAUUUUUGUGGCCUCAAAUUUCUAUAAAUAUAAAUUUAUGUUUAAUUUUUUCAUGAAAAAAAUAAUUAUUUAUAUAAAAAGUAUAUAUAUAUAUAUAUAUAUAUAUAUUUUCUAACACUCACAUUAUUUAUUUAUUUUAAAUCUUUAUGCACUCUAUUCUAUCAAAAAUAUGAAUAAAUAACUGAAAAUGAUAUAAAUAUAAUUAUUUAAUUUACUAUCUGGUUAUCGGUUAACCCCUUAAGAAAUAACUUCAAACCGUUAAAAAUCGAUAACCUGAUUAAAAAAAAUCAAAACCGUUAUCAAAACCACCAAAUCAAUAACCCAAUACUAUAAACCAAUAACUCUUUUACCGGUUUGGCUUAUCAAUUUCAAUUCGAUUUUGAACCGCCCUAUAGUUCAACUUGUAAAAACUUAAACAAAUAAACACAGAUAUCCUAUGUUGCAUCCUACAUGACAAUUUACGUUCUAUAUAGCAAUUUGUGUCCUACAUGAUAUCCCAUAUGUAUUAUGUCACAUACGUUGGACUCGUGUAUUUAAUUUGUUUAACUUUUAAGGUCAACAAAAAUCCCCUCUUUUUUUUCAAGCAUAAAGCUAUAUUCAGAUUGUCUUGUUAUAAUCUCUACGGGAGGUCAACUUCACAACGCGAUCCACACAAAAUUACGAAGGGGGAUCAAAUACAUUACAAGAAACUCGAAAUAUACCAUUAACUAGCUAUACACACAUUUUCCACGCGAACUCAACCUACACGAAAAAGGUCUCAUGUACUCCAGUGCUUUUUGAAGAUAGCUGAAGGAUUGAAGAAAUAUGGAAGUAUGUUAAGUUACUGAUCCUCUCGUGAUAGACAUCUCUCCAUCGUGCUGGCUGGUGAACGUUCUCUGCUCGUUGCAAGGGUAAUUUGCUCUCGAUGCACUAGAAAAGCUUUUGUUGUGGUUGUGUUGUUCCACUUCUCAUCAUAGCACAGAACUCCUCGUAAUUGAUCCUACCGUCCUGUUCAAAUGGAAGAGUUGGUAUGAAACUAUCCACACUAAAGAGUUUCAACAUCGAGCAUUUCAUAUAACACGACUUACAUUGUCAGUGUCCACCUCUGCGAUUAUCUCCUUGAUGGUGGCCUCAUCACCCAUACCAUAUUCCUUCAUAGCGUUUUCCAAUUCAUCUCGCGUGAUGAAUCUGAAUAACAUCAACAACAAUAAAAAGUGUACGCGUUACUUGCUCGGAAAAAGGAAAAGAAAAAAGAGGUGAAUCUGUAAGAAUGUGUGAAAUGUUAAGGUUUGAUACAGGCCACACCCAACUCAUAUACUACAGCCAUCAAAGUACAACAACAACAACACGCCCAAUGUAGUUCCACAAAGUGGGUCCAGGGUAGACCUUACCCCUACCUCAGAGGUAGAGAGGUUGUUUCCGAUAGCCCCUGGGCUCAAGAGAAAACUAGUCUAAAGCAGUCCCGAAAAAAGCAACUGAAGUACGAGAAAUAGCAGAUCGUAACAAAAACAGCAGAUAGUGAACAGUAACUACAACAAAAUAAUAUGAUAAUCAAAGUAUAAGAAACAAUAGAUAGUAACAGAAAUCUAAGGACAAGAAACUACAGGGGCAACACCACAACUACUUGUAUGGAGGGAUAGAGCCUUAAAAGUACAAUGCUUCUAAAAGGUUCAAAAAACAUAAAAAGAUUCCAAAAUAGCCGAGCAUAGAAACAAAACUCAGAGAGAUCAAUAUGUUACACAUACCGUUACAAAGAUUUAAUUUUUAACUCAGGAGGAUGUCUCAGAAUCACCUUUAGUCCUUGAUUUUAUAAACCAUAAUACUGUUGAUUUAAAAUGAUUCCCCUUGGUUCUUUAUACUCCGGAAGGUUUCAUGAUGGAACUACCUAUGCUAAAAACUAUGAGGGUCCAUCUGAUAUUCGGGUAAGCGUUAAGUAUUGUUGUAUUAACUCUCCCAAAUUAAAUAAAUAGGAAGCUACUCCCCUUUAAGCUUAUGUUUUUUGGACUUCUCUAAAAUGCUGCCACACCCGUACGGAUCCAACAAAAAUACACUACUUUGGAGAAUCUAGCACGCACCUGUCUACAUUUAUUAAGAGUCCGGCCAACACAACAUUAAAUAAAUGAAUUAUAUCCAACCACUUAUGGGCAAUCCCACCUAUAACUUAGCGUAAAUUAAGCAAUUAGAUGGCUUAGGAGGUUUUACACACAAUAUCUCAAUGGUCUAGCAUCAAAAGUUAUCACUUGCAAAACAUCCGGCUCCUAUCAAGCCAUUGAUUACCCUAUUGAUGCCAUGAAUCCAUACAACAACAAAAAACAACAACAUAUCCAAUGUAAUCCCAAAAGUGGGGUUUGGUUAGGGUAGGAUGUAUCUUUGUGGUAAGGAUAUGCCACUAUGUCAUAAUAUAAGAUAUACUAUAUUUUUCUUUUUGCUUCUGGAAAGAAUUAUCUUUAUUGAUCCGCAAUGGCAUGUGGAAUAUUUUCUGGACUCACCAAGAUUAGGAAGACAAAAUUUCAUUUAGAAGGUCAGAUAAAUGGAAGCCAUGAUCAUAUUUAUGGACUUACCCACUAUGGUCCUUGUCAAAAUGCUGAAAAGCUUUAAAAAGAUGCUCAUCCCUUUCUAGCCGAUGUCUAUGCAUCGUUGCAGUAAUAAACUCAAUGUAAUCAAUUGAUCCAUUUCCAUCCACAUCAGCCUGAAAUGUCAAGCCAUGUACAGGUCAGAAACUGAAAUAAAGCAAAAUCCUAUCUAGUCAGAGGCAUCAUACUCAGUCACUUACAGCUUCCAUGAGUUGCUUGACUUCAGUCUCCGUUAGCUUUGAUCCAAGCCGAGCCAAUCCCGACUUCAGUUCUUCAUAAGUGAUUGUGCCACUAUUGUCCGUAUCAAUGUUGUGAAACAUAGCUUUCAGACCCUUGAUUUCUUCUUCAGAUAAAUUUUCCGCAAUGACCUAGGGAAAUUACAAAUGUAACAGAAUAAGAGCUUACUUCAAACAUCAAAUGCCUAAUACAUACUACAUCUUCUAGAUAAUUCAGUAUGGACGGCAUCCCACAUCAUUUUUGCUACUGAAGAACCAACAACAAUAGUCAAAGAUUCUGAGCAAUAGCAGUCUUGAGAAAAUACUUAACCACCUGCAGUGCCAAAAUAAGAAUGCACUAUUAGAUUCUACCUUCAAUGCGAGUUUUUUGAGCUUGUUCAUUGCUCUGAACUGCUUCAUUCUGGACAGGACUGCACUGUCUAUUGGCUUAUCUGAUGCUUCUCCAAGUCGAAGCCAUGGAUGUUCUGCAGAAACAAGCACCAUGAAUGCUAAGUAUCAAACUAGCAAGAAGAACUUAAACCCAGCAUAUAGAGUAUUUAACACAAGCCGCCUCUUGCUUGCAGUCAAAGACCUAAGAAAUCUAGGAAGUAAAUUGGACAGAGAGAAGGGGGUUCUACACUAAAUCCAGAACCCUAGCCACUCCAGAUACUGCUCUUUCCCAGAUUUACUUUCAACCUGGAGACUGUUUCAACUCAAAGGGCUCAAUCAAACCAAAGUUGGGAUUGGCUAUAUGAAUCAUCUAUGACUAUUCCACAAUAUUUUAUCUAAGUUCGUCCCAUUUCUACUUUCUUUGAAUAAUUUGUUUUUAAGGCAAAUUAGGAACUCUCUAAAACUAGAGGUUCUCCAAAUCACAAUUUAUCUCUACAUUGGCAAACAAAUCUCUAAGUAGACUAGAAAAGCUCCUAUAUAACGCCAUACCUAAUGCAAGUGUAACCACUGAUAAAAUCUUAAGAUGCAACCAGGGCAGAUAUAGAGGGGCACGAGAAUAUUUACCUGAACCCCCUAGGCAAAAAUUAUACUGUCUAUAUAAUGCAAGGUAAUUUUUUUUUUUUUUUUUAUUAAUCUAUAUAUUUUUUGAGUCCCCUGAACACAAGAGCAGAUGUUGGCUCAAUUGUUUAGGGGUUUCAAAUUCAUCUUCAGGUUCUAAGUUCAUAUCCCAAGCCCUACAUUGUUAUUUUUCGAACCUCUUAGUGAAAUCCUGGAUUCGCCACAUGAUGCAACAAAUAGAUAAGCCUAGUCGCCAAUAAGGAUCUUCACUUCUAUUUGUGUUCUGUUCUUAGCUAAAUUUGAAUCAAGUCUGAAAUAUUGUAGAUUUUUUAGAUAACUGUCCUUCAUUUGAUUAGAGUCUUACCUCAUCCUCUUUUAGUGUUUUAAGCAUUAUACUAUUAAAUCUAUAGGACAAUGCAUGUGGAGGUCUACGUAUAUGGCCAGAUCAUCUCACACGACCUUGACUCAUUUCCCUCAGUAUGCUUACUUGCACCCUUAGAUAGACUAUGAUCGUUUCUAAUUUUGUCCAAAAUUGUAUGACCGCACAUGUAUCUCCAUUCAUGUUGUAGACAUAAUACGUCUUAGAGGCCUAAUGUACACUCUCACAUAAAAUUAUAUGUCACACCACUAUUCUAUAAAACUUGUAUAUCACUUUGGUAAGAAUCUUCAAGCCCAUAACUCUCAUCCAUUUCAGUCAUCUUAUUAAUUCAAUGUGUGAAACAUUCAUUAAUCAGAUCAUUCGUGCGGACAAUUGCCAUCACCAAAUCACAGUGUGUUAGUGAAGUAAAGAUCCAUAAUCUAUCCAAAGCAACACCAAGAUAAAAGCCAUACACUAUGGGAAAAUGAUAACGUAUUGGCUAUGCUGUAAUCAAGCCAAUGAUUUCAUUAAGGUCUGUUUCUGACAAAGCCAUGGAAAAGCAAUGCAGCUUAUACUUGGAAGAUCUACUAAAUGCAUGCAAAACCUAAACAUGACUACACCCUAUUUCAUAGAACCAAGUAAAGACAUGACACGCUGCUGUAACUUUUGAUUACAGAAAGGGAAAGAGAAAAGUACCAAGAACUUGCGCGGAAGUAAUUCUCUUCCUUGGCUCCUGCGUUAGCAUUUUCCGAAUAAGGUCCUUGGCACUAUUUGAUAUUGAUGGCCAUGGAUCACUUUGGAAGUCAAUUUCUCCUUUUAGUAUGGUAUUAAAUAUUCCCUUUUCAGUUUCUGCAAAGAAUUCGGGAAGACACGUUAACGGAACAGAACAUAGUGAGUAACACGGAGUAAACCAUCUUAUUAAACUUUUUUCUAUUGCCAUCCUUACCAGCCCAAAAUGGAGGUACACCACUGAGCAGAAUAUACAAAAUAACACCUGCACUCCAUACAUCUGCUUCCUUCCCAUAACUACGCCGCAACACUUCAGGGGCAACAUAAUAUGCACUACCAACUAUAUCACGGUACACCUUCCCUGACAUUUAUAAAUGAAACAUAAGUUCAUCUAUUCUAGAUUCUAAACAGAAGAGUGGAGGAAACAAAAGACAAUUGAAGUCAACUACUGAAAUGAUCCAUGCUGGAAUACUCAAAUAGCGGCAACACAAACAUAAAAGCAUAAAAGGUAUGUUAUAUUAAAUCAGAUGAAGGUCUAAGUAGUCUGUGAAUUCAGCUAAAGUCAAAGAACCCAAGAAACUCAGAUCACAAGUCAAGGGGAUGUACUUAUACAUAUAUCCCAAAAAAAAAGAGUGUAAAAUAAUAAUUACAAAUAACAAGGCAAAAGAAAAAGCAAAAGAAACUGAGAUUGUCCUCUAGAGUAAGUUGGGAUGGAUCCACUAAUAUUCUAACUUCAAACUUAUGCAUCACUUACAAUCUUUUAGGAUGCCAGUACCGCUGAUCUAGGAUAUUCUACAAAGAUCCAAGUGGAUUUUGUCUGGUUGACAACAUGCUAUCUUGGACAAAGAAUUUAUUAAGUCCGCUCUUUAAGUCUUAAUUGUUACUUUAUUAAAUCGAAUUAAAAAUUUUAUUAGCUCCUUGUAGGAACAAAUGAGUGAUUAGCUCAAGUAUCAGCAGAAUUUUUUAAAUCCAGUUAAAUGGGGAAGUAACAAAAAAAAAAGAGGGACAAGUUUUUUUAUGAUGGUGCUGUCCAGGCUGGCUUGCAUACACCUUGACUAUACAAACAGGUAACUUAGCCAACCAAGGCCUAUGCAAAUAGGAAGAAUCACCUAAUUGAUUUUUUUGCCUUCACCCUGAGAUCUCAUAGUUCUUCUCUCACUUCAUUGACCACUAGGCUACACCCUUGGGUAAAACGAGGGGAGAGGAGAGUUAUAAAAGUUAAAAUCUUAUACAAACUUUUGUUGUUUCUGUAGUGAUUUUAUGAGUCUGUACUUUGGGAGGUUAUAUCUGGUUUUUGGCUCUAAUCAAUAAAUAUAUUCCUACACUUCAGAUGUUCUAGGUCAAGCGCAGCCACCAUUUUCUCUUUCAUGCAUAUAUGGGUCAUGACUCGUGCCUGACUCAGCCAAGGAUAUCUUAAGGGAUAGAGAACUCAAAUACACCCUCUCUUUUUUUGAUUAGGUAAUAAUUCUAUUGAUUUGAGAUAACUCUCUUGUAUACAAGCAAUAUACGAGAAAGUAAACAACCUACACGAAAAUAUGGUUCUAGAAAAGACAUGCAAGCAUCUCUACAAAUGGGGAACUCGGGGUACACCAAAAUAAACCAAAAAGGAGGAUAUUUUCAAAUACUGGUCCCUUUUGUCUAGCACAAAUCAUUGCUACGCGGUUUAUUUGGAACUCUCCGGGAGGAUAAACUCAGUCACAAUAUACGUAAUCUGGAACAAUUUUUAAAAUUAGUUGUGGAUCAUGGACAUAUAUAUUUACAAAGAUGUUUAAUGCCACUGAUUUCAAUAAACUACUUCUCGAUUAGCUAGCAUGCAACUUUAACACUUAAUAAAUGAGUACAAUUUUUAUUCCAAAACUUGCAGUUUUCUUGGAGACACUUAAACUCUUCCAAGGUACUCUAGAGUCUAGACUGGAAGAAAAGAAUUCUUGACAUAUUCACCGAACAAGUGCUCUAUGCUAACACUUUUGCCAAUCUUGUAACAGACACAUUGCUUUACCAGGAAAGAGAUAGUUCAGUGAUGAGAGAUGCUCCUACAGAAAUUCACACCCUCAGUUAAAGAGUCUUACUCAAUCACCUUCACAACCCACAGGCCACUGACGGCAGCGAACAGUAGCAAGAUGAAAUUUGGGUUCAGGAAACUAGAUUGGAUCAUUAUUAUAGCAUGAAAAAUCCUCUUCGAUUAUCAGAACUACGACGGCGAACUGCAUUACAGAACAUAGAAAAUACAGAUCUGCGAGAUCUUUUGAAAUCUUAGUAGCUGCAAGACCUGCCAAGUUCCCACUUGAUCCUGCAAGUCUAAAAUCAAUACUUUUUGCAUUCAUGGUAAUCAUUGAUUGCUUGUUUGAUUGGUAGGAUUGAAACAAAUCUUAUUCUAGCUAACACAAGAAUACACUUCUACAAAGGUUUGUGCAUCUUUACAUUUUACCCCAAUCAAAUCUCUUCUUUUCAAAAAUUUGUCAAAUAGAUACUACUAAUGCGUCUUAGCACUAAAAAUGUUCUCAUGCAUUGCCAGACACAUCCCAAGUUGCUUGAACUCUUCACUUUCGGGGACAUACCCAUUUCGACACGACGAGGAUGUGGGUGAGGGUGUGGGAUCUGUACCGGAUAUGGUCAAUCGAUUUUGGGUACUUUGACCAAAAUUGACAUAGAAAUUUGGGACAGAUCUAAUGAUUCUGUAAUUAAAACAAAAGCUAAGGUGAAAUUGAAGAUAUAUAUAUAACUUGUCUACAGAAAUUUCUGUGUCAGUCCUUUUUGUUAUACUUCUUCUACGAUUCUCCUAAUUUAGAGAUAUAACUCUAUUUUUAGAUAUACGAAUUAAUUUUUAGCCGAAUCGCCGCGCUCAUAUCCGUAUCUGGAUCCAUACCCCCGUAUCUUAAAAUUCAAAUCAUGAAGGAUCACCUCUAGAUCAACACCCAUAUCGGACACCUGAGUCCGAGAAACUUUGGACACAUCCAAGCAAGAAAAGUCAUGUAAGUAUUUAAAAAAUAACAUAAUAUUGACAACGCAACAAUUUCUUCUUGAAAACUCAGCUGUAAUGUUAUUAAUCUAGAGGAGCAAGAAACUUACCUUCUUCAAUGAAGACAGAAAGUCCAAAAUCAGUUGCCUUCAACAUAGCAUUUUCAUCCUUACUAGUCAGUAAGAAAUUCUCUGGCUUGAGAUCCCUAUGCAUGACACCCAUGAAAUGGCAAAUGUUAACAACAUUUACAAUCUGUCUAAUAAUCUCAGCAGCAUCCUUCUCUGAGUAAUAUCCACGGGCGAUAAUCCUGUCAAACAACUCUCCUCCAGCACAAAGUUCCAUCACAAGGUGUACUGACUGCCUAUCUUCAUAAGCACCCUUGAAUUCCACAAUGUUUGGCUGCCCACUCAAAUGCUGCAUAAUCUGAAUUUCCCUCUUCAUAUCCUCCCUAUCAUUCUUGCUUACAAGCUUCCUCUUAAGUAUGGACUUGCAAGCAUAAGGGUUCCCAGUUGAGUUCUCAGUACAAUAGUAAGUCACUCCAAACUGACCCCUACCCAAUUCUUUCCCAAGUGUAUAGAGCUUUCUAAUUUCCUCAAAAGGCUUUCCCAAUAUGUUAUUCAUAUGGGGUCCUUGCAUUUGGUCUUGGGGCUGUCCAGACUGCACAGUAACAGGAACAGGGUGGGGCUGAGGUUGUGGCUUUGGCUGUGGCGGUGGCUGAUAUGCUGGCUGUGGCGGUGGCUGAUAUGGCCUUUCCUGCUGGGGCUGAGGCUGAUAUGGCCUUUCUGGCUGGGGUUGUGGUGGUUUUUGAUAUGCUUGAUUAACUCUUCUUCCUGCCCUAUGCCCAUUAGCAUCUUGUUGGGUAUACUUCUUGCUAAAACAACCACCCAUUUCUACAGUCUAUUCAACAAGAUUGAACUUUGGAUACUUCAAUUCCUCAACAAGUUACAAAAAAAACAACAACCUGGGGUUUAACAUAACAAAGAUAGCAACUUUAACAAGAUUGAACUUCAACAAGUCACAAUAAAACAACAACUUGAGGUUUAAAGACCAAAAGAUUGCAACUUUAACAAGAUUAAAUUUUGGGUUCUUCAAUCCUCAACAAGUAAACCAGAAAUCAAGAACUUGACGUUUAAAAACCAAAAGAUCGCAACUUUAACAAGAUUGAAUUUUGGGGGUUUUCAAUUCCUCAACAAAUUACCAUAAAUCAACAACUUGGGAUUUUUAGCAGGGUAAAAGAUUGCAACUUUGACAGAGAUUUAAAGUAAUUAAGCUCAAUUUAGUACCUAAAAGAUAUUCCACAGAUCAGAAAAUGCCAACGUUUUGAACCCUCUUCAUUGACUUCAUGGGAAAAAACUCCAUGAAAAUGCUACACACUUUCUUUGCCAGCUUUUGCCCUUGUUAUUUUUCUAGGCUUUUUCCCCACUUGCAAAAAUAAAGCGGUGUUCUUGUGGAAAGUAGGUCAUUUAAUUGGUAGUUUAGUCUCUUUUUUUAGCAAUUUAUUUGUAUUCGCUAUAACCAAAACGACUAAAAUUCCAAUUGAAAAGUGGAGUUAUGAAAACGAGUGAAAUAAGUAAGGAUGAAACAACAACAUUGAAGAAAUGUACCACUUUUAAAUCUUAGUAUCUAGGAUUAUGUUAUUAACUUUUUCUUUUUCGUUUUGAUUCCGCUAUAAUCAAUUUUUUAACUGUGAUUUCUUGCAACUUCAGUGUAGUCAACCUUUUCAUUGGCACAUAUGUGCACCUCUUCUUCCCGUAUUUGAACUAUCUACAUUUCAUUUUCCUUUUUUUUUUUUGUUCAUCACUCUAAUCUGGAUAUAAUUGCUAGGUUUUUUGUUGUGUGUCUCUUUACGAAUGAAUAAGAUUGUACAAUUUUAUUAUCAAGCAUUACGUUGUACCAGAGCAAUUUUAUUUUGGUAAGUCCUAGCGGUAUUAAGAUAAGCCAAAAGUUUUAUUAACAAAGUCUUGAUUGACACAAUAAUAAAGUCGUGGUGUAAUUUUUACAAAAUAUACUAGCAUAUUCGUAAGAUUUGAUGGAAUAUUCAUGAAAGACAUUCUAGUUAAAGAGCAAAAAAAAGCACAAACACCAAAUAGGUGUUUUUGUUAGCUAGGCCUCUAAUAAAAAGGGAUACAAGUGUUGUGACCUAAAUACUAGGAAGGUUAUUGUCACAAUGAAUAUCACAUAAUUUGAUAGGGAUAGGCAUUCGAUAUUUCGGUUCAAUUUUGAUUUUUUGAUUUUCGAUUCUUGUAAAUUGUAAACCAAAAUUUUGGUUUGAUUCGAUUUUUUUAUUUCAAUUUUUAAUGGGUCGCCAGUUGAAGAUGAAGCCGCUGCAGGCGGCGGCUGCUCCUAGCGACGAGGGCUGCUGCUCAUGGCGCCUGGCGAGCAGCUACUGCUGCCUGAAAGAGGAAGAGGAAGAAGAGGAAAGAGGAAGAGGAAGAAGAGAAAUAAGGUUUCACAUACUUUUUUCUUUUUUUAAAAGAUUAUUUAAUAUUAAUAAUUAUUAAUUAAUAUAAUAUAAAUUAUAGUAUAAUAUUUCGGUUUAAAUCAAAAUAAUACGUACGGAAAAUCGAAUCGAAAUACUAAAAAAUACAAAAAAGUAAACUGAAUACCAAAUCGAAAAUCGAUAUAUCGAAAUCGAAAUUCUGAAAAAAUUUGAUUCGAUUCGAUGUUUUGAUUUUUCGGUGUUUAUGUCCACCCCUAUAUUUUGGAACUCUUCUCGAAGGAGAAACAUAGUGACGAUUCGAUGAAUGAUAAGAACUCUAGCGAUCUCCCAUUCGAGAAGCAAAAAGAUUAACGUUUUAUGAUAAAUAAGAAAAAUAGUACUUUUGAUAAUAACACUACAUAAGGUAAGAGAUCUUAUCUUAAAUAAUGAAAAUAAGUAAAUCGAGAUAAUAAAAUCUUUUCAUGAUAUAAUCAAUGAUAAAAACAGGAACAAAUAAGAAAAAAAUAAGGAAAUUGCAUAUUUACAUGAGAAAAAAUUGUAAUCAAGAAAAAAAAUUAAGGACUCUCAGUAUAACUAAAUGUCUGUUCUGUAAGAUCUCACUGACAUACAAAAUAAUUCUUCAUAACCUAAUUCUAAUUUACGUCUUGUUACUUUAGACAUUGACCUUUUAAUUGUCAAAUGUACAAGGUAAGAAAAGGCAUUAAUUAUCUCUUGCUAAAUUUUGUGUUAUAUAAAAACUUGUCCCUUUUUUAUAUAGUUUUUCUUUCUCAAUUUUCUGAUAUGGAGAUAUCGAGAAAUGUCAGGAUGCUUUGACAUUUCUAAGUGAAAAAAAUCAAUUCUAGCAUAAAUAAAAGUAAAACCUGAAAAAUGACAGAACUAUCACGUGGAAAGGAAAUAGUGGAUUGUAGAGGAUAUCCAUCUUCAAAUUUAAAUCAGAUGACUCCUUAGAGAAGUAUAAGGUACAUCUCAUACCAAAAUUUACCGUUUGUCUAAUCAUUACUUUAUAGAACUUACCUUCAAGCAUUUCCAACAUUCCUAUCACAAAAUAUUUAAACGAUCAAGCUAUAUUUCACCUACACCACUCCAAUAUAAUGAACGACAUCAUUAUCAAUUAAACCCUAUUUUCUUGAAUUAAUAUCCUAACUAGUACUUGGAACUCUCUCUUUUGGAUAUAACUUUAUGCAUCAAGUUUCAUUUCCACCAAGCUAAGGCCUGACCCAUAGUGAAAUCUCAUCACAACUUUGGAAGUGUUUUAAGUCAUCUAUCACUGGUUAAAUUAUGAUCUUGGCUCCAUCAUACAUAUCUUUAAUUGUCAUAUUGUAGGUUAUAUGUGUUGAGUUUUAUUUGCCCUAAAUUUCUUACCGUAAAUAGGUUUUCCUUUUAGGAAAAAGUUUUUGAUUGACUACUCCUUUUCUUGUAGGAAAAGGUUUAGGACUCUAUAAAUAGAGGAAUGUUCCUUCUAACUUAAUCAGCAUUCACAAUGUAGUCUUAAUGACUUUGAAAGUUUUGAUUAGGGGGAGAAUUUGUGGGUCACAAGUUUGUUACGUCAUCACUUGUGUGAAUCUCCCAUGUAUUCCGAGUGAAUUGGUUGAGGUUGUAUCCCUCUGUAUUUUGUACUCUCAUAUUUAUAGUCGAUUGCUCAUCUCCUUUGUCGACGUAGGUCGAUUGACCGAACCCCGUUAAAUCUUUGUGUCUUUUGGUAUAUUUCUCGUUGUCUUCUUACUCGUGGUCUUUCGAGGUUCGUUUUACUAGCUUUCGCAUUUACACCUGCUUAUAUUUCGAUUCUAACAAGUGGUAUCAGAGCCAGAUUCAAUGAUGGAGUCAAGUUUAGUGAUUCGAUAAACGAUGAUUGAACCAGGUUAGAAGGAGGUGAUCAUCUUGACAGGUGUAGUUCUAGCCGCAACCUUUUUAACAAUAAUGAAAAUUUUUGUUGGAGAAAUUAUUUCAGAGAGCUUCUCUAUGUUGAGACAUAAAUCCAUCGAGUAUGCAAUCACGAUACCAAGACUUUUUAUGAUAUAUAAUUUUAUUUUAUGUGAUAAUAUUUGAUUAAAUAUUAAAAAAUUAAAAUUUAUGAUCUAAAAUAUUAUCAAAGAUAAAGCGAUUAUAUAAACAUUAAAUUUCUUUUUAAACAUAGAAAAUGCUAAAAGAAUUAAGUAAACAAAAAAAAAAAGUAUAUCGUUUAAGUUAUGCACACCAACUCAUUAAGGAUGUAAAACUUGACUUUGUCUCUUGACAAAGCACUAGGGAUAAGUAUUUUAUUAAACAAAAAAUAUUAAAAUGUUUGGUUUGGAAUUUAUCGAUAUGGUACAGACCUGAUUAGCUAGCUAAUCAUUUAAGCUAUCAUACUUUAUCUAAAUAUUUAUACAAUAUGAUGUGACAUUAAUAUGAAGUGUUUUUUGAUAAUGAAAGAGAAAAAAUAUAUAUUCGUACUUAGUAUUUAUAUUAGAUUGUUUUUUUAUAUUCAAAUUUUAAAAUUAAGACGUUUUUACUAAAAAAAAUUGAGAUAACUCAAAACUCAAUUUUUUAAUGAAUUGUUCUUAGAAACGGUAAACUGCACCAGAAAGGAUUUCGGGUGGGGGAGCGUCUACCUCCUCUCCCAAGCCUGAUAAAUGGUAAAUGACGCUAGAUCUAUCGGAUAAUCAAGUGAUGAGAGAGAUCUACCAAUCAAUUCCUUUAUUUCAGUGUGUUGUACCCUCUAAAGGGGUGCGUAAUGUUCAGCAGUAGGACAAAACACUAGCAAGGAGCUUCCCUUGGGACUGUUUUCCCAGGCAAUUUUCCUUUUUUGCGCGAUAAGUAUUACUCCCUCCGUUUGGUAUUGUUUGUCAUGAUUUCUAUUUUUAGAGUCAAACUAUAAAACUUUGACUAACAUUUUAAGAUGAAUUUUCUCAUCAUAUUAAUAUGCAAAAAAUUGUAACCUAUAGUACUUUUUAUAUAGUUUUAGAAUAUCUAAUUUUUUUGUUUAAAAUAUCGAGUUAAUGUGAUUUAAUUUACCUUUGAAAAUUAAUUGAAUUAACUUUUGAUAAGUGUAAAAUGAUAAAUAAUUCCGAACGGAGAGGAGUGUGAUUUAAAGAAUUUUGUUUAACUUUUGUGCACUAACAUUUACAAUAUUAUUGUAUACUACUACAAUAUUAUUAUAUACCACUAGGUUAACAAUAUAAUUUUAUAUGAAAUUUUUGACACAUUUAAUUAUUAAAAUGUCAAAAAGGUGUUACUACUCAAAUUAAGUUUAUAGCAAGAUAUAGAGCACAUGGUUAGAUAUUCAAAUAUAAUUUUACAAGAUUUAACUUUAUUCAAAAAUUAAUAAAUAAUGAUGACACUGUAUGACUUUUUAAUAUGUUAGAAUAAUAAUUAAUAAUGACACAUAAAUUAUCUAAAACAAUUUACAAAAAUAAAUAAAUCUGAACUAAUGUCUAUUGGAAUGGGGACUAUUCAAAUAUCGACCAAUUCAAAAACGUUCAAAUAAUAGUCAAACUAAAUUUAUACAACAAAUUUGUCAAUUUCUUUACAACAUCAUCAAUAGAAAAAAAAAAAAAAAAGAGACAAGGACAAGGAAGGAGCAAAAAGUUCCCUCACCAUCAACUCUUUCCUAUUCGGAGAUCGAUCUAGAACGGGUAAAUAAGACUCAAUUUAUAAAUAUAUAUAUACAAAAUAUAUUAUACUAUUGCUACAUAUAAUAAGUUCAUUUUAAAUACGUAAGCUGAUUAUAAAAUAUUUUGACUUCGUCUCUGAUGCUAAUUAACUUCAGGAAUGCUUUGAAGACGAGGCUUCCAUGAUUGUUGACGUCGAAUAUUUUCAAAAUCAAAGCUAUUAUUGCUAGAAUUUAUAAAUCCAGACAGUAAUUGCUCCAUUGUAACUUCCUCCAUAUUGUCAAUUUUUCCAGCUAGAAUUUGUUCGAGCUCGUUUUUCGUAAUUCGUAUUUUCACCUCUUUGUAAUUAAUCGUCGAAGAAGAAAUAGACGAUGAUAAUGAUGACGGUGAGGAGGAGGAAGACGAAAAUAACUUUUCUUUUUCUAUGAUCAAAUUUUUUGGUGAUACGAUAUAUUCCCACUCAUCAUCAUCGUCUUCAACAUAUAUCAUAUUCGAUCCACGUUUACAACAAUUUCCCAUCUUAAAAUAACAGAUCUUCUGUUAGAUUAGUUGAGAUAUAGUAAACUGAUCUGAACAAUACGAUUAUAAUUUUCCAAAAUUGAACACUUUUGAAUAUACUAAUUUUUCAUUAAUAUGUUUUGUGAAAUGAAAGAGGUGGAGAUUUGGGAUUUACAUGAUACACCUAUAUUUAUACCCUUGAAAUGAUGGGGGUUUGGGGGGGGGGGGGGGGGGAGGAGACAUAGAAUAAGAAAUGGUCUUUUUCUAUGUGUAUACAAUUAUUAUUAUUAUUAUUAUUAUUAUUAUUAUUAUGGGUGGCAGACAAAGAGGAUUAGUUCAACAAUCUUUUUUUUCCCUCAAUGUACUCUAUCUAUAUUUGCUUUGACAAAUUAUUUUGUCAAUUUUGAUUUAUGAGGCAAGUUCAAACAAAUUAAUUUUUUUUUGAAAUUUAUCAUCAUUAUAACAUGUCAUAUAUGUGUUUGAAAUUUUUUGAUUAAUAUAAAACUUAUAGUUGAAAACAUUUCAUAUUUUGUUUCUUAUUUAACAAUAUAUAAUGAGAAGUUUAAAUCAAUUAAAUUAUGCUUAGAUAUCUCAAAAAAAAAAUUGAUCAAACGUUCCCUUAUUUUGCAUGUGUUUAAAUUUACGUCAAGAAAAAAGGUCUUUUAAGGAAAAAAUUAAUCUUUUACAAAUAUUUAUCAUCAUAAAGUUAGAUUUAUUUCGUAUUUUUAUAAUUUAUUCAGAUUCACGCCACAUAUAUAAAAUUUAUUAAAUAGAAAAAUGUUGUAUAUUCGAUUUUUUCAAUACUUAUAUUUAAAAUUUACACUUAACGAUCCAUCAAAAGAUUUUGUGAAUCAAUUCUAGUAUAAUUCUCAGUGAUCAUGUUUAUAUUACCUACCAUUAUACCAAAAUAUAUAUUUAAGUACCCACAUUGACAUUUUUUUUUAAUGUGAAAGGAAUAGAAAGAUAUAUAGGAUCUAGAAAGAACAAAAUUAAAUUAGUUAAAAAGGGAAAAAACAAAUUGAGUAAGAUAACAUGUGAACAUGGAAUUGUGAAUGGAAUCAAAGAAAUAUGUGAACCAAUUUUUGUUACUACACAUUUGUAUUUUUUUUAUACAACUAUAGUUCUUAGGAUUAAAUUUAAGUCUACCAGUAAGUGAGAAAAGUUCUUUGUCUUGGAAUCUUUUAUAAAAAUAGUUUGUUGAAGUUAUUUAUGUUAUCUGGUCGAUAUAUAUUCUUUUAUUAUAUCAGAGCGAUUUGGGUGACGAAACGAUCGGGAAAAUAGAGUUAUAGAAUAUAAGGGAUUGUUUAGUUAUUAGAGAAGAUAAUACGUGUAUAAAUUUGAUAUUGUUUUCAUUAUAAGUCAUAUUUGAUAUUAUUUUUUGUAUAUAAUAAAGAGUUAAUGGUAAAAUUACAUUUAAAUUAUUGUUUUAUUGUAAAUUUUAUAUAUCUUAGAGUGUGUUUGGUGGAAAAUGUUUUCCAAUUUUUCAAUGUUUGGUUGGGAAAAAAGUUUUGGAAAAUAUUUUUCAAAUCAACUAAUUUUCAUCAAAAUUAAGGAAAACAUUUUUCAAAACUCUCCUCCAAUUUCAAAUUAUAUAUUUUUUUUGGGAAAAACAUCAAUUUUAAAAAAAAUAUUUUCAAUUUCAAAAUUUAAUUUUUUCACCCAAUCCUUAGCCCUCCCCCCACCGGCCAGCCCCCCCAACCCCACCCCCUCCCCAAAAAAAUAAUUUUGCUUUUUAAAAAUAUUUUUAACUUCAAUUUUUUAUUUUCAAACUCCUCCCCCCCCCCAAUUCCCCGUCCAACCCCCCUACCAUCCCCCCACGCACCCCUAAUCCCUAAAAAAAUUAAUUUUGUUUUUAAAUAUACUAUCAACUUCAAAUUUUUAUUUUUUCACUACUACCCCCACUCCACCCCCAACACCACCCCAAGAAAAUAAUAUUUUGUUUUUAAAAAUAUUUUCAAUUUCAUAAAUUAAUUUUAAUUCUAAUAAAAAUAAAAGAUGUCUCUUAAAAAAUAUUUUUCAUUCAUAAAACAAACACUAAAAAUCAUUUCCGGAAAAUAUUUUCUACUCACCAACCAAACAUGAGAAAAUAAAUCUAAAAUAUACUUGUUUUUCAAGAAAACAUUUUCUGUGAAAAACAUUUUCCUGCAUACCAAACACACCCUUAAUUAUCAAUUCUUUUCUUUACUUACCUCAAUUAUCACUUCCUCAGUAUCAAAAUGCACCUCAAUGUUGAGUUAACCAAAUAUUAUUUUCACUCAAUAACAUGUACAUGCAGGCAAACUCAACAUCAAAGUAUGUUUUGAUGUAAAAAUUUAAAAAGUUACUGUAUAGAUAUGUUAAAGUUGGAACAAUAGAUAGUUGAAAUAUGAAUCUCGAAAAAAUGAUAUGCUAAUUUAGGUAUGCCUUUGAUCAUUUACUCUGUAAUAAAUCAUUGUAUUUAACAAAAUGAAAAAUUACGUGUUAAUGACAUUUUAUUUCAUGCUCUUGAAUUUUAUUUUAAUACAUCACACACACAUGCUCACGUGCAUACACGCACACACGCGCACAAUCACACAUAUUCAUAGAAAAGGGAAAGAUAUCAAAGUGUGAACUUAAAAUGGUCGAUGGAAUCUUGGACAUUUUCCUUCACCAACUUCAGCCUCUUAGCUAUAUAUAGUAAGUCACUAAUAAUUUUUAAUAUUUUUUUACAAAAGGUAUUAGUGAGGGUUAAGCUAAUUAUCCAUUGGAUAUCUGCCACCUAUACUAAUUAGCUUGACCUAAUUUACAAGGUGACGAUGAAGAUAAUAUGUGUGGCAGUUAGAUUUCUUCGUAUCUAUAGUUUCAAAAAAGUAGGGCUCAAUGAUUAUUCGUUUAUCGAAAGAUAGAGUUAAGAAAAUAAUUAAUAUUGAAUAUCAUAUGUAUGAAAUAAUUUGUUUUGUUUACUUUUACCUGUUAGAAAAAUUACUAUUUUUUUAAUUUUAAGAAGCUUAUUAUUUUUCAAAAAAAAAAUUAACUUCUUUAAUAAACUUUAAUAAAAAAAUUCAAAUCAUACUAAAUAGAUUGUUGCUAUGUGUAAAAUAUGUUUUAUACAUUAACUUUAAAAUAACAAAGAAUUAAAAUUUUCUCCUUAUAUGAUAUAUAUAAAUUGCUACAAGUCAAGUUUUUACUCUAAAAUUUAUUCACUAUAUCAAAAAUAAUCUUCAACGAUAAUAACUUAAUUAUUAUUACUAAAUAUGUAUUUUUAGUAACAGUUAUUAUUCAUUUAGAAAAUGACGCUAAAGUGUAUGGUGACAUUAAAUUUAAGGACAAUUCACUAAUCAAUUGAAGUAUUUAUUAGGUAGGUUAACGACACAUUAUCUAGUAUUCAUUUACAAAUUUAGUCAAUUUCUUUUAACAUAUACUCAAAUUCAAUUAAAUAUUGUCAAUUUUGAUUUCCCUAGGCUACAUAUUAAGCUCUUCAUAUUGAAAAUUCAAAAUUAUAUAUUUUUAUAUAUGUAAUAUCUUAUAUACGAUAUAAUUUUUAUUAUAAUAAAGUGCUCCAAUAACAACCUCGUAAUUUUACUCCUUAAAUUUAUCACCUAAAUUAAAAUAAAUCGAGUUUCAAAAUUUUACAAAAAAAUUAAAUAAUAAUUAAAAAACAAAAAUAAAAAAAGUAUGUCAUGCGCUAAAAAUGUAUCAUUUGGAACAUGACUUUUGAUGGAUUUAACAUUUUCCAAAGAGUGCAACCAUUUUUUAUUCGAUUUUAAUAUUCAUAUUAAAAUUUGUCUAAAUUUUUAAAUUUUUUUUUAAAAAUGAACAAGUAUUUAUGGUUCUACGGGAGCCCAAUUAUUUCAUUAUCUUAGUGUGGGGUGUUAUGCUAAUUCAUACACAGCUUAUUCUUCAUUACUGCAUCUUACCCCCACCCACUUAAGAGCACCUCAUUAAUGGCUGCCUCAACUUUUACUUCCCACUGCUCUUUCUUCUAAUUUCAGGUUUCCUUUUUCUCACAUUGCUGAAAAAAAAGUCCAAGAUUUGCUGCUAAAGUUCAACCCUUUUGGGGUUUCUUGCAUUUGCUGUUUCCUUUCUACUUUGGGUCUUGAAGAAAAGGAAGGUAGAGAUGAGAGGAGGGGUCAGUGAAAGUUUCAGACUUCACCUUCUUCUGGUUGUAUUUAUACUCUUUCUUUGUAAGUAUGAAUCCCCUUGUUUAUUUUCUGUGCUCUGUAUCUUGGUUAGUUUGAUUAUUUCUUGGAUGAUUUGUGAAUACAUUCUUGAAAUUUACCAAAUUUUGCUGAAAAUUCCAGCUGGGUGUGAUAAAGAUUCAUGCUUUAAGCUGGUGUUUGGGGAAAUUGGUGAUCUAGUGGUGGCUUAAAGUAUCUGGAAUUGCUAGCACAAUGCAUCUUCUAUCUGCGGCUGGAUAUGUAGGUCUUAAAGAUGAUCGUGAUAUGCAUGUUACUUUAGUCUAUGCUUAGGGUAUGAGUUGAGCUCCUUUACUAAGUUUUGGAGGCAAGCAGUAAAUUAGUUUCAAAUAGUUGUCUGUGAAAAACAUAUGUGCAUUAGAAAAUUUAGUGUGAAUGAGUAAUUGAAACUGUUGGUAGGAUCAUUUAAGUUGGAAUUGAGAUGGGACAGUCGAGGGUUACGAAAAUGCAUUUUGUUAGAGUCUGUUGAAGAAUGAAAAAGUUCCGCAUUGAUGCUUAAUGAGAUGGGGUGAUCUCCCUGUAAAGGCUUGGCAAGCCUCCUCCGUUUGAGCUAACUUUUGGGGUGUGAGUUAGACCAAAGACCUAAUCUUACAAAGUCUAGUAGUUUUGCAUUAUGUUAAUCUUAUUUUAGCCUCUGCAUUAUCUGGACAAACUAUUUCUGCUCCAAGACCUUAUUUGAGUGAUGUUCUCUUUCCCUUGCAUCUCCUGCUGGUGGAAUCAGUUGUACUGUUGUGGAUUGCUUUGGAUAUUAGGGAAGGGAAAUGUAUCCGUGGGAAUUCGUGAUUUAACUCUGAAUAUGGAGUGGUAUAAAGAAGCGCAGAGCAAUGUAUAGUUUUUACAAGCUAUGAAAUGGUUUCCUGAGCUAAUACUUAAUGAAGUGUCACAUAGUGUUUCUGUGGGUAAAUAUAGAUUUGACCCAAACUGAAUGAAUCAAGGAGAAAAUCCAGCUACAAUGAUAUUGGAUUUCUCUGGAUAUACAAGUUUCAAUCUUUGAAAUCUCAACACGGGGUCUUCCACAGACGAGGAAUGAUGAUUCUAUUGGGUUUUAGCAAGUGUGAAUGGGAAAAGAAAAGAGAAAAUAUCAAAAGUGAGGGAACUACUUUGGAGAGAAAAUGAAAAGUCAUUUGCAAAGUGCAAAUGAAAAGUCAUUUCUUAUAAAUUUGCAGGUAACGGUAACAUUCCGAAAAGUUGUUACUCUUUCCGAAAAGUCGUUACUUUUCGAAAAGUCGUUACUUUCCAAAAAGUAGUUAUUUUCCUAACAGACACAAUUUUUCGAAAAGUUGUUAUUUUUUUUUCAAAAGACACAACUUUCUGGAUAAAAUGGGUCUGAACAGAUUUCACUGAACAGACAUGUUCCUUGCUGAAAAUGGCUAUAAAAGGAAGUCAAUUUUUGAUUUUUUAAUAACUGAAAUUUUUUUCUUUCUCUGCAUUUAUUUUUCUCUAAAAUAAAAUCAAAGUGUCGAUCGACUGAGUCUGUGUGACUUGUUGCUGUUCUUUAGUUCGUUGAAGUUAAAGAAGUUUGAGGUACCGCUAUUUCUUUAACAGGUUUAAUCCGUUUUAUCUUGGGAGAAAUUAAUCCAUAACCUUGGGUACAGUGAGGGGAUUAAAUUUCUUAAGGACACACAGUGUUUCUGUGGACUCGGAUUAAUUCUUCUAUUUUAAAUUUUUUCAGCUAUCUUGUUUCUGUUUCUGUUCAUUAACUUCAUAAAUACAAGUUAUUGUAAGAAUAACAAUCUUAAGAAAUUUAACAGUUUUUGUAUUUGAGGUUUCUGGAGAUUAAAACCUUUAUGGUUUUCUACUCUGCUUGAAUUUUUAAAAUUCAUUCGAUUAACGAUUAAAAGAACAUAAAAACUUUAUCGUUAAAUCAGAAACAGUUUGUGUAAAGAUUUGUUCUUUACUGUUAGUAUUUUAAAUACUUAAUUUAUCUGCCAUUUGUGACAGAAAAAAAUGACUAAUUCAAGUCAAACAAAUGUUGGAACAGUAAGUGCUGCAACAACAACGGUUGCACAUAAUCGUUCAAAUGCUGCCUUAGCACCGGCUGAGAAACCUGCAAAGUUUUCUGGAGUCGACUUUAAGAGAUGGCAGCAAAAGAUGUUCUUCUAUCUCACUACGUUGAGUCUGCAGAAGUUCAUCAAUGAGAAUGUUCCUGUUAUAUCAGAUGAAACUCCGGCUGAUGAACGAUUCUUGGUAACAGAAGCAUGGACACACUUAGAUUUUUUGUGUAAAAAUUAUAUUUUGAGUGGUCUGCAAGAUGAUCUGUACAAUGUGUACAGCAAUGCAAAAACCUCAAAAGAACUCUGGGAUGCUUUAGAAAAGAAGUACAAAACAGAAGAUGCCGGAAUGAAGAAAUUCAUUGUGGCAAAAUUUCUGGACUUUAAGAUGAUAGACAGUAAGACUGUCGUCAUCCAAGUUCAAGAAUUGCAGGUCAUAAUCCAUGAUCUCCUUGCUGAAGGAUUAAUUGUGAAUGAUGCUUUUCAAGUAGCUGCAAUUAUUGAAAAGUUACCUCCAUUGUGGAAGGACUUUAAAAACUACUUGAAACACAAACGCAAGGAGAUGACUGUUGAAGAUCUCAUAGUAAGGUUGAGAAUCGAAGAGGAUAAUAAGGCUGCAGAAAAGAGGUCACGUGGUAAUUCAGCAAUAUCUGGAGUAAAUUUUGUUGAAGAAGAUUCCACAAAAUUAAAGAAAAGAAAGAAAACAUCUGGUCCAAAAAGCAAUCCUCCUAAGAAGAAAUUCAAUGGAAACUGCUUUAAUUGUGGUAAACAUGGUCAUAGGGCUAAUGAAUGCCGGGGUCCUAAGAAGGACAAGAAAAAGAAGGAUCAAGCAAACUUGGCUGAAUCCAAAGGAGAAAUGGACGAUCUUUGUGCAAUGCUUUCAGAAUGUAACUUGGUUGGAAAUCCAAGAGAAUGGUGGAUAGAUUCUGGUGCCUCAUGCCAUGUUUGUGCCAACAAAGAAUUAUUUUCAUCAUAUACUCCAGCACUUACAAAUGAAAAAUUGUUUAUGGCAAACUCCGCUGUUGCAAAAGUGGAAGGAACUGGCAAAGUCCUAUUAAAGAUGACAUCAGGCAAGGUGGUGACUUUGAAUAGGGUCUCAUAUGUUCCAGAAUUGAGAAAAAAUUCAGUUUCAAUUCCAGUUCUGACCAAGAAUGGAUUUAAAUGUGUAUUUGUUUCUGAUAAAGUAGUAGUAAGCAAAAAUGAUAUGUAUGUAGGAAAAGGCUACUUUAGUGAUGGCCUUUUCAAACUCAAUGUAAUUGCAGUUGAUAUGAAUAAAGAUUUUGCUUCUUCUUACUUGCUUGAGUCUAAAUGUUUAUGGCAUGAACGUUUGGGACACGUUAAUAACAAAACCUUGCGAAAACUGAUUAACUUAAAUAUUUUGCCAAAAUUUGAGUGCAAUAAAUCAAAAUGUCAAAUUUGUGUUGAAUCUAAGUAUGCUAAGCAUUCUUAUAAAUCUGUUGAAAGGAAUUCAAAUCCUUUAGAAUUGAUCUGAUAUUUGUGACAUGAAGUCAACACCAUCACGUGGUGGGAAAAAGUAUUUCAUAACUUUUAUUGACGAUUGCACUAGAUAUUGUUAUGUCUAUUUGCUAAAUAGUAAGGAUGAAGCAAUAGAUGCAUUUAGGCAAUAUAAAACUGAAGUUGAAAAUCAGUUAGAUAAAAAGAUCAAAAUGAUCAGAAGUGAUAGAGGUGGAGAAUAUGAAUCUCCAUUUGCAGAAAUAUGUUUAGAAAAUGGAAUAAUCCAUCAAACUACUGCUCCCUAUACUCCUCAGUCUAAUGGAAUUGCAGAAAGAAAAAAUCGAACUUUAAAAGAAAUGAUGAAUGCAUUACUUAUAAGUUCAGGUUUACCACAGAACUUGUGGGGGGAAGCUAUCCUUACAGCAAAUCAGAUACUUAAUAGAGUGCCUCACUCAAAGACAAAUGUAAUUCCAUAUGAGAAAUGGAAAGGUAGAAAACCCAAUUUGAAAUAUUUCAAAGUGUGGGGGUGUCUAGCCAAAGUCCAAGUUCCUAUACCUAAGAGGGUAAAAAUAGGACCUAAGACUGUGGAUUGUGUAUUCAUUGGACAUGCCACAAAUAGUAAGGCAUGUCGUUUUUUGGUUCAUAAGUCAGAACAUCCGGAUAUUCAUGAUAAUACGGUAAUGGAAUCAGAUAGUGCUGAAUUUUUUGAACAUAUAUAUCCGUAUAAAACUAGACUUGAGUCAUCUAGUGGGGGAUCUAAACAACCCAGAGAAGAACCAAAAGAGAAUGAACAAAAUGAAGAAAGUCCAAGACGCAGUAAACGUCAAAAGACAUCUACUUCAUUUGGAUCAGAUUUUGUAACAUUUCUUCUUGAAAGUGAGCCUCAAACAUUCAAGGAAGCAAUGUUGUCUAGCGACUCAACCUCUUGGAAGGAGGCUGUUAAUAGUGAAAUUGAAUCAAUCUUAAGCAAUCAUACUUGGGAGUUGGUUGAUCUUCCUCCAGGGAACAAACCGUUGGGUUCAAAAUGGAUCUUUAAAAGGAAGAUGAAAGACGAUGGAACUAUUGACAAAUAUAAAGCAAGACUUGUUGUCAAAGGUUUUAGACAAAAAGAAGGUCUUGAUUAUUUUGACACAUAUUCGCCAGUGACUAGGAUUACAUCAAUUCGGAUGUUAAUUGCACUAGCUGCAGUAUACGGUCUUGAAAUUCAUCUAAUGGAUGUGAAAACAACCUUCUUAAAUGGAGAGCUUGAAGAGGAAAUUUACAUAGAACAACCUGAAGAUUUUGUAGUUCCUGGUAAAGAAAAGAAAGUGUGCAAACUUAUUAAGUCACUUUAUGGGCUAAAACAAGCACCAAAACAAUGGCAUGCAAAGUUUGAUCAAACCAUGUUGGCAAAUGGAUUUAAGAUCAAUGAAUGUGAUAAAUGUGUUUACAUUAAAGAUACUCCAAACCAGGAAGUUAUUUUAUGCCUAUAUGUAGAUGAUAUGCUUAUAAUGAGCAAAGACAUUGUUAAUAUAAAAGCUACAAAGCGUAUGCUUGCUAGUAAGUUUGAUAUGAAAGAUUUAGGAGUUGCUGAUGUGAUAUUAGGAAUUAAAAUUCUUAAAACUCCUAACGGUCUAGCAUUGUCUCAAACUCAUUAUAUUCAAAAGAUACUUGAAAAAUUCAAAUUUUUGAAUUUUAAAAGGGCAAAGACUCCAAUUGAUGUAAAUCUUCAUCUUGCAAAGAAUAAAGGCGAAAGUCAGUCUCAAUUGGACUAUGCUAGCGUAUUGGGAAGCUUAAUGUAUGUCAUGAAUUGUACACGACCAGACAUAGCUUGCGCUAUCAGUAAACUGAGUCGAUACACAAGUAAUCCUAAUCAUAAUCAUUGGUUAGCAAUGAAGAGAGUUUUGGGAUACUUAGAUGACACUCAAAACUAUGCUUUACAUUACAACAGAUAUCCAGCCGUUCUUGAAGGAUAUAGUGAUGCAAAUUGGAUUACUGGGUCAACUGAAACAAAAUCCACAAGUGGAUACGUUUUUACUAUUGGCGCAGGAGCAAUAUCUUAGAAAUCAUCCAAACAAACAUGUAUAGCUCGCUCUACAAUGGAGUCCGAAUUCAUUGCUUUAGACAAGGUAGGUGAAGAAGCUGAAUGGCUCCGGAAUUUCUUAGAAGAUAUUCCAUUUUGGCCCAAACCAAUGGCCCCUAUAUGCAUACAUUGUGAUAGUCAAGCUGCAAUAGGAAGGGCUGGAAGCAUUAUGUAUAACGGCAAGUCUCGUCACAUAAGACGAAGACAUAACUCUGUGAGACAACUACUCUCUAGUGGAAUUAUCACAAUUGACUAUGUGAAGUCAAAAGAUAAUGUGUCGGAUCCACUUACAAAAGGCCUAAAUAGAGAGGGAGUUGAGAAAUCAUCGACGGGAAUGGGACUAUGGCCGAGAACAAGUCAUCGUGGCGGUAACUCUACCUAGAAGACUGGAGAUCCCAAGAUCUAGGUUCAAGGAGAUAAAACAAAGUCAUUGAUGACGGUUCAACAUUGUCAAAGGAAAAAUAAAAUAAAAUAUUAUUAUUAUUUUAUGGUCCAUUCUCAUGAUGAGACAAUGUUUAGUAACUAGGAUAAAGACAUAAGGACUUUUUAAUGGUUUCUAAGUUUGAUACAAGGAAUAUCAAAUGGUGUAUUUAUGGGAUAACACAUUUAGAAAUCACCUAUGUAAGUGUGAAGUGUAAGCCGCUUCAAGGAGAAUCCGGUAAGGCCAGUUCUUUAAGCACUUACUAUCCAAGAUGUGUUCAUGGCUGAAACGAACAAAACAAUGAGAACUAAGAACAGUUCAAGGGUUGAUUGUGUGACAUAUGUUGUCUAGGUAUACACCAAAGCUCGACGGUUCAAAGAUAUCAAAUCUACCGAUUGACCGAGUAUAUCCGAUAUAUGUUCACUACGGAAAGUUUAAAGGGAAACCUACUUAUCCAGAUGCGAUUAACCUUUACCUACAAGACACACAAGUUUUUUCAUGCAUAUGUUUUAACAAUAGCCUUCCCCAUUCAUGUGGGGGAUUGUUGGGUUUUAGCAAGUGUGAAUGGGAAAAGAAAAGAGAAAAUAUCAAAAGUGAUGGAACUACUUUGGAGAAAAAAUGAAAAGUCAUUUGCAAAGUGCAAGUGAAAAGUCAUUUCUUAUAAAUUUGCAGGUAACGGUAACAUUCCGAAAAGUUGUUACUCUUUCCGAAAAGUCGUUACUUUUCGAAAAGUCGUUACUUUCCAAAAAGUAGUUAUUUUCCUAACAGACACAAUUUUUCGAAAAGUUGUUAUUUUUUUUCAAAAGACGCAACUUUCUGGAUAAAAUGGGUCUGAACAGAUUUCACUGAACAGACAUGUUCCUUGCUGAAAAUGGCUAUAAAAGGAAGUCAAUUUUUGAUUUUUUAAUAACUGAAAAUUUUUUCUUUCUCUGCAUUUAUUUUUCUCUCAAAUAAAAUCAAAGUGUCGAUCGACUGAGUCUGUGUGACUUGUUGCUGUUCUUUAGUUCGUUGAAGUUAAAGAAGUUUGAGGUACCGCUAUUUCUUUAACAGGUUUAAUCCGUUUUAUCUUGGGAGAAAUUAAUCCAUAACCUUGGGUACAGUGAGGGGAUUAAAUUUCUUAAGGACACACAGUAGUUUCUGUGGACUCGGAUUAAUUCUUCUAUUUUAAAUUUUUUCUGCUAUCUUGUUUCUGUUUCUGUUCAUUAACUUCAUAAAUACAAGUUAUUGUAAGAAUAACAGAUUCAGCAGAAAGUGAUUGCUUGCUGUAACCUUUCUUCUUUUACUGACUACAUAAUCUGCUGGUUUUAGUGGUUUCUGGUUGAAUUAUUCAUGUGCAUUCAUGAAUUAUUUCUAUCUUGGUACAUUCACCUAUGAUGCUUUCACCGUCCCAUAUAUUUCUAUCUAUGUGCAUUUGCUGGUAAUUCAUUUGGAUCCAGUGCUAUUUCAAAUUUAUGAUGGAUUUGCUACUUUUACAGGCCUCCAGGAAUCCAGUUGCAGCUCACUAAAUCAUUUAAGAAGCUCUCUAAUCAUGGACAUAAAGGAGGAUACCCUUUUGCUAGAGACGUUACCAACUGCUGCUCCACAACCCCUUCUCCCCCUUCGUGCACCUUCUCCAUUGGCACCUUUCACAAACAGCACUUCACUUAGACUAUCUGGUUUGUUUCAGAAACUAAUUACAUUAAAGCUCUUGGUCCUUAGUGUCGAAUAAGUUUUAAUUUAUAUGAACCUUCCAAUUUUGGAGCAACUUGGAGUAAUUAAAUGUAUACAUGCAACAGUCUGCCAAUAUAAUUUUUUCCUGAUCUGGAACAGUCUGAAAGGAGAGCCUCGGCAUAACUGGUAAAGUUGCUUCCAUGUGAUCAGGAGGUUAUGGGUUCGAGCUAUGAAGCAGCCUCUUGCAGAAAUGCAAGGUAAGGCUGUGUACAAUAGUCCUUGGUGGUACGGCCCCAUAGCGGGAGGUUAGUGCAUUGGGCCAUCGAGCAGUAUGCCAAUAUAUUUUUAUAAAGCACUGCCUGGGAUAUAACAGUAUAACAAUCUGAUUUAGUUUGCUUUCAUAAGCUAACUAAACUCUUACUUGCAUACCUAUGUUAUCUGUUUUAUUUCAGAAACUACUUAUGUCAAACUCCUAACAACUAAGCAAGAACUGUAUCCUAAGAGUCAAAAAUGCCAAGGUCGAAACAUAAAGCAGCAUAGAUUGGAUACAUGACUUCAAAUCUUAGUGGAGACAAAAAACACUAGGUUAGUUCUUUCCAUCUGCCUAAGGAUUGGCGGGGCAGAGUUUUCGGUACUUGUGGUGGUGGGAGGUAGGAGGUACCCAAUAAAAUAGUCGAGUUGUGUGUAAGCUGUCCUACACACCACCAAUCAUAAAACAAAAUAUAUAGCAACGUAGACUUAGAGAAGAAAUAGACCUCAGAAAGACCUAAGGUUUUCAAUAUCCCCCGUAUUCUCUUACUUUUCCUUUCACCCUCUCCAGGACUGUGUACGCUGAACUUUGAUGCUGUGAAAAGUAUGAUGGCCGUGACAUCAAUAGAUUGUGUAGCUCCAUUUGCAGAGUAUCUGGCUAAUGUCAUCUGUUGCCCUCAACUAGAAACAACUCUUGUUAUUCUUAUUGGGCAGUCUAGUAAACAUUCAAAUAUGCUUGCUUUAAAUGGGACUCUCGCAAAGCACUGCCUUUCAGAUUUUCAGCAACUCCUGGUCAGUCAGGGUGCCAAUGAUACUCUGCAGAAGAUAUGCUCUCUCCAUCCGGAAAACCUUACUGAAGGUUCUUGCCCAGUCAAAGAUGUUCAUGAGUUUGAGAGCACUGUGGACUCCUCUAGCCUACUUGCUGCCUGUGGCAAGAUCGAUCUUGUGAAUGAAUGUUGUGAGGAAACUUGUGGAAAUGCUAUAACAGAAGCUGCUAAAAAACUUGCACUUAAAGCAUAUGAUAUUUCAAGGAUGGGUGGCCCUCAUGUGCUGUCUGAUCACACAACUAGAGUUAACGACUGUAAAAGGAUUGUACAAAGAUGGCUGGCAAAUAAACUUGAACCUGCUGGAGCAAAACAUGUUCUUAGAGGACUUUAUAAUUGCAAAAACAAUAAAGGUGAUAAGUUCAUACAAAUUCUAUUCCAUAACAACCUUGGAUUUCUCAUUGCAUAGUUAUUUGCUAGAUAUGUGCUUAAAAUUGAUAAUUUAAAAGCCUUCAUCCCAUGAAGUGUAGACUGCUAGAUAUGUGCUUAAAAUUGAUAAUUUAAAAGCCUUCAUUCCAUGAAGUGUAGACAUGGAUAUGGAAAUGAAUAGUUACGGGCAUCCCAAAUAAAAUGUGUACACAUGAAGGUUAAAAAUGAACUUGUUGAGCUUUUCUGUCUUUAACCCUUUAGAUUUGAGCUCCUUUGGGGCAAAUGUGUUUCUCAAGCUUUAUAUGGUUAAAUAAUGGAAGUGAUCUCUGAUAAGCACAUCAUAUAUAUAUAUCCUACUACACUAGUUGCUAAUAAAUUUCAUUGUGAUACAUCUUAUUAGCUAGUGUUGAUCAAUAAUGUUAAAAAGAUUUUGUUCUUGGAAGGAAAAGGAAAGGAUUAGAUGGUUGAUUGAGUACUUCCCCUUGGCUAAGGGCUCAUCCCCCCCUCCCCCCCAAUCAUUACUAGGAGCAGUUCCAAAAUGUAUUCUUGCUCUCUUUUGUUUCAUGACCUGGUGAAGCUACCAACAACAACAAACCCAAUGUAGUCCCAUAAGCGGGGUCUGGGGAGUGUAGUGUAUAUAUAAACUGACCUUACCACUACAUUGAGAAGGUAGAGAGGUUGUUUCGGAAAACCAUCGGCUUGAGUAACGAACAUCAGAGAGCUAAAAGAAAAAUACAGAAGUAAAGAUGAAGUACGUUUUCUUUUAAUGUUAUAAUUCCACUUAUUGCCCAAAACCAAACAUAGUCUUGGUUAUUCGAUCAUCCUCAAUGCUUCUGGCUCUACAAAGUUACCACAAUUUUUGCUGCAGAAAUUAAAAUCUAGCUUCCAUUCUCACCUUCUAUCUUUGCAUUUCCAUAUUAUUAUAAAUCUACUAAUGUGUUUCUUCAUCCCCUUAGUGUGCCCUUUGGUUUUUCCUAACAUGAAAAAUAUUACAAAGGCUUGUGGAGAUGGGAUGAAUAAUCAAACAAGAUGCUGUAAUACUGUCGAGAGGUAUGUGUCUCACUUACAGAGGCAGAGCUUUGUCACCAACUUGCAAGCUUUGGAUUGUGCUGCCUCGCUUGGGCUUAAGCUACAGAAAGACAAUGUUAGCAAAAAUGUCUACAAUCUCUGUCACAUUAGCCUCAAGGAUUUCUCCGUACAAGGUCAGUUUUUAUUUGAAUGCUCUUUGGUGCAUUUUACCGCAUACAAAUACCUUGAACUGACAUUAAUUUUGAUCUUGUCAUGUUUGUGGCAUCUGGUUAUCUUCAAAUGACUACACUACACCAGUUACAUCAGAAGGUAAUAAACCUACUUUACGUGUUUACUUUGUUGUUUUGUUUCUUAGUUAUCACAUCUUGUUACUUUCUUGGACAAUUAAUACUCCCAAUAUGAGAUAUUAAAAUUUUCGAUUAGGGUACCUUGGAAGAUUUUGAUCGAGAUGCUUUGAUUGAUAUGACUAAUUAUGAACUCUAAGAACAUUAAGACUAAUAGAACUUUUCGGUAAAAAGAGCGUCCGAAUUAAUGUUAGCUGUACAGAAGAACUAUUGAUUGAAUUAAAUUGGAUAUCUUUGAACCUCGGCUAGUGAAGUGUGAACUCUUAUGAGAAGAGAACUGUGUAUUUACUCGUUAAAUACAUAUUAUUACUCCAAUUAUUUCAAUUUGUUUGUCUAUACUUUUUGUUUUUCUUUGAAAUUGGUAACGGGUAGUCUUACUUUUCCCUUUUUUUUUUCUGUUCAAAGAGAUGCCUCUUUCUUUGUUUGGCAACCCUUUAAUUCUAUCUUUCCACAUGACAAUUGACAUAUUUAGCACAAGAUUAAAGAGCAUUUCAUAUCUUUAGUUUAAGAUUACAAGAUUCAAAAGUAUUUUUUACUUUCUUAAACUCUAUGCCAGGUCAAAAUCAGUCAAACUAAUUGAAAAUGAAACGGAGGAAGUACAUGUUCAUUGCCGUUGCGAGAUUAGCUGCCUUGACAACAACUCUAUGACAUAUCUUUACCUGCAUCAUCCUUUCUUUCUUAUCUAAAAUUCUUACAGCACUAAAUAAAAAUUUCCUCGCGUAGUUUGAGAUUGAGGCCUAGUUGUUAUCGUUGUUAUAGUAGUUAAUAAUUAUUUGUUGUUCUUUCUGUUGGAAUAGUUUCGGGGUGUCUUUUGUCUAGUUUACCAUCGGAUGCAAUACUGGACAAAACUGUGGGGAUCAGCUUUGUAUGCGACUUAAAUGACAACAUUCCGGCUCCUUGGCCAUCUAUGUCUCAGUUACCAGCUUCAUCAUGCAAGAAGUGUAUGUUGAACAUAUUCCUUCUUAUUAUGUUCACUUUGCAAAACGUUUUCUUCUUAUAUGACUGGUCACUGAUGUAUAUCGGAACUUCCUACUUUUGCAGCUGUGAGGAUUCCUGCACUUCCUGCUGUAGCAUCGGGGCAAAUAAGUAAGAAUAUUUACUUACACAUUUGUAGUUUUUACCUUCUUAAUGUAGACGUAAGACCGCGUACACAGUACACACCAUCCUCCUCAGACCUCACUUGUGGGAUUACACUAACACCAUCUUAAGUUGUUUCUAUUCUACUCAUUUCUUAGGGCUGUUCAUUGACACUGAUUUCUCGUUCAUUCGUCAGGUUUUAGAGGAUUAAAUAUAUGGUCAUACCUUCUGCUGGCGGCCUCGAUGAUACUAGAAGUCUGCUGUAUAUAUAAUGCUGCCAUUCUUCCUUACUAGCAGUAUUUCGUCGAAGCGUAAAAUCUUGACCAGAAAGGAAAGUGUCUGAAGAUGUCUCAUUGACAUCAAAAGUUCAAAAUGUACAAAUGCAGGAAAAUCAGUAAGUUGAUUCCAAGAUCAGUUCUGUGACAAAAAAAUUUACUAUGUUCUUGCAUGUUUUGGUAAUAAGAAUUGUAAAUAAUUAGAAAGUAGGUAUACUUUUCAUGUAAAUAUUUUCAGUUGACAAAAACUUAUGCCAUUUUAUGAUUUGGAAAUCCUAAUGAAGCAUUUUUAACAAAUGCACAUUAAGGCAGGUUUCUAUGAGUUGGUUUUCAAGUUUGCAUAAUAAUGUUCUUUUUAACAUAAUGCUAAUUUUUCACAUUCUACUUGGCAUAAAACAAUAUUUUCUCAGUCCCAAUUUAUGUGAAACUUGUUGAAACUUUUUGGAUUUUGAGAUCCAAACAAGUUUAUCUUCGACUGUGUUUUUUUUAUAUAUAUCUUUUAAUUAUUUUGAAUUGUCAAUCAUUGUGAUUUAUAGUAAUUUUAACGUAAUUUAUAGUAUAUAAAUUUCAUUUUAAAAAUUUGAAGAUUUCGCGCGCACAAAUUUUUUGUCAAAAUUAAACUGUUUGACUCUUGAAAAAUAAAAAGUGUUACAUAAAUUGGGUUAGAAGGCGUUCAUAAUUUUCAAGCACCUCAACUUUUUAAAAAGAAAAUAUCGAAUAGAUUGUAUUAUUUAUUGUCGUUAUAAAAUACUACAUAAAUAAUUUGAUCAGAAUAGUGGGGCAUAUAUAUAUGGAGUAAAGCUACUAUAACAAAACAAAUAUAAGGUACGAAAUAAAAUAUAAUUACUAAAUAAUAAAUAAAAUCAAAUGAGAAAGAAAAGAAGAUAACGACACACCAAUAUGUCUAGUGAAAUUCCAUCAUAAAAUGAGAUAUGAGGAGAUACAAUGUAGGCAGAUCAUAUCACUAGUUCAUGAAGGCAGCGAGGAAAAAAAUAACAACACGAUCAUGCUAAAUUGAUCGUUCCUUCGAUAUCCAACAACACUACAUGAUAAAAUGUAGAAGUAGAUACUCUUCAAACUUUACUCGUAGAAGUAGAAGAAAAUAUAAAAAAUAUUUUCUUUCUCAACAACCUCUUUAAUUUCCUCCCAAUUUUGAUUUUCAACUUACAAAAUUUCACUUUCAACCAAUAUGAUGAUUUUUUUCUCUUAGACACAAUAGAAUCUGCUUUCUUUAAUGAUUUAUAAAUCAAGAAUUGUGCUUUUCUAUGUUUAAUAUCUUCUUUGUCUUCAUUUUCAAUUUUUGAAUACAUAUAUGGUCGAUUGAAACAAGUGUUCAUUUUUUUCCUUUUUAGGAUACUGGAAAGAAAUGAGUAAUUUGGAGAGUUUGGGAAAAUGGUUUGAAAUAUUUAUAGUGAAAAAAAAAAAAGAGUUCACAAAUAUUCAAUGAAAUAAAUUUAAUUGAUUCUAUAAAAAAAUAAAAACCGUACAUUAUGGAAGAAAUUAGGGACGAUAUAAAGUGCAUGCCCUUUUUUAGAGUUUUAAUUAAUUUUGAAAAAAACUAAGGGUAGUUUGGUUUAGAGUCUGUUUGGAUUAACUAAUUGUAAGUGUCGAAAUUGAUAUUAUAAAUAAACAAAUACAUAUUCAGAUAGAAGUGUUGUAACGGAUAAUAAACGGUUGAUGUAUUUGAUAGAAGAACGUUGAUAAGUUAUUUUUUUGUUAGAAUGACUAAAAUACCCUUAAAUUUUUUCUAUCAAAAUUAUAAAUUUAAGAGCUAGUAUAAAAUAAGAAGCAGUCAAUAGUAAGCUUAUACACAUUAUGAUAUUUACCAAACGAGUAAAUAAACUUAGAAUUAUUGUAAUUAUAAGCAAGUUUAACCAACUCAUAAGCUUAACCAAAUACGUUUUUUACAAACAAAUUAGGCAGAAACUAUAAUGUAGAGAUUGAAAAAAGACUCCAAAGGAGUUUGAGGAGAUCUGUUAAGGGUUAGUUUUGUCAAUUUUAAAUAUCGUAUCCAUAAAUAAUUAAUCGUAAUAUUAUUUUAUACAAAAAAACAUGAUAGUAGAAGUAUGUUCAUGAGUGUUAAUACAAAAUUUAUCGUAAUUAAGUGAUUUAAUGAGACGAUAUACAUUAAUUAGCUGUGAUUGAAUGGGAUAACUCUAUGUUCAAUCGUAUAUAUGCCAAUAUAUCUAUUGGAAAAUAAAUCUCGAAGAUAUCUGGAAUAAUUUUUUUUGGCCAAAAUAUUUAUCUCCAAAGUGUUAUUUCAUAUUUGGUAAUUUCUUCAAUUGAAUGACAUAUUUAUCUAUCACUUAAAUCAUUGUUUAUUCAUACAUGUUUUGAAAUUGAUAUGAUUUGAUGUAUCAUGUAUGUAUUCAUAUAUCUUAUGAAAAGAUUAACUUCCAUGUUUAGUAUAUUUGUUAAACAAUCUCGAUUUUAAUUCUACAAGUAAGAUCUAAGAAGAAUCGCGUAUAAAUAGCUCUACCUCUACAUUGACAAACUCAUAGGAUAAUGUAGUUCGGUCGGAACAGGCUUUCCAAAAACUCGACCUGACCUCAGACACUUUCUUCCCAACCUAUUUGACCGUAGUUAUUUAGGUGGUAUUCCGAGAUCGAAUUCCUCCCAAGAACACACGAAAUAAAGAUAUGAACAGGGUAAAUAGAAAUGGAAAAGAGAUGUUUCUAUUUCAUCCAAAUUAGUUGCCCUACAUUGACAAACUCAUAGGAUAAUGUAGUUUGGUCAGAACAGGCUUUCCAAAACCCAACCCAAGCUGGGGUCAAUCGCAGAGAAUGAAGGGGACGAUCCUAAUCAUAUGUAAGCUUUGUUACAGUUAGAGAAAAGCAUGAUAACUCAAGUCAGACGCAACGUAACUAAGAGAGUCAUUCUAUCUUAGAGCGAGACAAAAUAAAGAACAGGCAAAAAAAUAAGCUUUCACACACUGCGAUUUCAACUUCUGAUAAAAGGGAAAGACUCUUCUUAUGCUUACCAGGAUAAAGAUCAUAACUGCACACACUAGGUUUCUACACUCCAACAUAUAUGGAGCUCUUGUUACAUGGUCUCCGUUAUUAUAUAUCACAAUUACAUUCUUGAGUAACUGAGACCACCAUGCUAUUUAUCACGUGCCAAUAGCUUAGGCGAUCACAUAUAGUCUGUCGCCUUUUAAGUUCAAAUUGAGUUUGAUACACAUCAAACCUUCCUUAUGAGAAGGAAAAUCUUCUGAUCAAGCUCAAACUUAGCUGCAAUGGAUGGAUCUCCUCUCAGCUGCAUCAGCAGUCCUCCAAAUGAAACAAAAAUGUCUCUGAAGACAAAACCAGUAAAUCCAUUGUUAUAUCAGUAAAAUACUCAUGAUUUGCUAAUUGGAAACCAACAAAUCGAGUAGUCACAACAACCAGAACAUAGAAAACUCUCAAACAAUAUAUUUAGAAGUUAAAACUAAAAGAGAAUAUACAUCAGACUAAAACGACAGACUAAGCCCAAAACAAAAACAGAGAAAAAGCAAGUACAGGUAAGUACAUCUAUAUUCCACAAAAUAAACAGCAACAAUAAACCACACCAUACCUAGUGUAAUCACACAAGUGGGGUCCAGGAAGGGUAGGAUGUACGCGGACCUCACCUUUGUGGGGUAGAAAGGUUGUUUCUGAUGGACCCUCGGCUCAAAAGCAAAGUUCACGAAGCAGGGUUGCAAGAAAAUAAAUUAUAUUUCACAAAUGCACACAAUAGAAAAAAAAAAGACACACUUGAAAAUAAGUCAUAUAAAUCAAAUUAAGAUCUAAUCUUAGCAAAUGGGCACCUAAAAAAGGUCAAUCUAAGCCGACUUUUUGAAACAAGAAGCUGCUAAGGUGUGGCAGAUUGACAGUAUUGCACCAAUGAAAAGGAAAGAACAUCCAGAAAUAUAAAUCCAUGUUCAUGGAAUUGAAUAUGAGAUAAGUUAACCGAACGUACGCUUUAACGUGCUUCCCGGAACCUUCCUCUGAGAUCCUAUAUAGCUUACCAUGCAUGACAUAUUCGAACUUGUCAGCAAGUGAUUUCUUGUUACCCUGUCAUCAGGUUGCAACACCAUUAAAUACCAUGGGGAUUUCUAAGAGUUUGAAACACCACAGUAGAACAAGAAUGAGAAGGCAAACCAAAAAAGGAAUAAGGAAAUCUGUACAAGCAUUUGCCUAACAGUUGUGUCAAGCUUUAUAUCUUUAAGCAUUAAUGUGUUCCAAAAAGAAACAUCAAGUUUCAUAUUAAGGACUUCCAUGAAAAGUAACUUCUUAAAAACAUACUUUAGAGCAACAAGUACGCCUCAAUCCCAAGCUAAUUGGGGUCAAUUAUAUGAAUCCCCACGAGAGACUCAUUCUACUGACACAUAUCUCAAACUAAAGAAAUUACUAGCAGAACUCAAAACUUUUAAAAUAUCCACUAAAGGCUCAUGGAUGUUAGAGGCUUAGAGCACCUUCAGUGUAAAUACAUUUGACGGACCAUUUGUUUUUUGAUGUAAACAGUAGGUGCUCCAUGAGUUGUGCGUUAUUGCCAUUUAUUCUGACAAACCCAUUUAUUGGAUUUGUCCCUCAAUCAUCAACAAUUCGAUUAAAAAAUUCCCUCUUUCUGCUCCUUUUCAUUCAUUUCCGGUUCCUCAGCCUUUGAGUCUUUCUCAAAAGAAAGGGAAAUCCAAGAAUAGUUCAAGGAUCAAAAAACAUUUCAGAAUCCUCCAAAUAGCACAAUAGAUGGAUCCUUCUGUGCUGAUUUGUGAUUGGAUACAUGCCAAUACCAAACGAUUAUACCCUUUCACUGGCAGACACAAUUUGUUUGUCCUGUCCAUUAUUUUAUAAACCAAUUGAACAGCCAUCACAAAGCUAUAUCAUAAGGAAUCACACCUCCUUGAAACAAAAAUAAAUCUAUGACACGUGAAAACAGGCCCCACAAAAAAGUUGAUAUAUUCUAUAGUUUCUAGUUCUAGUUAGCAGUUGAACUAUAUAAUAGAUGCGAUGAGAUUUUUAAACAAUUCCAGAUAAAUAAAGUCAAAAACAACAACAUACCCAAUGAAACUCCACAAGUGGGGUCUGCAAGGUAGACUGUACGCAAACCACACCCCUACCUUGUGGAGAAAAAAAGGUUGUUUUUGGAGGACCCUCGUCUCAAGUACAACAUAUCAAAGUAGGUAUUAAAAGGGAAAGUGCAAUAACUUAAACACAAUAAACAACAAACGAAUGGAACCAAAAUCAAGACACUACAAGAAUACGGCCCCUCAAAAAGUAAGACAACACUACAUUCCUGCUAAUCUUCUACCAUAAUAUGCAACCUCCACACCCUCCUAUCUAAGGUGAUGUCCUCGGUAAUCAAGUGUUGGUCCAUGUCAUUUCUAAUCACCUCCAGAUAGACAAGGUCACAAAACCUAAAUAUUUCUCAAAAGAGGAUCACUUGUUCGAGACGCAUAAUUUUUUCCUUUUGAAAACAAAAACUGUACAUUCGAAAUGUCUGUAUACAGCAAGUUAGUUUUUUUAACGGAAGUACAUAUAUUUUCGCGUCAUCAAAAGGCACUUGAUGUUUCUUACUUUGACGGAAGUGAUUCGUCAUGGUAAGUUGAACACCCUCAAGUUUGACUGGAUUAUAUUGUUUUCAGUUUCCUUUUCUGAAUCUUUCUGAUGCAUUUUGACUAGUAAGGCCUACUAUGUGGGAAAAAAUCUCAGAGACUUCAAGUUAGCUUCAAGUACCAUAUUUUUAUUUCUUUACACAAAUCGCAAAGUUAAAAUUAAAUCAGACAGGCUAACACUUGCAAAUCAAUUAGGAGACAUAAACCACUACAGCAAAUUACCUGAAUGAAAUAACCAGUAUCUGGUGUCCCAUCCAAGUUCAAAGUAGAAGCUAAAACCAUCAUAAAUUUAUCCUUAACGCGCAUAGGAUAUAUCUCAGUGUUUACAUCCAGUAGCAUGAACAUAUCAAACUGCUCACUCCGUGCUUCAAUGCGAUUCACUACAAAAUGCAAGAUAUAUUCGAUCACACUAUUUGCAGCAACAACAACAAAAAAAGUGCUGCUGCACUUUGAUAAUUCAUGGUGACAAUAAUAAACUAAACAUGGUUUUGCUAAGAAAAUUGCAUGAACCCCAUGACCCUUCCUAAGCCCUCUUAUUGCUCACGAGGAAGAAACUACAAGGUACAACUACACAAACGUAAAGUUGAAUCACCUAUAGUGGAACUAUUGCAAUGAAGGUCACAUAAGAGUCCAUACCUUUGUCUCAAAAGGCAGCUCUCACUGUAAAGUACGUCAUCCAGCAAAUAAGAAUAGACUACGAAAUUCACUACAGAUGAUCAUACUUAAUUCACAUUCAUCUGAAUAUUGCCAGUCAAUACAUGAAUACUAUACUCUUCUUUUUCUUAUUAAACACCACCAUCUUGUUCUUACAUUAUAUUUCUCCUUGCAUUAGUCUAGAGGAGAAUGUCAUCCCAGGUCUACAGUAAACAAACAAUUUAGAUAAUCCCCUCCAACUUAUCAUUCAAGUAGUGUACCACAGCCAUCUUUUCACUUCCACUUGAAAUAAAAUUACAAUGAAAAAGGUCUCAGUUUCAAACCCAAGCACAACUAAUUCCUUCCCAUCUGUCCUAACCUUGAUGGACACAGUUACUUCUUACUUGUUCUGGGUAGAAGGUGACAGUUAUCAGUACACACAAACUACCCCAAACCACAGUCAUCAAAAAAAUGAUUUGCAUUAAUAAAAAGUUCAAAAAGGGCCACACUUUAAGGGAUGUGAUAUAGACCGUCUAAUCUAAUGCAAGCAUUAUAACUACUUCCACAGCUCAAACCUGUUAACCUAUAGAUUACAAGGAGACAACUUUACUGUUACUCCGAGACUCACUUCCAUACAUAAAAAGUAUGUAGAUGACUAAUUCAACAUUACAAUUAAAAUCAUUCAUAUCUACAGAUUAUGCGUUAGCUUACAGUUCAAAAUUCAUUCGAUUGCUAAUGAUGAUUUUGCAUACCUCGAUCAAAUUUUUUUCCAUCAGGAUCUUUCUGAGUGACUGUAAAUAUAUCUUCAAACAGAGUUUCAACCAUUUUGAACAACCUACAAAAAUCACACCCAUAAAAAGCCAAAAAUAUACAGAAUCUACGCUCUAAUAACUAAAAUUUGGUAGAAAAAAUUGUGCAAAAAUCAUUUCUACAGUUAUCUAACCUCAACUUUGUGAAUUUUGCUUCUAAAAAAAUCCACUUUGAAAAAAUAAAUUGGAUUAGGAUUUAGGGUUUAGACGAACUUACAGGUGUUAGCAGUAAUGGCGACGAGAGGAGGGUUUGUCAAUUUCUUCGUACUCUUUACCAAAAAUAAAAAAUAAAAAUACUAGUAUAAAAUAUUAAAACUUUAUAAGUAAGAUUUAAAUAAUAAUUUUUUUUUAUAUUUAUACACUUUUUUAAAGAAAUGAAUGUGUAAAUAUUUCAUCGAAUUAUUAUGGGAAAAUAUAUAAAUUUCCCUCAGAUUUGUUUCGAAAAGUUUAAAUGGUUUAACUAUAAUAACGACAUAUUAACACCUGUUUUUGUUCAUCCCAAAAUUAACGUGAAAUAAAAUAGAAUAUAAAAAUAAAUAGCUGUGUUUGAUUUGAAAAUAAAGUUUAAAAAAUAUUUUUUGAUCCGCCUCCCCAUAUUCUCUUUUUUCAUGUUCCUCUUCUCCUAUUUCCUUCUGAAUUUUUCUCGAAAUGUUAUCACAAUUUUACAAUUUGUCACCCAAUUUUAUUUUUCUUAUCAUAUUCCUAUAAUUUGUAGCUCAAUUUCAUCAUUAUACCUAAAAAAAGUUGAUUUUUUAUUCAAAUUUCACAACAAUUCUAGGAAUGCGAGACUUUGUUCUCCUCGUGAGGCUUUAUAUAUUUAUUUAUUUAUUUUGUAUCUGACUGAAACAAAUUCUAUCUUCAUCAGUUUUAAAUUAUAUUAUUGUCAUCAGAACUAGCUCCUUUGUAUUACUAUAUUAAGAAAUUACAUAAUUCAAAUGUGACCCAAUCCCUGUGUACAAUUUAGCUUGAGAAAAACUUCACCAAAGAAAUUUCAGUAUGGCGAGAAAAAAAGUCUAGCUAAUCUACGAGGUAUUUUGUUUAAACAUCUAGGAAUAUGUAUAAAAUCGACAUGAUCAUGGAUCAAAUUCUCAUAUUUAGAAAAUACAAGAGAAACAGUGAGUAUAUAAUAAUUAGGUCCUAUAUUCUAAUAACAUGUUUUGAAUUUGUGUGAAUCUAGGCCUAGAAUAAACAAUAUUACUAACAGACAUAAUACAUAAAAAUGUCUUUUAAGUUAGAUUCGAAUCACAUUUUUGUCCUUCAACUUUGAGUGUGCACAAGUAGACACUUAAACUUGUAUAAAUUUGAACAAAUACACACACAUGUCCUACAUGUCAUUUUUUGUCCUACGUGGUGUCGUACGUUUAUUGUGUCAUGUAGGACUCAUGUGUUUAUUUAUUUAAAAGUUGGAUAGUUAAAAUGUAUUUUGUGCAUUAUGAAAGUUGGAGGUCAAAGUUAAAAUUUAAAACCAAAUUUAGAAUUCAAUAUAUGUAUUAUGCCUUACUAAUAUGCUGGAUCAUUAUAGAUGGUAUCAGAGUCGCUUAUGUGUUGACCUUAUUGAUAGUAAUCAGUGGGUCAGAGUCUUAUUAAAUCUAGACAAAUUUAGGAAAAACGAGCAAACCAAUAGAUAUACUAAAUAUAUACAUAAAUAUGUAUUAUGUCAUAAUAACACAUUUUAAAGUUCUGUGAGUAAAAACCUAAAACAAACAAUAUCACUUGCAUUGGUUGGAAUGUUACAAUAUUCUUUUAUUUUAUUUUAUUUGACUAAAGUCUGAACAUAAUGUUUAAGGAAAAAAAAUAUUUAUUUUUAAAAAUCUGUAACCUACAUGUCAUAAGAUUUGUGCAUCACAAGACUUUAAAGUCUUCAAUAUUAAAAACUUAAAAUUUGAGUUGAGUUGUUUUCAAUUUUUAAAAUGAAAUUAAUUCGACAUAAACAUUAUUUAUAUAUAUAUAGAGAAAGUAUGGAGUUACUAGAAUCACAAACCCAAAAUCAUUCAUUUGUCUUUCGGUAUAUUCACGUCAUCAAUCUUAAGUAUCACGUUUGAAUUUUAAUAAUAUAUUUAUUUUUAAUUGAAAGUAUUUUCCUUUAAAAUCAAUUUUUAGCAUAAACUUAAAUCAGUCGAAUUAAAAAAAAUAUAUCAUAUAUUAAAAAAUUAAACAAAAAGAAACUAUAGAUAUUGAAAAGACAAAUCAUAAGUCAAUUUCUUCAUUUGCAUUGAAUAGAUUUACUAUUCACCAAAGAGUGAAUAAGUACAAUGUAUAUGUAAACUUAAAACAAAGAUGAAAAAUGGAAAUGGAAAAUUAAAACUAUUUUCUUUUCUUAACUAUAUAAUGAUUCAUCUAAUAUUCCAACCUUUAUGAUAAUAAUUGACAUUAUUCGUAGAUCAAAUUAUAUCGUGAUUUAAAUUUCAUUUAAUUAUUUUUAAUUUCAUUGCGUAUGCUCGAGAUAAAAGUAAUCAAAAGGAACUUGAAGUAAACACAGGUGGAAGACUAACAAUAGUCUCUUUACCUCCGAUCAAACUCUUCAAAAAUUUCAAUUGACAAAUAAAUUGCUUGUAAAAUCCAAUUCUUGAAGAAGAAAAUGUAAAUAAUAUGCUUUUUUUCAGCAUAUUUAAUUUCCUCCCAAUUUUGAUUUUCAACCAAUAUGAAUUCUUUCUCAUAGACACAACAGAAUCUGCUUUCUUCAAUGAUUUGUAAAUCAAGAAUUGUGCCUUUCUAUGUUUAAUAUCUUCUUUGUCUUCUUUUUCAAUCUUGAAAUAAUUAGUAGCCAUUUUUGGUAUUUAUGAUAUUUGAUGAAAUAGUGGAGUUUUUUUUUUUUUUUUUGGUAAUUAAAGAGGUUUAUGAAAUUUGAAAGUGAGAAUUGAAGGAAAGAAAAUAUAUAUGUAUUUAUAGUGGAAUUUUUUUUUUUGAAAGGUCAAGAAAAGAGAGGGGGGGGGGGGGGAUGAAAAUAGUGCAUGUGUCACUCUAAAGAAUAUUUUGUUCUUAGUUCUCAAAGUCAAAGAGUUUAAUAUGGAACCUUUAGUUGUGAUUGAUUUAUAAUUUAAAUUUGAUGAUUUUUUUUUAUAUAUAUUUAGGAUAGUAUUUGACAUGGAGAGAAAUUAAUAUUUUAUAAUAUAUUUUUUAAUAUAUUAAUAUGUAAAAAUUGCAUAUUAUAAUAAUUUUUAUACAGUUUUUAAAUAUUUGAAUUGUUUGUUUCAAAUAUCGAAUUAAUGUAAUUUAAUUUAAUUUUAAAAAUUAAUUGUAUUGAUUUUUUUUAAAAAAUAAUAUAAUAAUUAAAAAAUGGAUGGAAGGGAUAUUAAUUAAUAAGACAAAUUAAAUUUCAUAAAUUCACCUUCCCAAACUCCCCAAAUCACAUUUGUAUUUCGUUUUCAAAUGAACCUUUAUUACUAUUACUCUCAUAAUAUUUAUUUAAACUAAAUAUAAAUUUUAUUAAAAUAUAAUAUUUUGUAUUUACUUAUUAUCAAAAGUGAGAAAAGAAAGUUAUAUAUUAUUCAGGAUACAAAAACAUGCAAAAGCUCUUUUCUUAUCAUUAAGCUCAUAGCACUUCGAAAAUUAUUGAUUCAAAAUUUAAUUUAUAAAUAAUCGUAAAACUAGGUUAAAUCCAAUAUUUAUACACUAUCGUAUAAAGAAAUACGUUAUUUUUUAAGUCGAUUAAAAGCAAUUUCUCUAUUUUCACAAAAAUAAAAUUAAAAUAUAUUAAUAUUAUAUUUUACUGGCUCUAUCUAUAAAAUUACAUCGAAUAUAUAUUAAAUGUUUUACUAUAUGAAGUUUGAAUUAUUAAAAAACAUCAAAUAAUUGUCACAAAAAGAGACAGAUGUCUGUCAAUGAACAGCUAUUACAACUCUUAGAGUGACAUUGAAUAUUAUUUUAUAUUUUUUCAAGAAGUGCAAAUAAUUAUAAUUUAGUAAUAUAAUGUAAAGUGGCAGCUAGAAAUACCAGCAGAAAGUCAGGAGCCAAUUAUAAAGCAAUUAAUACUUUAUAUUAUAAAAUAUAUAAUUAAGGUUACCACAUAUGUCUGUUCAGUAGUAGUUAAAGCCCCAUUAGUUUUAUCAAUGUCAACCACCAUGUCUGCCGGCUUAUCGUUUUUUUGAUGUUUGAUGUUUAUAUUGAUAUUUUAUUAAUAAAGAUAAAAUAAAUAUAUAAAUUAAUUGAAAAAGGCUUAUUAUACUAUAUAUAAUAUAUGCAUAAAAGAAUAAUUUUAAUUAUAUAUAAUUAUUAAAAAAGUUUAUCAAAGAAUUAUAAUUUAAAUAACUCCAAUGCAAGUUGACUCUAUCCUGAUUACAGGGUUUCUAACAUAAAAUUGCACGUUUUUCUUUUAAUGAAUUAAUCUUUAAUUUUUGCUCUUUGACAAUUGCAGUUAUGUCUAGCAGGAUAUAAUUCAUAAGAAACUAAAGUUACAUCUCGAUAUAAUUGUUUAAUAUUACGCAAAAAUAUAAAUUAUUUCCUGAAAAAAAUUUAUCAAAAAAUUAUUUUUUACGAGGGACGUACAUUAUAGACCAACACAAAAUUAAAUAUUGACAAUUAUUAUUAGACGGAAGAAGUACAUUUUAAAAUUAAAUUCAAACUAAAGACCACAAAUGAGACUAUAUUUGAAGGUGACAAAUGGACAUGUUGAAUCGGAUGAACCUCUUAUAAUACUUUAAUUAAAAACAUAAAUAAAUUUAGAAGAUUUAAGAUUAUCAUAUUGCAUUUACUUGAACUCAAAAAUACUUUCUUAAUUUGCUUUUAAAGUUAUUUUUAGGUGUUAUCUCGGCCUUUUAACCUUUAGCAAAAAUUAAAAAUAAAAUAUAUAUAUAUAUAUAUAUAUAUAUAUAUAUAUAUAUAUAUAUAUAUAUAUAUAUAUAUAUAUAUAUAUAUACUAAAUUAUUUUAGUUUGUUAGCUUAUCAAUUAACGUGAUUAUGACUACUUUUAUAUAUACUCUCUCGUCGUUUAUUUAUAAAAAUAUUAAUUUAAUUGUUUUUUCUUUAUGUAAUAUGAAUAUUAUUCAAUAAUGUUAACAAGUACUUUUAAACAAUUGGCUGACUUGCCAUAAUAAUAGCGCUUGAGUAAUAAUAUUUUAAAAGAACCAUCUUUUUAUAUGAUUAAUUAAUUAUAAUAAAUGCUAAUGAUUUCAUAAUUUAAAAGUUUGAGUCAACUAUACUGUUAAAUAAUUUAGAUGUAGCUUCACCAGUCAACAAGUAUAUAUGUUAAACAAUAUGCGUUAAUUAAACAUACUUUUUCCACUUAUUUUUUAUCGAACAAGUUCAUUAGAAAAAUAUAUGAUGAAAAACAAAUUUUCAUUGAAAUAUUAGAAAACUGUUAUAAAUAUAUUGAAUUAAGUGGAUAGUCCAUAAGGUUGGUACAUGAACAACCAUUCAUAUUCACUAGGUGACAUGAACCUUUUUGGAUAAGAAAGUAUCUAUUUAUUAUGAUACUUAAUAUGGUAACCUUUGGAGUGAUUUCUCACUCUAUAAAUAGGAUUGUUCAUUCACUAUUGUAAUAGAUACAGAUGACACUUAAAUACACUUGAAUAAGAAGAAAAUUCCCCUUCUUCUAUCUACUUCUCUUGUCUUCUUCUCUUUAUGAUUAUAUUCUUAUGAGCUUGAUUUUAUAACACGUUAUCAGCACGAGUCUCUAGCCAAUUAAGAUUGAGUUUUACUUUUUCUUUAACUCAUGUUUUGGUUGAUCUCGUUAUGAAGAUCAAAGUAUUAAAUGCAUAAAAUCAGGUAUGUAUUUUCUAGAAUAUUUUUAUGAUUUAGAAUAAAAUAGUAUUCAGUCACUAACAAUUAUCAGGAACCGAAGACAUAUACUACUAUUGGUUGAAUAUGACAUGCUAUACAAAAUUUCUUAAAUAGAAGAAGGUAUAAAAUUUUAAUAGCAUGAAUUUGAAUGUUAUUUUGAUUGUUUUGAAAGACUCAAAGGAUGAGUCAUGUUGUACUUCGAUUUAUUAUACCGUUGGUUAAGGGUAAGACGAUGAAUUCAAGUUUCAUCGCACCAAAAGGGUAAGACAUCAGGUUAAAGUCCGGAUGCACCAUAAUGAAAAAUAUUUGAGGAUAAGACGAUAGAUUCAAGUUCUAUCGCACCAAAAGGGUAAGACAUCAAUCUGAGUUUUGAUGCACCGUGAUUGGGUUCAAGUCCCAUAGAAUUAUGGCGUAAAACGCCUUAUAUGGAUAAGACAUUGAGUUUGAGUCAAUGCACCAUAAUGAUGAUAUAAUGAUGACUAGGCUUUGAUGAAAAGUCUUGAAAUUCGUUCUAUUGAAUUUGCUUCAUUCCUUAAAAAGAAUGUGGUAGCAACAUGUAAUAACUCUGAAAUCCGCCUGUUAACUUGCUCCAUUCAAUCAUAUGAAUGUGGUAGUAGUGAAUGUUAGUCUGAAAGAUGACAAAUGAUUAAUGAUAUGAAUAAGGGCGUGGAGGGACAUAAUUAUAAUAGUCAUCAUUGUGGUAAUGAUAAAAGGAAGAACACUAUAAGUUCUUCAAAUAGUCCUUCAAAAUGUGAAGGCAAUUUAAAUAAAUAUGUGAACUUAAAGUUCAAGGGAUAAUUCAGUUGCAUAAUGUUGCAAAUCAGUUGCCAGAGGAAUGCACUGACCCUAUGAUAUAAUUCAGCUGCGAAUGCUUCAAUGUGAAGUCCUUGAAGGACAAAGUCUAUGAUACGCCGAAAGCGUAAUAGACCAAUUGAUUCCAAAUAUAAAAUUCCUUAAAGAAGGAAGGAGCAAAUGAUCAAUAUGGUCAUGAUAAUGAGGCAAGUGCUAUAAAAGAGCACAUUGACAUAACACUUCAUAAAAUCUUGAAAAAGGUUCAGGUACCUGAAAUAAUAAAAAAUGAAGAGAUCUCGAUAAGUCAUGUCUUGUUGGAAUCGAUAUCAAAUAACUGUCGACGGUAUCUUUGACAUGAGGUAGCGCUCAAUGAUAUAAAUUGUAAUGAGGAUCUUGAAUUCAAAUCUGUCAUAUAGUGUGAACAGAUAAAUGGUUGGCCAAGUAAAAUGCACAAUUCAAGUAUAUUUUGUUUCACUUAGAAAAGUGACAUUUUGGACUGGUAGUCCAUAAAUCAAGAUAUAAUGUCAGUGGGGUACAAAUAAAUUAUUAUGCGAUAGUAUAACCGUAAGAUAUCAAAUACGGUUUGUGCCUUGGGGCAUAAAGGUUUAUCGCAAAAAUCCUUACAUUAGUGGAGAUGUUUUCUCCUUUGGUAGAUGAAAUGAGGUUUGUUUUGAUCUGGCAACAUAUGAAAAAUUGAAUGCAUGUAAAUGAAUAAUUGUAAUGUCUAGCUAGACAAUGAAGGAUAUAUGAAAAUCCUUGAAACAAUCCAGGUGUCUGAAGCAUAUAAACGUUUGAAAGAAACUUAUCCAAUAAAGCUUCAAGAAUCCUUAUAUGGAUUGAAAUAGUCAAGGAAGAAAAAGGGUACAAAAGAAUUACCCUAAUUGUCCUUGUAUUUUUAUGAAAAGGUCUUAGUAAGACAAAAUUUUGUCUUGACCUACAGAUUGUUAAUUUGACAAAUAAAAUAUUUGUCUAACGGUGCACAUACACUGAAAAAUUUUGAUGCAAUUUUAUGUGGAUAUAUCACAUUCAUUGAGUACCCCAAUGAUUAUGAGAUCACUUGAGAUAAAUGAUGAUUCAGUUUGAUCUCAAAAGAAGGAUAAGAGUUUCUUGGUGAUGAAACUCUAUCUUGGUGCAAUCAGGGCACUAGUGCAUCUUACUAACAAUAUUUGACUGGAUAUUUGUUUUGCAGUAAAUUUACUGGCAAGAUUCAGUUUCUCCCCGAUAAAGGACAUUGAAAUGGUGUUGAACACAUGAUUGAAUAUCCUCAAAGGACCAUAGUUAUGGGCUUAUUCUAUUCCGAGGAAUCCAAAACAAAAUUGAUUGGUUACGCAGAUGCAGAAUAUUUAUCUGAUCCGCAUAAAGUUCUAUCUCAAUCACGCUAUGUGUUUGCAUGUGGAGGCACAAUAAUAUCCUGGGGAUCAAUGAAGCAAAUGUUGCUCUGCAGAAAUAAAAGUCCUUUAUGAAGCAAGUCAAAAGCGCGUCUGGUUGAGAUAAAUUACACACCAUAUUCAAGAAAUGUGUGGUUUUUCUUUAAAAAAAGAAUAUACCAACCACAAUGUACAAAGAUUGGAGACAUCAUCACAAGAAAUCAAGUGAUGUUUUAAUCAGGGGGAGUACAAUACGCGUUGCACUCUUUUUCCCUUGAUCGAGGUUUUUUCCCACUGGGUUUUCCUGGCAAGGUUUUUAAUGAGGCAACAAAUGGUGCGUAUCAAAAGAUAUGUGUACUCUUUUUCCUUUACUAGAAUUUUUUCCCACAGGGUUUUUCCUAGUAAGGUUUUAACGAGGCACAUUAUCUAUGGACAUCCAAGGGGGAGUGUUAUAAAUACAUUGAAUUAAGUGGAUAGUCCAUAAGGUUGGUACAUGAACAACCAUUCAUAUUCACUAGGUGACAUGAACCUUUUUGGAUAAGAAUGUAUCUAUUUAUUAUGAUACUUAAUAUGGUAACCUUUGGAGUGAUUUCUCACUCUAUAAAUAGGGUUGUUCAUUCACUAUUGUAAUAGAUACAUAUGAGACUUGAAUACACUUGAAUAAGAAGAAAAUUCCCCUUCUUCUAUCUAUCUCUCUUGUCUUCUUCUCUUUAUGAUUACAUUCUUAUGAGCUUGAUUUUAUAACAAAAACUUUCUAAUUUUUUCACAUUUUUUUACUGAUUCAAUCGAAAUAUUUGUGGAAGCAUCUAUUAUACAUUUUUCAGCGAAAAAUAGUAAAUUUUUAAUAGUGUCAGGGAGUAAAAACAAACGUUUCGCAUCGAAAACAUUAAAUUCAAAUGAACCUCAUCCCAACGUAUGCAUAUAUGAAUUAUUAUAACAUGACAUGUUAACUAAUUUAAUAUGGUAAAUUCAAUCUAAUUUUGCUGCUUCUGAUUCUUUUUCUUUAUCUUUCCUACGAUUUCUUUGAUGUGACAUGAAUAUAAAAAAGAUUUCUUAUUUUUAUAGGGAUAAGAGAUUUAUCUUUCACGUUCGAUGAAAAUCACGUGUUACACUAUAUUUCAAUUAAUAUAUUUAGAGAUAUCUCUUAGUAGUGUCUAAUGGCUACUCGAGUGAUUUCUAUACCUAGACACCCAGAGACGAAGAAGGGCAUAGUAAUUGACUAAAUGCUUGAAGAAGUUGAAAAUAAGCAUAGAUUCAAAGAUUCACGAUAUAUUGAUGUGCAAAAGUGAUACAAUAUUUCACGAUCUUUUAUUUUAACAUUUCACGAUCUGAAGAAAAGACUUAAACAAGUUCUAAUAAUGCUAAAAAAUAAAAACCUUGAUUUCUUUGAUCUCUAAUACAAUCAAUUUGGGAUCCAUCUACAAAAGUUUUGGGAUGAAUUACAAAGAUAACAACAUACACAGUGUGAUCCUACGAGUGAAGUCAGAAGAAGGUAGAGUGUAUGCUGAGAGGCAGAAAGGUUGCUUCCCAUAGACCCUCAGCUCGUGGAAAAGCAGGAUGGAUUACAAAGAUAUUAAGUAGAAGAUAAUGCGUUGAUGCAUUAUUUACAAAUGUGUAUUGAUGAUGCAAAGUCUUGUGCUAUAACUUUACAGAUUACAAAACCACUAGCUACUAGCAAUUAGCUUUUAUUGACUAGUUUGAAAUAGUGCUUUAACCAACAGAUCCUUCAAGUUUCAAACUCAUUAGCUGGUUCACUUCAGCACCAAAUUCAUCAGGAAGUUCAUUGAAAACGUCUCUGCAGAAACCCGAUAUCAUUGCAGCCAUUGCUUUCUCGUAGUCGAUUCCCCUCUGUUGGAAAUAAAAUAACUGGUCUUCACCGAUCUUUGACGUUGUCGCUUCAUGUUCAAUGCGUGCAGUUGGGUUUUUGCUCUGUUCAAAUGAUGAUAACAUCAGUAGAAGGAAUAGUGCAAUGUACAAUUUAUGCUUAUCUCAUACUAAAACUGAAAACGGAAAGAAGUGGGGCGUUUUGGUUCAAAUUCUUGACCUAGAUUACAUGAUGUAAGUUACAUUUAGCAUCAAGUUCUUAAUGUAAUUCCAAUGAUGUUAUCAACCAUUGGUUUACAUAUUUGACUCGCAGGGAAUGACGAAGGAUGUACAACUUAAAGCUACCCCCCCCCCCCAAACCCCAACCACAACCAAACCACAACAAACAGAAAAUAAUAGAAAGACAAACUCUUCUUUCAUCAUAAACCAUGGACACUUUCUCACAUAUCCUAAAACCAUAGUUCCAACUUAAGAGCACUCUGGGCCUGAAUCUGUGUCUCUAGCCUAAUUUAGAUGAUUCCCAGACAAUGAAAAUACCCCCCACCCCCCAAAAAAAACACAAUACAUAAAUACAGUUCAAUUAAUUUAUUUUAAUGAACGGGAAUCUAUCUGGAGCCAACUGCAUCUACAGACAUAUUACACCAGCACAUCUUCCUAUCACCAAGCACUUCGACGCCUCAAGCAAUCCAGCUAAAAUAAUUAUGCAGCCCUAGACUAAUUAAGUAUGAGAAACAUUCUCUGGAAGUUAAGAGGAACAAACAGUUAUGCUCAAAACAAAAGUGGGCACAAUAGGCUGCACCUAACAGCCCAUACGAGAGGUCAAACAAAUUUUAACACUAAAGUUUGACUUGGAACCUUACAAAAUAUUGCCUGCAUCUCCCACACAUGAAUGACAUCCUCGGAGUUAGUAUAGCUUGAAGAAACUAAAUUCUAGGUCCUAUAAGUCAAAAGGACUAUCAAAAGCCAAAUAAGACCUAGAGUCCUACGUGGAACAUCUAAGCUGCCUGUCCCAAUAUGGCAGCUUGUGUAACUUCUUCUAACCGAUUGUUUUCCGAAGAAGAAAUAGCAACAGUCCUAAUGAACUUCUCUCCUCCGUUCUUCAUAUUGCGGAUGAUUUGUAACUUCAUAAGGAAGACUUUUCUUUUCUUUUUUCUACAUCUCGAAAAGAAGAAGUCUUAGAUGUUAACUGGUGAUAAACAUAUUGUCUAUUCUAUGAAAAAGGUCAUGUACAACUUAAAUGCACCAACAUAGUGCAAUUUCAUGCAUAGCAAAUGUCGCCAUAAAACGAAGAAAAGAAAAGGAAAACACUGCAUAAGUAGCAAGUCUAGCAUGCUCUAACAACAAAACAAAAAUGAAACAUUACUUAUUGCUAUCAAACUAAGCCAGAAAGGAAAAAAAUUAAAGUUCACAAAGAGCAAACUACCUGAAUGUAUGGAUAAGUGUUGGCAGCAGCAGUAUCACCAAUAAGCAUUGAAUCACACUGAGAGGAGUUCUUGGCAUUGUCUGCACUGGACAACACCUGAACUAGUCCUCGAUAACAGUUCCUAGAAUGUCCUGCUGAAAUACCCUUUGAAAUUAUCCUGCUCCUUGUAUUCUUCCCUUUGUGUAUCAUCUUUGUCCCUGUAUCUGCCUGCUGAUAAUUAUUGGUUAAUGCCACGGAAUAGAACUCACCAACUGAUUCAUCACCCUCUAACACAACACUCGGAUACUUCCAGGUAAUAGCUGAUCCAGUCUCCACUUGUGUCCACGAAAUCUUCGACCUAGCCCCAGCACAAAUUCCCCUCUUUGUAACAAAAUUAUAAAUCCCUCCUCUACCUUCCUCAUCUCCCGCAUACCAAUUCUGCACAGUGGAAUACUUAAUCUCCGCACCUUCGUGGCAAUACAACUCGACCACAGCAGCAUGUAACUGAUUAGUAUCAUACGAAGGUGCAGUACACCCUUCUAAAUACUCCACAAAACUACCUUCCUCUGCAAUUAUCACAGUCCUCUCAAACUGUCCAGUUUCCAUUGCAUUUAUCCUAAAAUAAGUCGAGAUUUGCAUCGGACACCUAGUGUUUUUAGGUAUAUACACAAAAGAUCCAUCACUAAACACAGCCGAGUUUAAAGCCGCAUAAAAGUUGUCUUCAGGGGGCACAACUCUCCCUAAAUACUUCUUAACUAAAUCAGGAUACUCCCUAAUUGCCUCAGAUAUUGAACAAAAAAUCACACCAGCUUUCUCUAAAGUCUUCCUAUGAGUUGUAGCAAUAGAAACACUAUCAAGAACAGCAUCAACCGCAACAUUAGCCAAACGAUUCCUUUCAUUCAACGGAACACCCAAUUUAUCAAAAUACUUAAUAAGCUCAGGAUCAGCCUCAUCAAGACUAUUCAAAGUUGGUUUCUUUUUAGGUUCAGAAUAAUAACAAAUAUCUUGAAAACUAAUUUCCGGGUAUCUAUUAUCAGACCAUUUAGGCUCUUUCAUUUUAAGAAACUUCUCAUAUGAUUUCAAUCUAAACUCAAGCAUCCAAUUAGGCUCAUUUUUUCUACCAGAAAUAAGCUUAACAGUUUCGGCUGAAAGCCCUUUUGGUAAUGAAAAGGAAUCAAUUUCUUGAUUAAAACCCCAUUUAUAGUCUCUUUUCAAGAAUUUCUGAAGUGGGUCAUUUUCAUUUGAGGUUGAAACAGAAGAUUCUUUACCUGGGCUGUCAAUAGUUGCCUCAUAGCUCAAUUCUGCAGCUUUGACCUUCAAAAUUCUUGAAUUAGGGUUUCUGGGGUUAGCUAAUUUUAGCAGAAAUUGAGACCCUUUUGAUAGUUUAGGUUGCUCAGUGAUGGGUUGAGGAGAAAAACAUGAGAUUCCAUUGGUAACAAGAGAAGCCAUGAUUGAAUUUUGAGGUCUUGGUGAUAGAAAAAUUGGAGCUUUAUUUGUUCUUUUUGGGGUGGAUUUUAUAGAUUAGUGUUUUUUAUUUUUAUUUUUGUGGUGUUUGAAUUUUAGUAGGGACUUGUGCUGGCCACAUACCUUCUUUUUCAGCCAUAAAUAUUUUGGAUAUGGUUAUAAUUAUAUUCUUUGUCUAAAAUUAUUUAUACUCGCUAAUAAUAAUAACAUUCUCAAUAUGAUCUCAUAACUUAGAUAUGAAAAGGAUAGAGUGUAUGUAUACAUUAUUUUUAUCUCGUAAAUAAAUAAAAAAGUUAUUUUCGAGUGUUGAGUCUUUUACAAGCCUUUUUAAAAAAAUAUGUUACUGUAAUUAUUAGAGGUAGGGUUUGAUAAGAAGGAAAUAUUUUUCAUUGAAAAUAUAAUGUUUAGUUCGAAAAAUAAGUGAGUUCCUUACUUGUUUUAUAGUAUUUGAUGAAAGUGAAUAUAAAAAUAUUAUCUCGUAAAACAUUAUAUCGACGGGACGAGAUGAGAAGUGGAGGUUAGGGGAUUGAGUGAGUAGAGAGGAGAUAAUGAAUUUAGAAUAUGAAACAUGGUUUCCUUACUUUUAUUAGGAAAAUCAUUUUUCUCAAUUUCAAGGAAUUUAUUUUCGUAGAGAUAAUACUAUCUAAAUAUCUGUUUUCAAACAUAGAAAAUGAAAAAAUAUUUUAAAUUAUUUUCUCUUUAUUUAUUUGAAAAAAUAAUAAAACCUUUGCAAUUCGCAUAGGUUAAAUGUGUAUUUAUAAUUUUAUCAUAAUUUAGAGAGAUUCUUAUCUUUAAUCCCUAAAUAAAUAAAUUGAGUAAAUUUUUCAUUAUAACAACUAUUUUUGUGACUUUAUUACAGUAAAAUGAAAAUUGAGAUCAUGAAAAAAUCAACCCCCAAAAAUAGGUGAGAAGAAAACUUCAUUAGGAAAAUAAAAGCAAGAUCUUUAUUUAUUUUUGUAUGAGCAAUUGGUUUUAGAAAAAUCUCAAUUCUUUAUAGAACAAAGAAAAAGGUAAUUUCUAGUUUCUCAUUCAUAUAUAUUAUAUAUUCAUCAAUUUCAAGAAUUAACAUUCAAAUAUGUAUACUUGAAAUUAACAUAUAUCAUAUCCAUUGCGAUUGUUUACGUGCAUGUGAAUUUCUAGCCUCGUAUAUGUUUUUCUUGAGUCAAGGAUCUAUAAAAAAUGAUCUCUUUGUGAGAAGGUAAGAUUUAUGUACACUUCAUUAUUCGUUGAUUUCACUUAUGAGAUCGAAUUGUGGUAAGAUUACGUACACUCUAUUUUUUUUUUACUCUACUUAUGAGAUCAGAUUGUGGUAUGAUUUUACAUAUAUUUUACUUUUUCUCGACUCCACUCAUGAAAUCAGAUUGUGAUAAAAUUUUAUGUACACUUCUCUUUUUUUUACUCUAACUUAUAAGAUUAGACUGUAUAUGUUUUUUUUUUGUUGUAUAGAUGGAUAUUUUUGAGUUUUUUUUUUUUCACUUCAUGGAAAUCUUAUGACAUGAUUAUUCAUUUUUUAUAUCUUCUAUUUCAAGAGCUAAGAAAUUAUUAUCUAAAAAUUGUCAAUUAAAUAAUUUGAAGUGAAAUUUAUAUAUUGAUGAUGAUCAUGAAAUUGAAGAAGAAAUUCUUCAACCCAAAUAGAGGAGAGUGGAGACAUCAAGAAUUUCAGGGCGGAGCUAAAAGGCUACUAAAUAAAAAUUUGAUCAAACUCAAUAGCUUUAGUUUAAAUCAGUAUUUGUAUCAAGAAAUAUAUACAAAAAUAUAAUUCGGGAUCAAAUUAGUAACUCUUGAUGUCGUUAUCGUAGAAUGUAUAGCUCUUUAAGUUCAAAUCCUGGAUCCAUCAUAUCUAUAUAUAGUCCACAGGAGAAAUCCCAAACUCAAACUCCAUAAAGUUCAAAUCUUGAAUCCACCACUUAGAAAUCAUACGAAGGAAACAAUAAACAAAGGAUUUAUCAUCUCAUUUGUCUUACAACUUUAUUUGAAUCCUUUGGAUCAUGAUCACUGUGCUAAAAUGAUGAGGUAAGGAUUUAGAUAGCUAACUUCAACUUGUUUAGAAUCGAGACGUAGUUAUUGUUUGAGAUUUUUUAAUCCUAGUGCAUGUGCUUGUGAUACUAAUCCAUGAUAGAAAACUAAUGUCUUCAAUUACAUGUAGUGUGAAGGUUUACACAUAAUGAAUGAUCAAACUAAUCAAGAAAAUCCCUCUCCUCCAACAAUCCUUCCAGCAAAACGAAGGCGCGGCCGCCCUCGGAAAGAUGAUGGUCCAGCUAAAAGAAUGAUCUUGCAGACUCCAACAACUCCAGCACCAGAAAUCAUGAGGCAAAAAGAUAUCACUACAGAUGAAAACAUGUUAGGACAGAUAGUUUCUGGUGUCAUUGAUGGUACUUUUGAUGCAGGGUACUUCCUUUCUGUCAAGCUUGGGAACAACGCCACCACGCUCCGCGGAUUAAUCUUUGAGCCGGGGCGAUUUUCUCCCAUAACAGCAGCAAAUGACAUUGCCCCACAAGUUAAAAUGCAUCAUAGAAGACAAGUUAUAACUCUACAAGAUCAAGAAACUGGUAGUACUAAUGAGCAGCUGAAUGUGUCUCCAGAACAAGUUCUGUUGCCUUCUGAUCAUCCAUCAGUACGUAACGAUCAACGUGGUAAUCCAGAUGAAAUGAUCAAACAUCAAACACAGUUUACCCCUUUAUUGGAAAACCUUAGAAUGGUUGAACAAGACGAGGUGAUGGAGGUGUUUGAAGUCGCGAACCAAUCAGGUCUCGAGUUAAAUGCAGAACAAGGUAAAUGUACCAAUGGACAGAAGAGUACUCAGAGCCAACUUAUAGACUCAAACUCAAUAAUUCAGACAGGUACUCUUGUUUGUUCUGAUCUCAACAGCUUAAACGACGAGAUCCAUCAUAAUAAUGUUGUCGAUGGAUCACUAGAAAUGGGAUCGAAUCAAAAACAGAUUGAAGCUGAAGUGGAGAACAACAAGUCUAAUCUUGAAACUUUAGUUCAGCCAACAGAGUUGGUUCAUUAUGAACUAAAGAAACUCGAGAUCCAUCGAGCUCCUCCUAUAGAUGCUCAAACUCAACUCAUUCCAACAAUCAAUCCAGAGCUUCAACCAAAAGAAUUGACACAAAGUGGACAAGGGAAUCAAGAUUUUCAACCUCACCAAACUCCGUCAUUCGUUGAACUUAACUUUCUAGCUCAAGAAUCAGUAGCAGCAGAAAGUGAAGUAAAGCCAAGUGAUUCAAUUCAAAAUGAAGUACCUUUUUUCGACAUGCCUCAACAUAAUGACACUCAAGAAUCAAUCAGUGAAUUAGUAGACUUUUCGAUGGAAACGCGAAAUUCUCCAAAGGAAAAGCAAAGUACUGAUGUUGGAACAGAAGUUGAGGUUGCAGGAAAGGAAGAAACUUAAAAUGAAAGGGGGAAUAAGCAAGUGAUCUUAGUUUAUGAUAUGUUUUGUAUUAGGUUCACAUUGAGUAGCACAGCUAGAAGGAUCGUGAACUUAUCACUAAAAUACCUCUAGCUAAGUGAAUAAUAAACAAGAGUUUUAUGUAUUUCUGCUAAACAUGAUGGAUUGGAAUCAGAAAUUAUUAGAUGUAUGUCAACUAAGUGUUGCUCGUAUUGUUCAAUCAUUUAAUUACAAGAAUCAUUCUUUCUCCAUAUUGUUCAAUCAUUUAAUUACAAGAAUCAUUCUUUGAUAAGUGAAUAUACAAGUUAGACUCAACAGAAUUUGAUUUAUCCUACUUUUUGUGUUAAAAUGGAGAAUUGAACCGUGAAUUCUCUUUCUUCGUCCUCAAUUGAACAUAUCUUGAAACUCAAAACUUAUUUUCGAACUCAUUUUUCACAUUUGAAGUUAUAUUAGAAUAGAUUAAAGCAUGGACAUUAAAUGAAGUAUUCUUUACAAAAGUAUAACAAACACAAUCCAUCUUUACUUUCAAAAAUUCCAACCCUAUAAUAUUUUAUCUUAUUUUGACCUAAUAUACAUGCUUAUUAUAGCAGAUUCUUUAUUCGGUCUAAAAUUGACAAAUGUCAAACGUAAAUACUCUAUAAUCUUAAACAGAUCAGGAAUUAAAAAAACUAUCGAGACAUUUUUUGAAAUAAAUAGAUCAAAAAUAAAGACUAACAAAUUAAAAACAAAAGUAUUUUGGUUAAAGCAGUUAUAUACCCCCAACAAAAUCCCACAAGUGAAAUCCAAUCCACGACAGUUACAUACCCCCAAUAAAAUCCCACGACAAUAGAAUGCAUAUAUAUAUAUAUAGACUUAAUUACUACCUCAGAGAGGUAUAGGUGCUCCCGAAAGACCCUCGAUAGAGUAACAAAUCCAUGUACAAUGAAGAAGAUACCAAUAAAAAAGAACAUUGCAAUAAUCAGACUGGAAAGAAUAUAAAAAGGGGAUACCAAAACACAAUAAAGAGUACAUGAUUAAUGCUUCAAAAGAAAGAUUAUCCCACAAUACAAAAUAAAUUCCAACAAUGAGUAAAUUUUUUCUUCCAAGCGAAAAACUAUUUUUAAAUAAAAUACCAUACCAUUGUUUGUCCAUACAUAAAUUAUAGCAGAUUACAAUAUACGUUUACUCGUUAUGUAUAACCUCUUUGUGCCUUGUAAAAACCAACUAGAACAAAAAUCCAAGUACCAAGUUGGACUCAUGAAAAGUAAACAUAAAAGCGCAAAAAACAAAAAGAUCAACAAAAAAACCAAUGAAAAAUAACAGAAGGUAACUAAUGAAAAAGUAAGCGAUGGUUGAACACAACCAUAAAUACUGAUCUUCAAGAACCAGCCUACAGUAGUUUAUCUUAUACUAAAUCUGAUGCAAACUUCGAAUCCAUGCCCCUCCCUUUCUACAUCGUUGCAUUACUGUGCUAGGAAGCUUUCGUCGACUCCUUUAACCAGCAGAGAUCACUGCACAGCCACAUUAGAACAGCAACAAGUAUUAACAAUAUGUAACAAAUUUAUCAUGCAAUAUCAUCCGUCAGUAGUAAAAUUCAUUCUUUAAGUUGUUGAAAGGGUAAGGCAAAACCUGUGGUUGUUGCUGCUGUGGAGGGUAAUUUCCAUACCCAGCGUAACCCCCAUAAUAUAGAUUUGGAUCCUGAGCAGGUUGAGCAUAACCAUAGGCAGCAGCAGCGGCAGCAUCAUAUCCAGCUGAAUACCCAUAAUAACCACCGUAUUGGUUUGGGUCAGCCUGAGGCUGGACAACCAGAAGAUGAAACAUUGUGUAUGUCAUGCACUAAGAUUAGCGUCAGAAACCAAAAAAAUGAUUUAUGCAUUAACUAUUAACCUGCUGCUUGUUGGAAGGGCUACGACCCCAUGAAAGGCGGAUAGUUUGUCCACCCAGCUGAGUUCCACUUAAUGCUCGUAGAGCUUCCUCAGCACAACUUCUGCAAUUACAAAACCAACCAUGUUAGUUAUCAUUGAAGUCAAAUUUACAUCUAUUAUUUUUUGUUGAAUUAACAUAUGAACUUCAGAAGGGUACCUGUCAGCAAAUUGAACAAAGCCACAACGUUUGCCUACUGGUAUUUUCACAUGAAGCAACUGUCCAUAAUUUCCAAAAACCUGCCUUAGAUGGUCAUCUGUUACAUUAGCAUCCAAAUUCCCAACGAAUAUCUGCAAUCAAUGUCAAUUUCACAUGAGUAGAAAUCAACAGAAAAUUAUAGUACUUCCAUAAGUAAAUGUACUGACAGUUGUAUUAGAAGGAUCGUCCUCAUUUUGAGUUCCAUUGGUACUUUGAUAUGAAGCUGCAAUGAAAAAAAGCAUAGAUGAGGGUAGAUGCAGACAAAUUUUCUUAUCCAUUUAAAAGAAAUACUCCACAAGUAUUUAUCAAGAAAAUGAAAAGAGGUGCAAACGAAAUUACAAGCACCUGUAUAAUAAAUCUUCAAACACUAACAAGAGCAGGUAAAAAAUCAGAUAGAUUAGUGCAGCUAAAAGCAUAAACAUAAUUUUUGUGCUGUGUUAUAUAAACUUCUAAUACAAACAAGUUUGAGCAUUGGUUACACCUGGCAUCUGAAAAGAACACUAAGGUAUUUGGUUCAAGAGACAAAAAGACACAGUGAGCUGUUGUUACUUCAUAAAUUAUAUGGGUUACAACGACCCAAAAGAAAAUCAUCAGAUAUGAAUGUUCAAGAUCCAUAUUAACUAGUUUUAAUUGGACCCCCCAACCACAAGCACACAAGAAAAGUUCAUACUCCAGAUUACUUUUUAGGUUCAAACUUACAAACAGAGGGACGCAAAAAUGCCAAUAUAAAGAGUGAAGGAGCAGUUGAUCAACAAUAAAAAUACUUGUCAACAGGGUUCAAUAUAGUGACAUGACCAACCACAUCCUGUGAUGUACUACCCCUGACACUGAACCAAAUCCCUUUGAGCUUAUAACUGUUGCCUUAAAUGAUCUCAGUAUCACUAAAAUAAAUAUAAAUAUGAAAAUCAUACUAACAAAUCCGAACCCCGUCCCAACACCAUCAUAUAAAUUGGCCAAUUGCGAGAUCGUGUUGGAGAGACUCCUCUAAACCAGCCUCAACAUCCCUUAAUAACUUGUUACAGAAAUCUAACUAUUGAAACUUCAAGAAAAAAUGAAACAAAAAAUAGUUGACAAGAAUCUGAAAAAUCUAAAAAUAGCAACAAUAAGCAAAGCGAACAUUGACGUGGAAUCAAGGUGUCCUAGUGGUUUGGGCUUGGGACUUCCAUGUUGGAGGUCUCAAGUUUAAUACCCAAUGCCAGUGAAAGCAAGGGGUUAGCCUUCUAGGUCGAGCUCGUCGCACCAAGCUUGUCUAGUGCGGGUUACCUCUCAUUUGUGGUUUGCAAGCUAUUGCAUAGGUGCGGGUUUUUUACCCUAUAAGCACCCAAAGGAUAACCUCUGCGAGUUUCCCUUGCCAUAAAAAAGGGACAUGUUAUGGCUGCAUUAGCAUAUGAAGGUGAGGGGAAACAACCUCCUCCCGGAAUUUUUGUACAAGUAAAAAAUAAAAUGGCUGAAAAGUAAAGGAAUGGAUACAGGACCCAAGUAUAUUUAUUUAGGAAUUGGAACUGCGAAAAGCUUAAGGAAACUGAAGAUCAAAGUGACACUCGUGGCAGGCUAACUAGAUAUAAAGAAUAAAACAGCUGAUAAGUAAAGAUAAAUAAACUGAUAGAAAGCGUAGUGGGAAAAGGAAGAAACUGGAAAAAAAAAUUAAUGCCACGUGGAUCUGCCAUAAUGGAAAUUUUGCCACAUUUAAAUGAACUGACCUACAGAACAUCACGUCCUAAAAGUUACUCAUUUCAGCUGUAACAAGCUCCAGGCCCCAAAAUGAUAGAGCCUCCGACCAUUCACCCUGCUUCGAGACAAUCGGAGUUUUAUGAGAUUUAAUAUUUCAAGGAUGUCUUUAAUGAAUGGAAGGAAAAGAUGUUGAAAGCUGUUGCUAAUCUUCAAGGAACGAGAGCAAGCAUAACAGCACUGUUUAACCCAGUGAGGUGAGAACAAAACCAGCAAUUGCCCCCAAAACAAACUGAUAUCAUCAUCAAGCCAACAUAACUCAAAUUGUCAAAAGCACAAAAUCGCAAAUUUACAAGAGAACAGGUUCAAAACCUAGGAAUGCAUAUGUACUUAACUGCAAGCUAGAUGCAUUCCUUAACAGCUCUAGAGGAUACCUAUGUAGACCAGUACAAGAAACUACGAGGUUUGAACAUACCUUGCACCUGACCAGGUACACUCUUCUUGUUAGCUGCAGGGCCUAUCCGCAUUGGCCUAGUGGAGCAGAACUUGCCAUUCAUCUCAGUCAUAGCAUGCAAUUGCUCACUUUCAUCUGCAAAUUUAACAAACCCAUAGCCCUUUGUGCGCCCAGUGACCCUAUCAGUCACAACCUUUGCACCCUUGACUGAGGGGUAGUUGGCCCUGAAUGUCUCCUGAAGCAUAUAGUCAGUGACAUCAGCUGCCAAGUCUCCAACAAAAAUUGUGUAUUCAGGACCAUUAUCUGAACGUUUUUCACCCGAACCGAGUGAUGCCCAGUUGAGUCUAAAGGGUUGCUCACUAUUAGGCAUCAUGGAGCCAUUAUAUGUUUGUAGGUUUCUUUCAGCAGCCGCAUGACUAAUAAACUCAACAAAUCCAUAACCCUCAGAUUGUCCAGAUUGCUUGUUGCGGAUAACUUUAACAGAGGCCACCUGCAUAAACAAUAGUUAGAAGACUCACAAAACUACCAUAAAUUUGAAGGGGGAGAAAGGAAAGGAAAUUAAAAUAGCAGAAACACAACACUCAUACGUCAUGCACUGGAAAAUGCAAGAAUAUUUUUCCAUACGUCUACAAAUCAUGUCAAUGAAGGAAACAUUUACACAAUUAUAAAGCAAGCACAAAUUUGCACUUCUCCAUAGCAGGAGAGGCUGAUGAAGCAAAAGCCAAGAAAAAUUUACAACUAGCAAUUAUAGGACUUCAAAAGCUUCAACAAUUAUCCUGACAUGGUCUACUAAGAAUGACAUUCCGUUACAAAACAAGAUGAAUGAUAGUCAGACUGUAAUAGUUUUAAAAAAGAAAACAAUAGAAUAGUUUAUGGAAGUGCUGGCUCCUCGCACAGUCGUUCAAACAAAUUGCUUGUAUUCACCAAAAUGGUUUUUGGUUAAAUACACCAUUCAGUUCCUGUAUGUGACCAAGAAACUAUAUGUGCCUAACAUCUCAACUAAAACAUUUUCAAGAAAAAAUAUCUGCUUAACAUCUCCCCAGCUACCUAAAACCUAUGGACUGGCCUUCUCACAAAGUUGAGAUCAUAACCUAUGACCUCUAAGUAUAUGGGCUCAAGCAAGAACUAUGUUUGAGCCAUGAGCUGCAGCACUCUAAGUAGAUUGAGAAUCUUAUUAAAACAUCAUAUUGGUUGAGACCAAAGUCCCGACGUCUACAAACCCCACAUAAUAUGAACUCGAGGCAAGAACACAUGUAAAACAGUUCAAACUAAUGCCAUCUAACCCUAGCAAUCCCUUUCUACAAGCUAAUUUUAUCAUCAUAGCAGCACUACCCAGAGAUUUAAUUGAUAUGUUUCCCACACACAUAAGUCGCAUAUGGAGACCUAUCCAUUAAUGUAUUGCAACUCAAUGAAUUCAAACUAAUCCUCGGUGCUAAUUUUAUCAUCAGAGCAUCACUACCCAGAGAUAUUAACUAAUCUGUACCUCGGUGCUAAUUUUAUCAUCAGAGCAUCACUACCCAGAGAAUUAACUGAUAUGUUUCCCGCACACAUAAAUCAUAUAUGGAGACCUAUCCAUAAAUGUAUUGCAACUCAAUGAAUUCAAACUAAACCUCGGUGCUAAUUUAAUCAUCAGAGCGUCACUACCCAGAGAAAUUAACUAAUCUGUUUCCGACACACGUAUAUCAUGUAUGGAGACCUACCCAUAAAUGCAAUUCAACUCAAUGAAUUCAAACUAAACCUUGUGCUGAUUUUAUCAUCAGAGCAUCAGUCGCAGCGUGGCGGACCAGGAUUUUCAUUCAGAGAGGUUCGGAAAAUAAAAAUAUAAACAUGUAAAAAAGUCUUUAGAAAUGGGAACCUUGAUUUUUUGGGGGUUUAAAACCACACUUUACGCAGAUUUUUUAAAGUAAAAAAACACUAAAAAAAGAAAAACAGAACGGAAUUUUUUCUUUAAAAAAAGACUGAAAAAAAUAAAUCACUUUCCCUGGGAUUCAAACCAGUGACGCACAAUUCAAUUUCAAGGGGACUGCCACUGAGCCACCAGCUUCUCUUUGUUAUUGAGAUGGUUCAAAAAUAUAUAUAUAUAUAUAUAUGUAUAUAUAUAUAUAUAUCUACUGAAAUACAGAAAACUUACUUUAUAUACGGUGUAAUUUUUUACCGAGGGGUUUGGAUGAACCCCUGGAGACAACCUGGGUCCGCCCCUGACUACGCAGAGAAAUUAACUAAUAUGUUUAUCACACAAACAUAUCAUAUAUGGGGACCAAUCCAUAAAUGUAAUACAACUCAAUGAAUUCAAACUAAACCUCAGCGUAACAUGUUCCUCGAAUUACAUUUAGAACACUAGGACAAAAUACAUCCAUAGCACAUGAAAGGAAAAAAACAAAUUCUGAAAAUUAAAAAUAACCAAUCUUUUCAGUUGACGCCUCAUAGUUCAAAAAGCAAAAGUACAACAGCCACAUACAAACAUAUCUAGAUAUCAGCAUCAAUGUGAUUUCCUGCCCUAUUAUUUUCAAGUAUUCCAAAAACAUGAAGGAAGUAGAACGGAUACAGAUUAUUCAUAUAGCAUGGUUAGGAUAGAGGCCUAGUAACUGUUAUAGAACGCGAAAAACUUGAAGCAUAACACAACAAUUAGUAGUUCUAAACGCAAAUUCUCAAAAGCCACAUACAAGCAUAUCUAGAUAUCAGCAUCAAUGUGAUUUCCUGCCGACUAGUUUCAGGAUACAUAAACUGGAGAACUUGAAGAAUACAAAACAGAUAUCGAUUAUUCAUAUCCGAAACUCGAAGCGUACCUCUCCAGUGUGAGCGAAGCAGUUCUGGAUAUACUGUUCAUCCAUCCAAAACUGUAGAUCUCCGAUCCACAAGCUCCGGAUCUCAUCGGAACUGGUCGGUUGAGCAGCAGCUGCCGCGGCGUUGUACUGAGGUUGUUGCUGUUGCUGGUAAUAAUACGCCGAUUGCUGCUGCGGAACCUGAUACGCUGCCGGCUGCUGCUGAGCCAUCCAAUGUUGCUGCGGCUGCUGUUGAUACUGUUGUUGCGAUGGAGCCGCCAUUGGUUGUGGAACCAUGGAAUUCGCUGGUUGCAUUCUUAGGGUUUCGGUGAGCAGAGUAGAGAAGAAGGUUGACGACGGCGACGGCAACGGCGGUGGCGGCGAAAACCCUAAAGGAUUUGGUGAGAGAGAAGGGAUAUAGAAUUAUUUCGUAUUAUAUUUAUUAUGUAGUGCGAUGCCACAAAAAAAGGAUAGUACGAUUUGUGCCCUCGUGGCUUUUUUCGCAAACAAAAGCUCAAACCAUACAGUAUACGAUUUCAAUUCUUUAUAUUAUUAUUAUAUUUUUUUUCAAUUUUACUUUUUUCGGUACAAGUAGGAAAAUUAUAAAAGGUAAUAAUAAAAUUUUGUAUUUUUUUGGGAGAAGUAGAUCUUUUUCAUGUUUGUGAUCAUCAUUUGCUAUAUAAUGCACAUACUCACUUUUCUUUUGACGUGGACAAUAUUUUUUUUGUCGAUUUUAAUAGGUUCGCUUUUUGGAUCAUCUUUUGCCCAAUGAGGUAUCCUUCAUUUGUCGGUUCCUUUUGGGUUUACCUUGUUCACAGGUCGACCACAUGGCAGCAAGAAAAAGUGAUCUUGUGCUAUAAUCCGGUGAUAUUUUUCUUGUCGGGACACACAAACUUCUAUCGUGUCUCAGAUCACAUUUCGAAACACCCUUGUAAGCCCCCAAAAGAGAACUAAAGCAGAGGACUACGAACUUUUUCAAAAAGAGAUUUAAAAAGCUACAAUGUUUUGUACUUACUUUUCUUGUUGCAUAAUUCAAAUAGGAUAGAAGGGAUAAUGUCGUUGUGAACAUCACAAUAUUCCUCUUUUUGGGAUUAAUGUUCUCAAUGGUUAUAUGUAAUUUUCGAUAAUAGUCGUAGAAGAUGAAACUCUAUGUCGUCUUAUUGGAUAAGUUUGACAAGAAAUAAAUAGUAUAUUUUCACUUCUAUUUCUGUAUAUUUUAUAUCUUUUGUAAAUUGUACUACUUAAUUAUUCGAUAACCCAUAGUUUUAUGGUGAGACUUGAAGUAGAUUUUGUUGAUCAUCAAUAUUGAGAUAGUUGGGUGCAUCAACUUUUUUCUUUUAUAGGAGAGGGGAUAAUACACUUUAAGGAGCUUGUGCUAUUCAAUCGAUAAGAAUACUAGAAUAUAAUAAAGGCUUGUUUUCACAAAUGAAAGAGAUGUUAUUAUUUCUCACCAGUCAUAUGAAAUGUAUAAUCUUCUUAGAAAGACAAAGUUAUCGUAUUUUAGUCGAUAUUCUAUCACUAAUCUCAUCAUAUGUAUGAUCUUUUUAGGAAGAUAAAGUUUUUGUAUUUUUAUCGAUAUUCUAUCACCAAUCUCAUAUACUGAUUUUGUAUUAAUUUUUUCAAUACAUAUUCUGAUCCACAAAAUCUUAUUGUAGAUAUACAACAUAGAGAGAGAAAAUGUGUUAAAAGGAUAAUUUGUUUCAUAUAAUUAUAUUAGUAUUUGAAUGAACUAUGUAACAUAAAGAAAGAGAUUAGCUUGAAUAAUUAUAUGGAACAUAAUUAAGCUCUAAAUUGCAAAAGAAAAUAAAAUAUUAUUAUUAGCUUGGAUAAUUAUAUGCUCAUUGCACACUAAACUCACUUGCUUUAGUUUACAAAACAAUAAGGAAAUAUUGACAAGGCAUAGUGCUUAUACUUAUAUCACUCUGACAAAGUACUGAAUCAAAUUUUUUACUUAGAUCAUAACUGUUAAAACUAUUAAAUUUUAUCGAAUUUGUAACUAUUACGUCGAACUCUAAUUCAUGAUGUAUAUCUUGUUAGUUGGCUUUGAAAGUUGUAUAUGAGCUCCUUAUACCUAGUGGCUGAUAAUUUUGGAGUUCUUUGUAGAUUUGUAAAAUUGACAUAAUGCAAUCCAAAUCUUUUUGUAUAUCCUUCUAACCAUUCAAAGUUGUCCAGUAAUGACCAAGCAAAAUACCCUCUCACAUUUGCACCUUCCCUAUUUAUAAAAUAAAAUUAAACAAACAUAUAUGUUAAUCUAAAUAUUAAUUAAUAUAUAAUGUAAACAGACAUUUAUGAAUCUGGUAGAAACUAUCUUUGUACAAAGGGAAUUAAUUGAUACUCUUAUGUCAGAAAACUUCACGAUAUAAAUAGGUUAUUUGUUUUGUUUAAUGUAUCAUUCGUUGUAUGUUAGAAUUAAUUCUUCGAAAGGUGCAAAUUGUAUUCUAUAAUCUACUCUGUGUGUUCAUUUUUAUUUGUCAUGUUACGCUUUUCGAAAGUCAAUUUGAUCAAUUUUCAAAGUUAAAUUAGAUUACAUGAAUUCGAUAUUUUAAACAAAAAAUUAUAUGAAAAGUACUACAAGUUGCAACUUUUUUGUACAUCAAUAUGAUGAAAAAAUACAUCUCAAAAUGAUAAUUAAUUUUUUUUUUAAAAUUGACUUUAUAAAUAGAUUCCAUGACAAUUAAAAGCGGACGGAGGAAAAUACUAGUUUUGGUCACUUCAAAAAAUCUAUAACAAAUAUGUGUGUUGAAGAGUUGAGAGAGAAGUACCUCAUUGCAUUUGCCAAGGAAUUCAAGUAGUUAUGCAUGUACUCCACUCUUUGAGUGUCAUUGAGAGCAUCUUCUAGGGAAGAAUUUGGAUUGUCACUCUCAGCAAUACCUGUAAGAUUUGCUCAAUUCAGAAUAUACAUUCAAUUCGAGUUGGGACUCUACAAAUUGUGUUCAAUUUAUAUUAAUAUUCUUGGAGGUUAUUCAAUUCUAAAUCCUAGUUUAUGUCAAUAUAAAGGGUACUAAUUUUCCUUAAAGGACAUCUCAGAAAUUCCAUAAAGAGAUCAAGAUCUCGAAUACUUCACAAAUUGAUGAAUUACUCAUAUAAAGAGGUCAAAUCAAAAUCAUCCUAGUUUGAGAAAUACGCCACUAAGAGCCCUCGAAUCAUGGAUAAGUCCUAGGAGAGUAGAAUCAAGGGAUCAUGAACAGACGUACCCGCUAUCUUGAUUAAUAAAAUCAUGUUUCUUCAUAUUUUAUUUGUAUGGUUUAUUUAUUUUCCAUAUGUUUAAAAUUUGUUACAAACAGAGUGUUCUCGACGUUAUCAGAAUAUAUUUAGGGAUAAUGCACAAGUAUCCCUCAAUAUAUACCCGAAAUCUUAAAGACACACUUAUAUUAUACAAAGGUCCUAUUGCCCCCUGAACUUAUUUUAUUAAUAAUUUUCUACCACUUUUUGGCCUACGUGGUACUAUCUUGUGGGUUCAACGUUAGUUGACUUUUUUUUCAAGCUAGUGACACGUAAGCCAAAAAGAGAAGAAAAUUACUUAUAGAAUAAGUUCAGGAGUAAUAGAACCUUAGUAUAGUAUAAUUUGUCUCUGAAAUUUCGGACAUAGGUCGAAGGAAUACUUAUGCAUUUUCUCAAGGGAAAAUACCCAAGUACCCCUCAAACUAUGCCCGAAAUUCCAGAGACACACUUAUACUAUACUAAGGUCCUAUUACCCCCCUGAACUUAUUUUAUAUGUAAUUUUCUGCCCCUUUUUAGCCUACGUGGCACUAGUUCGAAAAAAAAAGUCAACCAUCAUUGGGCCCACAAGAUAGUGCCACGUAAGCUUAAAAGGGGUAAAAAAUUAUUAAUAAAAUAAGUUAAGGGGGUAAUAUGACCUUAGUAUAGUAUAAGUGUGUCUCUAAAAUUUCGGACAUAAGUUGAGGGGGUACUUGGGCAUUAUCCCUUUUCUCAAAAUUUAAUGAACUUUUGCAUAAAAUGCAUAUCAUCUGAUUGAUAUGCUUCAGGCUUGAAAUCCAUUAAUGUAAAAAGACAGAUGUAACAUAAUUAGCUAAUGAUACUUGAGGUAUGAAACUAUAUAUGCAUAUCCCUAAAGUAUGAUAAAGCAAAAAAUUAAGAUAUUUCGUAUAAUACAGGGAUAAUGUCUAAGUACCCCCUCUACCUAUGCCCUAAAUUUCAGAGACACACUUAUACUAUACUAAGGUCCUAUUACCCUCCUGAACUUAUUUUAUUAAUAAUUUUUUACCCUUUUUUAGCUUACGUGGCACUAUCUUGUGGGCCCAACGAUGAUUGAUUUUUUUUCGAACUAGUACCACGUAGGCUAAAAAGGGGUAGAAAAUACUUAUAAAAUAAGUUCAGGGGGUAAUAGGACCUUAAUAUAGUAUAAGUAUUUCUCUGGAAUUUCCGACAUAGGUUGAGGGGGUACUUGGGUAUUUUCCCCAUAAUAUAAGAUAAUUUUUUAUAUUUUCCAAUUAAUUAGUGCCAUGAUUUUGUGUUUCUAAAAUUGCACAAAUAAAGGUAAACUUCAAGUUCUAUGUUACCAUUUUCAGUUAUGAUGAUUGGAGUAUUAUUGAACCUAUCCUUCAUGUACAUCACAAGCUUUUCCAUCCCUUGAGGAUACACAAAUAGCCAAUCCAUUGUAGUCUGAAUCAUUUAUAAAAUAUAUCAAUUAAUGUAAGAGUUAUUUUCAAAAUAGGCAAAUGAAAAUUAAUACACACAAAAAAUAAAAUAAAAUAUAAAAUUUAAAUCGAAAGUGAUCAGUUAAUAUGUUUUAUCAGGAAUUGAGGUGUUUAAUUAAAAAAAAAACAUUUAGUUCUUCUUUCUUUCAGAGUAAAAAAGGGAAAGCAAACAAAUUGAAACGAUAAAGCAUUGAUAGGUGCAUUAUCUAGUUGCACGAGUGUCUAAAUUGAAUAUUUAGACAAGUAAUUUAAGGGACUGAUUAUGUAUUAUUAAUAUCAAUAUUGCACAUGAUUUAUAUAUAUAUAUAUAUAUAUAUAUAUAUGUAUGUAUGUAUAAGAAAAUGAAAUUCAAAACACAUUUCAAUACAUAUUCAGUAUAUUUUCACAAGUCAUGUAUUUAUCCUAUUUUUGAGUGAGGUAAAAAAUUAUUUCCAGCAUGCUCUCGAUUUAUGCAAAAUGAUUUAAGCACACAAUACACAUUUUAAGUAAAUUGUUAAAUUAAAUUAAGACACGUAAAUUAAAUCGAAUUUUAUACUUACGGGUUCUCCAAUAUACACACCAUCUUUUUCUGUAGCACGAAAAUAAGAACCUUCUGACCAAGAAGAAUAUUGUCCAUGUUCACAGACAGAGAACAAACAAUCUUUAAUAUAAGCUGCUGUAUAAUGAUUUAAGCCAAUAAAAUCUAGGCCAUUUUUCAGUUUUUUUAUAUCAUUUCUUGAAAAUUUAGGCAGGUUAUUUCCAAGAAUUUUUUGCAUUUCUUCUGGAUAUUUUCCAAAUAUAAUAGGGUCCAAAAACCUGCAUAUAACAAUAAUAUUAUAUUUUAUUAAACGGUCAUAACUUUUUACUCAAAUUUCAAUUAAUAAUUGAAGCAUUGAAAAUUAGAUUUCAAGGGCUAUAACUAUUGAAUGAGUUGGAAUGGAAAAAAACUUUUUUGCAAUAAUUUUUUUUUGGUUCUUCUUUUUGUAUUUAUUUAGUUAAAAUAUUUUUUAAAAUGUCUUUUACAUAGAUUACAAAAUCAUUAAAAAUCAGAAAAAUGACUCACUUUAAAAUUAAAAAAAUAUAUCAAAUUUUAUAACAGACAUUUUAUAUUGAUAAUCUCCAACGCACUACAAAAAGAAUAACAAAAACCCUAUAAAGAAAAUUGACAUCAAGAGUUGGUAAAAUUUUGAUCGAUAUCGAAAUAUUGACCUUCUUUUUGUUGAUGUUGUAUAACAUAUAAAUGUGUCCUUAACAAUUGGUCUCAAUCAUUUCAUAUACAUGUCUUUUAACUAUAAAUGUGUAUAAGUAAUUACUUAAAGUUGAAUAACUUGACACAAAAUUCUUACGUGUCAUAAUACAUGUAAAACAUCACGUAGGAUACUAAUUGUCAUGUUGGAUGUCACAUAGGACGAUUGUGUCAGUUUAUUCAACAUUAUAUAAUUUUAAGUGUCUAUUUAUACACAUCCGAAUUUGAGGGCACAAAUAUAAACUAAGGUCAAAUUAAAGACCAUAUUUACGUAGUAUGCCUUCAGAGGUCCCUUUUUUUUUUUUAAUAGUGUCCUCCUUACCGCCAACAUCUCAACAAACCAACCCUGCUCCAUGUACCCUACCCUAGCCUACCUUUCCUUACCCCAUUGGCGCAUCCAUGCCCUCACUUAUAUUCAUAUUCACUGUUCAUAAUAUUUAUCUAAAUUAUAUGUAAAUAUUUUAAAAUUUUACUUACGCAAUGUUAAAAAGGUAUUUUUCAUGAAAAUAUAUAUUUAUGAAAUACAAAAUACAAAGAAAGCUUACCAAUUGUAAACAAAAGAUCUUGCUCUCUGAGUUGCAUAAUUGUCUUCUGAGGAAUUGCUAAAAGGUUCAUACCAUUGAGUAUUCAAAGAUAUUCCAAUCAUCCCUCCUUGUCUCACCUUUAUAUAUGAACACAAAAAAAACAUUUUUUCAUUAUAUUUCUUAAUAAAUCUGUAUUUCACAAUUCCCAUCAAAUAUAAUAUACAUAAUUUGUUAAAAAUUGAGUUAAUUGUAAAAAAAAAUCUAAAUUAUGUCAGGUUCUUUUUUUUUUUUCAUGUUUCAUACAUCAACUAUUUGUUGUUCUCUUUUGCUACUUAAAUUAUCAUUAUUUACAAAUUAAAAAUAUCACUUCGAAGCUAACUAGCUGACAAUCCGAUACUAUCAACACUUUUUCUACUGGAACUAUUUAAUUAGUUGUGCUUCAAUACAGAAAUGGUGGUACACUACUAAAAAUUACAAUUUUCCAACUGAAAUUUCUCGCUGAAAAAUGUUUAGUGGUUAUUCCCAGAAAUACUUUGAUUGGAUCAAGAUGAAAAGAAAAAAAAUGUUCAAUGACUAAAUCCAAUAUUUCAAUAAAAAUUUGUUCUUCGUCAUGCAUUUUCCUAAUAAUUUGAUUCAGUAAAAUUCAGAUCAGAAAAUCAUGUUUUAUAGCACUUGCGGGUGGAUGGGGGAAUCUUUAUUAGUAAUAGUGAUAAUUCAUGUAAAAAAAAAAAGGGAAUAUAUCAUAAUUAAAAUGAUUUUUUUAGUAACAAUUAAUUAAUGACAAUAUCUUCAUUGCUGCUAAAUGUAUUAUUUAGAAGCAGAUAACACUCUUCAUAAAUAUUUUUAAAAUUUAUAUUAGCAUAUAACGACAACCGAUAAAAAGAUUUAAUAUAUGCAUAUUUAUUACCGUAAAAAAUUAUUGGAACCUGAUAUUUUGUUUUGUAAAUGGUGACAAGAGCAGCAUGUGAUAAAAUCAUAUUGUGUGCUGCAAUAAAUGGCUCUUUUUCUGAAUUUCCAAAAUUGCAAUUACCAAAUGAACCGGAACAUCGAACCGGAGGGAAAGUACCAAAUCUAUAGCCUCGAACCGCCAUUACAUUCGGUUCAUUAAUAGUUACCCAAUAUUUAACUCUAUCCCCAAAAUAUUUGAAACAUGUAUCUCCAUAAUAACAAAAAUCAUCCCUGAAAUUAAUAAAAUUAAAAAAAAUAUAUGAAAAUAUGAUUCGUUUAAUUCCUUCGAUUCUAAAUAAGUUAAAUUGAAUUUAAAUAUGUGUUUGUAUUAUGUGGUAAAAGUUUUCUCGUGAUACUUUUCAUUUCUCGAGAAUCAGAUAGUAUACAUUUGACCGGCAAUUUACGUAUUUUAAGUUUUAUUCUUGGUUCCUUUGUAGGUAGGGCUUCCAUUAGUAUAGUUUUGUGUGCUUGUGUAGGUAAAGUGAAACUUUUGUUGAUUGAUCUAGACAGGUUUUUCGAGCCUUCUUUUUCGCUUUCAUCUAUUUUGGAAUUUUCUAAUUUUUUGAAAUGAAAUUUAUAUAUAUAUAUAUAUAUAAAUUAUGUAAAAGGUAAUAUAAGUAAUGGUAAUUGACAAAUUGAAGGGUUUUGGUACGGAGGAAAACAUUCAAUUUAGUAAGUUAAUCAUACGGUCACUUAAUUAUAAACGUUUUUCUUAAAAAUUACUCAUUUUUUAUUUUUUAACUCAAAAAUCACUCAUCUAUAAAUUUCUUUUAAAGAAAAUCACUCAAUUAUAGGUUUUUUUUUAGAAAAUUACACUGACUUCAAUUAUUUUUUUAAAAGAAGGUAUAGUCGAAUGACUAUCCGAAAUAUUACCUCUAAAAUGUUUGGAAAAAGACUUUUUUUUUUCUAGAAAAACAAGCUUUUUAAUAAUUAGAAAGUAAUUUUCUUAAAGAAAAUAAUAAUACUAAUAAAAAAAAAAAGUUUCCUUCAAAGAUUAUUUUUUCUUUAAUUCCUACCCCCAACACUCCUUCCUCACCCCACAAUGUUUUCCUAAAUUAUAUUCAAAAUACUCACUAAAUAAUAAUAAAAAAGAAGAAGACAUAAAGUGUCAAAUCUUGCUUACUGUAUUUUGGGACUUAGCCAUCCUCCAUAUCUUUCUUCAAGUUCUUGAGGUAUGUCAUAAUGUGCUAAGGUGACAAAUGGUUGAAUACCUGUAAUUUACGUUAACUGUUUAACACAUGAUUAAUAGUAUAUAUUUAAAACGAUCGAAAAUAACAAUCGCGAGAUCAAAACCUUUUUGUAGGAGUACAUCAAUCAACUUAUUGUAGUGUUGAAUUCCAGCCAUAUUGACACCUCCAUACAUCCCAUCUAAUCCAAUUUUAGGACAAUAAAACAUUAUAAGGGGACAUUAAACAAGUAAAAAUGAUUUAAUAACGUAAAAAUUUAUUUAUACCUAUGAUGUAUAUUGUAACGACCCAUUUGACAUUUUGAGUAUUAGAGCUUUUCGUUUUAUAAAUAUUUUUCGAUAGAUUCUGAAUAAGUAUUUUGAACUAAUCGUUACUAUAAUUAUGAAAUUAGUGUGACAAUUUUAAUAAUUUAUAGAGUUAGAAUACUAUUAAAAAUUAACUAGUACUCGUGAUUCAUUCCUCCUAUAGUUAAAAAUAGGUUGAAGUUGGUAAUAUACUCUAGUAUAAUUACAAAUUGCAUGGUUAGACAUUGAUUACUAGUAAUUUGUAUCAAAGUGAAUUGUUUCUCAAAUUGAUGUGGCAAUAACUGUGACAGUCACUUGUUGAUGUGUCAAUUUAGGGAUAAAUCAUGUCCAACAAACUUAAAGGAAAAAUUUUGUAGUUAGCGCUAAUGGUCAAUAAUUAAUUUACGUCAAUCUUAGGUUAUUUUCAUUAGUUAUCAUAUUAUAACUAAGUUUUGAUAUAAUGGAAUAGUUAAUUAAAGACCACGUGUAUCAUAUUAGGGGAGUAACAUUAAAGUUAUGCUAAUAGGAGAAAUUAAGGCUUAUCAUUAGGUUUGAACUUUAGGAAAUUAAUAAUAGAAUUAUGUGAAUUUUAUGGUUUAGACUAGACAUACAAUAAUAUAAGUGUUAAUAGACUCGUUAACUUAAAAAUUGUGCACAUAUACUUGAUAAAUUGAAAAGGUUCGGAGCGUUGAGGAAACAAAAAGUAUUGGAGAAGCAGCUUGCUUGACUUCGGUUCUUCGGUGGAGGUAGAUUAUGGUUUAUGCUAUUUAAUAGUAAACUCUUAAUAGUAAUUGAUAUGUAUUGAAUGAUAUUGUGAAGUUUUCAAUGUACUUGAUUGAAUGGUUGUGUGACUUGGUUGUGUGUUUUGUGAUUGGUCUGAAAUCCUGAGACCUGCAAUUUAUAUUCUUGAAACCUCUUUAUCGAAGUGUUUCAUUGAAUAAAGAAGACUUGAUGAAAUAUUAUCAAUGAAUUGAAAGUGGUGAUAAUAAAUGAAUAUUAAUGGAGUAAUUGGAUCGGAGUGUCACGUUCCGACACGGUAUAAUUGGAUCUGAGUGUCACAUUCCGACACGGUAUUCUUGGAUUGGAGUGUGACGUUUCGACACGAUAUUUUUGGAUCGGAGUAUUACGUUUUGACACGUUACAAAUGGAUCGAAGUUUCACGUUCCGACACAGUAACAUUAAAGGAAAAGGAUAUUGAAUUAACUUAAUGUACUCAAUCUCAAAAAACCCAUUUCCCAAAUGAGCGUGGUGUAGAGGCAUGAGUCCUCAUGGGUGUGCUUGAUAUUGUGAUUGAUUACGUAGUCACUUGUACAUAUUGUUUGUUGCUUACCACCUGUUAAGUGUCAUAGUUAAGUUCAUGUUAUUAUUCAUUAUAUAUUAGUUUCUAUUUUGGGUUGGCAGAUGAUAUCUACUUAGUAUAUGUUGCCUCGGACUGAGCCCUACUUGUGGUUUUCUUUGUUUUUCCUUUAUAGAGUGCAGCGAGUGUAUUAAUGACUUCGGCAUCCCCUCAACUCUAGCCAGUCACCAAAAUAUCAGGUUUCAGGAUGAGAUAUUUAUUCAAGCUCGCGUGGAUUCUCUUGGUAAUAACCUUAUGUCCUUAUUUUUCGGACACAUACCACUUUAUUCUUUUAUUUUGGUGUAUUCGAUACUCUUAGACUUGAUAUUUGGAGAUUAGAUGUCCUUGAUGUGAUGACGUUAGAGGUUUAGUUGAUUAGGUAUUUUAAUAAGUUUUGGAGCUUUCGCAUUAUUUUUAUUAUUCAUAGUUAGAUUAUUGACAUAUAUUGGGGAUUUGAAUUCCUUGAUUCGCCCACUUAAGAGGUUAAAUAUGAGUGUCACUCACAACUCAUUUUAAAUCGUAAAAUAUAUAGUUAAAAUUUAUCAAUAAAUGAGAGGUCCGUAGAUUUAGUUGUAACUUACUAGGUAGAAUUCUUGCCCAUGAGAUAGAGAAACGAAAGCUAUUCACUCCCAUAUCUUCCAUAAGCUUAAUGUCCUCCUGUUUACGUAGAGGUGUCAAAUAAAUAGAUAUUUAAAUUAUAAUUACAACAAGUCAUAUUGUUUUUGCUCCAUUAUUAUUUGGUGUCACAUCCACGCGGUGGAGCGACCUUGAUAGAAGGGGGUCAUUCAAAUUUUAUUCGAUAAAAAAAUAUAUUAUUUAUAUAUGAUUAAAAUAAUAUUAUAUAUAUAUAUUAGAUAUUAAAUCCCAUUCAAUUAUUUCAUAUAUUUAUUUUUAUAAAUUUUGAACCCUUUAUUGAAAAUGGUGACUCUCCUCGGAUCACACCAAUAAAUAAGGUGAUAUGGGAUAAUAAAACAAAUACUACAUGUAUAUGAAAACAGUUCGUUCACAUAUUUUCAGCAUAUAAUACACUUGUACCUAAUCAUUUUUCCAGAAACAAUAUAAUAACAACAAUAAUAAUAUUUCUUUAGUUUUAUUUUAUUUUAUUUUAUUUUCACACGUGCAAGAAAGAAAGUAGCUGUCACCAAAAAGUGUGAUAGGGUACUGUUUCAUUCCCUCUUUUUUUUUCUCAAAUAGUCAUGUAAAAAAUGAUGAAAAUUUUGACGAAUAUUUUAUAAUGAAUUUUAUCAUCAUACUGAUAUAUAAAAAAUUAUAAUUAUAAUUUUUAUUUAAUUUUUAUUUAAAAUAUCAAAAAGCAAUCAUAUGAAUUUAAAAAAAAGCAACAUAACAACUAAAAAACGUACAAAGGGAAUAUAUUUUACCUUUAACCAAAUUUUUUUUUUUUUUUAAAAAAAAAGUGCAAUUAUGCUCUCUGUCUGCUUAAGAAUUUUGUUAGUGGUGAAAUUAAAUAUAAGAAUAUUUUUGUGUCAAAAAGAAGACAGAACGUAUAAACACCAAAUUUUUAGACUUGAUUGAUAUGCCAACAUCAAAGUUCAUGGACCUAAUAGUAUGGUAGUCAUAAGGUUUCAUAAAUUAAUCGAAUCAGUAAAUUUUAAAUCAUUAUAAUUCAAUUCGAAAAGAAGAGAUGCAUCGCGAUAGGGUACCUGAUAUCGAUUAUAAUGAUCUAGAGCAAUGUCUCCAUUACUUCCAUCUGCUAUGUGGCCUGCAAAAAAUCCCAAUAAUAAACAUUACUACUAUUAUUGAGAAUCGAUGAUUAGGAAUAUAUUGCUCAGAUAAUAAGCAUCUUUAGCCUUCAAUAUCGAGGUUUAUAAAAUAUAUAAUUAUAAAAGAAAGAUCACCAGCUUCAUGAGUAAAAACAUCCCAAUUGUUAAGGCCUUUGCCAUCACUAAGAAAAGCUCCUUCAAACUGCAAAGAAAACAAGAGAUAUUAAUUUUUAAAAAGCCCAAAAAUUAAGUAUCGCGAUAACAAAGUCAGAAUUUUUGUUAAAAAAAUAUAAAAUAUAUAUAUAUAUAAAAAAUAAUCAAUAGUAUUCAACAAUAAUAAAUUUAAUAUAAUCUCAUAGGUGAGGUCUGGAUAGGAUAGUAUGUCCAUGCAGACCUUACCUUAUGACAAUAAAAAACUGUUUCUGAUUGAUCUUUCGCUCAAAAUAAAAUAAAAGAAAUAGUAACAACAACAAGAUGAUACGUAAUUAAAAGAAUCCAACAUGAUUUAACAUAUAUAGGUAAGAUAUUUCGUUAGUAUUCGAAAUGAACCCCUUGCGCCCUCUAGCUACUCUCUAAGAGUAACAACUAGAUAACAAGAUGAAAAAAAAAAACACAAACCUGGUAACAAGAAGAGGCUGUUCCAAACAAGAAAUUUUUUGGAAAUGAACCUGGUUCUUUGACAAUACUAAGGUUUUUUAUCUGACAAAAUGAUACCAUGAAACUAGAAAAAAGAACACUAAAAGCAAUUAAUAUUAUUGAAAUACUUGAAUCCAUAAUAUUUAGACAAAAAGUCCCUCUUUUUUCUCCUAUAUUUCAAAUUUGAAUAUAUAGUUAUAGAAUAGAAAGAAGGUCUUCCAAGUGUUUAUAUAGAAAAAAUGUAACCACACGGCACUUAUAACACCUUAUUUGGACGGUUGUUACCCGUUAUAUCUUACCCAUUGUAUCUUAUCGUAUUGUUAGUUUAAAAUAAUUUCUUUUUUCAUUGUUAUUUAAAUUUUAUUGUAUCGUAUUAUUUAAAUUUAUUAUUAGGUAAAAGUAAAAAUACUCAUUUUAUGUAAUAACAUAAUUAAUGUAAUCAUAUCGUUAUGUUAAAAGGCUGAUAAAAUAAAAAUAGUGAAUAGAAGUGUUGAAUAUCUUUAAAAAAAGGUAGAAGGGGGGAGGUCUUAAAGGGGGAAGAAGGUAUUAUGGAAGAAAACAAAAUCAAGAAAAGAAUUUAUCUAAAAAACGAGACCCGCAAAUUUCAUUAUUUCUAGAUAAGAAAAAUCAAUUUUUUUUUUAAAAAAAAGUUAAUCUAUCGUGAAAGAAAGAUUAAAAAUAUUAUUUUUAUAUUGACCAAUAAAAAAGAUGUCAGAUACAUAAUUUUGUAAUUUCAAUUUUUCUUUCGCUCUUCCUACCAUGUCAUCCCUUAGGGAUGGAAAUAAGCAAGUAUACAAUUAAAGUUUGACAUAAUUAACUUGGCGUUAGUUGAUCCAACUAUGAUCCUUAAUUUUAAAUAUGCAUAAGUAGACACUAUUUAAAUUUGUAUAAAAAUUGAAUAAAUUGACACAUUCGUCCUAAAUGGCAUCCUACAUGGAAAAUUUGUAUCCCACGUGUAUCAUGCAAUGCAGAAUACGUGUGUCUACUUGUUCAAUUUUAUACAAGUUUAAGUGUCUACCUGUGCAUAUAUAAAGUUAAGAGUCAUAUUUAUCAACUAAAAAUUAAGUUAAGGAUCAUAUUUAUGCAUUAUAUCUUAAAAUUUUAAAGUAAAUUUUAUUGCUUAAGUUCAAGAACCAAUUUGAUGAUUUUUUCUUAGUUAUAAUUUUCACAUACAUAUGUAUGAAUUUCAAGAGUUUGAGAGGCCCUAUCCUUACCUUUUCUUUAAAUCUCGUACCAUCACAAAAAAGAUCAUAUUUUCUUUGAUGUGACAAUGUAUUCUAAUUAUUACCAUAAAAAAAAAUAUCUUUGUAGCUUUCAAUAUUUUGAUUAGAUUAGGUGGUUGAAACCCUGAUUUUAUCUUUUUUUUUAAGGGGUCGUUUGGUACAAAAAUGAAUAAUGCAGGGAUUAGUAAUGAAGGGAUUAGCAAUGUAGGGAUUAUUUUUAUGAAGUGUUUGGUUCAUUGUUUCUUAUCUAAUUUUGUGUGUGGUUUAAAAAAAAUUUUAAAAAAACUUUCCAAUUAUACCCUAGAUUUAUUAUGAGAUUUUGUAUUUCAUGUAAUUAAGUCAAAGUAGAUAAUUAACGGAAAAUAUUAUUUUUUAUAACAUUUUUAACUAGUUAAGAGAAUAAAAUUUUUAUUGUCAUGUUCACUAUUUCCUCACUUAAAUUAUUUGAGAGUAAAUAAUUGUCAUCUUAAUAAAUUCGAGUUAAUAACUCAAAAGGUCACACAACUAUAAUGAUUAUAGAGAAAAUUUAUUGAACUUUGUUUUGUAUCAAUAAAUUUUAAAAAGCUCUUCAUCAUAAAAUAAAAUAAAAAUAUAAAAUAAAUAUAGAAAAAUAAAUUAAACUAUUUUUAUACUCGAGAUGUGUGUGUAUAUAUAUAUAUAUACACACACACACUCUCUCUUGUUUUAGACUACUCGUGUAAUGUUUAAUGAACUUUCAUUAAGAGACAAUAUUUUACUUAUGAAUUGUUCUUAAAUUCAUACAUCAACAUUAACAUAUUAGUCGGAUUAUAAUAUUUUAUAUUAAUAAUAAAUAGAUUAAGUAAUUCAUAUUUUAGAAACAAAAAAUUAUAUCUAAAUAAUAAAAUUUGUAAGCUAAUUUAUUUAAAUAAUUUUAUUAGUAUAAAUAUAAAAUAUAAGAUCAAAAAAAUAAAUUAAAUAUUAAAAGAAUUUGAGAAGUAUUUUUGUCUUUACUUAGAAUAGUCUCAUGGUAUUAGAGCUAAUACCUCCAAAUGGAAGAUAUUAGUAAUACAUCACAUAAUAUCAUGUAGGAUGUAUUAACUAAUCCAUGGAUUAGUUAUACAUAGGUUCACAUUCCUACCAAACACAGUAUCAAAUUAUACCACAUCUAAUACAUGAAUUAUUUCUUUUAAUACAGUCUACCAAACGCCCCCUUAGUAUUUAAAUUUUUUGCAUUUCCAGUCGAGGGUACAUAAAAAAAAAAUCUAUUUCUAUGAGAUAAUGAUAAGGUCUUCGUGUUCGUACAGUAACUAGUAUUAUAAUUUCACCCAAUUCACAUUACAUGACUCAAAUCCCCUCAUUAAAGGGAAUUAAGUGCAAGCAGGACGAGAUAGGUUGAAUCUAGCCAUAAACACUAUUUAGGGCAGGUCAGGUUAAAUUUUUUUUAUAUAGAUUUAAACCUUAACCCACUCCACUCCGCCCCGCCCUACUUAAGCCAUAUUUUUCACCAUUUCAUGAGGGUAAAAACUAUGAAAGCUCAAUAAAGCUUAUGAAAAUGAAAGAAAAAUAAGUUGACAAGACAUAAUGGUGGGACAUGAAUAGAAUCUUACUUCAUUUUUAUAUCAUUAUCAUAUCUCCAUUAGAUUGUUUGCUUAAAGGUUGUCUAAAAUAAUUAUUAUAAGUAGAGCAUCUGCAUCCAAAAAAACAAAGUGGUUCCAGCUAUAGAGACAUAUCAUCUAAUUUGCUACACAACAUGUAUGUGUCCUUUUCUUGUGGAAUUAUUGAAGGUGUUUUCAAAAACAACUAUUUUUUUCCAACCAGUAUGAAUAAAUAUAAAACAAUAGCCAAUUAUUUUUCCUUAGAAUUGAAAAAAAAAUGCAUUAUUUUUUUUAGCUUUAUGCAUCUUUUGAAGUAAGAAUUAUGUAAAGAAAAUUACCAAUUAUUUGAUGUUUAUUUUCCCUUUAGAAAUGGAAAAAUGCAUUAUUUUAUUCUAGCUUUAUGCAUCUUUUGAAGUAAGAAUUAUUUAAAGAAAAUUACCAAUCGUUUGAUGUUUUAACUAUUCACAUAAUAAUUACUUAAACGAUGUUAAAGGAGACUUAAUUUUUUUUUUUUAUUGUUUAUUUUAGUUGUUGGAUUUGCAAAGGCGUUGAGGUCUUUUUGUUAAAGUUAAAACAAGUGAUAUCUUUAUAAUAUAAUAUAUUCAAAUAAGAAAAAAAGUAACAAAUCUUACAUAUGCAAGAGGUAUUUUUUAUACAUAAAUAAUAUAUUAGGAAUAUAAAAACUCGUGCGCCAUUUUUGCAAUCAUUCCAUAAUAUUUAUAAAUAUUUAGUUAUCGCUAGAUUAGACUGUCACCUUUUUAUUUGAGUAAAAAAUGAAUAUCAGGUCUUAUAAACGUCAAUUAAUAAUUGACACUAGCAGUGUUUACGUUUUUUUCUAUUCUGACUGAAAUUGAAAAUAUUGGACAGAAAAGGAAAACAAAUUGUCCAACCUUUCAAGCCUUACUAAGUAAAUGAGGAUGCAUUGUUGGUUGCUUUAUCCCCACUUCCUCAAACAGCGAAAGACUUAAUGCCUAAGCAGUUACAUGUUGUUGAUUUCAGAUUCCUCCGGUAAAGCUAACAACCAUUCAUGGAAAUGUCUUGAUUAAACGUAUUGAGUUCUUAUGUAUUUAUAAGUAGUCCGGGCAGUUAAGGGUGUUCAAGAUUUAACAUAUAAGUAUAAAAAUUUAUUUUAAACAUAUGUACUUCAUACAAUUUUUGAUAUAUAUGAUGUAAUUUUCAAUGAAGAAUAUUUAACUGACUAUCCUUACCAUUGACUCGGGUUCUAGAUCCACUACCGACCUUAAAAAUGAAAAAAAAAAUCUAAUAAGAAGUAUUUUCCUUUUUAACAAGGCUUAUACAAUAUAAAUAUAAAUUAAUCGAGACUAUAAUGAUCAAAAUCAAACAGUUUCAAUAAAUACUCGAUGCAAAUCUUAUUGACAACAUGAUUUCAAGAUUUGUAUUCAAUUUGUAGGACAAAAUGUCCCUUCAAUCAUCUUUUAUAUUUAUUUUUAUUAAAAAUUGGGAAAGGUGAAAUAAUCUUAGAAUUAAGAGUAAAACAAAUGAUACGGUAGUUAGGAAUAAAACAAAAUAAAAACUUUAGGUCUUUUGGUAAAUGAUCAUGAAGUGACAUGAAUUAAAAUCGUCAAAUUAUUUGCAUAAGAAGAAAAAAAGGGAAGAUGGGACCAAGCCUUUAAACUUAUCUUUCUCUACCUAAUUUAAAUUAAAUAUUUUUUCUGAGUGAUUUUAUUUGACUGAUUAUGCAAUUUUAAAGAAAAUCAUUAAAAUUUAUGGAGAUUUGAUUUGCUUGAUUGGAUUCUUUAAGCAUGUUAUAAUAUCUCAGCAAAAACAUCCUAUUCUUCUUCUCUCAUUUUAUGCGGUACUUUUCAUUUUUUGAGAGUCAAAUAAUUUAAUUUUGACCAAACAAUUGCGUAUGAAAUCUUCAAAUUUCUUGAAAUGAAAUUUAUAUAUUUGUAAACUACAUAAGAAGUACUAUAAAUCAUAAUAAUUGAUAAUUCAAAAUGUUAAAAAGAUCUAUGAAAAAUUUACAGUCAAAGAUACACUUGUUUAAAUCUCGAAAUGCGAAAAAUGUCAGAGGGAAUACUGUUACUAUAUAGAUAAAUAUUAUAAAAUAAAGGAUGUGUUUGGUAUGAAGCAAAAAAAUAAUAAUUAUGUCAAGAGAAUUUUAUAUGUAUUGUAAAAUUAAAUGAAUUUCCACAAAUAUAAUAUUAUACAUUGCAAUAAUAAUUAAUGUUGGACGAUAAUAUCUUUGAAAUUUUCAAAUUUUGUUAUUAAUCGCAUUCUAUUAAAGCGUUUUAUACCUUCUCAUAUAAUUUCUUCAAAAAUAAUAAUUAUGUCAAGAGAAUAUAAUGAUAAAGCUACAAGUUUUUAUUAUCAAAUCUUAAAACUCGAAAAUCUAUUGUUUUCAACUACGAAAAAAUGCUAAAUAACAAACAUACAUCUAUAAGCUUCGCUACUUAAAAUAUUAGACUUGGUUCAUGAAAUGAUUUUACCUAAGAUUUCUCCCUUUUUUCGCCAUCCAUCUCACUCCAAUUCUCGUUGAUCUAAUAGCUGCAUCAACAUCGUUGUACCUCCAAUCACCUUAUUGUUUUGACUGCUCGAAAACAACACAGAAGGAAAAUUUAUUGCAAACAAAUGACUAACAUCUUAAUAACUAGAAUUUAUCUCUUUGGGGAUCCAAAGCAAACACUUUACUAGCGUCACCCUUGAGCCUAACAUGUACUGUAAACAAAUGACUAACAUCUUAUCUACAGUUGUUUGCCGUUCUUAAUGCUCACUCACACGUCUUUUAGCAUUGGACACGAAUUUCGUCAACGAGAGGACAACAGAAGAAUACACGCCCUCAAGUGUUAUAGGAACUGCUGUUGCAAAAUGAUUUUCGAGUAAUGUCACUAUAGAUAGUGAAGAAGAAACUUACCUGUGAAUAAAUGAAGGUUCCAAGGAUUGCAAUGGCAGCUCCAAGUGCAUUGAUGGGUCGGACCGGUGUUUGGAAGAUAAUGAUGGAGGAAACAAUUACAGAAAUCCGCUUCAUUGUAUUUCCUACGCUAAACGUCAGGGGAGAAAUCUCAUCCAGGGACAUAUAUGACACUUGGUUAUACAAGUGAUAGAAUAUGCUUUGUGCAACGAUCCACCUGAUAUCAUAGGCUACUCGUUAAACUCUGUACACCUUCACAAAAAUUAGGAUGGAAGGGGUCUUUAUAUAUGCAUGAAAUCAUUGCGAAAAUCCAUCAAAUAUAGCAUAUAUGAUAAAGAACUACAGAUACUGAGAAGCAGAAGUUGACACUCCUUACCAAACAAAGUUAGGUCCUAUCUGAGAGAGAGCGUUUCGCCAUCCUAAUGCCCACAUCUGAGGCCCCUCCAUCGCGAUUGCAAAAGGUGUUAGAAUUAACAGAGACAUAAUAGAUAAACACGCGUAAUAGUUCAUUCCACUAACAGAGUUCCCCUUCAUUCCUUUCUUUGAGAAUAUAUUUCGAAACACAAAUGCAAGAUUUGAUAUCAUUGCUCCCAUAAAACCUGUAAUAAUAGCAAUCAACUAACUCUAGACGCUACCACAAUGCAUGAGAAAAAUCGAUGAUCAAACGUUAUGAAGAUCAUACCAGUCAUGUUGAAAUCGAGCUCUGUAGCAGCUGAUAAUGCACAACCACCAAUAACAGGCACAAGCGAUAAAUAUACUGGAAACGGAAAUGUUUCACCAAGCAAAAACCUCGAAACCAACACGCUAAAAGCUGGUUCACUACUCUUGAUUAUAUGAGUGAAGGAAACAGCAACUUUAGACAUACUAACAGUGGCUGCUACAUGACCAACUGUAUGAGCAACUGCAACCUACAUCACCAACAUUUACGAAUAGCACAAAAUUAGACUAAAAGAGGAAGCGUUCCCUAUCAAGAGUUUCUCAUUCCAGGUCUCAUACUCGACACCUCUCGUAUUCAUAAAACUAUUUAUAGCCCAUUUCAAGAAGUAUUCUUUCCUUUUUCGGCAACUUCUUAGUUUAACUUUUCACGUGACAUGUAUAGAUUAAAUGACAUUUUGGUACAUUCUACAUAUCUUUAGUUUAAGACUACAAGAUUCAAAAUACUUUUUUAAACUUCGAGCCAACUGAAAAUCAGACAAACAAAUUGAAACAAAAGAAGUAUAUAACAAUAUACCAGAAAAUAGAAAUCAUAACUUAACAGACCAUACUCCUACCUCGUAGAGGUUAAGAGUGGUUUCUAAAAUGCAAUGAAUCAAAAUGUUUACUGAAAAAGGAAAUACAACAACAAAGAAAACACGCCAAUUAAUAAAGAACACAAACCAUAACAACAACGAAAUAAUGUGAUAACAGAAACACAAUAGACAACAUAUGGUAAUCAAUAUCAAAAGCAAGAAAAAUACACGGAUAAAGCUAAUACGAAACAAAUACGAAAACACAAUAGACAACAUAUGAUAACCUAUAUCAAAAGCAAGAAAAAUACAUGCAUUAAGCUAAUACUAAACAACUACGGAAUAACUCAAUAAUGGAAACACAACAGACAACAUAUGGUAACCGAUAUCAAAAUCAAGAAAAAAUACAUGCAUAAAGCUAAUACUAAACAACUACGAAAUAAUGCGAUAACGAAAUACAAUAGACAACAUAUGAUAACCGAUAUCAAAAGCAAAAAAACAAAAAAAAAUGCAUGCAUAAAUCUAGUACAUGUGGCAACUGAAACACAAUAGACAACAUAUAAUAACCUAUAUCAAAAGCAAGAAAAAUACAUGCAUAAACCUAAUACUAAACAACUACGAAACAAUGUGAUCAUGAAAACACAAUAGACAACAUAUGACAACCAAUAUCAAAAGCAAGAAAAAUACAUGCAUAAAGCUAAUAGUACUAAACAACUACGAAAUAAUGCGAUAACGAAAACACAAUAGACAACAUAUGACAACCAAUAUCAAAAGCAAGAAAGGUACAUGCAUAAAGCUAAUAGUAUUAAACAACUACGAAAUAAUGCGAUAACGGAAACACAGUAGACAACAUAUGAUAACCGAUACAUGCACAAGGCUAAUACUACGACAGACAUGAUACCCCCCCCCCCCCCCCUCCUCACACAAAAAAGCACCAAACCACAUAAAAGUCAUAAGAGUUCUUACAGGGAACAAGUUCUUCCAAAAUUCAAAAUCUGUUUUUGGGAAUUCAGCAAUUUUCAUAGCCCAUGAAAUCAACAUAAUCAAUGAACCAGUAGCAAGUGACAAAGUAGAAGUCAACCAAGGAAAUGGAUAUGCAUUUAGAACUUUCUUGUUAUAUAUAUUAAAAACCACAUUUAAACCCCACCAUAUAGCAAAAUAUAUGCCAAUUUUAACCCUCUGACCAUCGACUUGUGAUUUUGGCAACUCAAUAUUUAAAUCUAAAGACUGAGACUUGUCAGCUUCAUAUGCUUUGGGAUUUUCAAUUCUUGAUAUGUAAAGAGGUUUUUUGAUUGAAUAAGAAAAACCCCAUUUUUGAUUCUUUGAUUUUGGGGUUGAAGAAAAUGAUAAAAAUCCAAGAUUUUGAUUAUAAUCCCUUUUUGAAAUCAAAUUUGAAUGUGUGAUUGAUAAAGAUGAUAGCUUUAUAGAACAAGCCAUGGUAAUCAAGAUUAAAAAUUGAGUCUUGAAUAAGAAAAUAUUAAAUCACUUGAGAUUUAAGAGGGGAUUACGGGGGGUUUUAUGUUUUCGAUAUAAUUAAGAAGAUUUUGGUACAAUGUUGAUUCCUAGAAGUACAAAUGGAGAAUUUUAUGCUAUUCUAAUUUAAGAAUUUUACUUUUAAUUAAACAUGAAUAAUAAUAAUCACAUAUUCAAUAUAGUCCCACGCAGUGAGAUCUAGAUUUUGAUUAAAUACGAAUUAUGUGUAAUAUGGAAAUUUUUGUUUUUGGAUAAUCUUAAAAAAAUCUUCAAGGAACUAUUCUUUGGGUGUGCAAGAAGGGUAGGAUCUCAGAUUUAGAUUUUAAUUUUUUUCACGUCUUAAAUGGUUGAAGCUAUUGUCAUAUGCAAUAACUUACAAAUUACUAGGUAAAUAUGAUGAAACGAGCUCGAUUGAAAAGGGACCAAAGGAGAGAUAUCUCGUAGCAACCUUUUUUAGGAUACCAUUCACACUAUAUCAAAUCAGCCAACUAAUUAAGAAAGAAUUAAAUGGGAUUUGAUAUUAAUCUUUCUAAUGGGAUACCUUGCUAUAUAAAUUUAAUCACCUUUUUAGAAUUAAAAAAGUUAUUAAAUCUAUAAAAUAAGAUAAAUAUAUUUGAAAAAAUAUUUAAAAGAAAAUAAAAUACAUAAAUUGUGAACAGGACGACUCAACCUUAAAACUAUCCAAGCAAUGACUUUGCCCCCCUGAAAAACAAGGCCUCAAAAUAUAAAUAAUUAUGUAUAUAUUGUUAGUAUUAGUUGAAAUUUUCUUAAUAGUUUGUUGUCAAUCAUUAUACACAUAUUUUAAAGUUUUAAUUAUUUUCUUAAAGUACAAUUGGUGUAAACAUCAUAGUUAAAGGUAGGAGCUGUUAGAUUAUUAGCAUUUUAAUAUUAAUAUUUAACAUAUUAAAUUGUUUUAUUUUGGAGUUAUAAGAAUGAACAUUGGAAUAGAUGACUUCUACAUUAUCCAUUAGCAUUGGUUGUCCAUCACUUUAUUUCAUUCUUAAUACCUCUGUUACUCUUUGUAACCUAUGUAACUCCUAUUGUAACAUAUGUAACCUAUGUAACUCCUAUUGUAACAUAUGUAACCUAUGUAACUCCUAUUGUAACCUAUGUAACUCCUAUUGUAACAUAUGUAACCUAUGUAACUCCUAAGGCCAUUAUCUUCACUAUUUACUACCUCCAUUAUCUUCCUAUUUAUUGCUAGGAAGACUUCUUGUAGUAUAAAUAGUGGUGGUCUUCAUUUGGUUUGUAACACACAAUUCAUAAGAGAAAACAAAAAGUGAAAGAGUUAGUCUAAAAGAGAGUUUUUAUAAGUUGAAAGGAGGUGUUCUUUUUUGUGGAGCACUCAACUCUUGUCCAGAGUUGUUGAGUUAUACUUUGUGAAGGCUGUUGUAUCCUGGAGGGGACAAGUCAAAGAGGACUACUGCUGGACCGGUGAAAACAUUUGCUGCAGUGGGCUUGAAUCUCCUUAAAGAGAGCGAGAUAUCCGCGCCUCAGCCUGAAGAGAUUACUUUCUUCAUUUUAUUUUCAAUUGUAAUCUUGCAAUUUUAUUAUCGUGUAUGUUUUUUCACUAACAGGAGCCGAUUAAAUUUGCAGUUAUUUUUUACUUUUCAGUAUGUCUAAUUCACUUCAAUUUGAAUUAAUCGUAUUUUUAAACUUGGAUUUGUAACACUAUCUUCAAUUUUUUUAAGUGUCUGUUGAACAUUUUAAGUCCAAACUAAUUAAAUUAUUAAAUAAUUAAAUUUAAAAAGACAUUGUCUAACUUUGAAGGUCUUCUAAUGUGUAACAAUCAGUAUGAUUUAGACCUAUUUUUAUAAUUAAAUGUAAUACGAAAUAUAUACGAGUCAAAAUGUGGUAUGCCAAUUAGGUGAAGUCUCAAUUUUAUUUUUUAAUAUCCCGACUACUUCUAGAAUAUUUUAAUAAUUCAUAUAAAAAUUAAAUCAUUUGAAAAUUUUUUAAAAUUUCAAUCCGAAGAACUUAUCUAAGAUUUAAACAUUUGUGGUGUUUUACAAUGUAUAAUAAUUUAUAUAUAUAUAUAUAUAUAUAUAUAUAUAUAUCAAUUCGUAUCUUAUGAAUUAUUACAAGAAAUAUCAUACUGAUAAUUGAAAAAAAUAAUUAAUCAUUAUGUAUUUUAUAAUAUUAUGAGAAUGAUAUGUAUAUAAUCUUAAUAAAUAAGCAUAUUGUUAUUAAAUAUAAUACAGUGAGAAGAAGACAAUAGAAGUAAAUAGGUACAUAAUUAUCCACAAUUGAUCAUAAAUAUACAUAAAUGAAUUCAAGUUAUUUAUGAAAAUAUCCAAUGGACAAUCCACUUAAUUAGUUCAAUGAAUUUAUAAUACUGCCAUUUGGAUGUUCAUAGAUAAUGUGCCUCGUUAAAACUUUACUUAAAAAAAUUCCGUGGGAAAAAAUUCUAGUGAAGGAAAAAGAGUUGAUACGAACUAUUUGUUGCCUCAUUAAAAACCUUUGCCAGGAAAAUCCAGUGGAAAAAAACCUCGGUCAAGAGAAAAAGAGUGCAACACGUAUUGUACUUGUUACACAUAUUUGAAAUUAGGAUGAAUAACAUAAAUUCAGGAAAUUAGUUGAGCCACGUCAUAAAUUAGUUAGUUAAUAUCGAGUUAGUUAAAGUUGUUAAGACUACUGUUGAAACAGUUAGUAGAUAUUUUCCUUUCAACUAAUUCAAUUGUAAAUCCUAUAUAGUUCUGAAUUGUAAAGGAGUUUCGGCAUGAAUAUACAAUACAACUCAUUUCUCUCUUAAAAUCUACAUUUUCCUUUCUUCUCUUCUUCUCUGUUUUUCCAUUGUUCUUAAUUGUUCUUUAGCAGUUACUUCUUUCAAUCCUCGAAUCUUAGUUGAUUCCUGCAAUUGAGGUAACAUUGGUAUCAGAGCUACACUUUCCUUGGCAACAAUGACAAAGAACACAAGAUUAACUGAAACUUUUGGUAACAGUGAAGUAGGUGAGUUGCGUGAAUUGAUGCAGAAGGUAUUAUCAGAAGUGAGAAAUCUUGCAGGUGAAGUGUCAAGUCUCAAGAAAUUGGAUCGGGUUGUAGUUGAAUUAAGGGAACAAUUAGCAGUAUCUGGGAAAAAUCGCAGGGGAAAAACACCAAUGGAUCAUCCAGAAAGGGAGGAGGUGCCGGAUGCAAGGAGGGUGUUUAAUAAAAGGUCUCAAAGGGAGAAAAGUUCCAAUAGUUUCACCAAUCACCAUUCUCAUUUUCCUCGAUGGUCAAGGAUGGAGUUCUUGAGGUUUUCUGGAGAAGAUCUUAGGUCUUGGUUAUUCAGGAUAGAACAGUUCUUUAAUAUAGAGAAUAUUCCUAUGGAUGAGAGGAUAGGAAUUGCAGCUUUACAGUUUGAGGGUGAGGCUGUUCAAUGGCAUUUGUCAUUCAUGAAGUACAGGCAGUACUUACAGUCACCAACUUGGAAUGAGUAUAUGAUGUCUCUUGUGGAAAGAUUUGGAGCAGACUACGAUGAUCCCAUGGAGGAGAUCAAGAAGGGGAAGCAAACAGGUUGUGUCAAGGACUAUCAAGCAAUAAUUGAGAGGAAUUUGACAAGGGUCAAUCUGUCUCAAGAGAAUGCCAUUAGCUGUUUCAUUAGAGGGUUAAAACAUGAGCUCAAUAUGGCAGUAAAAUUGGGUAAUCCUCAGACUCUAUCUUAGGUGUAUAAAUCAGCAAGGAUGCAGGAAGCUUAUCUGGCUGCUAUCAAACAACCUGUAGCCCCAGUGCAGAAUCAGCAAGCUAAUAGAAGGUAUGAAAUUAGUGAGCAGAAGUUUCAAAGCAAAUCACCUUUACUACUGACUCCCACUGUGGGUACAUCUAUGGCUUCAAAAAGGGUCAAUAGGAGAACUUUGAGUAUAGAGGAGAUGAAUGAUAGAAGAUCUAAAGGUCUUUGCUACUUUUGUCCAGAAAAGUAUACAUUUGGUCAUAAAUGCAAGAACUUGAAACAGUUGUAUUUGUUGGAGGUUGAGGAAAUAGAAGAGUUAAGGGAGGACUACCAGGAGGUUGGGCAUUAGGAAGAACAGAAAAUGGAGAUACAAGCUUUGGAGCAGAUGGAAAUCUCUGUUCAUGCUCUAAAUGGAUCACUAGGGGUACAGAACCUUAAAGGUUACUGGAUAUCAUGCUAAGAAACCUCUCCAUAUUUUGAUUGACACAGGAAGCUCUCACAACUUUAUUGAUCCCGAGUUAGUAAAGGUGCUGGGAUGUGAAGUAAGAUCUACUCUACCUCAAAGUGUGGCUGCAGCUAAUGGAAAUGACAUGCUAGUGGAGCAAAUGUGCACAAUCUCGUGGUUGCUGCAAGGAGCUGAAUUCACAGCUGAUUUUCUGCUAUUACCAUUGGGUUCUUGUGGGGUAGUACUUGGAGUGCAAUGGUGUUGACUCUGGGAGAUAUCAAGAUGAACUUUAGAACUCUAACUAUGGAAUUUUAUUAUCGUGGGAGGAAACAUUGUCUCAGGGGUGCAGGAAGGCAGGUUAUUCUUCCUGGAGCUGGGAAAUUAGCUAAACUGUCAGGUAAUCACUCUCAAUUGUGCAUAAUACAAGUUGUUCCAGACAUGAACACUGAGACGCAGUGGUAUGCACUGGAGACUAGGAAUCAACCUGAUCAGGACCCUAGGUUGUUAGAACUGUUGCAGGAGUUUAAGCAUUUAUUUGAUGAGCCUAAAGAGUUACCUCCAUUUAGAGGAACUUUUGAUCAUAGAAUUGUGUUACAGCAAGGGGUUGAACCAGUGAAUAAGCGACCUUACAGGUACCUUUCUAUUAAGAAGGACAUUAUUGAAAAUUUGGUUCAACAGAUGCUUAAUCAAGGUGUAGUACAACCAAGUUGUAAUCCCUUUGCCUCUCCUGUUGUGUUGGUGGGGAAGAAAGAUGGAACUUGGAGAAUGUGUGUGGACUAUAGAGAUCUUAAUAAGUACACUGUUAAGAAUAAGUUUCCAAUUCCCAUUGUUGAAGACUUAUUAGAUGAAUUGGGAGGGUCCAAGAUCUUUUCAAAAAUUGAUCUUAGAUCAGGAUAUCACCAACUAAGAAUGGCUGUAGAAGAUGUGCCAAAAACAGCAUUUAGAACCCAUGAUGGACACUUUGAGUAUUUGGUGAUGCCAUUUGGCCUAUCCAAUGCACCAGCAACAUUUCAAGGCCUUAUAAAUUUUGUUUUUAAAGUUUUUUUAAGGAAACAUGUAUUAGUCUUCUUUGAUGAUAUUCUUAUAUAUAGCAAGAACUUGGAGGACCACUUGAGACACCUCAGAUCUGUUUUUGAGGAAUUGCAAAAACACAAAUUAUUCGCAAAAGAGAGUAAGUGUUUCUUUGGGGUGCAGAGGAUAGAGUACUUGGGCCAUUUCAUAACUAAUGAAGGAGUUUCUACUGAUCCACAAAAGGUGCAAGCAGUAAAAAAUUGGCCUAAACUAGCCACCCUCAAGCAGUUGAGAGGUUUUUUUGGGUCUAGCUGGUUAUUACAGAAGAUUCAUCCAAGGAUUUGGGGUCAUUUCUAGACCAUUAACAGAUCUAUUGAAGAAAGACAAGUUUAAGUGGUCAGAAGAAGCAACCAUGGCUUUCGAACAACUUAAGGAUUCCCUAACAAAAGCUCCCGUCUUAGCCUUACCGGAUGCUACCAAGACAUUUGUGGUGGAGACAGAUACAAGUGGUUAUGGUAUUGGAUCUGUACUUAUGCAGGAAGGUCAUCCCAUUGCCUUCAUUAGUAAGUCUCUCUCACCUAAAAAUAGAGCAUUAUCUGUCUAUGAUAGAGAAUUACUGGCUAUUGUUCAAGCUGUUACAAAGUGGUCUCAGUAUCUGUUGGGUCAGAAGUUCACCAUCAGAACUGAUAAAAAAUCUUUGAAAUUCCUGAUGGAACAAACUAUACACACUAACUCUCAGUUAUUAUGGUUGACAAAGUUGAUGCCUUUUGACUAUAAUAUUGAAUACAAGAAGGGUAUAGAGAACAAGGUAGCAGAUGCCUUUUCAAGAGUCACUGGUGCUGAGUUGUUAGCUUUGGUAAUUUCUAAUACCAAUUCUGAUAUCCUACAAGCUAUUGUGGAUAGUUGGGUAAUGGACAUUGAGCUUAAAACUUUAAUUGAGCGAUUAAAGGUUGAUCCAACAGCGUGUAAACAAUUCACUUGGCAACAAAAUCAAUUGAGAAGGAAAUAAAGACUAGUUGUUGGUAAGGUCCACGAGUUGAGGAGACAGAUCAUAACUCUAUGGCAUUCUUUCCCUCAAGGAGGCCAUUCUGGGGUGGAAGCUACUUUGAAGAGGUUGCUCACACUUUUCUACUGAAAAGGCAUUAGAAAUUAUGUGCAGGAGUUUGUUUGAAAGUGUGAUACUUGUCAAAUGAACAAGUCUGACUUAGCAGCAUAUCCGGGUCUGUUGCAGCCUCUUCUGAUUCCUGAGGUUGUAUGGUCACAAAUUAGUAUGGAUUUUAUUGAUGGUCUUCCCAAGUCAAAUGGUUAUGAAGUGAUCUUGGUCGUGGUGGAUAGAUUAAGCAAGUAUGCUCAUUUUAUGCCUCUCAAACUAGGGGUGGGCAUAAACACCGAAAAACCAAAACACCGAACCGAAUUUUUUUAGAAUUUCGAUUUCGGUAUUUCGGUUUUCGGUUCGGUAUUCGAUUUAAUUUUUUGUAUUUUUUGGUAUUUCGAUUCGGUUUCGGUACAUAUUACUUUGGAAUUUGGUAUUUCGGUUUAAACCGAAAUAUUUAAAUUAUAUUAUAUUAAUUAAUAAUUAUUAAUAUUAAAUAAUUUUUUUUUAAAAAAGUAGAAAACCCUAAUACCCUACUUUGACUCUUUCUCUUUCUACCAAAUUUUUUCUCCUUUCAAUUCACUCCUCAUACUCUCCUCUUUAGCUCUUCUUCCUCUUCUCUUCUCCUCUUCCUCUUCUACUCCAACCACUCUUCAGCUCCAACCACUCUUGUCUUCAGCAGCGCCACCAGGCGCUAGCCGCCGUCCACAUCAAGGGAAGCAGCAGCAGCCGCGACAGCAGCACAGCAGCAUAGCAGCAACCAGCCGCCAGCUGCGACAGCACUCAGCAGCAACCAGCCGCCGGCCGUGCAACAGUUUGGCCCAUUAAAAAACCGAAAUAAAAACCGAACCGAAUUAAUAAAAACUGAACCGAAUUAACAAAAACCGAACCGAACCAAAAUAUUUCGGUUUGGUAUUCGGUACGCAAUUUACAAAAACCAAAAACUAAAAAAACCAAAAAAAAACCGAACUGAACCGAAAUACCGAAUGCCCACCCCUAUCUCAAACAUCCUUAUACUGCCAAAUCUAUAGCUGGGGUAUUUAUGGAUACUGUUGUAAGGCUACAUGGACUACCUGAUGCAAUCACAAGUGAUAGGGAUGCUGUGUUUUUGAGUUCUUUUUGGCAGGACUUGUUUACUAUCCAAGGAGUUCAAAUAAACACUUCAUCAGCCUACCAUCCUCAAUCUGAUAGCCAGACUGAAGUGUUGAACAGGUGCCUAGAGACUUACUUAAGGUGUUUCUGUUAUGAGGAUGCUACCAAUUGGUUUUCUUGCUUAGCCGUGGCAGAGUAUUGGUACAACACCUCUUAUCAUUCUGCUAUACAGACUACUCCCUAUGGGGCACUCUAUGGAAGACCACCACCACCUUUACAUCUACCAUACCUACCAGGAGAAUCAAAUUCAGCUGAGGUAGAUAAUACAUUGCUCAACAGGGAAUUGAAGCUACAACUACUUAGGCACCAUAUGUUGAGGGCACAACUUUGGAUGAAGCAGGAGGCAGAUUUUCAUAGAAGUGACAUGGUGUUUAAAGUUGGUGAUUGGGUGUAUUUCAAAAUUCAGCCAUAUAAACAGACAACUGUGUCAGGUCAACAAUUUCACAAACUUGCUGCAAGGUAUUAUGGUCCAUUUCAAGUGCUCAAAAGAGUUGGACCAGUGUCUUACACAUUGCUAUUUCCAGAUUCAGUGAAAAUUCAUCCUACUGUCCAUGUAUCACUAUUGAAGAAAUGCCAUGAAGUUCCUGAUCGCAUUUCCUACCCUCUUGUACUUAAUAUUGCUAACCUUCAUUGUCCUGUGCCUGAGGUUAUUUUACAAAGAAGAAUGGUGAAAAAAGGCAAUAAAGCUGUAGCCCAAGUUCUAGUUAAAUGGGAAGGGUUGCCAGCGGAGGAUGCAACUUGGGAGUUUUACAAUGCAUUGAAGGUCAGAUUUCCUCAGUUUGAUCCUUGAGGACAAGGAUCUGUUUGGUAAAGGGAGUAUUGUUACACAUAUUUGAAAUUAGGAUGAAUAACAGAAAUUCAGGAAAUUAGUUGAGCCACGUCAGAAAUUAGUUAGUUAAUACCGAGUUAGUUAAAGUUGUUAAGACUACUGUUGAAACAGUUAGUAGAUAUUUUCCUUUCAACUAAUUCAAUUGUAAAUCCUAUAUAGUUCUGAAUUGUAAAGGAGUUUCGGCAUGAAUAUACAAUACAACUCAUUUCUCUCUUAAAAUCUACAUCUUCCUUUCUUCUCUUCUUCUCUGUUUUUUCAUUGUUCUUAACUGUUCUUUAGCAGUUACUUCUUUCAAUCCUCGAAUCUUAGUUUAUUCCUGCAAUUAAGGUAACAGUACUCCCCCUGAUUAAAACAUUUCUUGAAAUGAUGUCUUCAAUCUUCGUACAUUCUGGUUGAUAUAUUCUUUUUCAAAGAAAAAUCACACAUUUCCUGAAUAUGGUGGGUUAUUUAUCUCAACCAGACGCACUCUCGACUUGCUUCAUGGAGGGCUUUUAUUUCUGCAUAGCAACAUUUGCUUCAUUGAUCGCCAGAAUAUUAUUGUGCCUCCAUAUGCAAACAAAUAGCGUAGUUGAGAUCAUGCUUUAUGCGGAUCAGAUAAAUAUUCUGCAUGUGCGUAACCAAUCAGCUCUGAUUUGAAUUCUUCGAAAAAGAAUGAACCCAUGUCUAUAGUCCUUCAAAGAUAUUCAAGUAUAUACAUAAUACCAUUUCAAUAUCCUUUUGUCGGGGAGGAACCGAAUCCUACCAAUUUACUGCAAAACAGAUAUCUGGUCAAGUAUUGUUAGCAAGAUGCAUUAGUACCCUGAUUGCACCAAAAGAUAUGGAGUUUCAUCACCAAGAAGCUUUUCAUCCUUCUCUUGAGAUCAAAAUGAAUCAUCAUUUAUUUCAUACGAUCUCAUAAUCAUUGGGUACUCAAUGAAUGUGAUUUGUCCAUAUAAAAUUGCAUCUAAGUUCGUCAAAUUAUCAAUCUGUAGGUCAAGACAAUAUUAUGUCUUACCAAGACCUUUUCACCAUUUCAAACACUCAACAACUUUUAAAAGCUCUUCCUUGAUUAUUUCAAUAUAUAUUAGGAUUUUUGAAGCUUUAUUGAAAAAGUUUCCUUCAAACUUUUAUAUGCUUCAGACACCUCAAUUGCUUCAAGGAUUUUCAUAUAACCUUCAUUGUCUAGCUAGACAUUACAAUUAUUUAUUACAUGCAUUCAAGUUUUUCAUAUGUUGCUAGAUCAAAACAAACCUCGUCGCGUUAACCAUAGGAGAAAACAUCUCCAAUAUUAUCAGAAUUUUUUCGACAAACCUUUAUGCCCUAAGGCACAAACCCUACUUGAUAUCUUACGGUUAUACUAUCACAUAAUAAUUUAUUUGUACCUCACUAAUAUUAUACCUUGAUUUAUGGAUUAUCAGUCCAAAACGUCACUUUUCUAAGUUAAAUAAAAUAUACUUGAAUUAUACAUUUUACUUGACCAACCAUUUAUGUGUCCCACUCUAUGACAAAUUUGAAUUCAAGAUCCUCGUCAUAAUUUAUAUCUUUAAGCGCUACCUUAUAUCAAAGAUACCGUCGAUAGUUAUUUGGUAUCGAUUUCAACAAGAUAUAACUUAUCGAGAUCUCUUCAUUUUUCAUUAUUUUUCAAUUACCUGAACCUUUUUCGAGGUUUUAUGGAGUAUUAUGUCAAUGUACUCUUUUAUAGCAUAUGUCUCAUUAUCAUGACCAUAUUGAUCAUUUGCUCCUUUUAUUUUUUCAAGAAAUUUUAUAUUUGGAAUUGAUUGGCCUAUUACGCUUUACGAUGUAUCAUAGACUCUGUUCUUCAAGAACUUCACAUUGGAGCAUUUGCAGCUGAAUUAUAUCAUAGGGUCAGUAAAUUCAUCUGGCAAUAGAUUUGCAACAUUAUGCAAAUGAAUUAUCACUUGAACUUCAAGUUCACAUUUUCUUAUAAAGAGGAUCUAGAUAAUUCAUAAUAAACCUCAUACAUAAUUUUCAGUUGCGAAUUCAUCUUUGUGCGUAUUAGAGCAAUUAAAAUCAUAACCGCACAUUCAACAUUUUAGAUGAAAAAAUUAUUUGGUUCUUGACCCUGAAUCAAUUUUAAUAGAAAAAACUUGUUGGCUUGAUGCAUAUAUGUGUUGCUACCUGUUAAAUUAUCUCAUACUUAAUCUUAUUAGGGAGCUUUGUUCUCAUAACUAUGAUUUACCUAUAAUUUGAGGCAUACAAUUUGUGUUAAAUUAACCAGUAUUAUCAAUAUAAUUUCAUAAUUUGGAAUUGUGCUCUUAAUUCAACAAUUUGAGCAAACAACCUUGCAAACACCAAUUUGUAAGUUGACACCAAAGCACAUGUGAUCAUCGCAUUGAUGCAUCCAUCAUAUAGUUGCAAAUGAUUCACAUGGCAGGUAAAUGGGUCCAGAUUCACCUUUUUAUAUGUUCCAAAAACUUCAGGGGAUUACAAUCUCAACCUUAGCUGGUACAAUGAAAACAGGCAACACAAGAGAAUUCUUGAAGAAUCUUUUAUUUCUUAAUCAUAUAAGCCACAUAAAUUCUCAAUUAUAUUUGCAUCACAUCCAAACCAUAAUGGUCAACUGGUCAUGCCAACUGAUAUUUAUUUCAUUACACGUAUAAUUUACUUUUGUAUGUGAUUUCAUCAGCAUGUUCAUGUUUGUCAGCAACAAACAAGAGGAAAAGUGGGGUAAUCUUUUACAUAAAUAUUUAUAACCCUUUUCGGUUGUAGUGAUUUAUUGUCUCCAUAUUUAUUUUCAAUUCAUCCGAAACUUAAAAAGUUUCUUUUGAGACUUACUACAAUCCCAUUAUUAUUCAUCUGAUAAUAAACACAACUCGUUAGAGCUUGCUAUUAAUUUUGUGUACUAUCACAUAUUGCAUGACAUCAUUCCCAUGGUGAGCAUCUCCUUCAAGGAGGAAAUUAUAUUAUUAUUGUCAUGGUCAAAAUCAUUACGAGCAAGACAUCUUUCUUGCUUUACUUUUGUUAUACCAUAGGUACACAACCAAUGACAAAUUUGCAUAACUACACAAUAAUGACCACAACCCUUACAGGCAAAAACUAUUUCUUUCUUUAAUUUUGCCCUUUCAGUAGUUCACAAUAAAUAUACCAUAGUGACAUAUAAACGUACAAUAUCAUUAAAUCAUUUCUACCAAAUAAAUUUGUUUCCUCUCAAACCUCCCGUAGAGUUGAGUUUGACAUAUAUCUUUUUUUUUCAAACCUCCCAUAGAGGUAAGUUGGCAUACAUCCAACCCAUAAUGAUUUUAUCACAUCUUGACCCAUUCUCUUAUAGAAUGGUCGAGCAUUCGCGAUACUCAUAACAAGUCACAUUUGCUUCAAGAAAUAGACUAAUCAUUUACAUGUACUUCAUAAAUUUACAUUAUAAGCACAUUAUCAUGAUUUUAAAUUCAUCAUAUUUCCAUGACACACCUCAACAUCACUUUGAAAGAUCAAGUGUAUUAUCACUUUAUCUUUUAGUCCUUUGAUGGAGGAUUUAUAAACUUGUCAAAUUAUUGAGUCGAUAAAAUUCAUAAGUCCAAUGACCUUUCGUAUCAUUUUAAUAAUAAAAAUUGCCUUCACAUUUUGAAGGACUAUUUGGAGAACCCAUAGUAUUCUUCCUUUAAAAAUUACUACAAUGAUGACUAUUAUAAUUUCGUCCCUUCACACACUUUUUCAUAUCGUUAAUCAUUUGUCAUCUUCCGUACUAAUUAUUUACUGCUACCACAUUCAUAUGAUUGAAUGGAGCAAGUCAAUAGGCGGAUUUCAAAGUUAUCACAUGUUGCUAUCACAAUUUUUUCAAGGAUGGAGCAAAUUCAAUAUGAUGAAUUUCAAGACUUUUCAUCACAAAUAUAUUAUUUUUGCCUUAAUCAUCAUUUUAUCACCACUAUGGUGCAUUGAGACUCAAACUCAAUGUCUUAUCCAUACAAGACACAUUAGGCCAUAGGGACUUGAACCCAAUACAUUAUCAUCACGCGCAUCAAAAACUCAAAUUGAUGUCUUACCCUUUUGGUGUGAUAGAAUUUGAAUCUAUCGUCUUAUCCUCAAAUAUUUUUCAUUAUGUGCAUUCGGGCUUUAACAUGAUGUCUUACCCUUUUUGGUGCGAUGGGACUUGAAUCCAUCGUCUUACCCUUAUUGGUACGAUGGGGCUUGAAUCCAUCGUCUUACCCUUAUUGGUACGAUGGGGCUUGAAUCCAUCGUCUUACCCUUAACCAACACUAUAAUAGAGCGAAGAACAACAUGACUAACCAUUUGAGUCUUUCAAAACAAUCAAAAUAAUACUCAAACUCAUGCUAUUAAAAUUUUAUAUACCUUCUUCCAUUUAAGAAGUUUUGUAUAGCAUGUCACAUUCAACUUAUAGUUGUAUAUGCCUUUGCAACUGAUAAUUGUUAGCGAUUGAAUACUAUUAUAUUCUAAAUAAUAAAAAUAUUUUAAAAAAUACAUACCUGAUUAUAAUACCUUGAUUCUUAUAACGAGAUCAACCAAAACAUGAGUUAAAGAAAAAUUAAAACUCAAUCUCAAUUGGCUAGAGUCUCGUGAUGAUAACGUGCUCAUAAUAUGAUAUAGUGAGAAGAAGACAAUAGAAGUAAGAUGGAUGAAAGAAGACUUUUCUUCUUAUUCAAGUGUAUAUCAAAUGGUGAGUGAUAUCUCUAUUUAAAGUGAUGAGACAUCACUCCCAAAGGUCACCAAAUAAAUAGGUACCUAAUUAUGCACAGUCCACAAUUGAUGAUAAAUAUACAUACAUGAAUUCAAGUAAUUCAUGAAUAUAUCAAAUGAACAAUUAGUUCAAUAAAUUUAUAACACAUACUACUCUUAUCUCUUUUAAAAAAUAAUUGACCCCAGAAAAAUGAAUUCUAACACAUAUUUAUUGUCAUUCUCUUAACAGAAAGUAUUCGUUAUUUUUCUUAAUUUAAGUUAUAAUUUCUUAAAAUAUUUAAUAGAAAAAUAUUGAAAAAUAUAUAUUAUAACUGAAUGUACGUAAAGACACGAGAAAUGAAUUCUAACAAUAUUAAGAGUGAAAAUUUAUAUUAUUUAUUAUUAUAAUAAUAAUAUUAAUAAUAUAAUGAAUAGUUAAUUUAAAAUUAUAUAGAAGUGAUUGAUUCUUGAAAAUAAAUUAAGCGUUGUAAGUUUUGAUUUAAAAGACUUAAAUUUCGUUUUAUGAGUCUGCCACUCAAUGUCAUAUUUUGUCUCAUUGUCAUUCUUAUAUUUAGAUAUAGUUAUGGUGAAAGAAUAAGUAUGUGUAAUUUCAAAAUAAGAUCAAAAAUCAAAACAAAAAUAAUCUUAUCAAAUCAAUUUAUAUGCUUAAGUAAAUUAGUUUGUAUUUUGAGUUAAUUUGAUUCUAUUAAAUAUACUGAAAAAUAAGUUUAUUUUUAAUAUUGACAAUUUUAUAUGUGUGUUUAAGUUAUUUUUAACAGAAAAUGUAUUUAUCAUUUUUUUCCAAUCAAAUGUAUUAAUUAUUUAAUUAUGUUUUGAGAAUUAGAUGCAUUAGGAGUAAGAAAAUGAAAGAAAAGAGAGGUGAGUAGGAGACAGAUCUGAAGUAAUUAUUAAUUAAAAAAUAAUGUCAGGUAUAGGUUUAGGAAAAGCUUCACAAAUAGGACUCAUCAAAAAACAAGCGUAAAUUAUAUAAAUUUUAUAGUUUUAAUAUAAAAUUAUAAUCUAUCUCUAAUAUAAGUUUUUCAUUAUAUUAAUUCCUUUAAAAUUAAAAAAAAAAGAUACAAUAAUUGAAGCUCGAAUACAUUAAUAUGUAAUUCAGAUAUAUUAAAUAUUGGUUCGCAUAUAUUAACAUGUAGCUCGAAUACAUUAAAACUAGCUCGUAUACAUUAAUAUGCAGCUCAAAUACAUUAAAUAAAUAAAGAGAUUUUAGAGAUUUUUCAAAGUGAUAGGAGAUAAUGGAUAUAAGUGAAACAAAAAAGUGUAUAUUUCUGUAUCCAUUAAACAAAGUAUUUACCCAAAAUUAGACCCAACUUGAUAUAUUUAUCCAGAUUGAACCUACAAUCAAACUAUUUACUUGAUGGCCGCCUUAUUCUAUUCACUGAAUCACUGCUUCUUCACCUUUUAUAUUAUCGAAGUAUUUAUAUAUAUACAUAUAUACUCAGAUGAUAUCUAAACUAUAAACUAUGAUAUUAUCAAACAAUAAUUAAACAAUGACUAUUUGUUCUUCCUUGAUAUCAACAGAGUAUAUAUAUACUCUAAUGGUAUAUUUGAGUAGUAUUUUUUUUACGAAAACACUGCUUCUUUCUCUUUUAUAUGGUUAGAUUAUACAUAUACUUUGAUAGUAUGAUUAAAUAGUAAACACAUUGGUCGAGAGUAUUUACAAACAAUUUGUCGACUACAUAUUGUAAUUAUUGAAACUUUAAGAAAAUUUUAAAGUUAUUGUUUUAUUCCAUCGAUAACACUGAAGGAAGAAAAUCAUGUAUAAAUAUUUGGAUAUAGAAUCCGUUGACUACAUAUUGUGAUUAUUAAAACUUAAAGAUAAUUAUAAAGUUACUGUUUUUUUCCGUUGAUGACACUGAUGGUAGAAAAUUAUCCAUAAAUACUUUGGGAUAUAAAAUCAAUUGACUAUUUAUUGUAAUGAUUUAAAGUUUAGAUAAUUAUAAAGUUAUUGUUAUUUGAUAAAAUAAUAGAAAUCACAUAUUUUAAGUAAAACUAUAAAUUAUCCCUUAAAAGUUUAUAAUUAUAAAAAUUUCUCAAAUGGAUACAUUAUUGGAAGGUUCGAAUACAUUAAUAACCAAAGCGAUGAUAUAUUAUAAAGAGGGUCGACUACAUGCGUUGAUACAUUAAAAAGAGGAUUGGAUCCAUUAAUGGAAGGUCCAAAUACAUUAAUGGCCAAAUAAUCAAACUGUUGAUUCGUUAAAAAGAGAGUCGAAAACAUAAAUGGAGUGUCAGAUAUAUUAAUAUCGUUUUUGACUCAAGAGAAAAAUGAGAGAUAUUGACAAUUUAUAAAACUUAUAAGGAGAUAAUGAAAAUAAAUAAAUUAAAAGGUGGGAUUUCUAUUUUCUUUAUUUUUUUUCCAUAGAUGACACUAAUAGAAAACCUGGGUCUAUUCAUAAAAGGUGCUUUAUUGCCCAUUACAUUAUUUAUUUUAUCGAAAAUCAUCUCAAAAAGAUUUUAAUAUUUUAAUAAAUAUUUUAUUAAAUUAAUUUAAUUUAAAUCAUGAUUAUAAUUUUAAAUUAUUUAAUUUAUAAUUACGUUAACUAUUCUUAUUUUGUUAAGAUAAAAAAACUCGUAAACUAAUAUUAAUUCAUCUUAUUUAGUUGUUAGCCAAAUUUCUUGGCCCUUUUUUACCUAUCGAGCAACCCAAACCAAUUUUGGGCCCAUUUCCCACCAAAAUAUUCAACAAAAUCUUGAACUAAAAUUUGGGACAAAUUCCAGCUCGUCCUUUAUCCCUUUGAAAUUUCAAAUUUUGAACUAAAAUUUCCACAUCGUUUCCCCCCUCAAAUUCGACCUAGAAUCUUUCCUAUUUAAAUAUUCUUCAUUCACUGUUUAAGGGGACGAGUUUUAAAACCCGAGAGUACCUUUAAGGUUUUGAGAAAUCUUGGUUCAAUAGUUUAACUGUUAUGAUUGUUCGAGUUGAAAGAGGUUGUGGAGUCGUCUUCUCAACUCACCGUUUUGAUUCGCUGUUCAGAACUAGGUAAUUUUCUUUCGAUACAAAUUUCUAGCUCCAUUUUUUUAAAAAAUUUAUUAUUCGUGUUGUAUGUCUAUAUAGUUUGAUUUGAUUAGUGUGAAUAUGCAGUUAAUGGCGGCAAGAGUCAUAUUUAUGAACAUUCACACUAAUCAAAUCAAAAAAGAAACAUAACAUUUGAGCUUCCUAAAAAAUAUGUAAUUAAAUUACUCUCUUUGUUUCUAUUUAUUUGUUCAUAUUUUCUCUUUUAGUUGUUUCUAUUUACUUGUCUAUUUUGACGAAUCAAGAAAGGACAAUUUUUUUCCUAUUAUACCCUCUUGAACUUUUUGAAAAUUUUCAAGUUUUAAUUCAUCAUUUUUGAAAAUCAUAAUUAAUAAGGGUAAAAUUAUAACUUCAUCAUGCUAAUUAUUGCUAUCUUAAUAUGUGUGUCAUUUCUAAAGUGGACAAUUAAAUAGGGAUAUGAGAAGUACUAUAUAGACAUAGAACACGAAUGAUAAAUUAAAAAAAGAAAACGGAGCUAGAAAUUUGUAUAAAAAGAAGAUUACCUGGUUUUGAGCAGCUAACGGAAACGACGAGUUGAGAGGACGACUCCACCACCUCUUUCAACUCGAACAACCACAAAAACUAAACUAUUGAACUAAGAUUUCCCAAACCUUUAGGGGUUCUCUCAGGUUUCAAGACUCAUCCCUUGUCCAAUUUAUUUGAUCGCAGCAAUGGCGGCAAGAGUCAGAAAGGGGCCAAAUUCCCUUUUCAUCCGCUCUUUAUUUUAUUUAGUUAUUUGCUUUAUUUGUGAAUAUGUGUUGGAUUAUCGCUAACUUUUAACAUUUUAUUUUUGUCUAUUUAGAUGAAUUCUUGGAGAAGUUUUCUAUUUCGUUUUGCCAAGUUUUCAAAUUCUUUAAGUUAGGCAAUUUAAGCUUUUAGACUAACUUGAGAAUUAUUCAUAUUCUUUCAUAGUUGAUAAUUAACUUUGAAUCUAUGUUUAUGCGUUAAAUUAACUAUUUAAAUCAAAUUUUUGAAUAGAAUAAAAUUUUUAAGUUUUUUAAAAUAAAUUAGUUGUGUUUUAAUUUAACUUAAGACUUUGUAUGAAUGACUUAAGGAUAAUCUAUAUCCUUUCAUAAUUAUUAAACAAGGUCCCUUGAUCCAUGUUGGUGAGUUUGAAUUAAUUGUAUGUUCAGAACUUGACAAUGGAUAAAUGUUUCUAGUUAGAUUUAUCUAGAGAUUUUUAAAAGUAUCAAAAGAUUUUCAUUCAAGUUUUCAACAUGUCUCUUUUUAGUAAUUUAAAUUCUCUAUAAAAUUAACCAAACUUUCAAAUCUGUCAGUCAACCACACGCUAACGAAUUCUCCAAGAUGCCUAAACCCUUCCUUGGAGAAUUAGUUGAACCCUUACCAGACUCUGAUUUGUUUAAAUGUUUUCUUUCAAAAAUUCCCUUUUAAUUGGUUUUCUUAUUUUUUUUCUUAAAAAAUUAAGUGGCAACUUUCAAAUUAUAAUAAUUUUUCCCAAAAAAAAAAACUUAACAAAAUUACCAAAGUAGUGAAAUCGAUUAAGAAAAUCUUUAGUUUUCGAAAUCGGGUCAUAACAUGUACAAUAAAAAAUAUUUGUGUUUUCUAAUAAUGUUAUGAAUAAUAUUUUAUAAUCGCUAAAUCAUCAAAGAAAUAAAAAGGUGAGAGCGUUGUUAGAAAAAUGAAAUUGUAUUUGGUUUAAUUUAUACAUAUUUCAAUCUCUGUGUUUAAUUUCAAAUAUAAUGAGAAAAUAUGUUAUCAAAAAUCUAUUAUCACUUGCUAUUUCUUUUAUGGUCAUACGAUUCAAAAUAUCAUUAUAUAAUAUUUUUGGUAACUUAUAAGUGAUAGAUGCAUGAGUCAAAGAGGGACUAAAAUCUAUUAUCACUUACUUUGAAGUUAUGUGAUUCUUUUAAAUCAGACAAAGUAGGAACUCUUUUUAUAUGGUUUAUAAGUUAUUUGUCUUCUACGAAAUAUUGUAAAAAUAUUAUUUCUAGUUUACCUCUCAAACAAUUAUUGAUCGUGUUAUUACUAUCUUGUAAUGAUGCAUAUUAAUUAUUAAUAUAUUAUCCUUAUUUAUCCAAAAAAGAAGAAGAAGAAGAAAAGUAUAACUUUAGUAGAGUUAUACAUGUAUUAAUAAUGUAGAGAUUAAUUAUGAAAAAGUUUAUGUAUUAUUUUAUAUUGAUAUUAGUUUUCUCACCUUCUAUCCUGUAUAAAAUAAACAUAGACUUCCUUAUAACUUAUCCAUGUAUUAAUUAUAUGAAUUUUUAAAUUGCAAGCUCAAACAACAUAUUAAUUUUACACAUGAAUAGUUUAUCUCGUAAUCAACUAUCAAACAUGUUAUAACUAUAUGCACGAUUUUAUUCUUUUAUAACUUAUCCUCAAAUCAGCUAACAAACAACCUCAUAUUAGUCAUUCCACCUUCUAUUUUGUAUAAAAUAAUAUACAUAUUUUUUCAUAACUUAUACAUGUAUUAAUUGUGCAUGUUUCUAAAUUGCCAACCGAACUUCAUACUAAUUUUAUACAUAAAUAGUUUAUUUCCUAUCUAUCUAACAAAUAUCGUAUAAGUAAUAUACAAAUAACACUCUAUGUCCUUGAUCAUUCAUUCAAUUUUUUUGUUGUACUUGUUCACUUUAACAAAUCAAGAAAAGACAAUUUCUUUUUAAUUAGUAUACCCUCAAUUAAUUAAUUUUGGAAAAGGUAGAAUUUUUUGAAAAUCUUAAAAUUUUAAUUUAUCCACUUCAUAAAUAAUGAAAAUAAAAAUGUUAAACUUACUGUGUCAAUAAUUUUUUUCUUAAUAGACAUGUCAAUUCAAAAUUGGACAAAUGAUUAGGAAUGUAGUACAUGAAUAACUUGUUUCUAUCCAACUAUCAAACGAUUCCUUAGUUAUCUGUACGCUAUUCAUUUUAACGCCAUAUUUUAAAAGGCUUAUACUCCAAACUCAGCACCAAGAAUUCAAUCCCUAAUCUCUCUUACUCCUUCCGUCUCUUUUUACUUGUCAAAUUUUCACUAGACUUACCUAUUUAAAAAACAAUAAAUUGUAUAGUGAGUUUAUCAUUUUAUCCUUAUUAAUCAAUAUAAUUUCAGAUAUAUUUAUUUAAUACAUAUUUCAAGGACGUUAACUCAGUUAAUAAAUUAAGGGUAUAAUAAGAAAAAAAAAUUAUUUUUCCUUUAUAUAUCAAAGGAAAUCAAAUUAGAAAAUAUUUCACAAGUAAAUAGGGACGAAAAGUGUAUGAAAUAUCCAUUACUAUACAUAGAGUUACGUAUCGAUCGGUUUCACUUAUUAGUUAUCGAUUUGUAGAGAUGCUAAACAGUUAUAGAAUCAUUAAAGUAUCAACUUAUUGGUUAUUGAUUUAUCGGUUAAUGACCGUUAUCAGUUUUCUCGUUAAGGUUUGACAUAAAAAAAUAUUAAAAAUCAAUUUAAAAUAAGGUGACAAAUCAAAUGAACCAUGCACAUGCGUUCAAAAAUUACAUCGUACUAAAAAACAAUCAAUUUCACAUUAUAGAAUAAUCAAGAGUUCUGGGACAACUAUAAUAAAAGUAGAAAACUAAACCCUAAAUCAAAUAUAAUACAAAUAUAAUUAUUUAAUUUACCAUCGGACUAUUGAUUAAGAACCUAUGACAAAAAAAAAAUCAAAAUCGGCUAUUGAAAAACUAAGUAACUUUUUUUCGAUUGGAAUUAUCGAUUUCAGUUCGAUUCACGCUUUUGGGUUGAGGAGAUCUUUUAUUAGUAUAAUAAAUUUAUUGAAAUAAAAAUAUAUAUUUUUUUAAUUCCACACGCAAACUAUUUAUUACCCAAGCAAAAAAAGAAUAAAAGAAAAUAAAAUGAAAGAAAUCUUCUUCUCAUAUUUUUGGAUGCCUGCAACACACUUCCCAUUAUUCAAAGCCGCGUCUUCCAUUUCUUCUCUCUGUACAUACGUCUCUAUCUUCUCUCUUUUUCAUACUUUGCUCUUUGCAUAAUCAUUUUUUUCACCUGCUCAGAUUUUAUUUUUGUUUUUGGUUCAGUGCUUGCCAUGUUAUUCAUCUUUUGAGGUAAAUUUUAUUUGUUUUUUUUCUCAAUUUAAGCUUGUUAAUCCCUUUUUCUUGUUGCUUGUCUUGUUUAUUCUCGAUUUGGGUUUUUCUGAAUCUGCUUGGUUUUUGUUAAUUUGGGUUUUUUUUUUCUGUUUUGCAGCUCUUAUCUGCCAUGUUCAUGAUCUUUGAGGUAAAUUUCAGCUGGGUUAUUUUUCUUUUUUGCAAUUUAAGCUUGUAAUCGUUUUUCUUCUUACUUGUCUGGCUUAUACUCGAAUUGGGUUUUUCUGAAUCUACUUGGUCUUUGUUGUUUUGGGGUUGUUUUUAAAUUCUAUGGGAGUGUUUUAUUUUUGUCUGUUUUGUAACUCUAGAGUGAUCUUUGAGGUAGACUUUAGCUGGAUUCUUUCAAUUUAAGCUUGUAAUUCGUAUUCUUGUUACUUCGUCAUGCUUAUUUAUUUAUUUGGUUUUUUCUGAAUCUCUUUGCUUUUUGUUGUUUUGAAAUUAUAUGCAAGUUGUUUUCUAUUUUUUGCAAUUCAAUCACACUAUCUAAUAUCGGGUGGGAUACGAUUUCCUUCUUUUUGAGCUAAGUUUUGGUUUGAGUGAGGUCGAAAGUUCCUUACUUUAUCAUGGUAUCUUAUAUUCUCCAUGCUCUAGAUGUCUAUUCUAUUAACAACGUAUUGGGGUUGAGUUAGACCGAAAGGUCUAUUUCCUUAUCGAUAGAUUUGUGAGCUUUUUUUAAGUGUGUGUGGAGUGGGGGGUGGGAGAGGGUUGAUUUCAUACAUUUCUCACUAAUGGGUGGUUGAUUACAUGCAUUUCUUGCUCAUGUUCUUUUUUUUUUUUGGGAUUUUGAUGUGUUGUUAUCAAGUUCAACAAUGCAUUGAUGCUUGCAUUUAUAAAGUAUGUAUUCAUAUUUAGAGUAGGAUUCAAGAUUAGAUCUCAUGCAUUUCUCACUAAUGAGUGGUUUGGGUUUUUGAUUUCUGUCUUUUGAUCAAGUUCAAUAAUGCACUGAUGUUUAUAUUGUAUAUAUUCAUAUUUAGAGUGGGAUUCAAGAUUUGAUUUCAAUACAUUUUCGCUAAUGGGUGUUUUGGGAUUUUGAUUUCUGUCUUUUUAUCAAGUUCAUCAGUGCACUGAUGUUUGCAUCUAUAUUGUAUAAUCACAUUUUGAGUAGGGUUCAUGUUUUUGUAAGUUAGUGGAUGAAGAUAGAAAUAGCUGCAGAUAAGUUUAUGUAUAUCUGCAGCUGUAAAUGCUUUCAUUUUGCCCUAAACAAGGUUUCAGUAAUUCAAUUUGGCUGAUGUUAAUAGGAGUUCGUUGAGUUUCCUCCACUAUGACGAAGUGUCAUGUGUUGUAGUUUCAAUUUCAGUGUGUCUAGGGGAUGUUAUACACUUUUCCUUUUAAUUUUGCUACUAAAAGCUUGAAGUUCUAUUGUGCACCCUUGCAUGAAGUCUCGUAAUUCACGUGUUAAAGACCUUCUCUUGAGAAAGAAGAUCAAGAAGAUCCAAUGCAAUGAGCUUAAGAGAUAAACUUGCUAUAAAAUUGAUAUAGGAAAGAGGGAUAUGGGUAGAAGAGAAAAAAAGAAAUAAGAAACAAGGAAGUGUAAAAACUUGUCUAAUGAAGUGUCAAGUAUGUCUCUUAUAUACUCAUUCAUGUGAAAGUUGAUUGAGAUCAUUUGUGUGCUUCACUAUACUCAUGGAAAAAUGGAGAAAAGAGGAAAGUUUGAGCUGAAGAGAGAAAAUACUUGCACAAGGUUUAAGUGAGUUGAUUUGGUUCAUCUGAUCAUGAUAAUCUAGUUAUCUGUGUGUCUAUGUUCGUUCAUCUUGCUUCUCAUUACGCUGUGUUGAAAUUGGAUGGACUUCAUUAAAGUAGUAGGAGGGCCUUGGCCAAGCAUUAGGGUUUUCCGUCUACCUUUCUCCCCUGUUCUCGCACUGCUUCAUCAUUGCGUUUCUCCGAAUUGGCAUUAGUUUAUAAAAGAUAAGACUGCCACAUUGAAAGUUGUUAUUUUCUGAUUUGUAGGGUCAUGGUCCUAAUUUUUGUUAUAAAUUAUAAAUAAAAUUGAGAAGGAUUUUUUCAAUCAAAAAAUCCGCUCUGAUAAGCUAUAUCAACUUGUACUUCUCUUAUGUCAUUAGGAAAACAUAAUUUGGUGAUUCAAAUAUUUGUUGUAUCCUACUGACUUAUAGAAAUCAUUCUCUAUCUAACCAGGGCCGAAGCAAAGCAUCUUUCAACUUUCAGGCAUGUUAGGAAUUCCUUUAGUUUCUGAACAGACGGUCUUUGCAUUUGUCAUUAAGCUCAGGAAGUUCUCACAACUAGAAAAAAUUAGGGAGUAUAUACAGUAGUUGUGGGGUGUGCGUGAAAGGUCUUAGUCUACUAUACGUUCUGAUUGAAGAUAACUAUUACUUUUUCUCAAUCAUAGUGAAAUUUUACAUGAAUACUAAGGAUGUGUCUUGACCGUUGUAUGCAUACAGUCCCAUAAACUUAAAAUUAAACUCAUCUAGAUAUCUGGUCUUUAUGGUUCUACGAUUUGUUAGUCAUAGCAGCAAUGUAAUCUUAGGUUGUGAUGUUUUUGCAGUGACAAAGAUUAGCAUCUUUGCGCGUGUCCCAUUCUCUUCUCCAACCCUAUUGUAAAAGGUUUCCUAUUUCAAAUAUACUUGAAAACUCAAAUGGAGGUUAAGCUAUGGAAUGACAAGCGUGAAAGAGAAAUGUAUGACAACUUAGCUGAACUCUUUGCUAUUAUCAAAGCAACAGAGAAGCUAGAGAAGGCUUAUGUUCGUGACAUCAUUUCAGCAGCUGAAUAUGAGACUGAGAGUCAGAAACUCAUUGCUCAGUUCAAAACCCUAUCAUCUACAUUAAGGGAUACUGUACCUAACAUUGAGCGAUUUCAUGACACAUACAAAAUGGAUUGCCCUGCUGCCCUAAACCGGCUUGUGACCUCUGGCGUGCCAGCUACUGUAGAACACCGAGCUGCUGCUGCAAUGUCAUCUGUGAGUUCAGCAGCUGUUGUGGCCGAAUGUGUGCAGAAUUUCAUCACUGCAAUGGACUCGUUAAAGUUGAACAUGAUUGCCGUAGACCAGGUCUAUCCCCUAUUAUCAGAUCUGUCAUCUUCCCUCAAUAAACUAUCGAUUCUGCCAGUGGAUUUUGAAGGGAAGACAAAGAUGAGAGAGUGGCUUUCAAGACUGUCGAAGAUGGGGGCUGCAGAUGAGUUGACAGAACAACAGGCUCGCCAGCUCCACUUCGAUCUGGAAUCGUCAUACAAUUCUUUCAUGGCAUCACUUCCCACUGAUGGAAGUUAGCUGACUAUAUCAAUAGGUGGUAUGUUUGUAAAUACCAUUGUUAUUUUGUUUAGUAAGUUCAUAAAUCAUAACACAUAUUAUUCCUUCUUUAAUUGGAGCGCUAGUGAUUAUCAGUGAAGAUGAAUUGUGUUUAUUUUGGGACUUCUUACAUGUUAUAUAAUUGUAAGAUUGGUGGUGUACCCAUUUUCCUUUUGAGCGGAUGAUUUAUUGGAAACAACCUCUCUACCCGGUUUGGGUACAUCCUAUACUCCCCAAACCCUACUUGUGGGAUUGCACAGGUUAUGUUGUUAUGAUCGUAGUAUCAUUUUUUAUGCUACGAACACAUUGUGGAUAGCACUACUAUCAAUCUAUAUGUUGAAUGGGCUAUAUUACUUGGUUUUGUUGAUUGAUUCGUUCCUCGUUUUAUGUUUUGGGUUGUGGAUUGUGAUAUCAAAUUGCACGAGGCUUGCAAAAACGAGUUUGAUCUUGAAUAGUAAAAUGAUACUUGCAUUUGCUCACAGUCCGUCUGUCUUGACUUUGUUGAUAGGUUUCUUGAUUUAUUGUUAUAUAGUCGUUAUGUCAUCCUGGAUUUAUCUGUGUGAAAUUUACUGGAAUUGUUGAAAAAUAUUGAACUACGAGCCCUCGAGGUGAUGGGGUUAGUGGUUGGAACCCGAGUUUGGAAUAUAUAGAAUUAAAAUUCUGGAUCCGCCUUUAAUUUUAACUUUCGUUGAACCGAAUGAUGCCGGCUUAUUCUCAUAAACUUGACUCUGUCAUUUGUCAAUAACUUCGUGGUGACAUAUUGAGUUUAGGUUUUGAGUCACUUUCAUGAGCUAAGUAUUUGAAACCUUCAAAUAUAUAGUCAUGUUUGCAACUGCUUUCUUUGACAUUUUUUUAAACAAAAAGAUGCAUUAUUGCAUCAAGUAUGGUUUGUUUAUUACCUCAAAAGUCUUUGACAAAUAAUAAUGAAUUUUGAACUCAUAAUUUACAAGUGCAAAUAUUUAAUGUUAAGAACCAUUAGGUUCAUUGAACCAAACAAAAUUAAAAUCUUGAAUUUGUUUAUAUGUUAGAGAUAUUAUGCUUUUCGAGCGCUACCUAAUAUUAGUUGUGUGUGAAUUAGAACUUUCCCUAUGAAGUGUUGAAGAUAUAAGUGAAGUAGUAAAUUUUGAUAGAAGCGAAUAUAUAAUUGAGUAACUUUCACAUAUAGCUAACAUAAAAAUUAUAUUUGUAUGCUAUAGCUAUAGCUUGUAUAAUUGCGUUUCAUAGCAAACAUAAAUAUGUAUAUUUCGCUAUACAUAUUUUAAAAAAAUAGUUGUAUAACUUGCUAUACAUAUACAAAGAAACCAGUUGUAUAAUUCUCUAUACAUAUACAAAAGAAAGCAGUUGUAGGAGAUCCUGAACUAAGGUAUGAUUCCACUUUCCUUUGACGUAUGUAUAAAAUGAGAAAGAGAGAAAGGCAAAAGAAAACUGGUCAGGAAAUAUUUGUAUUGUAUAGUUAUAUGUGUAUAGGACGAAGAUAUACGUAUUUGCAUGUGUAUAUAUAAUUUUCUAUCGCUUUAUACAAACAGAAACACAAUUUAUACAUUUCGUUUCUGUUUGUAUAAGCGAGAGAGGCAAGGGUGGCGAGCGAGAUCUGGGAGAGUGGCGAGGGAUUUGGGAGAGGGUAACGAAAAUAUAUGUAUAUAUAUAAUUUCCUUUCGCUUUAUACAAAAACAAACACAUUCUAUACAUUUAUGUUUGUAUAAAAACGAGAGAGGCGAUCGAAACUAUCACCAAAUGAGAGUGGCGAGCGAGAUUCCACCAAGAAGAGGCGAAAAUAGCAAUAAUUUGCUAUAGGGUACAAUUGAAUCAAAGUAUAUUUAAAUAAAGCUUUUGUUUAUUAUGCCUAAACCCUAGAGAAUCGGUUAGUUCAUUAUUAAAACUUCAAACGUUUCUAAAUUUCCAUACAAUUCAUUUUCUUUAUAUUUUAGAUUCGCCUCGAAACAAAUUUGAUUCUUAUCAGAUCGUUAUCCUCAAAUUAAAUUGCUCCUGGUUAACACUACCAUAUAUUUUAAAUACAAUAUUAAUUUUGUAUGUCCAUAUUCAUUCUUCAAACAGUUUAUAGCAGUUGGCUGUUUCAUAAAAGUAAAAGUUUAUUAUUUAUUAUAUGUCACUGAUAAUAAAUUCCACUGUCCCCAAUUAUUAGUAUAUACUAUAGUCUAUAUCAUCAAGAAGUACUUUACAUUAAGAUUUUAUAACAUAAAAUAUUUAUUGACCCAUCACGAUUGUUUAAGUCAUUAGAAAAUUUAUGAUGACUACCUACUUAUAUUGAUGAGGAGGAGCUAGAAGUUUGAACGUAAAUUUAGUAAUUUUAUUCAAAUAAUGUAAGAAAUUAUAAUUAAGCAUAUGAACCACUCACAAAACCAUCGAGAUCUUUUGACGAGAAUUCUAAGGCCAAAUUAUUGGAUCGAAGUAAAGUUUCUAUUUAAUCUAGUAAGUGUGAAAUUAGGUCUUAGGCCUAACUCACACCCCAAAAGCUAGCUCAAAGAGAGGAGGAUUGCCCAAGCCUUAUAAAGAGUUCACCCAUCUCAUUAAUCACCGAUAUGGGAUUUUUGUUAUUCUUUAACAGUAAAAUUCUCUUGAAUAUAAUUAAAAAAUAUCAUAAAAGUUUAUUAAAUAUAUAUAUAUAUAUAUAUAUAUAUAUAUAUAUUAAAUCUAAAAGAACCAAGAGAUCAUCAUUCGAAAAUUAAAAAUUCAUACAAUCAAAGUAAAGACAUUGACUCUGUGUAUAACUAUCCUCUUAAAAUAAAUUCUUGUUAGGUUUGGAGUUAAUGUAGUGCUUGUACAUCACAAGACAAACGAUUCAUAAAAACUUACUCGUACUCAAAAUCUAUAAUAUAAUUUUUCAACGAAAUCUAUUUAUGAUGUGUUUAAAUACGUAUUGCAAAUUGAAUUUUACACCAUAACAAACAAUACAAAACUAUUAAAAUUUGUCUAUAACAUAUACUUAUCGAACCUUCAUACCUUCAUCGAUUUGGUGUAAAGAUGUUUUUCCUUUUUAUGUACAAAGUCUAUAUUAUCACUUAAUUAUGGUAAUUGACUUUUUUUAAACUCAGUUUUAUACUUAAUAACAUAGAAUUAAUUGUGAACAACUUUAAGGAUUUCAAGGAGGACUAACCAAUUUUAGUUGACUAAUGUACUCUUCUUUACGUGUUGUUUAGGACAAAUUAGCAAUUUAAUUAGGUUUUCUAAAUUAAAAGUCAAAAAAUACCAAAUGACAAGAAAUUUAAUUAUUGUAGAAUCCUAGAAGGAAUAUUUUAGUGUGUUGUCAACUACUAUCAAAGUAUUCAAGUAAUAUCCUAGUUUUAAAAUUGUCAGAUUUUGCAAUUAUAGGCUCCACAAUACUUAAUUAUUCUAUAUUUUUAAAUUAAAAGAUUGUUAUAGUUGAUUUUGACGAUAAAAGAUUUAUUAAAUGUUUAUAUCAUUCCACCCUAACUCUAAUUACUUAUCUUUUAAAUAACACAAUAGUGUAAUUAAUUUUUUAGUUAAUCGUACUGUUCACUUUGUUCAGUAAUAGUUAUCCGCUAUUAAAUCACCUUAACUCAGUGCUUGCUGUUGCACUAGGUGCUAAAACAUGAGUGUUUUGUAUCCAUUGAGCAAAAACGAAGGGAGUACUAUAUAAAUAUUUGAUUUUUUUUUAUCUUACUUGACUCCUAUAUUAAAAUUAGAUGUUUUUUUUACUUAUCAAUGCAUUUUGUAAUAUCAAGGAAAUUUUUUUAAUUUUUUUCAUAUUAUCUUUAAUAUUAAAUAACGAUAUAAAAUUCAUAUUUAAAAUAUUAAAGGAUUAUCAAAGUAAAAGGGUUUGAAAAAUACUUUAAUUUUGAUCGAAAUUAUUGUUAUAAUAUCAAACUUUAUGAAAGACUUUUUACCUCCCUGCACUAUUUAAUAGUAUAUUUCAAACUUAUAAAUAUGCUAACGUAGAUAUUUUACUAUUUAUAAUGAUGCAAUAGUUAUGAUGUCCACAUUUAACAUAUAUAUACUUUUAAAAUAUAUUAUUAAAUAAUAUAGAAAUAAAAAAGACAUUUCAAAAUUCAUAUUACAAUAAUAUUUAUCAAAACUUAAAUAUGUUUUAGAUUUUUUUCUGAUUAUUAACAAAUUAAUUUAGUAAAAUAGACUGUUAAUAAAAGUUUUUUUGGUACUUUUACAUUGAAUACGAACAUUAAUGAGUCAGAAAUGGGAACCACAAGGAUACUAAACAACUCACAACUUCAUUAAAUUAUGACUGAAUGGUGGAUGCCAAUUAAAUUUUAGUGUCAGACAUAUUCAUAGUUUUCUUGUUGAUAUUAAUUAAUCCGUAGAGUAAGAAUAGUUCGUGCGUUGCGGACUUUGAAAUAUUGUGCCUUAUCGAAAUGGUGAUAAUAUCGAUUUAUAAAAGUUUGUGUGUUGGGGAUUCUGAAAUAUUGUGCUUUAUCGGAAUGAUGACAAUAUCAACAUAUAAAAUUAGGUGAUUUUUUAUUUUUCUUUUUGAGAUAAUUAGGUGAUCUUUUAUUGUAUUUUCUUUGUCAUGUAUUAUAUGUUAUUUUUUUAAAAAAUAUCUGGAUCAUAAUAUAUGUCAUUUUAUAAAAUUUAGAUAUGAAUCACCAUUUUUAUCCAUUAUACCUUUGAUCAAUUAAGUAAUUAAUCUUAAAAAUAUAUUUACUUUGACUAACCUAGAAAAUCUAUAAGUAAUUAAUUUCAUUGGAAGAGUACUUCAUUCAUUAAUUAUAUACCUUUUUUAUUCACUACUUAUUCUAUAAAAUAUGAUUUUGAAAAAAUAAUAAUCAACGAACAAUUAAAAAAAAAAAGAAGAUGAAAAUGGAGGUUACAACUACAUGAAUCAUCUCUAAUGUAGUUAAACAAGAAUUAAUGAUCCUAAUGACUCUUCGUUUACAUUGUCAUCAUUUAAAUUUUCAUCUAUUAUUAAUCGAAAAAGAAAAAAAACUAUGAAUAGAAAAGAAAAAAUGGUCAUUUUUGCUUUAAAAAUUUAUAUAUAAAAAUAUUAAAAGACAUUUUACACAAAAUAUAUAGGAAAAUUGAGGUGGUAAAAACUUGAUUUUUGAAACUUUUUUGGAUCAAUUGGUAAAAAAAAAAAAUUGGAUGCAAAAAUAAACUCUAAAAUUUAAAUAGUUAUCCAAAUGUAUUUAUGUUUAUGAAAUUUAAUAUUUAGUCACUUAUUACAAAGUUGUUACAAGCAAAUAUUAAAUAAGGAUAUAAGGAUAACAUUACCUUAUAUCUUAAUGCAAGUGCAAAUGAAAAAAGUGACAUAACGGAGGGAGUACAUAUUUAUAGAGAAGCAAAUUUUUUAGCUGAUGGUGUCUCUAUGAUUAGCGGUGUGUAUUCGGAUUUUUGAUAUUGUAUUAUUUAGUUUGGAUUUUUUUAUUUUUUAUUUUAAAGAAGUAUAAUGUAAUUCCAACCAAAAUCAGAUUUGGUUUGGUUUGAUUUUUCUCCUUUUGUUUAGAUUUUUCAAUUCGACUAUUGGUUAUACCAAUAAUUAGAAACAUAACAAAGUUAUAUUUGCAAUUUGAAAAAAAUGAAUAAUAUAUAUUGAAUUUUUUAAAUAUACUUUUAAUAUUACGUUUAAAAAAUUAUAAUUCAAAAAAAUAAUAUUAAUAUAUAUUAUUUAAUUUUUGAUAUUGAAAUAUUUUAUUAAUGUGAAAUGUUAUAUGUUCAUGUUUUUUCAAAUAAAAGAUAGUGUAUUACACACACCUACAGAGGUGUAUUUCUUAAACUAAAAAAAUGAUAGUUUAGGUAUGAAAUUCAAGCUCUCAAUAGUUUACGAAUAAACUCAAAAAAAGGGAUAGUUUAGGUGUUUUUUACACUUAUUCAAUAACACAAUACUUAAAAGUAUAUCAAUUAUAGAUGUCCAAACAUAACAAAUAAACCAAUCAAUAAUGAAAAUUACUGAAAAAGAACAAGUGGUUAACUCCAACUUAAUUUACACGAACACACGCGCAUGAAUACACUCGAGCACACACGCAAGGGGGCGCCACACACAUGUAAUUCAGUUUUUCGGUUUUCAUUUUCUUUAAAUCCAAAAAAUUAACCAAAAACCAAACAAAAUAAAUUAAAUUCAAAACCAAGUCAAGAAAUCCAAAAAAAAAAAAUUCAAAUUAAAAUUCAGUUUGAUUUGAUUUGAUUUUUCGAUUUAAUCCAAAUAUUGCACAUUCCAGUCUAUGAUUGAACUUCUAGCUAAUUUUCUCCCCGUAACUGCAACUACUUUUGUUCCUAGCUACUUGUCAAUUUUUCCUUUUUCAGUUGUCCCUAAUUAUUUGUUUAUUUUUGUCAAAUCAAUAACGACAAUUUCUUUUUUACCUAUACCGUCAAUUAAUUACUUUGAAAAAUAUAUAAUUUCUUAAAAAUCUAAAGUUUUUAAUUCAUUCGUUUCAUAAUUAAUAGAGGUAAAAUGACAAAUUCACUAUGUUAUUGUUUCUUUAAUAGAUGUGUUAUUUCUAAAGUGAAAAAAUAAUUAGAGGUAGGAGUAAUAAGCUUGACUCAAAUUUCUCAUUGAACAAAAACAAAAUGAAAAGUGAAAAAAUUGCUAAUAACAUAAUUAGCUUCAAUUUGAAAUUUUUUUAAGCUUGAUCAUGAUCAAGUAAAAUAAGGACUUGUUUGGUUAACAUAUUCAAAAGUUACAUCAAUUUGUGAAGUCAAUACCCGAACCUAUUACAUUUGCAUGCUAGCAAAAUUUCCAAUUUUUUUGCUUCCUUGUUUCACCCAAACAAAUCCCAUAUUUGCUAACAAAGGAUUACUUUUGAGGUUCGUUCUUGACUCCUCCUCCAUCCUUCAAAUAAAUCUGCAAUAUCAAAUAUUUAUAUUUUCGUCAGUGUAACGUACACAACCUACCUUAAUACAAGUAUUAGUUAACUACUUCCACAAGUUGAACUCGUUACAUAUAUAGGUCACACACAUACUACUUUAUUGUUACUUCAAGAUUCUACUUCAUGAAAACUAGCGAUGUAUAUACAUUAAACAAGAUACUCAUCUUCUAUACAAUGGUAUAUAACUUUUACACUAUCAGAUCACGCAAAAGUCAACUGGUACUAGUUGCCUAGCAAGUAACCUAUAAUAACAUAAAAAGGAGUAAUAUUAUAUUGAAAACUGACAGGCCGAUGCACAAACAUGUUGUGUUAGCGGGGUCAAGGGAAGGACAGGAUUGCAUGGGGUGUGAUUUAAGCAGACUAUCCUACUGGUUGCUUCCACAACCUAUAGGUCACACGAGACAACACUAUUGUCACUAUGAGAUUUCUCUGCUUAUACUGUCAGCGUAUACAAGUUGAAAUAGCGUACCUUAGAUAUUUCAUAAAGCACUGUCACAAGCUACAGCUGUUUUGAUCCUUUCAACAGUGCAUUUGAUAAGACUAUUGACAGUUGCAACAGAUCCAAGAGAGAGUUUUGCAGUGGGAACAGAAUCAACCAAAAUCUGAAAUGCAACAGUGAGAAGCGAUCCACCGGUACCAACAUUAAUUCCUCCGCCACCAUCUGGAAGUAUAGCGAAUCCAGAUGGUAGUAGAGCAACAUAGUCAGGAUCACCACCGCUCAACACAACAUUCAUUGCGACAAUAUCAACUGGAGCGUAAAUAACAUAAGAUCCUGUUGAGUCUGUUGAACUCUCUUGGAGUAUUAGCAUGUUGCUCUGACUCGAAUUUCCACUCUGCAUCAAUAAACUUCCAAUCUUUUUAGGUCACUACUAAAAACACGCGAAGUCAAUGUAGUUUUGGUAUAUAACGUCAAGAUAAUAAGUAAGAAGAAAACAUUACAUUAACACGAAGCAGAGAUACACAGUUUCCUGGAUCACGACCAUUUGCUAUAUGUGCCAUUUCUUGAACUAGCCCCCCAUUCGAAAGUAUAUCCCACUGCACACGAAUACAACACAACAUAACAAUUUCUUCGUUAUAUCUUGAAAUAACUGAUUGAAUCAAACCAUUGAUCAUCAAAGUCAAAAUUUCAGCGCCAUGGACCUUAUGACUUUACCUCACUUCUAGAGUUCUCAUCGCGGAGAAAAUCAAAGACUCUCUUGGGAGGAACAGGAAGCCAAAAUGAAGUGGCUGCACUGAGAACAAUACCAGGAGGUCUCCCUGGAUCAUCAAUACUUUUUCUAGUCAUAACUCUAACAUCAUCAGCACCACUUCCAGAUAAUGUAGUCCAUGUAUGAGCCGUUGAGGCGCCAACACCAGCGCAAAAACUCAUCACCAUCCUCUCAGCAAGUUUUAACAUGCUUUUCCGGCCUUCAGGACUCGUUAUGACUACAAAAAUAACUUACAUAGUUACCAAAUUGUGAUCGCGGAUGAAAUUAAUUUUACAUACUAUAUAUACCUCCAAUAUCCCCUGUUGGGAUGUUAUUAGCCAUCGCACUUGCUAGUCGUUCACAUUGUCUAUCCAACACAGCUACCCAACGUUUAGCCCCAAACGCGAGGCCUGAAUUGACAAGAGGUUUAUAGAUGUUAUGAACACCUCUAUCAUCCACUUCAACGUGCUCGAUCCAUGUAACCUACAGGGAUAAAAUGAGAAAUAAUUAAUAAAACAACGAAACUCUUAACACUUACUAUGAUUACACGCGGAUUCAGGAUUUGAAUACAUGUAAUGGAACUUCUAAUAUUGGAUCUGUCUCUAUAAUCAUAUUCAGAGUGGCUUUACCUUGGAGUAACCAUUAGGUAAUUCUUGAAUUAAACAACCCGAUGGCCUUCUUCUACAACGCGACACUGAAGUAGGUCGUAAAUUGUCCAAGGAGACAUCAACAACAGCCCAUGUUCCAUCAGCAUGGUGCUUACAAUAUCUCACAAAAUAAUUUUCGCGCGUUGGAACCAAUGGUGAAGGGACCUGGAACUCAGCUGUCAUCUGAAAAUGUAACAAAAGUACACGCCAAUUAGAAAGACGUUACAUUUGUUGUAGCAGGUAACAUGUCUUAUUUCUCAGGCUAUCGGUUACACUUUUUACGAUUCGUUUAUACUGUCAGUAUAUAGAAGUCAAACUCGAGAAUAAUGUUUGAAAAAAAGUAGUAGAAUUUUUAAUCAUACCACUUGUAAAGCUCCAUUGUAAUUUCCAGCUACUCCAGUUGAUAAGACAUCUAAUGUCAAUGCUCUUGAUACUAGUCCAGCAAAAACAUUUGUCCAUUGGUUCUGAAUUACAAUAAAACACAAUAAUUAGUACUAAAUAAGACAUUAUUGAAUUAUUAUUAUAAAAAAAGACAAAGGUUAAAAUGGUCUUUUUUAAGGCGGAAAUAAAAUCUAGAUAAUACGAAAAAGCUCCAACAAAAAAAAAAAGAGUCGUACCACGUCCAUUAGGAUUUCGACUAAAUUGAUGUGAUUCAUAAUAACGACAGCAGAUUCUCGUGAGGCUUCAGUUGUUAGGCCCAAAGGCUUAGGCCCAAUGCCUCGAGGAAAAGUCCGAACAUAUUCCUCUUCACAUAGCGUUUCGAUAGAACUAUCUGGGCCUGGGCCUGGGUCUGGGCCUGUAAUCCAUAAGGGCUCUCCAGUUUGGGCCAUUCUUACAAGUUCUUCCAUAGCUGCUACAGCAAGUUCAAUGAUCAUGGGCUUAUCAGCAUCUAUUGGGCCUGAAACUGACCUUAAAAGGUCACCAGCACUGUACAUUUCUCCAACAAGGCCCGUUUGAGGCCCAAAACUACCAACACCGAUAUCGAGUGAACGGGUCGGGCUGGUAGGAGGAAGAUUAGGAUAUGUAAGCAUGGGCUUCCCAACAUAUUUUGCAGCAAUUCCUGAUAUUCUAUCAAUCUAAAAAGAAAGGAAAAAAAAAAUCAUAAAAUCGUAUAAAAAUGACAGAUUGAUAUACGAAACACAAAACACGUAAGGUUAUACGACUAAAAGUACCCAUCAAGUUUUAAUGUUGAACUCGUGUAUGCAUGAAUAUACUAAUUCAUGUAUUGUAUUUUUUGAUUAGUGAUAUUGUGAUACCUCUUCUCUAAGACGAGCGUUCUCGAUCCUCAAAUGUUGCUCAUCGAAUGACAUUUCCCCAAUGGAAGCAGGGCCUCCACAAUUAGGGCAAGUAGCAUUUCCAAGUGCUUCUUUAUACCUUAUAUUAUCAGCGCGAAGUUUCUCAUUUUCAGCUCUCAAUUCUGAGUUCUCAUGGCGUUCAUGUUGCGCCUACAAAAUAACAUUUGAAUAAAAGUUAAUUAGACCGCUUAAUAUAUAAAAUAAUAAAAGAACAAUCUAAUGUAUAAAGUAUCGUGUGUUCACAUAGAAUCUUGGGCAGUGUGAUACAAAUAUAAUCUACCCUAAUGUAUGCACCAGAUAUCCACUCACUUAUUCACCAUUUUUAUGAUUAUUUCUUUUUUAGAAAAAAAAGAAGUGUGAGUGCAUAAAAUUUUGCCUACACGCAAGAUUUGAAAAAGAAUCGCACUCUAAGGAACACUAAUCCAAGUAUUAAUUACUGCUUCCACACUUCAAUUCAAGAAGAAUAGCAAUGUAUAUACCUCAAUGGUAUAAACAAGUUGAGGUGAAAUAUAUAUAUAUAUAUAUAUAUAUAUAUAUAUAUAUAUAUUCAAUUCAAGAAGAAUAGCAAUGUAUAUACCUCAAUGGCAUAAACAAGUUGAGGUGAAAUAUAUAUAUAUAUAUAUAUAUAUAUAUAUAAAUUUUCAUCAUCUAUUAUCUCCAUUUAAGUUCGAUACAUGUAAUCUUCGUAUCAAUCAAAAACAAAAUAGAUAAUAAAUUAAAUAAAUAAAAACAAUAGUAUAAAUGUUAGUGUUAAAUAAUCUUACCUUCAUUUGAGUACGCUUGUUUUGGAACCAAAAUUUCACUUGCAAAGGCUCUAACCCUAAUCUUUUUCCUAAUUCUUUUCUUUGUUUAUCAUCUGGAUGAGGGCACUCUUUAAAAAACCUGAAAAAAAAUUUAGAAAAAUAUAUCUUGUUAUUUUAUUGUAAAAUAUUCAAACAAAGUACUAUUAUCUCAUAUUUGUUUAGAUAAUAUUCUAAAAGUAUAAAGAAUUUUUUACAUAAUCAAUUUGUCUAUAAAAUACAACAACAAUCUACUAGUAGAAAAAAAUUAGUAGGUGUUUGGAUAUAGAUUUAGCUUAAAUUUGAAAAAAUAAAAUUAUAUAUUCAAACAGUUUUGAACUGACGAUAUAUAAAAGUUAUAUAUGUAUAAAAGAGUACUUACGAUUCCAUUUCUUGAAUUUGUAAUUGUGUAUGACGAUGAUAACGUUUCUUUUUGUUUGGACGUUGAUUAGGAUCAACUUCUUGAUCAUCAUCACAAGGGUUAUUUUCCAUAAUAUCUGCCAUUGAUUUGCUCUCAAAUUCAUCAUUAUCUCUAAGUAAAUCCAAAUCAUUUUCUGGUGAUUUAUGUGACAUAUCAAGUAAAUGAUGGUGGCUCUCAAACAUAUUUGGCUGAAACAUUUUUCACUUCUAAAUAUAAAAAAUAUACAUAUAUAUAUAUAUAUAUCCUUUUCUUGAUAAGCUAUGAGUUUGUAACCUGUCAUAAAAAUAAAAAUAAAAUUGUAAGUACAUUAAUUAAUUAAAUACAUUAUAUAAAUGUGGAUUAUAAUUUUUUUUAAAAAAACUUGGGAUAAAUGAAGAUUGACAAAACCUACUUGAGUUCCUUUUUUCGAGUUUUAUGAUACGUGUAACUUAAAGUAGCAUAUCAGAACUCACAACGUCUAAAUUUUGGAUAUGUCGUCGAAUAGAUGAUGGUUGCUCUUAUCAAAUAUGUUUGGCUCAAACAUUUUUCACUUGUAAGUGUUUAUAAUAAUAUCCUUCUUGCUAAGCUAUGGUUUUGUUACCUGCAAAAACAAAACAAAAAAUUGUAACAUUUUAAUUACAAACUUAUAAUGUUUAAGUUCUGGAUCUCAUUUCGAAAAUAAACUCUGAAUACUAGAUAUGAUUAAUUAACAUAAAAGAAUAUGGUGAGUUAGUCAAGUCUCUCAAGGAAACCCUAGAAAGACUUCUCCUUUUUAUAUUUUGUUAGUUUUUUUUUUUUUAAAAAAAAACAAAUGGGAAAAUUUGACUUUUGGUUUUCUAUAUGUCAAACAAAAAGACUUUUUUUUCCCUCUCUCUAUUAUGUCUGUUUAGAUAUGCCAAAAAAAGGACUGAAAAUUAUAAAUUUUUAGGAAAAAAAAUAGAGAAAGAAAGUUGACACUCUUGAGGACCCAAAGUCAAAAAAAUGUCUUUCCCACCCCCAUACUUAUGUUAUUAUCUUCACACAACGUCCACGAAUAUUUCUAUAUAGUACUUCAACUUUAGCCAUAAUUUUAGUUCUACAAAAAAAAAAUUAGUAGUCAAGAUAAAUAAGUGUUUGGACAUAAAAAAAAAUUAAUCAUAUAUAUAAAUUUGAUAAGUGUAUUUGAAAGUUGUAAUUUGAUAUGCAUUUAAUAUUUUCUUUUAAUUCAUCUUUCAAAAAAAAAAAGUCCAAGUUAUGAACAUGUAUGAUGUUUAGUAUUUAUUUGGUUUGAAGAAAAAAGUAUGGACAAACUAUAAAGCAUAUUUAGAGCAAUUUUUUGAACUAAAUAUAACUUAGUAAUUUCUCAAAUUAAAAGAAAGAAAGAAGAAAACAUGAAAGUAUAUAAUACUCACAAUUUUUGAAGCCUUGCAAGUGAAAGUAUUAUAAGAACACAAAACCCUCUUGAAGUUUUUAGGGUUUAGAUCUAACUUUUUAACCAAAAAAAAAAAGUUGGUAGUAAACUAAAAAACCACUUUUUUUUUUAAUGUGUGAAUAGAAUUUUAAGAAGAAUAUUUCUUGAGGGAAAAAGGAAGAACAAAGAAAGGGAGAUAAGAAUAUGGGAGGAAAAAACAAAGGGAAGAAAAUAGAGAGAUAAGAAGAAAUGUGUGAAACAAAGAGGAGUUAAUGUAGAGUGCAUAUAGAAGAUGCAAAUAGCAUUUAAUGGCGGGAGAGAAAGAGGUGAUGGUGUUAAUGAUAUUGUUGAAGAGAGAGAAACAAGAGAGAGGGGAGAAGUGUAUGUAUGUUCGAUAUUUGUAUUGGGGUCGGACUAAAUUUACGAGGCGCAAUCCAAACAUAUAUUAUUUUUAAUAAUUUUAGGGACUCGAAUUCAAGAUGUCUGGUUAUAUAGGUCAGAGGGAUCUCAAUCGUUCACUAUAACAAAAGAAACAAUUAGUGGCCAUAGAUAUUUUUAGCAACAAUAUUUAUUAUCGUAAAAAUACUUAAUGACGAUUGAGUUAACAUUAUUAUAUUUAAUAUCGCUAAAUCAUUUAACGAGAUUUUUGUAGAGUAAAGAUUAUAAAUAUUCAUAUUUAUUGUUAUCGCUAAUAAUUUGGAUUUUUUUUUUAUUUGUUAUAUUGAUCUCACGCAGUUCAUGUUAGUGUAUGUUCAAAUUUCUUGUAUAUAUACAGAAAGUCAAAAACAAUUUAUUUAUCUUUUUUUAUGUAUUUUGAUGUAGGUUAGAUAGUCGUAGGGGCUCAAACCCAAUAACUAUAUUCCCAAUUCUUGAAUAUGAUGUGAUGAAAUAACUAAUUAACUUAUUCUGAUUAUUUUCUGAGAGAGACAAAUUCAGAAUUUAAAAGUUAGGGGUGCCAUAUCAUCUAAAUGGUAAACGAAUCGACUUUUUAUUUUAAGUUAUAAUUCGGAUUAUUUAAUUUUUUCGAUAUUUAUAAAUAUAUCAAUCAAAUAUACAUUUUUAGUACUGUUUUUUUAAAUAUAAAUAUUCUAAUAUUAAAAAUAUACACCUAGUGUUUCUUUUUAUGUUUGUUUAGGAAUAAAAGACCUUAUUCUUUAUAACUUUGAGAAAACAAGAGAUUUUCACCUUAAAAUUCAAAUUUGUAUACAUCAUCUAAUAUCAUAUAAUUGAGAGAGAAAAAAUCAUAGUUUCAAUCCAAUUAUCUCCACUUAGUGUGAGACAAAAAAUUUAAAGAACCUUUACAUUCAAAAGGUUUAAUAAUAUCCAUCAUUUUAAAAGUUUUUUUUUAAAAGGCUAUUUAAGUAUUUUUUACUAAUAUCCUAUGUGACGUUCAAAAUUUAUUAUUAAUAUAUAAUUAAUAUAAAAUAUCACGGGACACUAGUAUUAAUUAAAAAUAAGUAAAUAAGAACGAAGUAGUAAAUAAAGGAACUAAUUGAGGGGAGUGAAACUAAAAAAAAGAAUAGUGUUUUCAUAGAGAUUUAAACCUUCGAUGCCCUGCUUGAAAGAUGCACCCUUUGCCAACGGCACCAUUCAACGUAUGGUUCACUGGGUGGCAUAUAUAUUAUAUAUACGAUUUGUUAUACUCAUACAUACACAUAUAUAUAUAUAUAUAUAUAUAUAUAUAUAUAUAUAAAGUAUUAAUCGAGGCCUGUGGGCGUCGUGACACUCCCAACCGUGGAGCUGGAUCUGCCCAUAUUUUCUGAUAUUUAUUUUAGAGUUUGUCUAAUUUAGAUUGAUGAUAGAAAAUCUCAUUUUGGCCUCUUAGAGGUAAAAACGCUUCUAUACCUAUAUUCUCAAAACUCUAAUCAUAUUUGAUUUUCCAUCCAAUAUUCAUUAUGAGUUCAAAUAAUUAGAAUUUGUAUCGAAAAAUUUUAAUUUAAAAAUGAAGUGUUCUUUUAUAUAUAUAUAUAUAUAUAUAUAUAUAUAUAUAUAUAUAUAUAUAUAUAUAUAUAUAUAUAUAUAUAUAUAUAUAUAUAUAUAUAUUUAUUUUAUCACUUGUAUACGCUGGUGGGCUGGGGUGGGUGGGGAUGGGGAACUAGUGUAUGUAUAACUUGUAUAUAUUUACACUUGGUUUUUGUUGAUAUGUUAUGUCUAAUUAUAUGUUGGAUCUCUUUAUAUUUGAGUUCGAGAUUUGGAAGUCGAGCUUUUGAAUAUGAAUAAAAAUCUGGUUAGAAUUGUCGCUUUUAUUAAUGGAUUCUAUAUGCGAUCUUAAAUUUAAUUGAAUUUCUAAAUGAAUAUUGUAUAUCAGAUGAAAAACAAAAAACACAUGUAAUGAUCGAUCAAUAUAUUUAAAAUUUUUUAUACAAAUCUCAUAGUGUUAAGAGCUAAUUAUAUCAUAUAUUCUUUUUCAAAUUACAAAAAUCACUUAAAUUUGGUGGAAUCGAAAUACAUUCCAAAACCUUCUGAUGCAUUGUGUUCCGAUUUCGAAUACAUCGCUUACAUCUUGAUUUCGAGUAUGUCACUCAAGGUUCCAGAUACAUUGUGUAUAUCCUGAUACAUCGUGCAAAGUGAUAUAUAUAUAUAUAUAUGAUCGAUACACGUAAAGUGAUGUAUCUAGUAGGAUUUUGUUGUAAGUUUUUCAAAUGGUAAGAAAUAUUAGAGAAUAUGAUAAAAAGAAAAUGUAUAUUUAGAUAGUUUUUCCAUAUAUUUAUUACUAGCUAGUCUAUCUUUGUUAAAGUAAUUAGGAAAUUUGAAGAUUUUAAAUAACUAUCUCUCAAAUACGAAAUAUAUUUAUAAAGUUUUUAGUGAUAAUGUCUAUUAAAGUUUUAUCUUGUUGACUAAUUAUGGAAGUUGGAACGAUCUUAGUUCAAUUAGUUUAUAUGCAAGGAAAUUAUAGUGUUAAUAAUUAGUAUUUCAAUAAAUUCAUUUCCACUUAUUUUAAUUUUGUUAACUAAGAGUAAAGACAAGUCUAUUGAAGAUUAAAAAAUAAAACCUCACUUAUAUAACUUGAAAUUUAUUGUGAAAAAUAAAUAAAUUUUGGUAAGCUUUUCCAAAAAAUCAAAUAGUACUUAAUUAGAAAUAUUUGUACACAAAUCCAAUAUAUUAAAUGAAACGAUUGACAAUUAUUACGCAUAGUAUCUAAGUAGAUAUUAAAUAUAUUAAUGAUAAUAUAUAUAUUUUAUGUCUAGCUAGAAAGAUAAUUAAAUUCAAAAUAUGAAACCAUUAAAUUGAUUGUGCAUGCAUAUUGGGACACCAGACCUACCCCUCCUCUUAUAUUUAGUCUAAUAAUUAAUACUCUCAUAGUCCAUUUUUAUUUAUCAUAUUACACUUUUCAAAAGUUAAUUUGACUAAUUGUUAAAGUUAAAAUUAAAUUAUAUUAAUUAGAUAUUUUAAACAAAAAAAUUUAGAGAUAUUCAAAAAUUAUACAAAAAUACUAUAAAUUGAAUUUUUUUACGUAUCAAUAUGAUGAAAAAAUAAUAGUAAAAUGUUAGUCAACUUUCUUUUAUAGUUUGACUCUAAAAAAUGAAACUAUAACAAAUAAAAAUGAGUUAUGUGGUACUCCAUCUUUAUACUGUAGUUUUUUUCUUGAAAUAGUAAAUCAUCAAAUUUUAUUUCGAUAUUUUCAAAUCCAACUCUCCAUCUUUAUUCUGUAUUUUUAAUGUUAGUUUUCAAUCGUGAAAUCAGUGUUUAAAGAGAUGAACAAGAUGUUCAUAACUUAAGCCUAAUAAAGUGUUUGAGAUAUAAAGUGGAUUAUGUGUAUUUGAGAUACAUACAUAAAUCUUGCUUGCCUCUCUCGCAUUUCACUCGCUACUCUCAUAUCUCGCUCGCGCGUAUUUUGUAUUUUAGAUACAUGUGAAUCACACCAGAUGCAUGUAUAUAUAUAAAUGUAUAUCUAGUGUGAUUCACGUAUAUCUGAUUUGAAAUUUGAUAUGAAAUUAUUAAAUCCAAUAAUUUCAAAUGAUAGGAGAAAUUAGUAAAUUAUGAUUAAAAAAAAAUUGGUAUUAAUUAAUGGCAACACUGAUAUAACUAUGCAAAAACUUCAAGUAAAUUACCAAUUAAAGAAAAUAUCAAAAUUAUCGAAGUAUAUAGCCUCAUUUUGAGUUUAACUGUUUAGUGGUCUAAUUUACAGUAAUUUGAGUAUAUUGUUUAAACGUUAGUAAAUUGUCAAAGUAGUAGCCAAUGAUUUUAUUUAUUAAGACUGUGAGUAUAAUUAAAUAUAUAUUUUUGUUAAUUGUUUUUUAAUUAUUUAAAAAUUAUUAGUAGUUGUGUAUUUCUCGAACAUACGAUAGAUUUGAAUACACUUAUUUUGUAUUUUUGUAACGGUCGGUUCUUUUUAUAUAGAAAAGUCAAUGGGAAAACUUUUUGGGUCAGAAAACUUUUUUGUAAUAACUUGAAAUUUUCCAACCAAAUGUAGAUUUGGACGAAAUCAGAGUCAUUAAAGUCUAGGAAAUCUUGUAACAAUCGGGUGGAUAUAAUUAUGAAUUUGAUCACAUGAGUAAACAGUAAAUACGUUAAAGAACACUUACGACUUUACGAAAUUGAAUUCCGGUGAAUAGAACUCCCGAAGUCGAUCUUAGCGUGAAUGAAUAGUUUCUGACUGUCAUUGGUUGAACGUGUGUUGUGAAAUGGGGGUCUUGAAAUUAUUAAAUUUGAUCACUAGUUCCGUGCAAGCCGCUACGAUAAAUUUUUUCCGCAAACCCAAAAUAUGCUUGGUUAUGCAGUUUACAAACUUGAGAGCUAAAGAAUGCCCAUGUGUUCUCUUGACAAUUUUUCACCAUACUUGAGGCGAAAGUUAAGAUUUUCGCUCUCCAAAUCCGUUUUUCGAUCCGUAGAACGUAAUAUGGUGGUUAAUUAUCGACUGGGGGGAGGUGAUCUAGAAUUUAUGGUGUAAAUAUCCCUAAAGGGAGUAUGAGGAUCAAGGGUUUGAUAUAGGGUUGAUAGAAUUGUUGGCAAUUCGGGUAAUCAGUUAUUGUUUAUUGAUUUUUGUGUAAAAGUUAAUUGUUUGUAGACCAAGAACAAGCAGAACAAAUCCGGAAAGAGAAGAAUCAACUUUCUUAGGGAAUUCAAGCUUGUUUCGAGGUAGAUGAUAGUUGUGAUAUAUUUUUGUUCUUGCUUCAUUAUAAUAUGUGUAUGUAUGCUAAUGUUGCAUUAUCGAUCACACUAGUUGUAAAUGAGAUAGAUGAAUGUGAAUACCAUGAAUCAUGACUUAAUCGUAUGAUUUGAGAAUAUACUUGUUCAUGUGAUUGUGCCUUGUUGAAUGGAUCGAUUGUUGUGUUCCGACACACUAACUUCGAUCGAUUGUCACGUUUCGACAUAAAAAUUGGAUCGGGUAUCAUAUUUUGGUAUGUUAACAGUUUGAAUUUGAGUUCCGUGAGAGAAUUAAUGACUUGACAUAAUUGUGUAUCUUGAGAAAUAUGAAAUUGCACGUUGUUCGUAAAUGGAGAUGAUAUUGUAUAUGUGCAGUGUAUAUAUGCAUGUUACUAUUAUGUUGUAUUAAAUUAUGUAUGUUGCACUUAGUGGGAUAGUCACGUGAUCCUAUCAGUACACUGUGGUUGUGCACUGAUACUACACUUGCUCUUUCUUUGUUGAGUACAGGGCACCUUCAGGCGGCUAUUGACAAACCUCACUUAGUAGAUCAGUGACCAAUCGAAAUCAAGGGUGAGCCAGUUCUUUUAGACUGUCAUGAGUUCUUUUUCUAUUUGAUCUAUCUCAUUCGGACUUAGACUAGUUCAUUAGAUAUUCUGAUGUUUAGUUGGGUUGCAUCAAUUUUCCUUUAUACUUUGUUUGGAUCAUUGUUAACCAUUGUUUCAUAAUGUAUUGUAUUGUAUUUUAAUCUAUUUUAAUGUAUUGUAUGGUAGAUACAAUGUUUGAGUAGACUGUAUUGUUUGUUGUUGUUUAAUAACAUUUUAGUUGUUUGGUUUGAUCAUGUCAUACUGUAUUGUCCUUUAUAAGUUUAUUAAAAUGUCCUUAAUUAUUCUAGGGUAGGAGGUUUGACUAGAUUUAAAUAAUUAAGGUAAAGGGUGAAAUUGUAUUUUAAAAUACGGAAAAGGGUCUAAAAUACCCUCAAAGUAUUCGAAAUGGUACAAAAUUACCCUCCAUCCACCUACUGGCUCCAAAAUACCCUUCCCACCCACCUAUUGGGUCCAAAAUACCUUUGUCAUCCACCUUUUGGUUCAAAAUUUACCACUUAUUUAACGAUUUUAUAUUUAAACUAUUUAAAUCUUUUUUUUUAAAUACGUGGAGCUCAACUAUUUGUUUUAAUUUAACUUAUUAGUAUAAUUUGUAAAUCAAUUCAUUACCCAUCCAUUACUAAUUAAACUCUCCAAAUUAAUAAAUGUAAAAAUUUAAGGAAUCUUAUAGUGUAAUUCAAUAAUUACACUCUGUCCCGACAAAUUUAGUAUUUACUAAAAUCCCUUAAAAUUUUUGUGCCGUGAUACUUUAGACUCUAGUGAUACAUGGUAAAUGAUACAUGGUAAAUUUAAACUGUUAAGAAAAAAAUAGGGAAAAAACGGUACAUUUAAACUUGUUAACUAAAAUAGCUUAAUUUACGGUAACAGAUCAUUAAUCAACAUUAAAUUAGCACGUAAUUGAAUAAAUUUCAAAUUUUGAAAAUCAAAGAUUAUAUCAUCUAUUUUCAAUACAAUUUUCAAAACCGCAUGAUACAUAGAAAACAUUAUGAUACACAACAAAUUCAUGUGUCAAUGCAUCGUCUAAAACACUAUACACACUGAUUCAAAAUGUAUCAGCAAGCACACUUGAUGGAUUCAAAAUGUAUCAAUGCAUCAUCUAAUACACUAUACACACUUGAUGGAUUCAAAAUGUAUCAGCAAGCACACUUGAUGGCGCAGUUAUUGAAAUUAAUCACUGAUACAUGAUAAAAAAUUUCAAAAACCCUUGAUACAUAGAAAAUCAUAUGAUACACAUCUAAUUCAUGUAUCAAAUCAUAGACUAAACAUUAUAAUCCACUUAGUACUUAUGUAUUAAACCUAUUGUCUGAUACAUGAUAAUAAUUUUCAUAAUUUUUUGAUACAUAUUGGAUUCCUUAAAAUUUUUACUAAUUUCAACAACAAUUUUAAAAUAAGUAUAAAAAUACAAACCCAAAACAAUGUAGGCCUGACAACAAUGUUUGCUGCUUCUUUUUUCUUUUUUUGUUGUAUUUUGAUAAACUUUGAUUUUGAUGUUUCGCCAGAGUCUUUGUUUGAAUCCUUCUGAAGAUUCAUAGGAUCAUGCAAAGACUUUUUUCUAUUUUCUUUCCAAUUUUCAUCGUCGGAAUCAUAUAUCCUUCUAUUGAUUAACGGAUCCAUUACUAUGAUGUAAUAGAACAAUUAACCAAAACAAAAAAAGGAAGAAAAGAAGAACUAAUAAUGGAGUAAUAAGAAAAAGAAGAAACCAAUAACAGAUGUUGGGUUAAGAAGAAGAAAGACGAUGAUGGAGUAAGAAAAACUGAAGACGUGAUGGAGUAAGAAGAACAAUAAGAACGGGAGAGAAAUUGUCCAGUUUUUUGAAAUUUCAAAUUUUUUGAAUUUUGAAAUUCAAAAUUUCAAAAUUGGAUGAACAAAAUUAUUCGGCGAAGAUUAGCAAUGAAAAGAAAAUACAUCACUAUUGUCCCAAAUACAACACAACAAUGUUAUAACUUAUAAAAUAUUACAUAUAUAACAAAACACAAGAUUUAUUUCAAUUGCAAAAUUUUACAAGUCGAAACUAUUAAAUUUGUCUUUCGCCACUAUAGUGUAUAUUACUCUCCAUAUGCUAAAAAUUGGGAAUAAUUUCAGAUUCAAUAAGUAGGAUUCUUUUUUUAACAUUAAUGACAAAAAGGAACAAAUUGAUUUUUCAAAGAGUUCAAAACUAUAAACAAAUAUAUACAAUUUAAAACUCUUUCAUAGAGAAAAAUUAAGAAGAAAAAUUGGGAUCGUCUGUGAUAAUUGGGUCGGCAUCGACUCGAUUUUCAGCAAAAUCAUCAACUUGGAUUUGAUCAAGCACAAGUACUAAUCCCAUGGCAAAGGCACAAUCAAAUCCAGGCUUUAUUGAGAGAGAGAGAGAACGUCUUUUCCAAGCACCACAUGAGCACAAGCAUCCAAUUUUCAGAAAUUUCAAAUUUUUUGAAUUUUAAAAUUCAAAAUUUCAUAUUAAAUAUUGUGAAUCAUUUUUAAUUAAAAUUAAUAAUUCAAAAUUCAAAAAGUGAUUCAGAAGAUUGAGUGUUUUAGUGGAGAAAAAAUAGGCAUGAUAUGGGGAAGUGUGUGUUAUAGGAGAGAGAAGACUAUGUAUCUCUAAACUUCUACUAAAAUUAAAAAAAAGGGAAUUAUGUAAUAUUCAAAAAAAAGAAGGGAAAAUUAGAGAAUACUAAACUUAUAGUUGUGUAUUUAAGUUAUUUUUCCUUAAUAAAUCACUCACAUUAUUAAUGCAACAAGAGAAAAACUACUGCCAAUUGAGUGUUUUUAAAAAUUUGAGACGAAAAUAUCUAUAGGAGUAAAUUAUCAUACAUUCAAGUGUCUAAAUAAAAAUUAUCAAUAAACUUAAAAGUCUCACUAUGUUCAUCUUAAUUAUUCUUACGUCUCAAUUAUGUGAUGUUACUUAAUAGGUAAUUUUUUUUCAAAUUAAUAUAUUAAAAGUUUUUAAAAAAAUCAUUAAUAUUUAUAAAAUUAUAUUUUUAAAAGUGCAUGAAUUAAUUCGGGGUGUAUCACUUCUUUACCUUUAAUAAAAAAUUUCUAAUUCAAUCUUGAAGGAGAAACAAAUUGAAAGUGUCCUCCUAAAUAAGCGGCUCAACAUAAAUUUAAUUGGGGCUUCGAUUCGAACUCGAAUAAUUUUGGAUUUCAUUUUCAUUAAUCUAUAAUUUCAUCGUGUUGUAGUAGUGUUUAUGACGAUUUUGAUAUUAUAGUUGGAUUAUUAAUUGGGUGGGGUUUAGUUAGUAAUGGGUGGGUUGGUUUAUAGAUAAUAUAAAUAAAUUAAAUUAUAACCAAUAGUUGAACAUCAAGUAUUUUAAAAAUAUUUAAAUAGUUUAAAUUUAAAAUUAUUAAAUAAUUGGUCAAUUUGAACUCAAAGGUGGAUGACAAGGGUAUUUUGGAGCCUAUAGGUGGAUGAAAAGGGCAUUUUGGAGCCAAUAGGUGGAUGAAGGGUAAUUUUGUACCAUUUUCAAUGCUUCAAGGGUAUUUUAGACCCUUUUCCAUUUAAAAUAUUAUGUAAAGAUAUAAUUGUAAAAAGAAAUUAAGUAACAAUUGGAACACACAAAUUGGUUGUUCCAUAAAAUAAGGGGUUUCAUUGUUAUGUAACAACAAAAUUUAACAAUACAGUACAAUACAUUUUAAUUAACAAUUAAAACAAACAUUGUAGGUAUAAUAACGAUACAAUACAAUACAAUAGAUAACAAUGAUUCAAACAUAGUGUUAGGCUUUUGGUUCAUUUUUAAAGUUUUGGUACAUUGACUUUCAGGUUCUAGGCGUUAUUUCCGCAAUAUUAGUUUGGUUGUUAGACUUCUGUUGGAGUUUAUGGGAACUCCCUAUAUUUUCAUAAGUAUUUAAACUUGCUUCUAUAUCUUUACAUGCUUCAUUUCGUAUUAAUUAAGUAGUAUUAAUGAUUCUCUCAUUGGAGGAUUAGAAUGUGUGUCAGUCAGAAUGGUACGAAUUGUAACAAUUUUAGUUAUUGUCUCUCAAUCACUUUAACAUUGAAACAAAAAAAAUAUUUAAUAUAAUGACAUGAUUUUAGUAAUAUAUCAUGAGUUUAUGAAAUCUAUUUGAUGCGUCAUUUAAAACAUAUGUACUUUUAAAAAAAAUAUGUGUGAACUAGAUUCUAGCGUGAAGUAACCUAUAAAAAAAACUCUAAUGUAUCUUAAGGUAUUAAGAACCUGAAUUAGGUUUGUUUGUAGAGUUUCAUCUUAAAUUUAGUAAAUUGUCAAAGAAGUAGCUAGUGAUUUUUUUAAUCAAGAUUGUGAGUAUAAUUUUACGUAUUUAAUUGAUUCCUCUCUAGUUUUAUUUUAAUGAUUUGAGGGUCAUCAUUAGCAGUAUAUUUUUCGAAUGUAGAAUAAAUUUGAUACCUAUGUUAUACUUUUUAAUUAUUGACUCCCGAUUACUUUAACAUUGAGAAACACAAUAUUUAAUAUAUUGACUUGAUUUUUAUGAAUAUUCUAUGAUUUUAUGACUCCUUUUAUCUAUCCUCAAUAAAUAAAAUAUUUACUCUUUUUAAUUGUGUGAGCUAGGAUUUGCCUCGAAGUAGCCUCCAAGAAACUCUCACAUAUCUUAAAAGUUUUAAAAACCUCAAUUGGGUAAGUUUGUAAAGAUUCAUCCUAAUUUUAGUUAGUGGAAAAUUAGAAUAUUUUUGAGAAAAUUAUGCGGUUGAGUAAAUUUAGUAUAUCUUGCAUAAGAAAAAUGAGUGAUUUUUUUAUAAAUUUUUGAAAAAUUAUGCGGUUAAGUGAAUUUAUACUAUAUAAUCAGUUAUUAUAGUUAUAAUUUGCUACAAUUAUCAUUCGCGAUUAAUAUUAACUAUCAAUUAUGUAAGUUGAGUUUGAGUUUAUAUAAUAAAUCAUGUAUGUGUAAUUCAUUAUAUUUGUAUAAUUUAGAACUAACAAUUCUUUGUUUGAUUUAUAUUUGUAUACGACGGGUUGUUUUUGUAUAUGACGAUGAUUUAUUUAUGCUUUUCAUGAGUUUUAUCACCAUAUAUAUUCAAUCUUUUUGUUGUUUAACUUUUUAAAAUUUCUAUAAAGGUGUAGUUUCUGAAUUUUGUAUAACAUAAUUUAUAUAAUGUAAUUUGUAUAUUAUGAUUUGUAUAACUACUUAAAGUUCAUAUGUAUAUGUUUGAUCACUUCGUUAUUUUGUAUUUUAUCGUACUUGUAUAAUUUCAUAUUUUGUAUUACUCAAUUAUACAAAUACACGAAUUAUACAAAUGAGAUGCAAAUCAUAAAAAUUAUUUCCCUCUCUCCUCCCUCUUCCAUUCUCGAUUAAGUUAUUUUGAGUAGAUAUAUGUGAAACUUUUCCUAUAUUUUUUGAUUAAAAAAGGUUUCCCCAUAUUGAGAUUUUAAAAAAAUAUAUAUAUUUAUUAAUAGGGGUGUUCGCGGUUCGAUUUGAAUCAGUUAUUGAUAAAAUCAAAACCAAACCUAUUUAAUCAAAUUUUUUUAAAUUUGUAAAAUCAAUCCAAAUGAAAAAAAUAACAUUUGAUUUGGUUAUUGUGAUUUAGUUUUGUUUAGUUUAGUUUUUUUCCCGAUUCGAAAGUAAUAAAAUUUUUGAGAACAUAUGUAUCUCGAUAGAUACAAAUACCUAAUAGAUGAACAAUCUACAAGAAAACUAUUGUCAGUUCAAUUAAACAAUCAAGCAAUGCUAGAAUUUGUCACGACCCAAAACGAGCCGCGAGUGGCACCCACACUUAUCCUCCUAUGUGAGCGAACCAACAAAUCUAAACCCCAACAUCUACCAAUAUUUCAACCAUAGUGAACAAAAUAUAAUGCGGAAGACUCAAAACUCAUUAACGAAAAUCAAUUAAAUAACUUCUAAAACUCAAUACUUAUUAUUCCCAAAAUCUGGAAGUCAUCACAUCAAGAACAUCUAUCCUCAAAUUUCUAAAUCUAAGAGUAUUAAGAAGAUAAAAUAAGUAAAAGGAUGGUCCAUGUCCGAACUUCAAGACAUCAAGACGCGAAGGAGAGAAUCCAGCACGAGCUAGGAACAAUAGCUCACCCUGAAUUCUGAUAUGCUGGAGACUGGCUAGAGUUAAGGGCGAGUCGAAGUCGAUGGCACACUUGCUGCACUCCACAAAAUAACAAAGAAGAAAAUGCAAGUAGGGGUCAGUACAAGGAACAAGUACUGAGUAGGUAUCAUCUGCCAACUCAGAAUAGAAAGCAAUAUAUAUUGAAUAAUAAUAUAAAAUCAAUCAUAGUACUUAACAGGUGACAAUCAACAAGUACAAUAACCAUUGGCAACAACACCAAGCAUACCCUUGAGGACUCAAACCUCCACACCAUAUUCAUUUGGGGAAAAAGGUUCUUCGAAUUGAGUAUAUUAACAUAAUUCAAAAAUUACUUCUCUUCAUUAUUAUCAUGUCGGCACGUGACACUCCGAUCCCCUAAUUCUACGUGUCGGAACGUGACACCCGAUCCCUUAAUGCUACAUGUCGGAAAGUGACACCCGAUCCCUUAAUACUACGUGUCGGAACGUGACACUCCGAUCCCCUAAUUCUACGUGUCGGAACGUGACACCCGAUCCAUUUAUCUCAUUACUUUAGUUCAUCAAGCCUUCUUUAUGUCAAGGCAUCAUCUUAAUGGAGAGGGCUCAGUUUAAAGAUUACCACAAUCACAACAUACAAACACACAAUCAAGCAUAUAGAAGACUUUACAAUACUACCCAACACAUAUCGAUCGCUAUUUUGAGUUUAUCUAUCAGAUAGAAACAAACCAUAACGUACCUCCACCGAAGAAUCGUGAUCAAACAAGCUACUUCCCAAUGCCUUUGCUUUCCUCUUCGCUUCUCCCUUUUCUCGCUCGUUCUCCCUCUCUCUGUUCUUUUUAUUUUUCCUCUCCAAAUUCUUUUUCUUUUACCCUAGUUAUCAUAUAAUUCAUUAUGACAAAAAUAACCCAUUAUUUAUUUCAAGGUUAUCUCCUUUAACCCCCAAGUAAAUAAAUUAUUAAACUUACCCCACUAAUUUCAUAAAGUUUGUCAUGAAUGGUCCAAAACACACCUUUAAAACGUUUAGCAGAAAUCCGACCCAGUCAAGGUUAUGCAACUCGUGACGGUCCGUCGUAUCUAUGACGGACCGUCCUGCAGAUCCGUCACAAAGUUCAGAGACUCAAAUUCAGUAAAGAGGUUUGUGACGGUCCGUCGUAUCUUCGACGGUCCGUGCUGCAAUUUCGUCGCGAAGUUCAGAGAGUUGAUCCCAGUACCCAGAUUUUUGAGUUGAAGUGUUUUGGAACGGAAACUCUCGACGGAACGUUGUGCAUAUGACGGUUCGUCCUACCUGUCGUCGAGGGCAAUGAGGAGAGCAACAGAAGAAUUUACACAAGUGUGGGAUGACGGAGUCCAUGACGGUCCGUCGUGACCAUGAUGGUCCGUCGUGACCAUGACGGUCCGUCGUGACCAUGACGGUCCGUCGUGUGAUCCGUUGACCCAGUCAGUUUUUAUCAAAAAUAGUUUUACUACUCGAACUGACUAAACAGGUCGUUACAGAAUUAUUGUUACACGAACAAAGUUGAAUCAAGUAAGAGAAAAUGUGAUUAUUCUAUGUGAGGUAGGGUUAAGUAAAGACUGAAGUAAUGGAUUUUGAUGGACUUGGACUAAGGAUUGUAAUAGUUGAUUUAAAAGUGAAGUGUUUGACUUGAGAAAAUGAUAAAGUUAGACUUAAAUUGAUUGAUAUUUAACAAAAUAUUUAUAUUUUAUUUAUGAAUUAUAUAUAAAUAAUUAUAAAAUUUAUAUUUUGAUUCAAUCAUUUUUACGAUUAAUUUUUUUAGUAAAAUCAAAAUCAAAAUCAAAUAUAUUUUUAAUCGAUUCAAUUCAAAUUAUAAUUUAAUUUAAUUUCUUUUAACAAUAACCAUGAAUAACCCUAGUUAUUAAUGUCUCUAUUUAUUUUAUGGUCCCAUUUUAAGGUGGUUGCUUUAAUUUUUGUUUGAAAAAAAUUGGUUCUUUUUAACAAGUUGUUGGCAUAAGUGGUUCUACUUCUUUCUGUCUUAGCUAAGUUAUUAAUAUGUUGGAAUGUGUGCAAUUAAAGUUGUCACAAUUUAAACCAUUAUUAAUUUAAGAGUCUGGUCGAUAUUAUUGUUGGAGGAUUAAAAAUAUUUAUGUUUUUACAAAAAUAUUUUUGUUAAAAAAUAAAACAUUUGGCAAACUAGUAAAAAUAGUUUUAAAUAAAAGCAAAAACAAUUUUUUUUUCUUGUUAUUGAAAAGAAGCUAAAAACUUCUAUUGUUUUUUUUUAAAAAAAGGCAGAAUCAUAAACAGAAAAUUAGUUCUCUCGAUACGAAAACAUCCUUUUCAUCUAAACAUAUACUUACAAAUAUAUCUUUCUUUUAAUUACUUUGCAUUGGUCAAAUUCAUUUAAGAAUCUUUUUAAAUUAUGCUUAUAUAAUAAAUUUUAUAAUUUAUUUAUGUUUAUAUGUUAUAUAUUAUUAAUGUAUUAUUUGCAUAAUUAGAAAAAAAGUAUUAACAAUAUUUUUGCAAGAUUAGAAAAAUGAAAAAAAUAACAAUUAAAGAUUAAGUCUCUUAAAAAAUCUAUAAUAUUGAUCAAAAAUUUAAAAAUAUUCAUUUCAAUUUAAUAAAAAAAUUGUAAGUAAUCUUUUAGUAAUAGAUUUUUAAAAUAGUUAUUCUCGAUAAAAUAGUUUUAAUAUUAAAAGUACAUUAAUAGUUAUAUUUUUGUAAUUUGACUUUCAAAAGCACUUUUCAAAAAUAUUUGUCAAAGACAGUUUGCUUAUGAAAAGUACUUCUCAAAUAAAUCAGUCAAACAUAAAUUAUUAUUUUUUAAAAGCAUUUUUAAAAAAAAACAUUUUUCAAAAGUACUUCUAAAAUAAGCUAAUUUUAAUUAGACAUGCUCUAAGAAUCUAAGGUUGUUGUGUUGGGCAAAUACAAGUAAUACUAAAUAGAAGGUAUUAGUAAUGCUUGCAUUAAUUAUACAUAAAUUAUUUUUUAUUCAUUAUUUUAUUUGAUGUAUUAAAAUUAACAUGCAUUAUAUAAAAAUAUUUAUUUACAAAGAUGGCCUUCACAAUUGUGGUAGAAAAGAUGUAAAACAGUUUUUGAGGGGCAAUGAGAUUUUUAACAAUGCUAAUGCAUGCAUCAAAUACCUUUGCAUAAGUAAUACCUAGAAAUCUAUGAUUUCAGUAAUACACACCUUAAUACAUUAUAUAGAGUAUAUAAUUAAUCUAUAGAAUUAAAAAGUGUAUCAAAUAAAUUACUAUUAAACACAGAGUUGAUGCAUGCAUUAUUGUUAAUACGCUCUACCAAAAGAUUCCUUAAUAUUUUUUGUAACCUAAAAUCAUUCGAUAUUCAUUUCCUCAAUUAUUUAAUUUGUCAUCAUAUAUAUAAGGUUGAUUAGCAAGAUUUGUUUAAAAGAAUUUUUCUUCUUCUCGAGACUCGUAUUUAAGGCCCCUUAGUAAAGAAGAAUGAAUCCGAUAUGAUUAAUAUUUAAUUUUAUGUCGCGUUAGGCGAUUUAAAAAGGAAACGUUCCUUAUUCAAAAUUUCUCAUUCUCAAAAUUCAUAUUCGGGCAUCUAAUAAUUAAAAAUUGAUGAAUCUUAUCCAUCUUAUCAUAAACGGGGAAAAUUAAAGCUACCUAACCUUCUUAGGCAUUUGGUCCUAAAUAUUGAUGUCGUAUAGUACAAAUACCUAAACCUAUUUGUCCUUUAAUUCGAAAAUUUUAUAUUUAUUUACUUAAUAUUUCUCUAGCCAACUAAAAAUAAUUCCUGAUUUUUAGAAAGUUAAUAUCACAAAAUAAUACUAUAAGCGUACAUUGAGUAAUAAAUGUUUUCAUGAUUUUUUUCAGAAUUAAAUGUCAUAAGCCUAAGUUAAGUGGUUGUUGGAACAAUGAUAUGAAAAUGAAAAGAUUUACCUAAUUUUUUUCUCAAAAAUAACUUCUUUUUUUUAAGAAAAUUAUUUUACAUGGUACCAAAUAUUUUUUUAUAUGAGACUAUAUAGAAAAUACACUAUAUUGAAUUAAGCAGGCAACAAGUUAUUGUAAUUAAUUAAUAUUCAUUGUUAUAAUUAGUUAUGAAUUUAAUAGGUUUUCUGCAAUUUAGAUAUUGGUUCACGUGCUUGCCCAGUAUUUUCUGAUUUUGUAUGUGAUAUCUAUAUCGAAUUAAAUACGUUUAGUUUUCAAUUAAUAUGUGUACUUGUGAGUUGUGAUCAAUGCCCUAAAUUAAAAAAAAAAAAAUAUUGGUUGUCUAAUUAUCAAUGGUUUAUGUAAAUAUAUAAAUUUGUGUUGUUAUCACUCUAUUAAUUAUGAAAUGUCUUGAUCAAAUUACUAGUGAUAUGAUCGAUGUAAGAUCGAUGAUAGUAAAGUUUAAUAUAUAUGUCCUUUAUCAGUUUUACCAAUCAUAUGGUUUCCUUUAUCAUCGAUUAAUACAUGAGUAUGUGUUGUAGAAAUCUCACGUAUAGAAUGAAAAAUCAAUGACUGCGUUAAUGAUUAAAAUUGUUAAGUACAUAAUUUUUGAAUUCGGCUCCUCUCUAUUUCUCUUCUCUCCAUUUUCUCCAAGUUCCUACUUAGAUGUAUGAUACUUGUAUUAUUUAAAUAUCAAUGGUGCAUAUUUUUAAUUAAUCAAAUAUCUUAAUCAGGAUUAGAAGAAUAUAUAUUACCAUUUAAAUCUAUCUAAUUAUUGCUAUAAAAAACAUCUCACAAUUUCUGUUUUAUAUAUUAUAUAUUAGGGAUGUUAAAAAUGAACCCAAACAUAGAUAAUCUGUCCAAAAUUUCAAGGGUUGAGCUCAAAAUAAUUUGAAUUGGGUUCAAUAUAAACUCAUUCAACCCUAACCCGUUUUAGGAGCAUUCUCAAUUGAGUUUAAUUCAAUCUCCAGUUUUAAAAUUCUUUACUAAGUUAUGUUCCUAUAUUAAAUGUAUGAAUUAUUAUAUGUUUAACAUCUUUUAGAAUUUAUCUAUCAAUUUGUUACUUUUUUAUAAAAAAAAAACUUGAGUUGAAAUUCACAUUGUGAUUAUAAAAGUUAAAUAUCAGUUUAUUAAAAUUAUUGAGAUUAAUCGGGUCGAAUUGGAUGGGUCAAGAUCCAACCCGUUUUUAGCCCAUUUGAGCCCAACGUAAACUUGGGCAGAUCAAGACCCAAUCCAAUUUCUAUUUCAACCCAUUUUAAUAAUAAUAGUUUCAACCCAACCCGUCCAUUUGACACCUCAUAUAUUUAUAGAUAUAGAUAUAGAUAGAUAGAUAGAUAGAUAGAUAGAGAGGGAGAGAGAGAGGGAGGGAGAGAGAGAGAGAGAACCAAUUCCCUAAUUAAGUAACUAAAGGGCUAUGACUUUCACAUUGUAGACAUUGAAAUUUUAUAAGACUACACAGUCUACAGAACUUGUUCAAUUUGAAUUGGAACUUUUCAAGGUGUGUUUAAUUUUACUAAGGAUUCUUGGAGGUUAUUCAAUCCUAAACCCUAGUACAUGUCUAUAUAAAAGGUAUUAUCUUCCCUUGAAAGGCAUCUCAAAAAUUCUAUAAAGGGAUCGAAAUCUCAAAAAUUGCACCAUAAAUUCAUGGAAUAUUCAUAAAGAGAUCAAAUCCAAAUCAUCUUAAUUUAAAAAAUACGCUACUAACGGCCCACAAAUUAUGAAAAUCAAGUUAAACCAUGACAAAUUGAGAAAUACACAAUUAACGACCCUCAAAUUAUAAAAAUAAGUCCAAAAUGAUUCAAGUUAGAAAAAUACGUAAUUAACGAUCCUUUUAUGAGAUAAAUUAUAUUUUUUCAUAUUUUAUUUAUGAUUGUAAUUUCUUUUUCUGUCACUCUAUAAAAUUUGUUGCAAAUAAUCAUUGAAAGUAAAUGAAAUAUUAUCUCCAACUAAUUAAUAUUUCGAACCCUAACUAAUUUGAAUUCGACCCAACAAUCCCAUUAAAUAACAGUAAAUUUUGUCGUUCUUUUUGCAGUGGGGCUAUAUAAACUAUUAUACAGUGAAUCUUGCUUUAUCUGGAAAUUUCUGAACAUAAAUAUUAUUACUGUAGAUUUCAGUUUACAUAAUAUUAAUGUUUUUGGUAUAAAUAUGUUAGCAUAUUAUUCCUGAAUCAUAAUCAUUAGCAUAAAAUAAAAUAAAUUAAUGUAUAUCAGCUACAUACUAUUUUAACAUAUUAUACUCCCUCUGUUUAAAAAAAAUAAUCUCAUAUUUUUUAGUAUGUUUUAAAAAGAAUGAUUUUUUUUUGUAACAUUUUAAUUUUAGCUUCGCAAUGACAUGUUUAAGGCCACAAGAUCAAAGGACAAAUUUAUACAUUUGACUUAACUUUAAUUUAGGACCACAAAAUUUAAAAAUCUUCUUUAUACAUUUAAACUCCAUAUCAAGUUAAAUCAGGUUAUUCUUUAUAAAACAGAAAGAGUAAUUAUUUAUGAAUUCAAUAGGUUUUCUGCCAUCUGAGCACUGUUUCUGCAUGCAUGCAAUACUUGAAGAAUUAAUUGAUCAUUUAUUUCAUUUGAUAACCUAUAGUGAUCUCAUGUAUAUUUAUGAUAUCUUUUGUAUCAUGAAAUCUGAUUAAACAUAUUUAAUUAGACGUGCACUUGUUAGCCUUUUGCUUAUGAACAUCAUAAAUUAUUAGUGGUUUAAAAUUGUACAUGUCAAAAAUAAAUAUUGAAUAUCAAAUGAAAAUAUAUAAAAAAAAAUGGAUGAAUAUUGAAUAUCGAAUGAAAAUAUAAAAAAAGGAGGAUAUAAUAACCUCAUUUAGAGAGGUAUAAAAUCAUAUAAUGAGAAUCAAAUAAUUAGUUGAAUUGCAGAAAUCUAUUCAUGAUUCGUAUAGCUAUAUAAGAGUCAGAGCACCUUUUAUAAAAGUCUAGAAGAGAUGGGACAAAAUAUCUGAAUCAUUGUGCAAUAUUUUAAUCAAUAAUUGAUGGCAUCAUUAAAGUCGAUGAGCGUAAAUUAUAUCCUCCACCAGUUUUAUCACUCAUGAAAUUCCUCUAUAAAUAAACAUAUAUUUAUUUCUUAUUUCUCGCUUAAGGGUCGAUAUAUAUAUAUAUUUGUUUUUUAAAUCUCGAUUAAAUUCCAUUCAUUAAGGAGGGAGGGGAGAGGGGGGUGCUUUUUAUAAGUUUUUUUCCUUCUUAGAGCUUGAAUACGAAAUAUCAGGUGAAAAAUCAAAUAAAAACCUUAGCAAAUUGAAAUUGAAUGGUGUGUAUAUAUAUAUAUAUAUAUAUAUAUAUAUAUAUAUAAUCUCCACUUUCUAGGUAGAUCCUAACUUGCUUCAAACUUGAAGGCAGUAAAUUUUUUUGUUCUUUUUUGCAGUGAUACAUCACUUAACAACAUAAAUAUUUUCCUUUUUUGCAUAUGUAAAUAUUAUUUUUUUUACAGUGAAUCUCGCUUUAUCUGGAAAUUUCUGACCAUAAUCAAUACCGUAUAUUUUUUGUUACAUAAUAUUAAUGGUUUUGGUAUAUUCAAUAUGUAACCCAAUAUUCCUGAGUCAUAAUAAUAUAAGCUUACAUUUUCUUGAGGUAUUAAAUCUUGAAAUGUUAAAGAACCUAACAUAAAUUAUCAAUUGUUUGACAUUUUCAAUCAGAGAUUUUGGGUUCGAGUCAGCAUCAUAUCUUAAUAACUUUUAUUUUAUACUUUGUAUAAUUUUUUAUCAAAAAAAUUCAAAUGAAUCCCUUAAUUAAACUCUAGAUCCUUUUCUCGAUUCUGGUUCAAAGAAAGGUCAACACAAAGAUACCUACCCCAACCCCCACACUCACUAUAUCUAUAUAUGCGUCAAAUUAUUGAGUCUUUCAAAAGGGAUCCAUUUAGAAAUUUACAACAAAAGUUCGAUUGACUAAAAGAGAGCUUUAGAGGAAAAAGGAGGGGACAUUUAUAUAUAUCAAUAUACCAUAAAAAUAGUUUUUAACGAUAAUAAUAUGUACAUAAAUAAAUUAGAGGAUUAAAGUUCUUCUCGAUAUUAAUUAAUUGGUAUUAGAUCAAUGUCGCUAUAGGUUAGAGUGUUAUAAUUACCCUUGAAAAUAUAUAUAUGAAAAAAUUACAUAAAUUAAUACAUUUUAAAAAAUAAUUACUGAUUUCAGCAUACUUUUUGUUUAUUACCAUUUAUAGCAAUAUUGUGAUAAAUCUAUAAUAUGUAUUAAAAGUGAAUCAUGUAUGCAAUAUAUUUGAAUUAUAAUUGUUUUUUUAAAUGUAUUAUGUUUGUUUGGUAAAAAAUUAUCGCAUCGUAUUAUAAGUGUAUUAAAAUGUGUGAUAAAUGUAUUAUCCAUCAUUAAAACUUGUAUUAUAUGUGAAUAGUAAAUUGUUCUUUGUAAUAUGUAUUAAACUUGUAUUACAAAUGAAUUAAAAGUGGUCAAGUGAAAAAAAUAUUAUUGCUAUAAAUGGUAAAUAUUUUUUUAUUAUAAUAUAUUUAUGUAAGUUUCCCUCUAUAUAUUUUAGCGGCAAUUAAGUUAUUAUUAUUUAUUAAUUGCUGCUAAGAACUGAUUAUAUUAUCUUUUUUAUUUUUUUCUAAUAAUAUUCUUAUCAUUAAGUAAUUAUUUAAAGUAUGUAAUAGUAGCCAUACUCAAUUUUCAAAAAAGUGAUGUCGAAGUAAAAUAAAGAAAUAAAUGUCAAAAACACAUUUUAACUAUCCAUUUUUUUUAAGUUUCAUACUUAAACUAUUGAAAGUGUGAGUUUCAUACCUAAAUUAUCACUUUUUAGUUUGAAUAACACACCUCGGUGAUGUGUGUAAUGCACUCACUCUUUUAUUUAAAAAAACCUUGACACAAGCAUUCCACAUACAUAAAAUAUUUCAACUUGACAAAAAUUAAAUAAUAAACUAUUGAUAUUGAUUAAAAAUUAAAGAUUAAAGUAUUAUUAUCCGUAUAAAAAAUUAAAUUAUUUUUCUUAUUCCACUUCACCACCUCCUCCACGUAUUCCGUCUCCCCCCCCCCCCCCCCGAAAAAAAUGAUAUUAUUUUAUUUUUUUAAAAAAAUAAAAAUACUACCUCAUCCUAUUUAACCUUCGACUUCUACUUUUUAUUUUCUUAUUUACGCUUUUCUUAUUUUGUGUUAGAUAUGCACCUACAUAUUUUUUAGAAAAAAAUUCUAGUAGUGUAUCGAAUAUAAUACAAAUAACUAAAAAAAAAACUAUAAAAAUUCUGUGGCAGCAAGUAAAAUGUAUAUAUCUAAACAACUUAGAAAAAAAUUUGUAAGUGAAGGGUUAGGUUUAUUUUUAAUUGAAAAUAGUAAAAUAAUAUUUGAAUUAGAAUUUGAGCAGGAGCAGGAGGAUGAGAUGAAGUAAAAAAAAUUAAAUGCUUUUGUAAUUUUAUUUUUUAAAAAAAGUUAUAAAAUGGUGGGAGUGGGGAUAGGGCUGAGAGGAAGUGAUGGCGUAGGCAAAGAAAAAUAUUUUACAUUUUAUUUUAUAAAGAAAUUAUUAUUUUUUUUGAUAAUAAUUUUAAAUUUUAACUAAUAUUAAUAAUUUAUUUAAAUUUUUUCAAGGUUGAAUGUUUUGUCCAUGUGAAGUGUGAUGUUGAAAUUCUUUAAAAUAAAAGAGAGAGUGAAUUACAUACACUAUGAUGUGAAUGGUAUAAAAGAGAAAUUUAUAUUUUUUGAAGUAAAAACUGAUAAUAUAGAUAUGAAACUCAAAAAAUAAAAUAUAAUUUAAGUGUGUUUUUAAUACAGAUAUCUUAAAUAUAAAGAAAGAUGUAAUUAUGUCAAAAUAAUUUAAUUGUCAAAAUCAAAUGAUCCAUCAAGUCAUCUCCAGUAUAAUCUCAGUGGACCUAUGGCUAAUAUAAAAUCUUUGGUGGGAACCACUACUUGAUUUCCAUGUAUGACCAAAAAAAAUAUAGCUGUCUUUAUGUCACGAUCCAAAACAAGCUGUGAGUGGCACCCACACUUAUCCUAUUAUGUGAGCGAACCAACCAAUCUAAACCCAACAUUUCAACCAUAAUAAACAGAAUAUAAUGCGGAAGACUUAAAACUCAUUAACGAAAUCAAUUAAAUAACUUCUAAAGUUUAUCAAUUACUAUCCCCAAAACCUGGAAGUCAUCAUCACAAGAACAUCUAUCCUCAAAUUACUAAAUCUAAGAAUAUCUAAGAAGCUAAAAUAAGUAAAAGAGAUGGUCCAUGUCCGAACUUCAAGACAUCAAGACGUGAAAGAAAGAAUCCAGUCCGAUCUAGGAACAAUAGCUCACCCUGAAAUCUGAUUAUGUUGAAGUCUGGCUAGAGUUGCGGUUGAGUCGAAGUCGAUGGCACGUUUGCUGCACUCCACAAAUAACAAAGAGGGAAAUAUACAAGUAGGGGUCGGUACAAGGCACAAGUACUGAGUAGGUAUCAUCGGCCAACUCAAAAUAGAAAGCAAUAUAUAUCAGAUAAUAACAUAAAAUCAACUACAAUACUCAACAGGUGGCAACAACAAGUACAAGAACCAUUGGCAACAACACCAAGCACACCUAUGAGGACUGAAGCCUCCACACCAUACUCAUUUGGGAAAAAAGGUUCUUUAAGUUUGAGUAUAUUAAGAUAAUUCAAGAUUCAUUCUCUUCAUUCCUCUUGUGUCGGAACGUGACACUCCGAUCCCCUAAUACUACGUGUCGGUUCGUGACACCCGAUCCCCUAAUACUACGUGUCGGUUCGUGACACCCGAUCCUCUAAUACUAUGUGUUGGUUCGUGACACCCGAUCCACUAAUACUAUGUGUCGGUUCGUGACACCCGAUCCCCUAAUACUAUGUGUCGGUUCGUGACACCCGAUCCACUAAUAAUAUGUGUCGGUUUGUGACACCCGAUCCUCUAAUUCUAUGUGUCGGUUCGUGACACCCGAUCCACUAAUACUAUGUGUCGAUUCGUGACACCCGAUCCCCUAAUACUAUGUGUCAGUUCGUGACACCCGAUCCAUUAACCUCAUUCUUUUAGUUCAUCAAGCCUUCUUUUAUACCAAGGCAUCAUCAUUAACAAAGAGGUUUUAAGGUUUAAGAUUCAACAGUCUCAUCAUGCUAAUUCAUCACAAUUACAUAAUCACAUCAUGCAAGCACACAAUUAAGCAUAUAGAAGACUUUACAAUACUACCCAAUACAUAUCAUUCGCUAUUAAGAGUUUACUAUGAAAUAGCAUAAACCAUAACCUACCUCCACCGAAGAAUUCGCGAUCACGCAAGCUACUCCUCAAGGUCUUUGCUUUCCUCUUCGUUCUCUCUUCUCUCGCUCGUUCGUCCCUUCUUUUCUGUUCUUUCUAUUUUCCUUAUUCAAACUCUUUUUCUUUUACCCUAAUUACCAUAUAAUUAAGUAUAAAAGAUGGUAAAAGUAACCCACUAUUUAAUUCAAGGUUAUCUUCUUUAACCCCCAAGUAAUUGAAUUAUUAACAUUAAACCACUAACUUUAUAAUUAUAAGCAGGAAUAGUCCAAAACGCCCCUUAAAACUUUUAACAGAAAUCCAACUCAGUCAAUUUUACGCAGCAGCCUGUGACGACCCGUCGUGCCUGUGACGGUUCGUCCUGCUGCUUCCGUCACAAAGUUCAGAGAGUCGAAUUACAUUCAAGACUCUGUGACGGUCCAUCGUGCCUACGAAGGUCCGUCCUGCCAUGUCGUUGCGAAGUUCAGAGAGUUGUUCUCAGUACCCAAAUUUCCAAAAUCUAAGUGUUUUGGAACGGCACCCCCUCGACGGUCCGUCGUGCCCAUGACGAUCCGUCGUGGGAUCCGUCGACCCAGACAGUUAUUACCAGAAAUAAACUAUUCUGCUCAAAACGACUAACAGGUCGUUACACUUUAUCUAAUGAUAUGAAUAUUUAUAUUUAACAAUAAAAUAAUAUAGCACCAAAUAUAUUUUAGUCAUGUUAAUCUUAGUUUGAAUCCAUUAAAAAAACAUUACUAGAAAAUAUUAAAUUAUGAUUUAAAUUAAAAUUUUGGUGACGUUAAAUGAUACUAGUCUAAUAUUUAGAAAAUAGAGAUAAAAUUUAAAUGAGAGCUUAAAAAUGGAACAAUUUGCGUGAUUAGCAUUUUUUUGUGUUCUCAUUUAAUGUUUCUUUCUUGUUUUAUAAUCAGACUAAUCUAUAUUUAUAUUAUAUAAUUUAAAAGUAAAAUACUUUUGCUGAUAAAAUUUUUAUUCUCAUAACUCAAACGUAAAAUGGAAUAAGUUAAUAUUAAACAAGUCAAUUAGAAAGUUGUGCACACAAUUUAAAUAAAUAAGGACAAAAGGUGCCUAUAUGUGUAAAGGCAAUAAACGUUUUUGUAAUUCAAGUAGACCCAUCCAUUGCAUGCAGCAUUUAAUUUGCUGCUACCUCUAUAAUUUAUAUUGAUGUGUACACUCCAUCAACAUUAAAUUAAAAAAAAUAAAAUUCUAACGAAUUCGAUAUUUGUAUUGAAUUUGAAUUUGAAUUUACAUUAUGACAUUUCAUAUUUUUGCUCGAAGAUGAAAGUCAGAUUAAGAGUAAAAGUAUGUUUAUCAAUAACUCCGUCAUAAUUCUGAUUAGUUAUACAUUAUCAAAUACCAUUUACCUUUUACUCUUCUUUAAGAUUCGAUUUGUCAAAAAAAAAAUUAAUUUACUUAUUUCAUUAUAAUUUAAAGCUUUUUAGUAAAACAUUUGGCUCGACCAUGCAGGCAAAUGGGAGACAUAGAAAUUAAAGAAACAAAAAAUAAUGAAAGUCUUUGGUGUGUCUUAGUAAUCCCAAUUCAUCACAAAAAGGGAAAAUAAUAAAUAUAUCUUCGAAUUGAUGUAAAUGAUAUGCAUAUACCUUUUGUUAUACUUUUGGGAUAAUGGUGAUUGGUGCUUCUGUUAUCAAGAAACGAGAAUAUAUAUGUCCUUCAGUCUAAGGAAAGACUAAAUAGGUACAGGUGACGCAAUCUCAUCAGUCGAUUCGUUGUUUAAUAAAUAUCGGAUAGGUAGAUAAAAUUAUAGCAAAUCCUUUAGUAUAAAAGAUAUAUAUGCUUUGAGGACAGAGACAUCAAUCUCUCAAAAGUAUGAUAAAAUGUAUCUAUAUUUACGAUAUUUUGAGGGUAUAUUUAUCUUUUUUUUCCCGAGAAAGACAAAUUUAAUGGAGGGGAGUUGGAAAUUGAUUAUGUUAUUAUUUCCUUUUUUAUUUAGUACACCUACUAUUGAUUGAUGGUACAAAAGUUCAUUUAUUGGCAAGUGAGAUUUCAUCGAGCGGAAAAAUGAAGAUUCAUAGGUACUUGUAACAUAUUAUUAAAAUUUAGUUUUAUUUAUUUUGUUUAAAAAAUGAAAAAAUAAUUUAUCAUUUUAGAUCUAUUUUUUCGUUAUUAUUAAAUAUUAUUUAUUUUUUAAUAUAUAAUUGGUUCAUAACUAAGAAUCAAAUAUGAACGAAUAAAAAUCAGUGUGCAGAAAAAUAGUGGCUUAACAUAUAAAUGUGUAACAUUGCAUAUAAUUUAUUUUUUUGGUAGAAGCAUAUGCUAUAAAUGUAAAUACAAAUAUGUAUGUAAAAGUAGCUAAUAAAUGGGAUUGUCUAUAUUUUAAUAUUGCAUUUUUAACAAAAUAAAAUAAAGUAUAAAGAACUUACUUAAAUUUAGCAACAUUUACGCAGCCAAAGUAUAUGUAUGAACAAACCUACCAAAAAUUAUCAUUGUAUAUUCAAUUCGAGAUCGUUAUAAUUAGGUAUAAAUUUUGAAUUCCAACUUUUUUUUUUUUUUUUUUUUGCCAUAGAAGCAUAAAUUUGGGAGACAACAUUGCGGGUUGCUUGGUAUAGAGAAAAAUAUUUUUGAUUUUUUUUUAUAUUUGAUUGAAUAAACGCUUUGAAAAAUAUUUUUUAAAUCAACUAAUUUUACUUAAAUUUUUUUAAAAAAAGACUUCUCUUAAAAAGUUGAGGAAAGCAUUUAACAAAACUUACCUCCGGCUUCUAUUUUUUUUAAAAAAUCAAUUUUUUUGUUGAAAUAAAAUAAUUUAAAGCUUUUUCUUACAAAAAUAUUUUCAACUUCCAUUUUUAAUUUUUUUCACCCACCCUCCCAGCCAGUCCCCCCCUACCCACCACAAAAAAAAAUUAAAUUUAUUUUUAAAAAAUAUUUCCAAUUAAUUCAAUUUUUUGUUUCUCAUCCGACCCCAACCCCCCGGUCAACCUCCCUACCAGCCCAUCCCCUCCCUCCAAAAAUAAUUAAAAUUUGUUUUUUAAAAAAAAAAUCAAUUUUCAGUUUUUGUUUUUCCACCCCAUCCCCCACCUUGUCCAAAAAAAAAGUUGCUUUUUCAAAAAUAUUUCAAAUUUUUAUUUUUUCACCCCAUUUCCUAAACCUCCCCUCUCCCGCCCAAUCAGACCCCCGCCCCUCAAAAAUUUUUUUAUCCCAUUUCACCCCUACCCCCUUUUCCCCCUCGUGGGCUCCACCCCCAAAUAAAUUUAAGUUUAUUUGUUAAAAAAAUAUUGUUAGCGUCAAUUCAAAAAUUAUUUUUUACUCUAGUAAAAUUAAAAGAUAUAUUCUCAAAAAUAUUUUCAUUCAUAAAUCAAACACACAAAAAAAAUCGAAAAUUAUUUUUUACUCAUCAACCAAACAUGAGAAAAUAAGUACAAAGUCUACUUAUUUCGAGAAAAACAUUUUCCUUCAUACCAAACACACCCUGCAUGUAAAAUAAUUUUGUAAAAUACCGGUGUGUUUCGUGUUUAAUAUGAAGAAAAAUAUUUUCUAAUUUUUUUAAAAAAAAUUUCUACAUUGAUCAUAUCCUCUUCAUUCCUUUGUACAUUUCAUCUCCGUCAUACCUUGUAACGUUCAUUUCCGCCACCCCCAUCCCCACCCCCCACUUCUACCUUCCAAUUUGUCUUAGGUUAUAUAUAUUACAAAUUUGAAUAGUUGUAUUUCAUAUCUACUGAACUCAAAAAAAUAAGUAAGAAAUUCACUUGUUAAAGAAAAGUCGAUGCAUUUAAGCUACCCUAAGUAUGAGCCCAGGAAGGACGGACCUCAAAGUAUUAUUGGACUCAACCUUAAUGAUCUACAUUCCUACAGAAAAUUAUUUUCAUAACCAUAAUAUUUUAAAUCACAUGAGAAUAACUUUACCGUUUAUAUUCUCUUUAGAAAUUUAUCAUAAAAUAUUUUCCUAAAUACCAAACACACCAAGUAUAGAAUGUGGUAUAGCUAAUAAAUAGCAUGGUGUCCUAUAGAAUAUUAGAUUUCAUAUUAAAAAUAGUAAAAGUAGAAGUAGGUGUGAAUUUAUAACAUUUUAGGUCCAAUAAGUGGGAAAUAUAUACAAGUCACCAUACAAGUAUUAAGCUUGGAAUGUGUGACAUUAAAAUUUGCUUGGCUUCCCAACUGCACAACAUAUAUAUAUAUAUAUAUAUAUAUAUAUAUAUAUAUAUAUAUAUAUAUAAUUUCUUAAUGGUAUUUGUUGAAAAUGACCUAUCUAUAUUGUCAAGUCUAUUGGUUACUUUAGGAGUAUUUAAUAUGGUCUGAAUUUAUUUUUUUCAUCAUGAUUCAUGUGAUUUUCAUAUUUCAUUUGAAAUUUUAUAAUUUGUAGUGAUGAUGAUGUUUUAUUUUAGCAAGCAAAAUAUUUGAUUAACUCGUUGGGAAAUUAAGAAAAAGUAUUUAUCGAUAUCUAAUAUUUACACUGAAUCAACUAAGUGAAUAUAAAGAAUUAUAUACAGUAGUGUGAAUAUAUAAAUAUGCCACUCAAUAAUUAUACUUCCUUCCUCCUUUUCAGUUUAUUUGUCUUGAUUUUUUUUUCAUUUAAAAAAUAAAUAUUAUUUUGUUACAUUCUUGAUUCUAUCUAUUUUUAGUUUAAAAACGACAACAUUCAAAAAUAUCUUUUACUUUCUUAAUCUCUAUAUCAAACUAAAAUUGAACGAUCAGAUUAAAGUAAUUAGUACUAGUAUAUACAUUUUUUAGGUUUAUGAAACUUUAUAAUUCAAAAUUUUGCAUGGUAAAUGACGUUGUUCGAUCAAUUGUUUGGACUAAUAUAUAUAUUAAUUAUUUAUCAUAAAUAAUAAAAGUUGAGUUUGGCCAAAAAAAUAUACACUUUUCUUUUUGAAGUUAAACUUUGAAAAAUAUGCUUGAUCAUGAAAUUGUUUUCAUAUUCUUCACUCUAAGUUAUUCACAAAAAUUCAAAAAAAAACCCUAAUUUGUAUUCAUAACCAAAUCACAACUCCAAUUUUCAAAUAUAUCACUUUUUACUUUGAAAACAAAAACUAUUUUUAAAAAGAAAUUACAAUGAAAUAUGGCUAAACCUCCAAGUUGUGUUUGGGCUGAACAGAAGCUCACAAGUUUGGGCCUUUUUUUUAGGGCAACUUUCACAUAUAGCAAACAAAAAAUUCAUAUUUGUAUGCUAUAGCAAACUUUGCAUAAUUGCGCUUCAUAACAAACAUAAAACUGUAUAAUUCGCUAUACAUAUACAAGUGUAUAAUUUGCUGGCCUAACAAUUGUAUAAUUCACUGCCUAUUUCGCUACAAUAUUAAGUGUAUAGCAAGAAGAUAUAUGUUUUUCUCUCGCUUUAUACAAAAACAGAAACACAAUAUAUACACUUCUGUUGUAUAAAGCUAGAGAAAAUUGUACUUCAUUGCAAUUGUAUAAUCCGCAAUUGUAUAAUUCGUUGACCUUUUUCUCUGCAAUAUUUGAAGUAAAAUGUUUGUAAACUGUAUUAAGUGUAUAACACGAAGAUAUAUAUUUUUGCAUGUGUAUAUACAAUUUCUCUCGCUUUAUACAAAACAGAAACAGAAUUAUACACUUUUGUGUAUAAAGCGAGAGAGGCGAGAGAAAAUGGAGAGUGGCGAGCGAGAUUUCUGGGAGAGAGACGCUGGCAAAUUUUAGCUAACGUUUGCUAUGGAGCACAAUUAAAUCAAACCCUAGCUAUUCCAUUUAUUUUAGGUUAUUAGUUUGCUAUUAUAUACAAUUUACCCUUUUUUUUACUCUUAUGUCCAACCUCAGCCCAAGUCUAAGAGGCCCAAAUCUAGCCCAACAUAUUGAUUCUUUUAAAAUUAUUUAUUAUUAUUAUUAUUAGUUUUUAUUUACUGUAUAGUUAUUUGUAUUGUACUUGAGCCGUUUGAUAGCUGAUUUGGAAAUGAGCUACAGUAGAAAUUAAAUUCUGCACAAAUGAUGUUGUAUUCGUCCAUAUUGAACCAUUCUCCAUUGUAACAAUUAAAAUCAGUAAAUUUUACCAACGGUAAAUCAUAAUAUAAAGAUAGACUCUAAUCAAAUUUGACUUUAAUUGACAAGUAAACAUUCUAAUUUUGAGGGUUCAAAAUAUGAAAAGUACAUAUACAAGAAAAGUUGAAGAGGUUCAAUAUCUACAAUAUAUACAUAAAAAUUAAUUUAAACCGUGUAUAUAUAACGUAAAUUUUCAUCGAAGGGGUAACCUCUGAACCCUUACUAGCUCCGUCCUUAUUUAAGAGUGCACAUCUAGCCACCUCAACUCAUCCCAUACUACGUUUCGUGGAUACCUAAUGCUGACGUUGUUGGGUUUUAUUUGCCCUGAUUUCUUACCAUAAAUAGGUUUUCCUUUUCGGAAAAGGUUUUGGAUUGACUAAUCCUUUUUCUGGUAGGAAAAGGUUAAGAACUCUAUAAAUAGAGUAAUGUUCCUUCUAACUUAAUCAGCAUUCACAAUGUAGUCUUAAAGGGCUUUGAGAGUUUUGGUUAGAGGGAGAAUUUGUGGGUCACAAGCAUGAUACAUUUUCACUUGUGUGAACCUCCCAUGUAUUCCGAGUGAAUUGGUUGAGGUUGUUUCUCUAUGUAUUUUGUACUCUAAUAUUUAUAGUGGAUUGUUCAUCUCCUUUGUGGAUGUAGGUCGAUAGACCGAACCACGUUAAAUCUUUGUGUCUUUUGGUAUAUUUCUCGUUGUCUUCUUACUCGUGAUCUUUCGAGGUUUGCUUUGCUAGCUUCUGCGUUUACACCUGCUUAUUUUCGGUCCUAACAAACGUGAUACAUAAAAUUUAGAUAUUUCUAUAUGACCAUUUUAUAAAUUGGAGUGUUCAAUUGACACUAUAGAUACAAGUUGAGGCAUCUAAAUGUGCAUACGUAAAUAACUAUUAGCAUUAGCACAACUAAAUGAUCCAAACUCCUUACAAGAUCCUUCCUUACAUUACAACUAAAUAAGAAAAAUAUAUAAAACAAAAGAAAAAAAAAGUGAAUAGAAUAAAGGAACAGAAAUUCUAGUAUUUUUUAACCUCUCAAAACACCAAGCUUUUUUUUUUAGUACAAUUAAAUUUUUCACCUUUGUGUUUGAGAUCUCUAGCCCCUCCUAUUAAAUUUCAUCUUCCAUAUUUCUUAAAUCAACAUUUCUAUGUUCCCACCCUCUACAUUUUACUUACUUUCUACCCCUCUUCAACUAUAAUACAUGCAAAAUGUCAUUGUUUUUUUUUUUUGGUGCAUUUUGAACUUGACAUUUUAUUUUUGCUUGCAACACAUUAAACCAUUUCUAGGGGUGUUGGUGUGUGAUUGCCUUCAACAGAUUUAGCCUUGUGUUUAGUUGUUCGCGAAGACCUUAACGUGGAUGGUGAACUCGAUUUUGGAGAGGAAGUUGAUUUAGGCUUCCUCCUUUUUUGUUUCUUAGGAGGACUAGUAACAUCUGAAGUUUUCAUGUCCUUGUGAAUGCUAGUUGUUGUUAGUUGCUUCGUCGUCUCACCACAACCUAUAAUAAAAAGACAUGCAUACGUUGAAAUAUAAUAAAAGUAUACUAUAGAGGCAAGUGGUUCAACUGAAUUCGUUGCUUUUAACUAUGUGUCAUAAGAAUUAUAGUAAAGUGUGUCUUCAUGAAAAGUUUAAUAUAGAUUGAGUUGUAGAGUCUUGUGGGUAUGAAUGUAAUAAGUAGGUAGAGAGGAGGUCAUAAGCGUCUAUAUAAUAAAAUCAAUUUUCAAUAGGAUAAAAAGGGAAAAUGUUCAAAAGAUAAACAUAAAGUAGAAUAAUCUAAUAUUCGAAUGAAUUCAAUUUUUGCUGAGACUUAAUUUUGAACUCGCCUCUAAAGAAGCAAAAGUAGGUAGUUAAUUUGCUCAUCUUUUCCCUCAAUAUCAUAGCUUAGCUUCAAAGUGCAUAUGAAGUUCAAACGUCAAAUAUACAACCCCUUAAACUCGAUAAAAAAAUUCAUUUAGAUAUCUAAGCUAAUUUUAUAAUACACAAACAAUGCCUAUUAAAAUAAUUUUGUGUUAACAUCUCAUGGAGUGAUAUAUAAACACUCACUUUUAAUUAUCUUUCAUAUCAUAUAUUCAAUAACUACAAUUCAGUAGAAAUAUCUAAGUAAAAACUCGAGCAAAUUUAAGGGGUUGCAUAUAUUCGGUCUAAGUUUGUAAAAUUUUUCUGAUUGAAAUUUAUAACAAUAGAAGGCCAUACUAAUUCAUAAAAUGACACCACAGAUAUGUUAUGUCCCUUUCUUGGGUCAUGAGGCAAAAAUCUUUUAAAAAAGAAUUCUUUAGUUUUUAUGAGACAUGCAACAAAACAUAGGACAAGCUUACUAUUUUUUAAUUCUCUUAUGAUGGAAAAUAUACAUGAUCUGAAGUUACAAAUAAUAUGAUAAAAUAAGGCUAGAUUUCUCAAUGUUUACUUAAUUAAUAAUUAUUAUCAUAGAAAUUUACUAUUUUUCUUGAUUUCUCAUUUUUUUCAACAAAAAAAAUUAAUUUUUUCAGAUAAUAACUAUUAGUUGAAUGACCAUCUAAUAAAAUCAAGCUCCACUAAAUAAUAAAGGGGUUUCAAGCAAGCGUUUAGUUUCUAGAGGUACGUUGAAUGAUUUCUUCACAUCAAUCUAAAAUUUUGAUUGACAAAAUUACUCGAUACAUGUAUUGAUGAGAGAUAACAUGUAUUACGUAAAAUAAUCGAGUGGCCUAAAAACUAAUUUUACCACCGUUAUAUAGUAAAAAUGAAAGAUCUCUAUAGAUUUUUGGUGUGCAAAAGGAAAAAGGAUGUUAAGCAAGACUAACCUUGAGAUUUACCACUAGAAGUUACUGAAAAUUCAGGUCCUGCCUUGAAUGAUUUCAUCUUCAAUUCAAAAAUAAAAAAAUGAAAAUGUUAGGCAUGUGGAAAGCCCUUCAUAUAAAAUAAUGAAUUGUUGAGAUUCAAUAAAAGAAAAAUACUUAAUUACAUAUGAUGUUUACACCAAAUUAAACUUUAAAAUUACAAAAAUAAUUAGCUCAAUAGUCGAAGCAUCGCAUGUUCAUGCAGACUCUGAGAAAGGGUUGCAUCCGAGGAGAAUAAUAAUAACUUAUUCUGACACAAGCGUCUGACGACUUUAAGAGUAAAUAAAAACAAAAAAAGGUUUACUCAACACAUAAAACAUCUUGCAUUCAUGAAGAAAUUGGAGAAGGGUCGCAACUCGCACUCAAUAACAUAUGCAGUCUAUCCUGAUACAUGCAUUAGUAAUUAAUUUUAUAAUUAGAUCCAUGACCACACAAGACAACUUUAAGAGCUACAAACUAAGGCAAUAAUAUAUAACAUCUUACAUUUUAAAGUUUUAUGAAAAUAUCGAGUUCGAAUAAAUUUUGGUGAAACUCAAAUAUGUGAACAAAAGAUAACAUACCCAAGUAGGUGCACCUCCAGAGGGACCUUCCCAACCAAUAUGUGCCACAUGUUUAACAUCAGUUGGACCUCCAAUCUCCAACUCCCUCUCCUUAACAACUGUAAAUUUAAAAAAUCAUUUUUUUACACUUUUACCCUCGAAUCAAAUAUAAAGAAAACAUGCAAUUCCCAAAAAAAAAAAAAGGAAAAAAGAUGUUACCAAAAAUAUUUGAGAUAUAUUUGCAAAUCCCCUUCACUUUGAUUGCCAUUGUAUAUAAUGUAAAAGCCCAAAAGGCCAAUAAUACUUUGCUCAGAAAUGAUAGAAGGACCACACCAAUGAGAAAUAUUAAUUUCCUUGCCUAAACCAAAAAGCAAAAAAUUACAAAAUUUAUACCCUUUUCAAUUUCUAAUGUUUUGAGAAAAAUUGAACAUUAAAAAGGUAAACAAAUAGACACAUGAAAAUUAAGAAAAGUCAAUACAAUUCAAUAUACACAUAAAGAAUAAUUUCGACUUUAUAUAUAGAGUGAUGCCUUAUAAUGCCACCUUACUCUGCCCUUGAUUUGGGUAGGGAUAGAGCUAUAUGAUCAGACGUGGUUCAAUUGAAUUCUUUUUUUCAAAAUAUACAAUUUAAAGAAAAGGAUAAAAUAAAAUCCUAUGUAUAUGGAAAUUGUUGAAUUUUUUUGUUACAAGGAAUCUUCUAACGUAACAAAAAAAGUAGUUCAAAAAUUGCUUUAGCUCAUACGUUUAAAUUCCAAUGAUCACAUUUUUUGCAUUUUUUCCCCCCUCAAAUGCAUUGGGAGAACGAGAAUUCUUGAUUGACAACAUUAACAAUACCUCAAUCUCAAACAAAUCAGAAAUAAUAUUGAUUGACAAAAGAAACAAAAUGAAAAUGAAAAGAUGAAAUAGAAUUUGAAUAACAUGAUAAUUAUAUUAAUACCUUUUCAGAUAAAUGCACAAGCCAUGCAGAAAAAAGAAGGAGAAAUAUGAAAAAAGUAAUAAACUUUUUCUAUCUCCUUCUAAUUGUAAUAUUCCCCAUUAAUGUCUCCUUCAACUAUUUUUUUUGUGUAUUUAUAUAUGCAUGCAAAAAAAAUAACAUGCAUAUAUGAAAGAACAAAUAAAUGAGGAAAUCAAGAAAUUAUAUAUGAUAUGAGGGCAAAAAUACCCAAAAGGACCUUUAAUUUGUUUUCUCUUUUUUUUUCUUCUCUCUAUUUGUUGUUUGAAUGUGGAAAUUGUUUUGUUUGGAUAAUAAUCUAUAAAAAAAAUAAAAUUGAAAGAUGAAAAAUUAGAGAGGAAUAGAAAUAGAUUUUUUAAAAAAAGAAGAAAGAAGAAAUAGAAGUAGAGGUGGACAACUACCAAUUAAAAUUGUCUAAAAAGGUAAGCUUGAUACUUGAGAGGUUAGCUUACAAAGAACAUGGACAUUGACACACAAAAUACACAUUAUUUUAUAGUACAAGUUGUAAUUUUUAUUUUAUUUUUUCCAUAAUAAUGGUGGUGUUUGGAGACUAAUUUUGUUGCACUACAAAAAAAAUUUAAUAAUUAUAUAUAUAUAUAUAUAUAUAUAUAUAUAUAUAUAUAUAUAUUCUUUGUGGUUUUGAUAUAUGUUAUUUUCUUUGUUCCAAUUGAUUAGGUAUCAUGCUUUAUAGUACUUCUUACUCAGUUUCUAAAUAUGUAUUUUAUUUUUAAAAACUUAAAAUUUUAAUAUCCAAAAUUUAUGAACAAAAUUAAGACAUUUAUUUCUCAAAAUUUGAUUUGUGGCACAUCAAUUGAGACAACAAAAGUAUUUUACUUAUUUCAUUUUAUAUGACAUCAAUUCUUUUUUUGUUUUUUUCCUUAAAAAAAUUGUCAUUUCUAUAAUUAGAAGCAAUUUAGUUUUAAAAAUUCUAAAAAAAAUAUAUAUAGUGAAAAUUAGAAAGAAAUUACGAAACACUUUUGUUACCUAUUACUCACUUUGUCUCAAUAUAUCUAAAACUCUUUCCUUUUAGUCUCUUUUCAAAAAAUAAAAUAAUAUAUUUUUAUAUUUACUGACAAUUAAAUUUUAAAAUGUUCAUAUUAUCUUAAUAAAAUGAUUUAUAGCAAUAUAAAUAUUUGUGACUUAUUUAAAACAUGAGUUUCAAAAGGAGGUUUUUUCUUAUUAAAAUUUUAUAUCAAAUGAAAUAACAUCGUAUAAAUUGAAACAUAAUUAAAGAGAACUUUUGUCCCUACAAAAUACAAAGGUUGGUGAUACAUAAAUUAAAUACGUAAUUAUUAACUUAUGUUUUGACCUUUAAGGAAAUAAAUAAUUUCGGAUAAUGCAUAAGUACCCCUCAACCUAUGUCCGAAAUCUCAGAGACACACUCAUACUAUACUAAGGUCCUAUUACCUCCUGAACUUAUUUUAUUAAUAAUUUUUUUACCCUUUUUCAGCUUACGUGACACUAUCUUGCGGGCCAACGCUGGUUGACUUUUUUUUCCCCCAAGAUUAUGCAGGAUUAUACACAAAAGAUCCUUUUUUGGCUCUUUCUUUAGCUAAUGCCACGUAAGCCGAAAAGGGAUAGAAAAUUACUUAUAAAAUAAGUCCAAAGGAAUAAUAAAUUCUUAGUAUAAUAUAAGUUUCUCUGAGAUUUCGGGCAUAGGUUGAAAGAUACUUGUGCAUUUUUUUUCAAAUAAUUUUUAUAUAAUAAUUGUCAACCUCAGAAAUUGUUUCUCUUUUGUUUGAAGAACACUUGCACCAUUAAACUUCAAUUAUUAGGAGAUAAUAUUGAGAAAAGUCCACUCUAAUGUUACUUAAAUUAUUAUGGGCAAGUUAUUAUUAUUUGUUGGCUAUUAUUUUGAUGGACUACAUAUCAAAUUAAAGUCAAGUGUAAAGACUAUUUCCAAGUCCAAAAAGUCUUUGUAUACCUAAUUUAAUUACUCUGUUAUUUUAAAUUAGCUGUAUAUUUCUAUGCAAUGUUUCAUUAUCCUAAGAGUGCAGUCAGCUAAGUAUAUGUACAAGUAUUGCAUAUUCAUUAAAUAAUUUACUUGGCAAUUAUUAAAUUUAGUCUCAGCAAUUUUUUUUAUUUUCUCUAAUCUAGUAUUCGACGUUUAGUAUCUGAUUUUUUUGAUAACUUAAUAUGUUUUAAAUUUUUACUUUAAAGGUAAGACACUCUCUAUUAAAUUUGAUUACGUUCCUAACGUUAGUGAUGAUUUUUUAAUCUUUUCCAUUAUGUAAUCAAGUAUCUUUUACAUGAAGAUAAUCAAUCCGAUUAUUGUGUUCGAGUUCUAUAUCAUUUUCUAUCUAUUCCUUCUCUGAGCUCUAAUUAUGAAAGAGGUAAUCGAGAAACCACUAAUUUUAUUACGAGAUAAUUCAUUAUAUUUAUCGAGAAGUAAUCUUUAAAACUAUUGGAUAGUCGAAUAUGGAAUAACAAUACAAACUUAACAUAAAGCACAUAUACCUCCCCCUAUCGGGAGCGUGCUACCUGCUCGACGAAAUGCCUCAGUAAGAUGAAACACCGGUAGCUUGCCCUGUAUGUCUCAAAUAGCUCCCGAUAGUCCCUAUUACAAUCGGCUUUUCAUCUUUGAGCUCUUCUACUAUCAAUGCUCCUAAAAUUGGUCGAUCAAUAAGCCCUACGCAUCUCUCUGAAGGUGAAUUUCCGACUGAACCAACACUGUUUUUAGAAUUUGGCGUAUCGUCUUGAGAACAUUCAACUAACCAGCUUGAGAGACUAGCAUCAUUCUCUCCGCGCUUCAAAUUAGGCUCUUCUUUUGCACGAUUACGCGUGGUACUAAAAUCAAGAAGAUUCAUAUCAAUGUUCUCCUUCUCCUCUUGUUGAUUCAAUAGUGAUGGAGGCGUUGUAAUGCUAGUGUCUUUCAAUAGACAUGGAUUUCGAAUUGGAUUCAGCACUGGUGAUCUAUGUUGCUCAGACUCUUCAAAACUGUUGUCACAUUCGUGUCGAAAAUGCACUACUUCUUGAGGUUCCGAUACUUUUUUGAAACGUCUGAGCAACAUAGGUUUCAAUGGACUGUUGACCUCCUCCUUGUCGCACAUGAUUUCGGGGAUGGGAUUAUUUCCAUUCCGAGUGGAGUUGUCUAUGGAGAGUGAAAACAAUGACUCGUAAGACGACUCUUCACGAUUCGAUUCAUUUCCAUCACCAUUGUUGUUAGCUUCAUCUUCGAGAUCAAUAUCUUCGAAUUCAUCAUUGCUGUUUCUGCAACAAUGAUAUCGAUGAUUCUGAGGAUAAGAUAUAUAGCUUGACACACUUGAAUUUGAAACCUCUUCCACUUCUUCUUCUUCUUCUCCGUUAUGUUUCUGCAAAUUGCUCAGAUACUGCGAGCAAUUUGCAGAAACUUGAUUUGAUAAUAAGCCCUCAUCAUUUUUGCUGUUUUUAUUCGACUCUUCUUCUUCCUCCUCGACCCUGUUUUUCGAAGAAUUUGAGUGAACGAAAACAACAGACAAAAUUGAAUAUUUUUUUUUAAAAAAAAACUUACUUGGAUUCUUCAAACAGGUUAAUGGAGUUCACAAUCUUGUGUCGAGCUUCUUUUUUAGCAUCAAUGGCGUCUACAUAAGCUUCGCCAUUCUCAUCGAACUCGAGCAAAUUCUCUCUGCUAAUUAUAUCCCUGUUUUUUUUUAAAACAGAUUUGAGAUAACCAAAAAAAAAACACAAAAUUGCAUCUUUUUCGUUUUGAAAAAUUAAAUAAAAAAUCGUACUUUGAUUCUUCGAUGAGGUUUAUGGAUUUCACAAUCUUGUCGUGGUGAUUAACUUCUUCUUUCGUACCAUUAAUGGCUACAAUAUCUUCACCUUUUUCGCGAGUCUCGAGCAAAUCCUUUAGAAAAUAACACAAGAAGCUAAUCAAACUCAAAAUUCAAAGUAAAAGGGUCGUUUUAGUUAAAGUCAAAGUGAGCACGCGAGUGUGCGCCUAAGACCUUUCCCUUCGGUCAACUGAAUCUCCUUAUCGGAUUUUUAGUUAUUUACUAGAAGAAUAAUAUGAUUGUGUCUAAGGCCUUCCUCUCGAUCAACUGAAUAAUAAAUAGUGAUUAUUACGACGUACCUGGAGAGCUUGAGGAGAGAUACUAUUGAUCUUGUUACUACAUGACUUUUUUGUGAUGAUUUUCUUGUGAUUGGAAUUAGUACGAAAACAACAUGUAAAACACUUCAUUUUUUUUCUUUAUGAUUGGGUUCUUCAAUGGAAAAAAAUUAUGAAUAUGAUGAUGAUUAAUGGGAAAUUGUGAUAAAAAGAAGAAAAAAACAGGGGAAAAGAUGGAGUAUUUUUGGGGGACACAACGGUUUGAAAAGAAAGUUACCGUUGGUUUUGUCAGUUAGCACUGAGUUUUUGAUAAAUUAUAAGCACACUUGUCUUCUAAUGAUUUUGUGGUUAUCUAGUACUCCCAUACUCAGUCUCAAAAUAAAUGUCAUUUUAACAAUAUAAAAUGUUAUUUUGAUUUUUCAAGUUUUAUGUUUGAAUAAUUAGGUAAAUUAUUGAUUUUUCAAGUUUUAUGUUUGAAUAAUUAGGUAAAUGAGUUUUCUAUUUGAGCUAUUAUUGUUAUUUAUCAAAAUACGUAUUAAAUGUCAAUUGUUCUUUUUUUCUAUUUGAAAUAUCACUAUAUUCAGGUGGUAAAAUAGAACAAUUUAUAGUUGGUGUGUGAUUUGAUAAAUAAUUGGAUAGUUCAGGAAUAAAACUUGAAAAAAGUUAAUUAAGUCAUUUGUGUUUGUAUAAAAUGAGAGAGACAAACCAAAGAAUGACGACCAAGAUUCAAGGGAGAGAGACGAAUGACAAAAAGUUUGUUGUGAAUUAAAAUUAAAUGACCAUAUGUAUUGGAAGUCAAUAAGUCCCCUUCUUUUUUUUAUUCUUUUUUGCUUAAAAACACUUUCUAACAUUCUUCGUCUGUCCAAAUCAGCUUAUAUGUACCUCAACUAAUUUCACGAGAUAAUUACUACCUCGGGCAGUUGGUAACUUGAAAGACUCAGAUUAUGAAUUUGAGCAAUCUUACAAGCCCAUUCAAAGAUUGAAACCACUUCCAGCAUCUAAUACAGUCAUCAUAGAUGUGAAACAACUAAAAGGAUAGCUCAGUGCACAAACCACACGGUUCACCCAGGAUCGCCCAAAAAGGUAGGUGAGGCAGCUUAUCCUGAUGUAAGAAAUUGUGGCUGAUUUCAUAACUCAAACUCGUGGUCACACGGAAACAACUUUGUUGUUGAUCUAGCACAACCCUACCCCCCACCCCAAAUAAUGCGAAUAGAGGGGUAUCAGUUGCAACUCCAGAAGGAAAUCCUGGAGAAAUUGGCAAUCAAAAGCAUACACAGAGGCUGAGAUGUUGCUUUGAGCGUUUUUGACUCACUCAAGAUGGCUGUUAGGAAUAAACUUAAAUAUGCUAAACACAGACCACCAUUCUUCUCUAUCCCUUCCGUCGUCUAGCAGUGGAAGUAACUCAAUUGUUUUGAAAAAUCAUGAAAUGAAUAACUGACUCAAAUGAUCCAAGAGUUUAGCAUGAUCACUGAGAGAGGAUUACAUGUUAGUUACACUCUUUCAGUCCACAUAUUAAAAUUCUCCUCUUUCAAAGACUUGAUUUCACAUCCUAGUUACUAGAAAAAUUACAUCUCUCUCUAAAUCUCUUUCUUAUGCUUGAUACUGUGAAUCUGAAGCUUCGACAAUAUGUUGAAAAGCAGAUGACCAAUAGGAUUGUUUUCCUUCUGUCGGGCAAAAAUUAGAUUCCCAGUCACAUUAUAUCUCACUCUAAAACUCUUUUAACUCUUCAAGUUGUCUAACAAGUGUUUAUCCUCCCCCUUCUAAAGAAAUUUGAUCCUUUGUUCUCCAAAGCUCACCUUGUCUAACCAGUUAAUGCACUACUAUUCACCUUCAUACACAUAAUAGCAGCAGAGUGACAGCGUACUUGAACCUUAUGCACCAAUAUGUUGACCCCCAUGAAGUCUAGAAUCAUUAGCUGCAGUUAUGCAACAUACUAAACCACCAAAAAUCGUACUACCAUCAUGUUCAAGCAGACCAAAUCUUUGGUCUACAGCCAUAUCAAUUGAGUUGGGAUAUCAUAACUUACUUGCAGCUAACAUACAACUCAGAUACAGUAUUAGACAUUGAGUAUUUACUCUCAGUUUAUUGAUGCAUUGUCAAUUUUUCACCAAAUAGAACUCGACUAAUAUCGAAGAUAAUCAUGGUACUAAGAAGUAAUGUGGAUGAGGUAGGUUUUAAGCCAUUACUCCACUAUUUCUAAACCUCCUUAUCAUCGUCGUCAUAGGAAGUGUAUGUGGUCCAACUAUCUCAUCAACAGAAUCUUGAUGAACCUCUUGAGCAACAUUACCUUAAAAGCCAAUUUAAGACUAUAUGGGAUAUUACAAGCGGGAUGUAAUGGCCGGGUUCGACAGAAUUGUGGUUUGACACAAUAACUAACCUCAUCUGACCAUGCUUUUUUGUCCACAAAAGCUCAUAGAAGACGUAAAAGAUGAUCCUAGUGAGUGCUAAUCAGUGAUCAACAGCGUUUCAACUUAUUAACCUAUAAAGCUUUAACUAUUUCACUACUGAGCUAGCUGCUUUUUCAUCCUAUCUUAUAACCAACAAACUGUUGUUUCAGCUUUGAAACUAGUCAAUAAUAGCCCCUUCUCCACUUAAACACAAGACUUGGUCUAUUCGAGCUCAUGAUGUGCGCCUAGCCAUCAAUCACACAUCCCAAACUGUAUUACCUUUGCCAUUGAACUUUGCACCAAAGUUCGGGUAGACUAAUUCCUCAUGAUAUAUAAACAUAGAAAAAUGCAGGAAUUCAAAACUUGACAAACAAAACUGAUAACCAAAACAGAGAGACUGAUACAAAAUACGUGCAAAUGUUAAGUGCAAUUUGUACAUAAUCCCUUUUCAAAGCUUCAAUCAAAACAUAAGUGCUCCAUAUAAAUCACAGAACCUAUCCAUCUCGAAAAAAGCUAAAACUUUUGCGUCAACUACUUAGGUUCGAAAUUAAGCUAGCUGACAAGUAGUGUAAGCUGUUACACAUCUCUUACCUAAUGAUAGAAGCCAUAUCAUUCAACCGGUAAUACUACAUUGCUAUCACUUCCAACUUGAAGGCCAAUAAGCAUGAAUACCGUACCCAGUCUUCCAGUUAUCGAGCUGAAUCACCUUCUUAACAGCCCAGAACGAAACGAACAACGCAAAAAGCAUCACCACCCUCUGCACAGUCCUACUCUUUAGACGAACGAGAACAUUAGUCAUAAAAGCCAACAACAAUCCAACAAUCGUGUACAAAAACCCAACCGCGAAUCCUUCAGCUCCCAAUUGCAUCCCUGAUCCUUGAUAAAAGAAAACCAACUUCCCUGGAUCCUCUCUAUCCAUCAUAAACAUAGGCAUUUUCCUAAUUAUAUUAUGCAUUGCACCUGAAACACUGAAAAAGUAAACGAAUAUUGAUCCCGCCAUCCAUACAUGCUUAUCGUGCAAAAGGGUACCUCCAGCAAGUACCCUUUUCACCAAAAAAGGACUCAAAACCAACCCUGCAGCAAUAAUAACGGCCAUCUGCUUCUUCGAAAUCAUCGGUGGUCGAUGAAUAGGACCUACAGUAAGCUUAGUCUUCGCUUCAACAAAUUCAGCCAUUGAUUCAGCAAGCCUGGCAAGAUCAGACCCAUCCAUUUGAAUCGAAUCUUUUUUCAUAUCAGUAGCUGAAGGUGGGACUAAACGUAAAUGGGGUAAUGAAUUAACCCCAAAUAGCGCAAAUGAAGCUUGUGAGUCACCAAAUUCGAUAGUAAAAUAGAAGAUCUUGUUGUUUCCUGGGUUAUUAGCGAGGAAAGAGGAGGAUAAAAGGGAGAACUCAUUUUUUAGAGUAGGUAGUGAAAGUUCGGGUUUUGAAUGGAGUUGUUUAGCGUCAAAGAAGAUGAGAAAUGAAAAGGAUCGUGGGGAUUUAGCCGAGAGGAUUCGACGGAGAAGAUGAUCGGAGAGAUGGAUAACUCCGGUGGGAGAUUGAGAUCGGAGGUUGAUUAGCUCCGGUAGAAGGUCCUCAUGGGAGGAAGAUGAAAAGGAGUGGUUGAUGGGUACGAGGACUAGGAGAAUGGCGAUAAGGGUUAGGGUUUUGGAGAUCGCCAUUGUAGCCUGCGAAGAUUUAGGAGAUUUGGUUGCAGAGGAAAAAGGGAUAUUUUAUUUUUUAUUUUUUGUAAGAAGGGAGAAGACUCGAGUCCACUGAUGGACUUCGGGUCGGGUCGGAUCUCUAUCUGACUAGGAUGGUUUGUGGUGUCACGGUAACUAAUAGAUUGGUGACACGUAAGAGGGUGGAUCCUGAAACCAUCACAGGAAAGGAAAAAACUAAAUCAAAUAUAUCUUACACGGCACAAAUUUAAAUUAGAUAGGUCAAAUAUGACAAAUAUUUCAUAGAUGAUUUCGUUAAAGUAUCAGAACCGGUAAAUUUUAAAUAUGUAUUUUGGUAUGAAUCAAACUUCCUGUUUGUUAUUUUGACGUAUCAGAAGGUGAUGUGUGAUAGCAGGGGCAGACCCAUGCUAUAUGGAGGGAGUGCAUGCUUUUUCGAGAGAAGGUCCCCUCCUUCAAUAUUAUAAUUGGUUCGACUAGGCCAAAUCAUGAGUAAAUAGAAAAAAAAAAUGUGCACAUGCUUAUUUCUGAAAAAAACAUAUGUAAUAUAUAUAUAUAUAUAUAUAUAUUAUUAUUUUGAAAAAUUGGUAGAAAUUAAAAUAUACUUAACAGUGUAUCCAUAGAACACAUAAAAGUGUGCUUGUGCAAUUGGUAGAAGCUAGAAAUAUCACCCUCUAGACUAGAUUCAGAUCCCACUUUAAGCCUCUUUUUAUUGUUUUUAUUUUAAGUUUAACUUAGACCACAUAUAUAAUUAUGUUUAUAUGGGUGCACCAAAAGUUUUCAAAUCUUGUGUUCGCCUCUGUGUGAUAGUCAAAGUUUAGUUAGAUUCAAUUCAGCGUGGAGAACAUUAGGCAUAGCAUGGGACAUACCCGAUAAGUUUUUUUUUUUUUUUGUCCUUAGGAAAUUUGAAAUAACGUUGUAGGCUCGUCUAGCUCCAAAAUGGCGAGGUUGGGAGCGUGUGUGCGGUCAAUCACAAUUAAAAAAAUAUAUAUAUUCGUAUAAUCAAAUGUAUCAUUUGAUCAUUAUAAAUCUUACGCGACACAAAUUUGAAUUAGAUGGAUCAAUAGUGACAAAUACUACAUAGUCGAUUUCGUAAAAAUAUCAAAACGGUAAUAGAAUAUUAAUAUAUAUCUUAUAUGGAUCGAAAAUCAUGUUUGAUAUUUUGACGUAUCAAAAGGGAAGGUGUGAUAGUAAAAGUCUAAUUUGAUUUGAUUCAACGAGGAGAACAUCAUGCAUAGCCCUAGGUCAUACUCGACAAGUUUUUUUUUUGGUUCUUUGGAGAUUCGAAACAACGUUGUAGACUCAUCUAAAACCAAAAUUUUUGGCGAGGUCGGGAGCGUGUAUGCGACCGAUUGUGCUCUUAUACUUCAAUUUAGAUAUAAAUUGUUAUUCUAAGUCCUUAAUUUAGACGUAAACAAUCUUAAAAAUAUCGCUUAUGUGCAAAUCACCUAAUCUAAUCUAUAGUAGUUGGCCUAACAUAGUGAGCCGCUUGGCUAAAAAUAAUUAUAUUCAUUAAUCAAAUAUACAAAAAUAUAGACUAAUUAUAUAUAAAAAUAUGUAUAUAUUUAUAUACAAAAGUAUACGUUUUCUGAAUAUUAUUUCUUAAUGUUACCUACUUAAGUUAACUCAAUUUCAUACUGCUUUUGAAUUGUUAUAGGUAUCAUCCACCAAAAAAGGCUAAGAAGCCCAAUUCUGAUGUAGAGAUCACAAAAGCUAACAAAGCCCAAAUGAUCCAUGGAUGAAGUAAAAUUGAUCGCUAUUUUACGUAAAUCAUUACUGAAGUGAAUUUAAAGUUUAAAAAUUUCGAGUGUCUUGUUGAUUUGAAAAUUAACGCACGCAACAUUUUGUGUAAAAAAAUUGACAGCUGUGGGAUUUGAACCCACGCCCUUUCGGACCAGAGCCUAAAUCUGGCGCCUUAGACCACUCGGCCAAACUGUCACAUAUUUAUAUUUUUUAUUCUUAUCAAUAUUAACUCAAGUUCCAAAAAGUUCUAAAUUAAUCCACCACAGUUUUUAAUGCUCUUUUAUUUUUUGUUUCCUCAGCUAGUGCCUAGUAUUUAUACUGAUGUUCGAUUAAAUUCAAAUUUGCAAGCAGUAGAUUAUUUAUAGAGUGAACAUUUUUUAUAAGUUCUUUUCUACUUCUAAAAAUUCAAACACAAAACAUCUAAUUAUAAACUAAAAAAUCGCAACUAUAGGCAACUCAAAUAAUAAAGUUGGGAAAAAAGAAAAGUCAAAGUAACAAAAUAAAGUAAUAACUCAACUUAAUUCACAUAACUUGGCAAUUCUUUAGUCAAUGCCAGUAACUUAAUUAUCAUAAUCAAUUGUUAUCAAAAUAUAAAAGUGGCUAAGCAAUUUACAUCUAAGAAAUAGUAAGUGCAUAUGUUUUCCCAGACAAUGCAUUACUGUCUCAAAACUGUACAACUGUUGAACCUCACAUGGGGGCAUUUGCAUAGGAAUGAUUCAUUUUUAUGUCUUUAUAUUGUGUAUCAGUAGCGGAAUCAAAAUUUUUAUAAAAAAAAAUUAAAUAUAAAAAUGUAAACGCACAAUUUUUUUAUUUUUUAAAAAGGGUUAAGCCUUUAUUAUAUAUGUACAUCAAAAUUAAUAUUAACUUUAUAUAUACACGAAUUAUAUAUUAAGUAAUAAAAUCUAGAGAAAAAUAUACACUAAUUAAUCAUAAUUAAAUGAAAAUGUAUACACUAAAAUAACAUGAGUACUGAUUCAUCUGAACUUAUUAACUUUAAGUUCAAAUCUCAUUAAUAUGUUAAAAAAUUAUUCUCAAUUCAACAAAUCAAAUACGUUUACGAUAAAAUUUCAAACAUAACAUAAAUUCGUAAAAUUUAAAUUUUGAAUCAGCGAAAAACACAGGUUGUUGUAACAUAGAGUUAAUGGAAGCAUGAGCAUGUCGGUCAUCUUUAUUCCUAGCAACCAAAAAUUAUAAAAUUUCUCUGCUUUUAAUGAUAAAAUAAAAGAUUUAAAAAACUUAAAAGUAAGUUUGUUCUGUAAUUAUAGAGAUCCAAAGCAGUAAAGUCAAAUGAUUAAUAUAAAUAUCCCGCUUAAUUUAUCUUACUGGCCCCAAUACUUGUUCCACUUGUGUUUUUUUUUCCUUUUACUAAAAACUAAAAUAAAUUGUGGGGUCAAAUAUUAUUUUUUUGGUUUUCCACUAGUGACUUUGAUUAUGUAUGGAGCAAAUGAAUUAAGAAAUUUCAUUUAGUUAGAGUUUAAUUAGUUUGAGAUCGAUAGUCUGUUUAGUCAAAUUUUUUAAAAAAUUAAAAGUUUCUUUUUGAAAAAAAAUAUUUUUUGAGUUAUUUGGUCAAGCUUUUAGAGAAAUAUGAGUUGAAUCGUAUUAGAAAUUGUUUUUUUUCCAGAAAUUAAAAAAAAGAGUUUUUUUCCGAAUCAAUUUUAGAACAUUGACCAAGCAAAAAGUAUUAAUGUACUACUAUUUCAAUAUUUUCAAAAGUAUUUUUGUUUUUUAAAUUGAUUAACUAAACACAAAAUGUUGUUUACCAGAUUUACUUCUUCUAAUAAGAAACACUUUUCAAAAUUAAGAAGAUUUUAAGCAACACAUUACUACACCUCCACUAAACACCUAUAGUAAUGAUAAAUGACUCAUUUCGCUCCGACUUCUUUUUAUAUUUUCGAAAAAACUUAAUUUAACUGUAAUUUGUAUUCGUUAUUUACACUAAAAAUUAUAAUGAGACAAUAAAUAGUUUUAUUUUUAAUUAUAAAUUUCACAUUUGAAUCCUGAAACUGAAUUAUUUUUUAUAAGUUUCGAAAGAAACAUUUUGAUAACAUAAGUAUGAGAUAAAUCAAAUUUCAAAACGAAUAUCGAUCUUCGGUUAGAGCAAAAGGGUUGUAUUGUUAUUAUUGGAGCAACAAACAAAUCAAUUAGUGUAUUAUAGAGGACCAAUCAAAAGAGCAAAAUCCAGUUGUCAAAUUUAACUAGUUUUUUCUAUUAUUUAUAAGACAAAUCAAAUAGAGUCAUGUUCACAUAUGCAGGCAUAUUAGACCCCACUCACAUUUUUCUUUAACAAAAAUUCAGUGAAGUUCAUGGGGGCAUUAUGGUCAUUUCCACCUCACUCAUCUUUCUGUCAAUUGCUUUCUCCAGCUUGUCGGUCGUUUGGAUUAUAUGUAAUCGUGGGAUAAAUCCCUAAAUUGCCCUUCUAAAAAUUUAAACUUAUAUUUGCCUCUUUAUAAUGAACUAUUAACUUUUGUAAAACAGAACAGCUAUGUGUAACGUGUUUUUUGAGACAUCUUCAUUAAAUCACGUAAUAAUAUAUUUUAUAUUGGCUAAAUACUGUAUGAAAACAAGUUUUUUCCGUAGUUGAACGUCAUUUUAAUUUUUCUUUCGUGCCCUUUGCUUUGGUUAUCAAAUUGUUUGUUGUCGCCACUACUUCUUGUUUCAUUAUUUAUAUAUCUGAUUUGAUAUGUUUUACUUAAUUUAGGAUUUAUGAUAAAUAAUCUUUUUAAUGAUAAAAUUAUGUAUAUUUUAUCUUUUUUUAAAUUCUAUUUAUAAAAUUAAAUCAAAUAUAUUAUUGAAAAAACUAUUAUUCUCAAAUAGGUGAACAUAACUUUUUGGACAAACUUCAAUGUCUCCUACUAAAAGGAGAGGAUUUUUUUUAUUUUUUUAUUUAUAUACUAAGGUUAAAGUAGUAUAAACACUAGAAACAAUACAAAAGCAACAAACAUGGAAAAAAAAAAUUCAUUUCCAUUUUUGCCCUUGACAUGACCAAAACUAGUGAUCAAUGAUCUGUACUUCCUUUAUUUUAUUUUAUUUAUUUAUAUUUCUUCUCUAAAAGGAUUCAAACUUAUUAAGAAGCUUCACUUCUCAAGUUCCUCUUGUGACGUUUUUAAUUCCAUUUAUUUUUUUUAAAAUUUUGGGGAGAAAAUGGCUUCUCCUAUAGCUUAUUUUCUUGUACUUAGUGCAAUAAUUGUUGUACUUUUUUCAUCAACACAAGCUGAAGUACAAGGUUCAUUUGAUGACAAUUUUAGUAAAAGUUGUCCAGAAACUCAUUUCAAGACUUCUGAAGAUGGACAGAUCUGGUAUUUAUCAUUGGACAAAAAAGCAGGUAAUUAUAAUUCAAUAAUUUAGUGUUUUUUUUAAUACUACUUUGAUAAAUAAAAAAAUUAAAAAAUUUGAAUCUUUUAUGUUUUGACGAAAAAUGUUCAACUGAUCACCUUUCGAUCUACGUAACAUUGUUGAGUUUCUCUUUAUUUGGGUGAUUGAAAUUCAAGAAUUCAAUGUUUUUUUCAAUAUAUACAAAUUUUCAUUGUUUUUUUUACAUUUGACUCGUUAUGUUAUGAGAAAGGUGUUCAAUUAAUCGCAUCCUUAUAGUGGUGAUUAAAAUUCAAGAAUUUAAUGUUCUAUUUUUAAUAUAUACCAAUUGACAUUUGCAUCUUUUAUUUUACUUAUUUUUGCAAAUAUUGGUUGAUUUUUUAAUUUUUUUUUUUAUGUAGGAUGUGGAUUUAUGACCAAACAGAAAUAUAGAUUUGGGUGGUUUAGCAUGAAGUUGAAAUUGGUGGGAGGUGACUCUGCUGGUGUUGUGACAGCUUACUAUGUAAGUUGCAAUUUUUUUCAUACAUAAUAUUAAAAAUGAUAGAUCGAUGUAUAAAAUAUUUCACGUUCAGAUAUAAUUUUAAAAGUGUAAUGCGUAUAAUUUAUUUCAAAGCAAAUAUUAGUGAUUGAUUUUCAAUGCUCAAAUUUCAUGACUUAUUAGUCACUCAGAAAUUACUUUUUUAAUUGCUUCGACAUCCCUCUAAAAAAAGAAUUUUUACAUUACUAUAGUAAUUACUAAAUUACUUUGUUUUCUAGAUUACUAAUCUCACAUUUUAUAAACAACUUUGAACAUGUAUCAACUCUAGCAAUCCAACACAUAAUGUAAAUAAUUUUUUGAUUUUACUUGUGCGAUUAGUCAUAUUGUAAUAUGUUUAAUGGAAUUUUUAACAGUCUUUCUAUCUUUAUAAGUAGGGGUAAAAAUCUACGUACACAUCACUUUUUCCAUAUUCUAUUUGCAAGAUUACAUUAAGUAUGUUAUCAUAGGCAGUCUAUCUACCUGCACAAGGUAGGAAAAAGUAUGCGUACACACUUUUUGAUCUCCAGAUUGUACUUAUACUGAGUAUAUUAUUAUUGUUAAACUAUAUGGAUUUUUGAAUGAAUUGUAGAUGUGCACAGAAGAUGGAGCAGGACCAACAAGAGAUGAAUUAGAUUUUGAGUUCUUGGGGAAUAGGACAGGUGAACCUUAUCUUAUUCAAACAAAUGUGUACAAGAAUGGAACUGGUAAUCGUGAGAUGAGACAUGUUUUAUGGUUUGACCCCACUGAGGAUUUUCACACCUACUCAGUUCUUUGGAAUACUCACCAAAUUGUGUAAGUACCUAUUAAUUUUCAUUAUAUUAAAUUACGAUGAACGAACGAGAUUCUUUCACGUUUAAUAAGAGUUUGCGUCAAAAAUGUUGUCAAACAUGUACAGGUUUUUCGUGGAUAAGGUACCAAUAAGAGUGUACAAAAACGCGAAUUACACAAACAAUUUCUUCCCAAAUGAGAAGCCAAUGUACUUAUUUUCAAGUAUAUGGAAUGCAGAUGAUUGGGCUACAAGAGGUGGUUUAGAGAAAACAAAUUGGAAAAAUCAACCAUUUGUUUCAUCAUACAAAGAUUUUAGUGUGGAUGGUUGUCAAUGGGAAGAUCCAUAUCCAUCUUGUGUUUCAACAACAACACAAAAUUGGUGGGAUCAAUAUGAUUCAUGGCAUUUAUCAAGUGAUCAAAAAUUGGAUUAUGCUUGGGUACAAAGAAAUCUUGUCAUUUAUGAUUAUUGUCAAGAUACUGAAAGAUUUCCAAAAAAACCUGAGGAGUGUUGGUUAAAUCCAUGGGAAUAAUUAAAUAAUUCAACUUAGGUUAAAAAAAAUAUAUAUUAUGAGAGGGAUUAAGGAGUAUUUUGAUUAUUUUAUUUUUGAUGUUGAGUUAUUACUCGAGUAUAUAUAUAUAUAUAUAUAUAUGCUUGUAUGAUUUGUCAUGCCUAUUGUAUUAUUGAAUUUAUGAAGAAGUUAAGAAACCUCUUGCCAAGCAAAUUGUACAUACUGAUUAUCAAAGCUUCUUCAUCUUCACUGAAUUCAGUUUCAACUUUAGUCAAUAUUUUUCCUGAAAUUUAAACAAACAUUUUAACAUACGUGAAAAUUUAUAUAACUAAUCUCAACUUACUCAUGGAUAAAAUAUACAAAACAAUUAAACAUAGAAAAUAAAAUCAAAUUAAAACAAAGAAUUAGAAGUAAAUAAAUACCUUUAAAAUCAGCACAAAAAUAAUCAGAGGAAGAAUUUUUUUCUGAAGAAUCUGCCAUAUAAAAAAUUGGGGAAAAAAAACUAAAACUACUAGAGAAUGAGAGUACCAUUUAUUUAUAUAGCUAUACUCAACUUUAAAUAAUAAGUUUAGGCUACGUAUAGGAGCAAACCCCUUUGAAAAUGAGUCUUGCAAUACACAAAUUGUAUCUAAUUGUAUCGUACACCCUGGUGGGAAAUUAAAAAAACAUGUCAGACUACGUAUAGUCAUAUUUAAAACUUAUCGCAUUCGUGUUUUUUUUUCGUAUUAUGUAAUUCUUUUUAUUUUUUUACAAUAAAGUUAUUGAAUUUAGUUGAAUCCAUAAACUAUAGUCCAACUCCAACCCUACUUAAAAUAAUUAAGUAAAACAGCACAUUUAUUUAGGAGAAGAAGGCGCUGACUGUUGAAUGGUAGGUGAUGAAGGAGAUUAAGGGGUUGUUAGGUUUCUUUAUUUGGAAAUAAGUAAAAAAUUAAUUCGAAAUUUGAUAGAUAAUAGAUUGACGUUCAACAUUUUUAUUAUCUAAAUAUAAUUUAUUUAUAACAGAGAAAAGACAUGAAUUUCUUCCUAAAUUAGCACUGAAAAGUCAAUUAUACACUUUAACUGUCAUAAUUACUCACCUUAAUUACUUCAAAGUAAAUUUAAUACCAUCUUGAUAUGUGCAAUACCACUCUCAGCGUAUGUUGUGUAUUACACUCGGUGCCACAUUAGCACUACGUCAGUGCCAUAUAAGAAAUUGUAUUAUUUUUUUUACUUUCUUUUCUUUGUUACUUAUUAUUUAUUUUAUUAAUUAAUUCUACACUAAUUAAUUUUUAGUCAAUUAUUAAAAUUCUCUAAUAAUUAUGUCUUCUUCAUGGCAAAAUGGUAAAGAAAAAACUUUUAGCAAUUGUUAUCAACAAAAUUACCCAAAAUCUGGAGUUUAAUCAUGGAGUUGAAGCGUUCUUCUACUCCAAAAUGUACCCACAAGAAGGUUAAUUCAAUUUCUUCCAUUGAUUGGUCAUGAAAAAUGAGCUUCCAUUGUUGUUUGUUGCAGUUUGUUAUUGUAAAUAUUUUUUCAGAUCUGGACAAAUAUUCUUUGUUCUUUUUCCAUGUUUUUCAUGGAGGUUUCUUAAAAAAUCAAGAUUGUAGAAAAUUAAUUUUCUUCUCAUUUUCAAUCUAUCACCCAAAAUUUUACUCCAACAAUUGAAACCUCUCAAAAUUUUACUCCAUUUUGAAGUAAUUUGUUUUUUUUGUUAUUUGUUUAUUUUAAGUUUAACGAGGUGUGAAAAAGAUGAGGAUUGUGGGGAAUGAAGAAGAAGAGAUGUGGGGUGGUUUUUUUACUUUUGUCUCAUUUGAUGCACAUAAUUUUUUUUAAUUAUUAUUAUUUUUUCAUGUCAGCUUUAAAGGGUAAAUAAAUUCACUUUUAAAUAGCAGAGGUGUGUAAUAGGUUGCCAUAAUAGUUUAAGCGUGUAAUUGACUUUUCGAUACAAGUUUAAGGGGGAAUCUAUGCUUUUUUUCCUUUAUGAUAUGAUGUCUAUAUUUUGAUUAAUCAAACAUUGAAAAAGUUAGCAAAUAUUUUCCUCCCCAUCAGACACACCCUAGUUUACCUCACAAGUUUCAAAAGUCGUUUUUUAAAUUACGAUUUAUGUUCCUUCCUUUUCUUCUUUUCUUGCUCGUCAUUCCAACAAAUUUAGGUGUGUUAGGUUUCAAAAAGAAUGUCCCUUUCUUUUUAUGACAGUUUCUUAAUUUUAGUUUUCCACCUGACAUAUUUUAAGAUCAUAAGAUUAAAAACAACCUUCAUUAUUCUCUUGAACUCUAUAUCUUAUGUUGCUCAAACUCUUCAAAAAUAUCAACAAAUGUGUGUCAGAUUCUCCAACUUUUUUGCAAACACCAACAUGACUACAACAUCAGAAGUGAAGAGUCUGCACGGCACAACCAAGUCACAACCAACCAAACAAAUUGAAACGGACGAAAUAGUUAAUACAUUAAGCACCAACAAGAAGCUCAUGAAAUAAGCAAAUGUAUAUUGAUCGUAUAAGUAAACUAUAUACAAAAUGACAAAUACUAUAAUGUUCAUCCAAAAUAGAAUAUAAUGAUCUUGUAAACUUUUGGGCUGAUUCUCCAUCUCCAUUGGGGAUUCACCAUACAACUUUUGAUAUAUACUGAUCAUCAACAAGCUACUAGUAUACCAAGCUUCUGCCAUAUAUAUAUUGAAGAAAAACGUUGCUCGUAGCGCGCUUGAUGUAAUGUAAACAAACAGUGAAUGUUGCAAUCACAAAAUGUGCAUCAAUCCCCUCUCUUUGAUUGUGUUUAGAAACCAUGAAUCUUGAUGUUAUCCUUCUUCACAAUGCCAGCCUAAAAAUCACAAAAAAUACGCGAAAUCAACGUACAUUUUUUAGAUUAUGUAUAUUGGAUUUCGAGGAACAGGUAGAGGAUGUGAAUUAAACCUGUAUGAGAAAGGUUGACACGUUCUUCCGCUGAUCGCCCUGAAGCUGGAUAACCUGCGUGAAAUGAAAACAAUCAGUAGAGAACAAACAAGCUAGAAAUCGUUCAUCCAAGGGCGCGUGUGUAUGUGUUAAGAAAUUCACUUAAUAAGUACAAGUUGUGUUAGAAUCCUAAACUUAUACUCAUAAAGUUCAAAUCCUGAAAUCCUGGUUUCGCCUCUGAGGCUCUUUGGUCAAGUGAAGAACUCGUUUAUAUUUGGUCAUAGGUUUGUCCAAAGAACGAUAGUUGCCUUACACUAAACUUCUUUGUUCCUCAGUAGCUCAGAGACGAAAGAAUAGCAUUCAUUUAUGUGAAAAAAGAAUGACGUCUACCAUAAGUCCUUUGUUCCAAUGAGGAGAAAGAUAGAAUCGAAUAAGGUAUUCACCUGUCCGAGUUCUGGAUCUUGCACAACGGUACCAUUGCAACAGAACUCUUUCUUGAGGUCCUUGAGAAUCUUGUUGUAGCUGAAUUCUUUCUUCAGGCCUUGAACGGUGGUCAGACUUUUCCUUCCAUUUCUCUGCUGAACGCGGAUAUGCACAUACUCCUUCGCACCAGCGCCUGAGUUCUGAGCAUUUGCAUCAGCGAACGGAUCUGUCCACACCAUACAAGCCACAAAGACAGUGUUGUUAUUGCAAUCAGUAAUUAGUCUAAAACAGAGAAAUAAACGGUUUUCGUCUUAGAAUAUUGGAGAAAGGGAGGAUUGUAUAGACUAGCACAACUAAAUUACAUCAGCAACAUAUUACAAUCAAUUUGUCUGUCUUUACUUUUGCUUUUUUUUUAGUCUGUUUCACUCUUUCCCAACUUUUUCAUAUGACAUGUUAAAGAUAACAAGAUUUAAGGACGUAUGUUUUACAUUCACAAGAUUCAAAAGUCUCCUUUUUUUACUACGAUCAAAUCAAAACCAGAAAAACAGAUUGAAACAGAGGGAGUACAACAUAGCUGCAGAAGCAAUGAGCAACAACUGUUGUCUACGAAAGCCACUGAUAACGAAGAAAAGAUACAACGUACCAAAGGUGGUAGGGACUUGGAUAUCGAGCUCAGACAUGAACCUAGCUUUCAGAAGCACGACGAACAAACCUUGAAUGCAAAAUUCCAGCUGAAACGGAAAACAAAUGAAUGUAAUUUCACUUGCAAACUCAUGGAUAUACAAACAGAAUAACAGACUAAUAUUAACGCGAAAAAAAAGACAGAAAAGGUUCAGUUAUUUGAUGAUUGCCUGUUUAGUUCAUCGAUUUCAUUGCUCAUUGCUCAUUCUAAUUAAGCACAUUUAACCUUAAGGAACAAAAGCAUGCAAUUCGACUACAAGAGUUCUCAUAUUCUAGUCCUGGAAAUGAAAAAAAGAAUCUUGUUGGAAGCGCUCUCAUAAAUGGACCCCACAAUGUCCAAGUACGGUUAGUCAGAUUCCAAUGCAGGUAUCAAACACUAAGAGUGAAAGAUUUAAAAAGAAAAAAGUCUAUACAAUAACCAAAAUAGCAAUUCAGGGUCUGCAUGAAACAAAAAAAUAAAAAUGAUCACAAAUAAAAAGAACUAAACUGAGUUUGUUAAUAAUGCUCUUAAAGUAUUACAUUAAAAAAUAGUUUUUCUUUCUCAAUUUUUUUUUUUAAAUUCCCGUCCAAUGUCCGGUAUCCAGAUUGACUAAUCCAAUUUCGUGGCGCAUAGGUUACAUAACAUUAAAGAAUAGCUGAAAAAACACAAUCUUGAUUGAAAAAUUAAAGAGCAUUUUUUUUUUGGCUCUCAUUUUGUGUCCUUUACCUAUAUUGUUCCCGAACUAAUCUGAAUUCGUGCCACAUAGGACCCAUACAAUUAAAGAACAGAUGAAAAAAAGAAGGAAAAAACAUAAUCUUGAUUGAAAAAUAAAAGAAUAUUUUUUUUGAUAUCUGACGACUAAUCUGAAUUCACUCUCAUAACAUUAAAGAAAAAACACAAUCUUAAUUUUAAAAAGUUGGAAAUAGAGAAAAAUUUACCUAACCAAAACAAGAAACAGAGAUAGGGGUGGGUGGUGAAGAGAUGAAACUGGAAAUCUUGAGAAUUUUUAAUUUAUAAUUUUUGUAAAUUGUAUGAAAAUGUAGGGGGAAAAAAAUGAAACGUGAGUAUAUAUAUAGAGAGAAAAUGUUUAUAUAGAAAAAAGAAAAAAAAAAUCAACUUUUGUAUUGAUCCACACAUUUGGACUUUUGUUGGAAUUUCAGGUGCCAAAAUUAUCUUUCAGUUAUUACCAGAUAUUCAUGUUUAUUAGGACCCGAACAUGGUGGCCAACCUAAAAUUUAAUUACCGUAUAAUUAAGAUUCACAUCGCGCAAGAACCGUUUUUUUUUUAGAAAAAUAAUGUCACCACAUAAGUAUUGUCGAAUUAAUAAAAUUUACCUCAGUCACAAGUUAUACCAGGCAACGGUAUAAAUUCAAUAUAAUACAUAAACAUGUCCAUUAAUUUAUAAUACAAAUCAGUCACCAUGUAGGAUGGUAUAUCUCACGUGAAUCGUCAUGUAAGAUAUAUGUAUCAACUUUAUAUAAAUUUAAGUAUCUAUUUGUAUAUCAAUUAACACCAAAAUUAAAUGACACGUUUAUGUACUGUGUCUUUAUCAUGUCCUACCCACCCUCCAACAUCCUUCAUCUUCACCUCCAACCUUCGUAGGGACGUCCCUUCAUCUUCACCUCCAACCUUCGUAGGGACGUCCCUGCGGUUCCAUGAUUUUCAUUAAGGGAGUUCGGAAAAAAAUAGCGUACUGGAUUGAACUUUGAACCCCUAAACCAUUAAGUCAAUCUCUCAUCUUAUAUUCAGGAGGUUCAAGAUCUUUAUAUAAAUAUAAAAAUACCUUAAAUAUACAACGUAAUUCGAGUGAACCCCUCGGCAUACGCUAGAUCUGCCCUUGGCCACAACUCCACCUCCCAUAAUAUUAUUCUGGAUUAUAUAUAAAUAUUUUUUAUGAAAAACAUUUUCCUUCGUACUGAACCACUCAACAUUAUACAUUGCUAAGAAAGUAUACAGAAGCAAAGGAUAAAUGUAGUGCCAACUGAUGAAAAAAUCUAUCAAUUUCUAUGUAAAAGAACAGUUCAUAAAUGGUAUCAACAUUCUAAAGAUUCAUAUGCCUAUGAAUAUACACAGAAACAAGAACUCCAAUUAGAGCCAACUGAUGAAAAAAAUCAUCAAUUUAUAUGGAAAAACCAGCUCAUAAAUGGUUACCAACAUUCUAAAGAUUCAUGCCUACAUAUAUACAGAAUCAAGAACUCUAAUCUAGCUAGUGUCAAUCAUUUAUUAACGUUUCACCUAGCACAUCGAUCCCAUCAUUUGAAACAUCAGGAGCCCUGGUUGGUGUAUAGCUUUACUUAUCUGGGCCAAACUUGUCCAUAUAUGUCUUUCUUGGUAUAUCGACGAUCCCAGGACCAAGGAAUAUCUGCAUUCAACGAUAAAAUGCAUUGAGCUUGAUGUUAUUCAGAGAGCAGUUAACAGUCAAACCUCUUAAUAACAACAUCGUUUGAAGCUGUAACGAAAUGUUGUUUAUACAGAACAUAUAAUAUAAUUGGUUCGAAAGAAAACACCACUGUUGUAAUGAGAUUUUGUUAUAGAGUUAAGACCUUCAAGGGAAUACGGUUUUGGAGGAAGCUCAUAAGCCACUGGUAACUUGAUUACUUCAGAAGAAUCAUCAUUUCCCUUUCCCUGCCAAGCUAGAGUUACCAGCUUUAUUUUUUUCCCUUCGUGUAUGCUAGUUUCGUCCUGUAAAUCCAAAGAAUUAAAAACCAGAUGAUAUAUAUCAAGUUAAUAAAGCAUAAACAUAACCAAAAAAAAAAACCUAGAUGAUUGUUGUACCUCUGAUGGAUAACCAUUAUUUGUACAAGAAAAUCCACAGCCACGUUUAACAGAAGACGGCAAAAAUAGCACCCCUAGCUGCCAAGGACAGAAAUAAGUUACAAUCACAAUGUCAUUUUAGAAGUUAAGUCGAGAUGAAAUUUAAAGGAGAAACAAGAUAUCAAUGUUAAUCCUCUUUUUUUUUUUUUACAACAAUGGUGUCUAGACCAGCUUGCGCGCACCUCCAAUUAUUCUACUGGAUACAUGUCACCUCCCACCAACAAUAGGUACCAAGUAAUUUUGUCCAUCGAGGCGAGGAUAAGACAGAUGGGUAGAAAUCACUCAAGUGUUUUUGUCUCUUCUAAGAAGAUAUCAAUGUUAAUCUAGGAAAACUAAUGCAGGUAAAAGAUUGAUUCAGCUCUUGGGAAAUGUUUAAAGGUGGGUUAUUCUACGUGUCUGCAUACGUGGCAGUGGUCUAUAGCAGGAGUGGUUAAAAUAGACAUGCGGAGGGCUGUUUCCUGUUAUUUAAAAAGGGAAAAAACUUGUCUCAAAUCAUAAUAGCAAGCGUCUUUUUGUUGGCGAAGUGUAACUGGCAAGUGUAUUUCUGUUGGUGAAGUGUAACGUGAGGCGGAAGUAGGAAUAGUUGAUAGUUUAGGUGCAAAUUUGGAUCUUUUCACCAUGUUUCUUAGUCUCUAUGUCAGUUUGGUUCGUGGAUGCUUCUAGUCUCCAGAGAGGAACAAAAAUACCUCAUAGGAACGAAUCAUCAACUGAGAAUUAUUUUUCUGAAGUGCGCCCCAGGCAGCUUUGCUGAGGUUUGAUGACGUAAGCAAGAACCACCUGUUUUACCAGAGAAAUAGAACAAAUAUUAACAAAAACAAUCAUCCAACAUUAGUGGGAAUCAAAUCUUAAGAAAAACAAAGAACAGAGUCUCGGAAGUCUUACGCUAACGAUUGACCGUUGUAACGUAGAAACGUCUUAAUAUGAGGCAUUGCACGGCUGAAGAUUUGAAGAACAAAAGGUAAGUGUCCUUUCUCAAGAAAAUCAAUGAAAAUAGGAGCUAAAAAAGAAGGAAAUCUGAUUUGCAACUAGAUUCAUCAGCAGUAAAAAUUGAUCAGUGUAUAUCAGCAAAGCUCAUGCAAAUUUCAGACUGAAAUUUCUGUCAUCAAGUCAGAAAUGAAGAAAAUUCUUUCUUUGGUCUCAGGAGUUAUCAAAGGCAGAAAGGAUCUUUAAGCGCACAGCGCAAAUAUAGCAUGAGCUUUGAUGAAGAAAGGCACAAAUGGAGGGAAAAAAACAAAUAUGUAUGUGUAAUCCGAGACAAAUCAUUGUAAGCAUGAAUAACAAAAAAAAAAGGAUAGAGAAACUGAAAAAAGAAAACAAAAUAAAGUGAAAUAUUAAUUGUUCACAUGCUCUUCGGCAAGGAAAAGUAUGUCUUAGAGCCUUGACCACAACACUGAUGCACGUCUUAGAGCCUUGACCACAACACUGAAGCACCCGCUAAGCGACGCAAAGCGCUCUACAUGUUCUGAGCCGCGCUUCAUUAGUUUAGCACGCCUUUGACAAAAUUGUCUGUUCCAAUGGGUCAGAAUUGAACAAUUUUUAUGCAGACACAUUAGAGCUUCACUAGAACUACAUAUUGAAUAUAUUUCUUUUAAUGCACUUUGUAGUGGGAAUAGAUAAAAACAGAUCUUUUGAAUUUUAUGCAUGCAAGUAUGCAAGUACAUCUGCAUUUUCACAAGAAGCAGUGAUCGUACAUCAGCUUCACAAUGAUCCUCCUUUGUACAUAGUUAUGCCACUCAGAACAUGGAAUAGUUACCACAUCAUUGUACAAGAAAUAUUUUAUGAGUUUAUAACAGUCACUUAGCAAUUUAUUCAGCAACACAUACAGCCAAACAAGGAUAAAAGUAGCAACUGUAUGCAUUAGCAUUUUUUGAUCAGGCAACAGCAUGCAUAAACUUUGACUCUAACCACUAGAAACCCCCACCAGAGAGAACGCUAGUUACACAGUCUUCCAUUGCCACUAGAGACAAGUUUAUGAAAGGUUAGCGCUACUGUGACUGCCUUUAUUGCCACCACAAGAGAAACACACAAAAGUAUAAGCACUCUUCUCCACUGUCACCAAUUUGCUCCCUAUUUUGUCUCCCUGUAUAGUUUUGGGCAAUCCCACCUCAUGAGCUAGUUUUUGGGGUUGAGCUAGGUCCCAUAUCCAUUUCUUAACUUAGAACCAAGGAUUUGAGUCCCAACUCUUAGAAAUAUUCUCGUCUAGAAGUUCUGUAACCUUCUUUUUUUUUUCCUUCUAAAAAUUUUUCUUUUUUUGAGAAAGUUCUUUCACUUUCUCUAUUCCGAAAUAUUUUAAAAGAAGUUACUUGUUAUUUUAUGUCCCCAUCUUGCACCCCCAUGUUACGUUGUCCACGUUCCAGUUGGCAGGCCUGGGGGAGGGGGGGGGGGUUAGUGUAGCAAAUUGCCACAUUAGUGAAGGGAUGGCUUGUUUUGCUCCUUAUAUGGUUUUGGGCAAUCAAUUUCUUCACAUUUGGCAAGCCCAAAUCUUAGGAAGGCCAUUAAAAGAAAAAGAAGAGAGCUCGUGUGAUAAUUCAAGUAUACAACUAGUUAACAUGACUAUGCCUGAUUUCUAUGAUUCUGAAUUUCUGAUACAUAAGUGCUUACUUCAGUAAUAGUCCACAGUGCUCCAAUCGAAAAACUCUAGAGGUAAAGGCCUUAAGUGAUGCAUCAUUCAUAGAUUUAGGAAUUUGAGAGAGAAAUGCACAAUUCAAAGGAUUCGAUAAUAUUGCAAUGAAAUUAAUAUUUCGGAAAUUCAAAACUUUAUAAGGCUACUAUACCAACGACCAGUGUGGCUAGCUUUCCAUUUAGCCCAAUAUUUCUUCAGAAAUUCUUUCUCCACGUUCUUUGAUGGGCUGGGAAUGGCACUUCCAGCUGCAUAUCCCUAGAAAAUGAAGCAAGAUGCAGUAAAAUUCAUUCAGUAAAUCAAAGGAGUCGUCAGAUUUCACUUAUGAAGAUUAGCAAGCAUCUAUAAUAGCAAGUGAAUGAGACCACUAUAAAUUUCAAUGUAACUUGUGAGGAUUUUCAAUCUCAUCUAUUACAAAUGUCAACUGAAUAAAAAUGAUUUAUUAAAGUAUGGUCUUAAGUCAAUGCCACCAAUAGGCUGCGGAUUAUCCUUAUGUUUGACAUCCAUAGCAGGUUAGUGAUGCCACUAUUAGUCUAAAGAGGACUUGUUCAAUAUUACCUCCAAAGAACAUCUAACAUCUUCUACAUUGGGCCAUACUAUCAUUGGCUCCCCAAUGCCCAGAGGUUUUUUAUCGUCUGUAACUCCAGCUGACAUUGAAGAGGCAAACUCCGUCAUCCAUUUCUCAUCCAAAGAACCUAGGGAGGAAAACUGCAAGAAGCAAUUGAAGGCACAGAUGUCAAUGAUAUUUGAUAAUGCAGGUGUAAUACAGAAACAUCUGGCGAAAGAAACCUUGGAGCUGAAUGAAACUCAAAAAGAUACCGAUACCGAUACCUGGUAUAUAAGAGGAGACUUCUGAAAUUCUUUGCUAAAAGUACAUUCCUGAAGAACAGUACGUAACUUCAUAUGUCCCCACUUCCUCAAACUAGAACCUGAAUGAUAUCCAGGCACAGAUGCAAUUAGCCUGACCUGGAAUUGGAAAAUGACAACUUCAAGGUCAUGUUACCACACUACACCUUAAAUGGUAUCGCAGACAGUUCAGCCCACAUAAUUCUCUAAAAUUCCAAGCAACAAUUUAUACUUCUUAUCACCUCCGCCUCAACAUGGAUACAAGAAUCGUAACCGCAGAAUCAGUCACCAUGAUAAAUAGUGAAAGACGGCAUAAUACCUAGCUAUGUUGCUCGUACACUCCAAAAAUGGUGUUGCACUCGUGUCGGAUCCUCUAAAAAUGUACUACUUUUGGAAGAUCUGACACGCACCCGGGGGUAUUUUUGAAAAGCAAACACGUGCAAGCAAAAAUUUUCACCAAACAAAGACGCGCUAUUUUCAAAAUGUGACAUUGAAAUGCCAUGUUUGCUAGCUCUACUUUACUUUUUAUUCAUCCUUUCUUUUUCUCCUUUUUAGUGGUGAGGGCUUCCUAUGAGCUGUAACUGAAAAGAGCGCGGACAGUAAAGAAAUGAAUAUUUAUGUCCUGGGAGUCUGUAAAACCUCUGGCACCACAUUGUCUGAAUACUGAAUUAUCACGUAAAUUGUGGACAAAAAGGAGAUACAGUUUCAGCUAGGGUCACAAAAGAUUAUUACAGUAAAAGAAAUGAGAAAAUACCGAUGCGCUACUGUAAUCAAAUUUCUUGAAGAAUGAGGAGUUGAUCUUGCAGCUUCCGAAGGCUGGUAUAUUAACAGUAAAUUCUGGCCACUGCAAAAAGAUUUAACAGAAUCAAACAUGUUAAAGGAAAAAGGAAAUACUCCAACAGUGGAGGGUGAUUAAUAAAAAGGGAGAAAGGCUAAACGCCAUCAGAUGCAGACACCAAGGAAGUGCGAAGCUCCUCGGUCCUGAUUUACUGCAUAACAAGGCAAAGUUAGCCCUAAAGUAGCAUGUUGUGCAGCAUCUACAGAUACAUAUAGUCAUAGCUCUCCACAUAGAGUGGAACAAUGUCAAUAUUCUAUAUUGCAAAAACAAAUCAUUGUACUAAUUCUUUGUUUAAGUUCCGGGGUAAGCUAAUUCGCACUUCAAUUUGUAGGUUCCUUGGAAUAAGCUUUAUAAAGGGGUGCAAUUCUUGAUGGAGGAAACCCAGUUAUUGCAAUUUGCACAAAAAGUAGUACAUAUAAAGAUUAAAACUUAUAAAAAAGAGAGUUAAUUCUCACAAAUUCCUCUUUCUAAGCCUAUAGUUUUGGUGAGCAUGAAGAUUGGCAAACAAAUGAAAAGUCAAUAUUAUGUCUUCAUUCUUCAAUGUUAGUUUGCUGCCUGAAGAUGCUUCGUAUCCACAAUAGUGAAAGCAGGUUUGUUUUAUUUUCAUACCUUCCUCUUUUAUGUCUCUAUUUUCAUUAGUAUGAAGAUUGGCAACUAAUGAAAAGCCAAUGAUGUUUCUUCAAUGUUAGUCUUCCAGUCAAGAAGGAAGCCUACAAAUCAAGUGCAGAAACAUAAUGGUUCACGAGGCAGAUGUGAAAGUAAGGAUUGAGACACAAGUCGUCUCUAAGAGAGGAAGUUUCAACUAUCUUAGGUCAAUAAUUCAAGGAUAUGGAGAGAUUGACGAUGAUGUUACACAUCGAAUUGGAGCGGGAUGGAUGAUAUGGAGGCUUGCAUCCGGUGUCUUGUGUAAAAGGAAUGUGCCACCAAGACUUAAAAGGUAAUUCUUAAGAGGUUGUUAGACCUGCUAUGUUGCAUUGGGCAGAGUAUUGGCCAGUCAAGAACUCGCACUUCUAGAAGAUGAAAGUAGCAUAAAGAAGGAUGUUUAGAUGGAUGUGUGGGCAUACUAGGAGAGACAAGAUUAAGAGCGAAGAUAUUCGAGACAAGGUGGUAGUGGCCAACAUUGUGGGCAAGAUGAGGGGGACAAGACUGAGAUGGUUCGGACAUGUUAGAUAUCCUAAGGUAGUGAAGAAGCGUGAGAGGUUGGCUAUGACGGGUAUGAGGAGAGGUACAGGUAGCCCAAAUAAGUAUUGGGGAGAGAUAAUUACACUGGACAUGACACAUGUGCAACUCAUCAACGAAAUGACCCUAGAUAGGAGAUAUGUGAGGAUUAAGGUAGAAGACUGGUAGGUAGUCAAGAGUUGCUUAGUUUCCUUAUCAAGAUCAUUAGUAUUACUCUCAUACUAUCUUAGUCUUUGAACUUAUUAUUACUUACUGCUUCCUAGUCCUUGGAAACAACCUCUCUACCUCUGUGAGGUAGGAGGUAGGGGUAAGGUCUGCGUACAUUCUACCCUCCACAGACCUCACUAUUUGGGAUUUCACCGGGUAUGUUGUUGUGUUGUUGUUCCAAGUCCCAUUAUGUGGUAUUAUUUGUUGUGACUAUUGUUCUUUUCUCAUCAUGACUUCUUCAUCACUAUAUUUUAUUUUCAUAUUGUUUUUGUAAUGCUUUACUUAAACCAAGAGUCCAAUGGAAACAACAAUUCUACCUUCACAAGAUAGGGGUAAGGCUGCAUACAUAUCACCCUCCACAGACCUCACUUGUGGGAUUACACUAGGUAUCUGAUUGUUGUAUCAAGUGUGAGGAAGAUGACUAAAAUAUUUUAGGAGUAUUCAAAUAAAUAAAUUUUAAAACAUUCAAAGUUCUUUUGAUGCGAUGUAAAGUUGUUUUUGAUUUAGGGUUUGAAUUCAUUCAUACCUUUAACGCGCUUAGAUAAUCAACCAAAUCAUUUUCAAAUCCACCAUCCUUGUCCAAAUUGUUUUGAUUCUUCCAGGGAAAAUCUUGCAUCCACAAUCCCUGGCUUUUGUUAUUCCAAUCAAUAGAGAUCAAGUUUGCAGUAUGUAUAAUAACUCUAACUCCUGUUGGAUAGACAAGAAGCAUGGCUUUUGAAUGGUGUGUUCCAUAUGCAAUCGGUAAAGAAGGUUUGUGCAGAAUCCAAUUUGCAAUCUUGCUUCUCUGUAAAGGGAGGAGACAAUGAAGAAGAAAUUUAAUCCAAGAGAAGCUUCAAUAACAUCAGAUUCUCAUAACUUAAAAAAUGUUAACCUUCAUGUAUUCCAUGGUACCAUCACCUUCUCCAUGAAUGACGAGAACAUUAGGAAUCCGUUUUAGAGUUGGACAUGCUGCAUAGAAAGGACCAUGAAAUCAGUCUUCAGGCAGAAAAAAAGAUUAACUUAGUUCAUAAAAGCAAAUAAACUUGUACAUAGUAUCCAACAAACAAUGGCAACCACAAAUAAGUUGGGAAACCGCCUCAUUGGACAAUCCAAGACGUCGAAGAACAAAAUUAAUAGGAGAAACAGUCAAUGUUAACAAAAUAAAAAACAAAAGAUAAGGCAAAAUAACAGAACUAACCAGAAAGUAGCCAAUCCAUAUCCACCAUGUAAUUCGAGAGGAUAGCUACAAGCACAUUCCCCUAUGAUACAUAGGAGCCAAUGUCAAGCAACCAACACAAACGUAGACAUUAUACAACAAUUACAAGUACAUAUAUAGAAGGAUUUAUCAAUUAUCAUAUGGAAAAUGAACCUUGGAUUUAAAUCAACUCCAAAAGCUAGAGUGUGAGGUGAAAAAUUCUCAAAAGACAACAAUAUGAAGAGACAUCAGUACAUUCCCCCAACCAAUGUGAGACUUUCUAAGAGCGUGAAUAAUAUUACAUGAGAAGCAAGAUUGGGUGAACCAAGAAUAGGGAUGGUCUGACCCUAACCAUGUAAGGAAAAUGACCUUGGAUCUAACUCAACCCCAAAAGGCAUGAUGAGGAUUGCCUAAUGGCUAAUACUCCCUUAUUUCAAUUUGUUUGCCUUACUUUCCUAUUUAGUCCGUUUCAAAAAAUGUCUCUUUUCUUUUCUAGCAACUCUUUAAUUCUAACUUUCCACGUGGCGUGUUUAAAACCACGAGAUUGAAGGGAAAUUUGGUACAUUCUACCUAUCUUUAGUUUAAGACCAUAAAAUUCAAAAAGUCUUUUUCACUUUCUUAAAUUCUGUGCAGAAGUCAAAACCAACACAAACAAAUUGAAACAGAGAGAGUAUCAUGUAAGGAGACAACCACCUACUUCCUCAACCAUAGUGGGACAUUUUACCAAGUAAUAACCAUCUAUAGGACACAUCGGAACACAGUGAGCUUUUGGAACCUGUUAAACGACUUAGCUCUAAAGUCUUUGCUGCCAUAUAGCUCCUAUACACUUAAUAUUGUAUAAGAGUAUUGGAUGAAUAUCUACAAGAGUCCUUCAUCAAAAAUAAAUAUAUGCAAGAAUCUAAAGCUCAGAAAAGAAAGGAUAGGAUCACAAGUUCACUAGGGAUGCAUCAGUUCAGGGAAAUCAGAAGCAAACUUGACGUCACGUCUUCUUUUGCCUCUUCACUAAUUCAUGAACAGUAAUGCAUCUAUCUAGGAGGACCAACAUCUCAGCCAAACAGAACCAAUUCCAAAACAGACGCAAUGCAUAACUCUACCUGAAUAACAUCAUUAAUAGAAACAGCUUCUGAAUUUGCCCAUGCUGGCAGCUCACGCACUCUCAUCAAUCUGAACGUGAGGGGCAACUUGUGUUUGGGAACCCUAAACUGACGUAUGGCCUCUGCAGAACUAUUUGUUUCUUGGCCAUUGUUGUGCAACAUAAUCUGUAAGCCAAAGAUUUAACAAGCAAUAAAAGUUGAAGCUUUUUACAUACAUAUUUUUUCCAACAACGUGUUAAUUUAUUCAGAGACAAAAAUGAUGAAACAAGGAAACCCAUACCAAUUCUGAAGCUUCCUCACAAACUUCUCGAGCUUUCUUCUUGCCAUGCAUCUGGCCUUUGUCAGUAAUGCUUUCUUCACUGAAAGGCCUUUUUUGUUUGUUACCUGGUGAAGUUUCAUCCUUACAAGCUGCGCUAACAUACUUAAAUAGGUAAUGCCCAGGUAUCAACUCUAUGAUAUCAUCACUUCCGAGUUUCCACCUCUCUCUAGACAAAAGCUUCUUCCUCUCACCCUUUGAUCUUAUAACAACUGGAUUUGUUCCUUCCUGCAAUACAGUCCCAUGUUUAUUCCAAAGAAAAGACUUCAACGGGAAAUUAAGAAGUAAGGAUACCAGCAUACUUUUACAUAUGUAAAUAAGUUGAAAUGCUAUCACAAGGUGUAGACAGAACUCAUGCACUAUAUGUAUACAUGAAUUUAUGAACAUUUACGAACCAAACUUUCAAAAAUUGACACCAAUCCAUCCAAUCACUUGGUAUACAAGCAUAGGAAACUAAGCAGCAUAUUCAUCACCAAAGCAGACUGAAAAACAAGCAUACUGCUGAGAAUCCUAGUAUCCACAAGUUACAAAAGGAUAAUCAAUAAUAAACACACACACACGUGGGUGUGGGUGUGGGUGUGUACAUCUGUGUAUGUAUGAUAUUAACUAGGACGAAUCAUCCAAAUACUGAAUUCAACCAGAAUAGAGCUCAUAGACAGAGCUGACGCAACUUAUUUGAGACUGAGUCAUCGUUGAAUGAUUGAUUGAUAUGUUUAAACAUUCAAUAAUACGUGAAAAUAUCCAUGAAGAAAGGAAAAAAGUGCAGAAAAGUACCACAACAACAUCAGCAGAGCCAGUGCAGGUAGCAGUGAUAAUAAGAUGCUUGCGGCUCAGCCGCUUAUCAGUAACUGGAAUGCAAUCCCGUCCAACACAAUUAGGACCUUCUGAGAGUGGAAUCUUGGGUAUGGAACUUUUCCCAUCCUCUUCCAAAUUAUCACUUAGAGGCACCAAAAAUCCAACCUUUUUGAAUCAAACACAAACCAAAUCAGCGAAAGAACUAGAAAAAACACACACAAAAAAACUAAACUCAUGCUACUAAUAUAUAUGGUGCCAACCAAGUUGAGACGUGUUUAUUCUGCAGUAUCGCGUAAGUUUCUAAUCAAGAAGAUCACUGGUUAUACACGAUUUCGAAAUUUGUUUGUUAAAAGUAACAAGUGGAAUCUUCGGAAUGGAACUAUUCUCAUCCCUUUACAAAUUAUCACUUAGAGGCACCAAAAAUCCAACCUUACUUGCAACAACAUACCGAAUGUAGCCCCACACAAUGGGGUCCGGGGAGGAUAGUGUGCACGCAGACCUUACAUCUACCUCAGAAAUCCAACCUUAUUUACAAAAACAUACCCUAUGUAGUUCCACAUAUUAGGGUCUGAGGAGGAUGGAGUGUACGCAGACCUCACCUCUACCUCAAAAAUCCAACCUUAUUUAAAAAAAUAUACUGAAUGUAGUCCCACACGGUGAGGACGGUGAGGUCUGGGGAGGGUAGAGUAUACCUCUACCUCAAAAAAUCCAACCUUCUUUGAUCAAACAAAAACUAAAAUCAACACAAGAACUCAAAAAAACACAAAAUACUAAAAUAAACUAAACUCAUGCUUCUGAUAUAUAUCAUACCAAUUUAGAAAAUCUCUAGUUUAAGCCAACUUCAAAUUUAUUUAUUAGACUAAAUUAUGAAAACGGGUCAGAAACAAAUUUGAAAAUGGAUUGAUUAACUAAACAAAAUGCUACUAAUAGAGAGAUGAAACCUUGGAUAUGGAACUAUUCUCAUUCCUCUUCAAAGAUAUUACUCAAUGGCACCAAAAAUUCAACCUUUUCUUAAUCAAACACAAUAAAAUCAAUGCAAAAUCAAAAUUGAAACAAAAUGGAAUCUUGGGUCUGGAAAUUUUCUCAUUUUUUUCAUAAUUAUCACUUAGAUACACCAAAAAAAUCCAAUCUUUUUCCGUCAAACACAAACUAAAACCAAUGCAAGAAGUAGAAAAAAAAAAAGACAAAAUUAUAGUAAAUAAAGAAAGUAGCUGAACCUGAGAAGAGAUGGACAUUGAAUAGGUAUUAUGAAAUGGGGUUUCGAAUUUUGCCAGCUUCCCCUUAUGGAGUUUGCAGAACAGGGCAAGCAGGCACUGGUUUUUGCCGCUUUGUAUAGUUCAUUCUCUGAACUUGUUAUUUUAUAUGUAAAAUCUUAACAUCAAUCCGUUAUCGUCCAGCGGUUAGGAUAUCUGGCUUUCACCCAGGAGACCCGGGUUCGAUUCCCGGUAACGGAACUUUUUGUUUUUCGGAUUUAAGGAUAUUGUUAUUAUAAGGUCAUUUCGUAACUAGUUAGAGUAAUGUAAAGAUAAAUUAUUUUUUUGGGGGCGUCAUGGAUAUUGUUAUUAUAAGGUUAGAGUAAUGUAACGAUAAGUUUUGAAGAAAUCUUCGUACUAGUUAUGCGGGUUUCUAAAUUAUUGUUGUUUCGUAUAUGGUUAAAGUAAUAUAAGGUUUAGUUAUGAGGAAAUCCACGUAGAAUUUAUGGAGAGAUUAGUUAUUCGUGUAUUAAUUAGUUUACCUUUUAUUAUGUAUAAAAUAAUAUAUAGAUUUUCUCAUAAUUUAUACGUGUAUGUAUUAGUUAUGUCUAAAUUAUCAAUAAAUUUUAUAUAUGAAUAACUUGUUGUAUAUCAAACUACCAAAAUCGUAUAGGUUAUAUGAAAAUUAAUGCAUGGAUUAAGAUCGUUCUUAUCCAGCUUGUUUGGUGUGAAGGUGAGUUAUGCUUAUAUUAAAUUCUGCAUAACUAAUAUUGUGUUUAAUUUGUUAUUAAAAGAUCCGCAUAAUUAGUAUGUAAAUAGGUUAUGAGGAAUUGUACAUAUAUUUUUUUAUGUAGGUAUAAGGUAGAAUAAUUAAUACAAGUAUAAUUGAUCUCUCCAUAAUCUUAUACCAAACGACUUUGGGGUUAAUUAUUUUGAUGUGAGAGGUGGUGGAUACACUUAACUCAUGAAAUGAGGUAUUUUAUGAAAUUAGUUGUCCCACCAUAUACAUAGAAUAACUUAUUUCAACAUUAUAAUAAAUAAAAGAGAAAAGACAUAGAGUCAGCACUGAAGUUGUUUCAAAUUUUUAAAAAAACACCUUAACUUUGUAAACGUCUUAUUAUUCCAUUGAACAAUUUUAAAUAAAUAUCAUUGACAUAGAGAGUGGUUGCACACUCUCAAAGAGAGUGAGCAACCUAUAAUAAAUAAUAUAAUUUUGUUUUUUAUAAGUACUUUAUUAAAAAAUAUAAUUUCUUAUUUUUCAUGUUAAUAUAAUUUUAUUUUUUAUAAGUACUUUAUUACAAAAUAUAUUUUCUUAUUUUUCAUGUUAUUUUAACUUUUUUUCCUUUUUAUUUUUUCUUUUCUCUUUCUUCUUUCUUCUUCAAAAAUUCAUUCUCAUCUCCAUCUAUUAAAGCUUCUUAUUUUUAAUGUCAUCAUUCUUAUCACAACUUCAUCUUCCUUUUUUGUUAUUAUUAAUUUUACUCUCUUUAAUUUUAAAAUUUUAUCUACAUUUGAAUAAUUUGAUAAACUCGUUAGAGUUCAAGAUGAUUAAGAAGUAUCAUAUAAUUUUUUUUAUCUGAUUUUCAAUUAAGUUCUUUCAUUUUUUGGGAGAUGAUGUGAAAUUUAAGAUAAAUCAAAAUUAAAAGUCAAAAAGUAAGAGAGAGAAAUAAAGUUUUAAAAAAAAGAUAAAGGAAAAAUUUAAAAUAAAAUAAAAAACACAUUUUAAAUUAAAUUAAUAUGUGUCAUAUAAUGAUUGGUGUGUAAACACAUUUUCUUCUUAUAACUUGGAACUGAUCGAAAAAUGACAUAAUAAUAUAUGUUAAAAUUAUUUAAUGAUAUAAUAAGACAAUUGCAAAGUUAAGGUAUUGUAAGUUUGAGACAACAUCAGUAGUAACUUUAUGUUUUUUCUCUAAAUAAAAUAGUAAAUAAAUAAUCAUGAGACUAAUUAAUAUUCUUAAUCAAACACAAAACAAGAUAAUUAACAUUUUAUCUUUGAAUUAUUGUCUUUUAUUCUUCGUACCAAAUGACCCGUGAAGGUUUAGGAUUUUAAAAUUUAAAAAUCGAUUAUUAAAUUUACAACGAUAUACUUUAUUUGUAAUUCUUUUUGGUGUGUGAUAUAAUUUUAUAUUUACUAUUCAUAUAACGAUAAAAUCUUACUAUUUUCAUAUUUAACUUUAUAUCUAAUCAAAGAUGUUAUAUAAUAUGAAAACCGUUCCUAUGGAUUCUUGAAGUCGAUUUAAGCACAUUAAAAAACAGAUAAUUUAUUAUCAAAUCGACGUAUUUGUAAAUUUUGACCUGAUUAAAAAUUUGGAAAAAAUGAAAUUAAAUAUUAAUAAAGUAAUGACAAUGAGAAUGAAGUCAACAAACCAAGCUGGAGUUUAUCAUUCUUUAACCAAAAAUUAAGGGUAUUACAUGUGUGGUUUAACAACUCAAACUACAAAUUGGAUCAUUGAAACAUAUAAAGUGUGCUUAAAUUAUAUGGCAGUGGAACCUUAUUGGUAUGCAAUAUGUUAAUUACAUGGUAUUUAACAACUUCUGUUGAUAAGAAGGGUAUUUUUGAUUCAAUAGUUUGACAUAAAGAGUAGUUUUGAACCAAAAUAUAGUUUAAGGGUAAAUAUGAGAUAUUUUGAAUAGUUUAAGGGUAUUUUUUUACCCUUUCUAUUUAGUCUACGUGGCAGUAAAAUCCUAUUGGCAUGCAAUGUGGCAUCCACGUGACAUUUAACAACUUCCGUUAAUAAGAAGAGUAUUUUUGACCCAAUAGUAUGACAGGAAGGAUAGUUUUGAGCCAAAAUAAAGUUUAAGGGUAUAUAUGAGCUAUUUCGAAUAGUUUAGGGUAUUUUUGAGCCUUUUUCGUAUAAAGGAGUAUGAAAGGAUACGUUAAUAAUAAAUACUUCCUUCGUUUUAAUAUAUUGAUGUAUCUAUAUUUUUUUCUGUUAUUUUACGUAAUUAUAAAAUAAAAUGACAUAUUUAAAACUAUAAAAUUCAAAAGUCUUUUUAUAUCUUUUUUAGAUAUGAUGUCAAAUUAAAACAAGACAAGCAAGUUAAAACAAGUAAAGUAAUAAAUAUUAUUCUCUCAUUUUUUAAUUUAUUUGACCUAUUUUCCUUAAUAAUUCAUUCAAAAAGUAUAUAUAUUUUCCUUUUUAGCAACUUUUCAAUAUAUUUAAGAACAUAUCACUAAAAAAAAUAUUAGUACAUUAAACGUAUAUUAAAUCGAAUAAGCAAAUUAAAACGGAUGAAUUAAUAAACAAUUGAUUUUUUCAAAAGGGAAAGAUAUCCUAAAGGCAAAGGCAAAGGCCACAUGAGAAAUCUUGAUCCGUGAGCCUAAUUGCGUCGAUGGCGUUUGACUUUGUUUUAUGUAUUCUUCGUUCACUUUUAAUUAUCAUCCGUUUUUUUAAAGUAAAUUUAAUUGAUUUUUAAAAUUAAAUUAUAUUAUACAAAUUUGAUACUUUAAAUAAAAAGUUAGAUAUUUAAAAUUAUACAAAAAAUAUUAUAAAUUAUAAUAUUUUUAACAUAUCAAUAUAAUAAAAUUAUAUUAUAAAAUAUUAAUCAAAAUUUUUAUCGUUUAACUCUAAAAAAUGAAUUCGUGACAACUAAAGGACGCAGGAAGUAAAACCUUAUACGAACACGCAAUUUUCUUGAAUGUUCAUUCAAAAAAUAAUUUUUUAAAAAAUAGAAAUUCUCGUCAAAGACUCAAAAGUUUGAUUAGAAAACUAAACAAUAAUUAAUCUUUGUUCGUUUAGUUUUAAUUUCAAGCCAAAUAAAGUAAUCUUAGGAGUAUAGGGGCCAUUUGGAAAGAGAAUUUAUCUCCUCUUUUUAAAAUAAUCGAUUAUUAAUUGAAUUAAUGUUUUGAUUAGUUUUUGAAAAUGAGUUUCUCAAGUGAAAUAAGAUUUCUAACUCACAAUAUUUAUUUAUUUUAAAUGAAUUGUUUCACUUUUCUACUCACAAAAAUUAUUUAUCUUAAUAUGACAUUGACUUUCAAAUAUCAUCUUUCAACUUUCUUUUUCAAAUACCUACAAUUAUAAUUAAUCUCUGGUGUUAAAGAGUUGGCGGAGGUAUAUUACUUUAACUCAAAUUAUGAAUUUAUGUUUAAACUUUUUUUACCAAAUAUAUAUAGAUAAUUGAUUCAAAAUUUAAUAAACAAAAUAUUUUGGCUUUCAAAUCAAAUAAAGUAAAGUAAUUAAAAGCCUGUUGAGAAUGUUGUGUUUAAAUAAUUCAGAUUCGAAUAUUAUUAAAUUUUAAUACGAAUAUUAAAUAUCGAAAGAAAGAAAAAAUACCAAGAAGAAAGACCAGAUCAAUUAUUCUCCUUUUGUUGCUUUUUUCUUCAUUCCAAUCUGUCUUUUUGUUUGUUUUCUAAUUCAAAGCAUCAAUUAUAAAUUUAUAAUUGAAGAAAAAUAGUGACAUAUAUACCUACUAGUCCUCUAUUAUCUUUCUUCUUCAAAGCCACCACAUUUCAUUGACUUCCCAUUUUCUCUUACCAAAAUACUUCAUUUUUCUUCCUUCUUCUCUUUUUUAUUUUUCUUCAAUUUAUGCUAAUUAAAUUGAAUCAAAAGAAAAAAAAAAGUUGUUAGUUGUGUAAUGAUCAUGGAAGAUUAAUUUCAUUUUUGAUUAUUGGUAAGUAUAUAUUGAGUAAUUCUCUUGUUUUUCCUUUUAAUAAUUCAUAUAGACAUGUUUAUAUACAUUAUAUUCAAAAUUAUGAUUGUUCAUAUACGUAUUGUGUGUUGGAAAAUCUUUUAUUUUUAAUAUGAUUAUUUGUUGUUUCCUUUGAUUCGAUUUUUGUGUUACUUGUGAUGUUGUAAGUAUUUCCUUUUUAUAUUGAUUUUGAUAUUGCAUUACUUUAAUCUAAGUUUAUCUAGAACAAUGUUUUUACGAAGAUAAGUUAAGGAUUAUAUAUGCACCGCCCUCUCAUUUUCUACUUGUAAGAUUACAGUGAAGAUAUUUGUUGUUCUGGUUGAUUCUAUUAAGAAAAUAUUGAAUUCAAUUGAACGCGUUAAAAAUUUGAAUAUACAUGUACUGUUUGUCUAUUUUGUAAUAUUGGAUGUUGAAAAUCUAUAUAGACACAUAUUUUUUUUUUGUAUUAUAUUUCAAUUUUUUCAUCUAUAAAUUGCUAUAUAGAUGAAAUUUUGGGUUUUAAUUUCGCAGGAAAAUUCAAAGUAAUUAAAGAUAUAGAAAAUGAACGGUGGUGAUCGAGUUCUAAGACGACGAAAGAGUCUAACUGAACGGCUAGGAUUAAAGAGAAUCGGAUGUUGCGGGUCCACUUGGGGUAUCAUGCCAGCAACAACGUUUGAUGUUGUUGACGAUGAAGACGAAAACGACAACGUAGAAGUGAUGAGUCAUCAUAUCCACACACCGCCACAAACACCGUGUCUGGCGGUGGCCGGAGGAGGAAGUUCCGGAAUGAAUUUGGCGGCUGCAUUGGCCGCCGAACGCCACUUCAGAGCGGAUAAUAAUGAAUUCAAUACCCUUUCGGGUUCAAGGCCCGGCCCAAACUCAAACUCGGGCCCAUUGAGACCCGAUGAAAGCAGCCCAACGAAUGUACCAACUUAUGACGACAAUGAAGUCAACAUUCAUUCGGGCCGACGGCUUAGGCCCGGCCCGAACUCAGUUUCGGGCCUACCGAGGACCGAUGGAGGUGUCUCGGGAAAUAUUCCGGGGACGCCAACGAGAAUGUCGUUGAUGAGGUUGUUAGAGGAAACAGAAGUGUAUGAAGGAGAAUUAUUGAUUGAGAAAGGAGAAGAGGGGGUGGGGAGUGAUAGUGUGUGUUGUGUGUGUAUGAGAAGAAAAAAAGGAGCAGCAUUUAUACCAUGUGGUCACACAUUUUGUAGAGUGUGUUCAAGAGAGCUUUGGGUAAAUCGAGGUUGUUGUCCACUUUGUAAUAGAUCCAUUCUUGAAAUUCUCGACAUUUACUAAGAAGAAUCCAAUGUUUUGGUUAUGCUGAUUUCAGAUUUGUCAUAUAAUAUAUACUUGUAUGUACAAUGUAAAUAGUACUAUUUUCAUGAAUGUUAGGGAAAUGGAAUUACUAUCGUCGAAAAAUUUAGUGACUAAGUGAUAAGUACUUCAUUUUUAUUCUUAAUUAGACAUUUUAAGUUUGAGCCCUAGGUAUAGAUGGCGUAUAAUUAUAUUAUGUAGCUAGUGUGAAAAUAUUUCUUUUUUAUGUAUGUACAUAUAUUACAUAUUGACACUCCUUGACUUUUAUACGAUUUUAUUUCUUUAUAUUUUGACAUUCCUUAAACAAAAUUCUAGCUCCAUCGCUGCUAGGUAUGCUAUAGUAUUACUCGAUAUAAAAUUUUGUUACGAGACUUUAAAUUUAAUCGUGUUUCAAUAGGAUACGAAAAGAAGAUUAGGGUGAAGCGGGAGGAAAAUUUGAUUUGAAGAAUGUGAAAUGUAGUGAAAGUUAGAAGUUUCUAGUGAUUAUCACAAAGACGUAACAUCUUUUUAUCUUUUCUUUUAGUUUGGCUUGUAAUUUGUUUUGGAGGGAAAAAAAAAAGAAAGAUGAAAGAAAAAAAAAAUUUAAAGUAAAAAGUUGUUUUCAAUUUAUUAUUAAUAUAAGAAUCUUCUGAACUCUAAAAGUAAUAGUAGAACAAUAAUAGAAAUGACUAGUUUCAUUUGUUUAUGGUGUAAAAUAAGAAUGAAAAGAAAAGGCAUGGUCUAUCCUAACUAUAAUUUAGAUUCAUCAAGACAGAGAAAUUCAGUUUUAUGCUGGUGUUAAAUGGACGAAUAUAUCAAUUAAGAAAUUUAUUUAAAAAAAUUUAUGAAUUGUGUAGAGAAAAAUAUAUCAAAGCUAGGCGAAAGAUUCUUUGCCCAAAAAUAGUGAAAGGUGUAUGGGUUCAUUUCAAAACCAAAUUUUAAUCUUAACGAUCGAAAAAUAUCAAUCAAACAGAUUUAUAAAAAAGAAAAACAUCAAAAUCGUGGACGGCAGGAUUCGAACCUGCGCGGGCAGAGCCCACAUGAUUUCUAGUCAUGCCCGAUAACCACUCCGGCACGUCCACUUGUGUUAAUCUUAGAGGCUAGCUUUGUAACAAAAAUUGUUUUUUCACUGUACUUCGGUUUGUUACAGUCACUUCUGCAUUCCUCGUUAAAAUUUAUAAUUAUUAACUUUUACGUAACGCUUUAUAUUUCAAUUCGAUACAGUUAUAUAUAUAUGUAUAUUAAUUUUAAUUGACAUAUAAUUUAUGUUCUGAAUAAUCUACUAGCUUGCAAUUACUUGCAUGUGGUGCUAACGUAGCUAAAAUUUAAUAGUUUCGUCUUAAAUUUUGUAUUUGUUUUUGAUACGAAGAAACUCGGGGUCGAGUUACGAAGCAUUCAGCUUUGUCCCAGCCCAGUAUUGAACAACUGACAACUUUUCAAGUUCAAAAAUGAAAGCCAAUGCUAUUGUCCUUCACUCCAAACACUAAUAGUAGACGUAGCCAUCCCGCAUAGUAGUGAAAUGAAUAAAAUUUCGUCACUCAUGAUUAGAUGUUUUGAAUUUAAAUUUUACGUAUAAAAAGUUUAUUAAGAAAGUAUCUUAUUAGGAACGGAAAAAGGAUCAAAAAAUUCCCUUAAACUAUCUGAAAUAGCUCAGAUAUACACUUAAACUAUAUUUUCACUCAAAACUAUCCUUCCCGUCAAACUAUUGGAUCAAAAGUGACUUUAUUAUUGGCGGAAAUUGUUAAAUGUCACAUGUGUCACAUUGACUAAAUCCCUAAAUCUUAAAUACUCAUUUCAUUAUUUCUCGGAAAUGAUUUUACCCCUUCUCCCUCAUUUCGUGGCUAAGGUUUCACAGUUUUCUUCGUCACUAGGUUUCAAAGUUGAUAUUCGUGGUUAUAGGUUAGUAAAUUUUUUUCUUAUUUUAUUUUGUUAACAACCACGAAAAUCCACUUUGAACUCAGCUCUGAAGAAAGUUAUGGAACCUUGGCCGCGAAAUGACGGGAAAGUUGUGAAAUUCUAACUAUCAUACUUUGAAAUCGUAAACGUAAUAAAAUAAGAAAAAAUAUUUACUAACCCAUAACCAUGAAUAUCCACUUUGAAACUCAGCCCCGAAGAAAGCUACGAUGUCUUAGCUGUGAAAUUAGGGGAAAUUUGUGAAAUCCUAACUAUUAUACUUUGAAAUUGUAAACAUAAUAAAAUAAGAAAAAAUAUUUACUAGCCUACAAGCAUGAAUAUCCACUUUGAAACCCAGCCACGAAAAGAAAAUAUGAAACCCUAGCCGCGAAAUGAGGGAGAACAGGUGAAUAUAUCAUUUCUGAAAUAAUGAAAUGAGGGGGGAAGUAAUUAGGAUUUAGGGAUUUAAUCUAUGUGGUAGUGGAACCUUAUUAGCAUGCAAUGUGGCAUCCACACGACAUUUAAUAAUUUUUGUUGAUAAGAAGGGUACUUUUGAUUCAAUAGUUUGACGGGAAGGGUAGUUUUGAGCCGAAAUAUAGUUUAAGGGUAAAUAUGAGCUAUUUCGAAUAGUUUAAGGGUAUUUUUGAUCUUUUCUAUUUAAUCUACGUGACAGUGGAAUCCUAUUGGCAUGCAAUGUGACAUCCAUAUGGCAUCCACGUGACAUUUAAUAACUUCCGUUAAUUAGAAGGGUAAUUUUGACCCAAUAGUAUGACGGGAAGGGUAGUUAUGAGCCGAAAUAAAGUUUAAGAAUAUAUAUGAUCUAUUUCGAUUAGUUUAGAGAUAUUUUUGAGUCUUUUCCGUAUUAGGAAUAAAUUUCAUCACUUUUAAUUAGAUGCUUCGUAUUUAUGCUCUACCAAUGAAAAAAAAAGGAUCAUACUGUGAAAUAUUUAUCCUUUAAAAGGAGUCUUUAAGUGACGAUUUCAAUUUAUGUCGGUAUCAAUAAAAAUAUCCAAUAUCAAAAUAAAAAGGGAUAAUGCCUAAGUACCCCUUCAACCUAUGCCCGAAAUCUCAGAGACACACUUAUACUAUACUAAGAUCCUAUUAUCCCCUGAAAUUAUUUUAUUAAUAAUUUUUUACCCCUUUUUAGCUUACGUGGCACUAUCUUGUGGGCCCAACGAUGGUCGACUUUUUUUCGAACUAGUGCCACGUAGGCUAAAAAGGGGUAGAAAAUUACAUAUAAAAUAAGUUCAGGGAUAAUAGGACCUUAUUAUAGUAUAAGUAUGUCUCUGGGAUUUCGGGCAUAAGUUGAGGAGUACUUGGGUAUUUCCCAAAUAAAAACAAAAAAAACUAUUAUAAUUAUAUAUUUCGAAUUCAAUUCCUGAGUAAAAAAUAAUCUACUCAAAUGAAUUUUAAAAAAUACGAAUUUAAAUUAAUCAGUUAUAUUUUAAAAGAAAAACUAUAGUAGUAUCAAUGGAGAAGUAAUAAAAUUUCCCAAAUUCCCAAAAUUCUCAGUACUAUCGAAAAUGUUGCUACAAUUAUUACUAACACUCACACUGUGUAGCACAUUCUCACUAGCUCACUCCCACUACAAUUGGUCACCGUCUUCCUCCUCCACCGUCGCCGCCGCCGCCGCUCACCCAUCGGAGUGGCGCCCGGGACGGGCAACCUACUAUGCUCCAGCAGAUCCACGGGAUGUAGUAGGUGGCGCGUGUGGGUACGGUGAUUUAGAGAGAAGUGGUUAUGGUAAAUCAACAGCUGGAUUAAGCACUGUGCUAUUCGAAAAGGGUCAGAUUUGCGGAGCUUGCUUUGAAGUUCGAUGUGUUGAGGAACUCCGAUGGUGUAUUCCGGGUACUUCGAUUAUUGUUACUGCAACGAAUUUUUGUGCUCCGAAUUAUGGAUUUGAACCUGAUGGCGGUGGACAUUGUAACCCUCCAAAUGCACAUUUUGUUCUGCCGAUUGAAGCUUUUGAGAAAAUUGCUAUUUGGAAAGCUUCGAAUAUGCCUGUUCAGUAUCGAAGGUAGUAUAGUUUCUUGUCCUUUAAUUUCUGUUAUUAUUUGAUGUUUCUUAUAUUUCGAUUAUCAUAUUAUUUUGUCAUAGUUAUUGUUCUGCUACUAUCUGCUAUUUUGCUAUUUCUUAUGUUGAUGAUCUAUCGGAAACAACCUUGGAAGUAAGAUUUGCCUACACUCUACCCUCUUGGGAUUCCAUUUUGUGGGACAUUGGGUAUUGUUGUUGUUGUUUUUAGAUGCUUUACUGGGAGAAUUCAUUACUCCAUUUGUUUCACGAAUAAUUCUGAUCUGAUUAAAGGAGAAAAAUGGUCAUCGAGGAUUCAUAUAGCCAAUCUCAGCUUAUUUGGGAUCAAAGGUGUAGUUGUUGUUAUAAGAAGAGCAUUAGAUGGUUCAAAGGUUGGAAAUUUUAGUAAUUUUGGUCAAAUUUCUUAGGAAAAUUUUAGAAUUUUGGGGUCCGUAACAAUUUAAAUGUCUCGUAAAGGGCUCUCAUGAAACUAUUCACAUAAUUUCAUUUGUGAUUCUCUAAUUCAAUGUUGUUCAUGGAGGAUUAAACUAUUUUCCCUUCAUAGUAAUGUGCAUCAUACUCCCCUAAGGAUAGCGUGGUGGUUGAAGGGUUGGAAUGACAACCAAGGGUAUCAAGGCUCGGAUUCUAGUAGAGAGCGAGCAGAUGAACUCUUCCCAUCUGCCUAAACCUUGGUUCAUAUAGGGUCGUCUAUUUGUGGCAAAGCUGAACAUAAUUCCAAUCUUGAACUAAUGAAUCAACUAUGCCUCAAAUCGAAACUAGUUGUGGUCAACCAUGUGAACCUUCUAUAUCGAUAAUCACCAGAGUUACAGUAUUUUACGUUGAUUUUCAUCAUAGUAUGUAUUAAAGCUUACAGAGCAGCUGCUUCCUUAUUCCUCCCUGCCCUUCACCACCAUAUCUUCAAGCACAGCUCCUUUAGUGUGCUUGGCAUUACCUUGCUCAUAUAAAAUAGAUCAAGCCUCAAAAUCUGUGGAUUUCCCGGGCACCAACAUUUUAUAAGGGAAGUCCUUCUGUUUCCCUUCUAAUAAAACCAUUCACCGAUCUACACUGAAUUUAGUAUUCAUUGCUUUCACCACCUUCAGGUGUCACUAUGUUGCACUUGAACAUUCACCUACUAUUCACCUUCUUUGUAAGUCUUGCAAAAGUUCCUUUGAAAUCCAGAUACAAUAUAUGGUGCAUCUCCAGUUCACCGAGGACAUGACCCUUCAUAGAGGAUGUAGAGGUCGAGGAUUAGAAUUUGUUUCCUUUCCCAGAGAUCAGUAUAAUUCUUUUCUUUCUGUUAUUGAUAGAUUUCUAUCACUAGGGGUUGUUUCAAUAUCUUAUUAUCUUCUUGUUCUUUUUAUUUGUUACUAUUGUGUCUUUUUCAUUGUUUGCUCAGUGAGGGUCUUUCGAAAACAGCUUCUCUAGUUGGUGUGUUGUUGUCUUCUUCAUGAGCCUUGCAAAAGUCCCUCUGAACUCCAGAUACAGUAUAGUUUUGUAUCUUGAUUAUUAGCAAGUACAUGUAUAGUAUUUAUCUAAAUAUUCAAGUUUUUGUUAGCUCUUCUGUUCUGAAUCUACAGUUGAUGGAGAAUUUACAGUGUGCCUUUUUUUCACAAUUUCCAACAGAAUUAAGUGCAGAAAGGAAGGAGGAGUUCGAUUCACGAUCAAUGGUGCUGGAAUAUUCUUGUCUGUUUUAAUCAGUAACGUUGCAGGCGCGGGUGAUAUAGUGGCAGCAAAAGUUAAGGGUUCAAGAACAGGAUGGCUUCCCAUGGGUAGGAUUUGGGGCCAAAACUGGCAUAUAAGUGCGGAUUUGAAGAAUCAACCACUUUCUUUCGAGAUAACAAGCAGUGAUGGAGUCACCUUAACAUCUUACAAUGUUGCUCCGAAGAUCUGGAAUUUUGGACAGACUUUUCAAGGUAAGCAGUUCGAAUCGUAGGCUGUUCUGGACCUUCCUUGAGGUAUUCAUCAAGAUUGAGUUGUGCUUGUUUCUGAUGGGGAACUACCAGAUGUAGAUUUUGGAGUGCAAAGUUGUAAGAUCACUUGAAUGUAUUAGUAUGUUUCAUUGUUUAUACAUGUGUUGUGUAUUGUAUUGUGUUGGUUGCUAUAUGAAGAAUAAUGUUGCACAUACAGCCGGUGUCACUGUAGAUAAUUUUCACUCCAGCAGAUGAAUUCCAUGUUCAGGCGAUAAACGCCUAAAGAUCCGAAUCAGGAGGCAUGAUUACACUAAGUAAGUAUGUCGUUGUUUCUACAAGAAUUAUGGUCCAUUCUCCAUUUAUAAGGGCUGAAAAAGGUAAAUCUCUAGCACCUUAGAGAGUGAACAAAUAACCUAUGUUGCUCGAAUUCACACGUGCAUUUUGGAGGAUGUACAACAAACAUUUUCAGAGAGUGCGAGCAACAUAACAAAUAACUAUAUAUCUAAAUAAGAUCAAAAAUGCAAUUAAAGCCAAACUUCAUCUACAGUUAUAGCAAAAAUUCCAGUGGUUGGAGAGGGAAGAAGAGGUAAAUUUCCUCACCUUGCAACAUUACAACACAAUCAGAAAAUCAUCUUGAUAUGGCUAGAAAGCCAUGAUGCUCGAACCCUCCAAAAGUGUUGCCACACACCAGUGUUGGGUCCUCAAAAAUGCAUUACUUUUGGAGGAUCCAACAUGUACCCAACGGAGCUUCAAACAUACAAGGAGAGUUAAGAAGCUUUUUGGAGACGAAGUUCUAAUUCCAAUGCAAGAGCAUCAAACAUACAAAAGAGUCAUAUAUGAACUCAAGUUAGACCUUAAAACUACCAAGAAACACACAAAACAGCAAGCAUUCAAUUCAUCAACCUUUGAAAUUUAACUAGAGAAGCAGGAAAAGACAAGGUCUAUUAUGGUAUCAAAUCUAAGUAGGUUCAAGAGAGAUAUCGUCAACUUGACAUAAAAGCAAGUAGAAUACCAUAUAGAGAUGCAAUCAUGUAACUGGAUACUCAAAAUAUUGUACAUAUUUCAGAAACGUCGAUUGUUCUACAUAUGAGAUAUGAGGAGUUUCUCCUGCUCUAGAAUACAAUUCGUGUAAGUAUCAGUAAUCAUACAAAUGAACAAGGGGGAAAAGAAUAUGAACUACCAUCAAAGAAUUCUUGCUAAACAUAUCAGUUGCCAAAUGAAUACUUGGAAAAAAAAUAUUCACCGACGUUAUUGAAGUAUGAGUUCAAGCAAUUACCAAAGUGAUUCUAUUUCCCUUUCCCAUUGCGGAAGGGUGUCAUAUCGUUAACCAUAAUCGCUCCAUCAUAGCUUCUGGUUAGAUUCUAUCAGCAAUCCAUUUAACAUGAUAUGUACAGCAGCUUCAUAGACAGCCCCCUCAUAAUGCAUCCCAUCGGACGUACAAUCAGCUCCACAUUUAUUACUCAACGAAUGCACGUCCAGCAAAAACAAUGGUCCACCAGAUUGUUGAAGAAGCUUACUUCUGUAAAGUUCAUCAUUAUAAGCUUCCCACAUUACAUCAUUCAUCUUCUCCCUCUUCUCAUCUGUUUUCAACAUUGAGCUUAUCAACUUAGGCAUCCCCAACCAAAACAAGUUGGGCGACCGAACUGGAACCACAAUAUUUGUCCCAGAACCAUCACUGUUAGCAAACGCUGAAGAAACUGGUAACAACAACACUACUGAAUCCUUCAAAGACUUUAACGAAACACCAUAGUCCGAAGCGUUAUUUACAUGUAACAUAUCCCAUAACCCUGCCCCCAUCACAAAUACAUCAGGAUAACUCUUUUUUUCUUUGAACCUCAUUAUCAAAUCAGUCAAAUUACUCAUAUAAGGUGCCCAUAUAAAGUCCAGCUUCAUCCCAAUCUCAUCAACAAAUAUGUUAUAAUCACUAUGCCUCAAGAAAAGAUCCUUCUUUAUCAACUCCAUCUUACUAUCUCCCAAUAACAACUCCAAAAGUGAAACCACCAUUAACCUAGCUUGUGAAUCUCCAGCAACAACAACCCAUGACCCAUUUAACAAAUCUGAAGCAUCAUUCAUAGUCAACUUCUGGAAAUCACAAUCUACAACAUUUUCAGACUCGACCCAUUUCCAAGAACCCCUUUUACUAUUAUUACUCAAUUCUUGAAAAUCAAAUGCUACUUGGUGAAGUAAAGAAAAACAAGAAUCACGAUUUACAAUAACAGAUGAUAAAGAAUCUGAACCUGAUGAAAGAAAAGAUGUAACAGAAGGGAAAUAUGGAACAAGAUGAACACCAACAGCAAGAGUGAUGAAAAGGGCACAACUGAAAAAGAGCAUCUUGUUACGGCUCAAAUGCCAACCUGCCAUACCCAUAGGGACAAAAAGUACAACCCCUGCUGCAAAAAGUCCUAAUUGGACAGCACCCAACAUGAUUUCUUGAUCUUAAAUCACACCCAUAGAGGUGUGGAAUCUGAAAAUUUGAAAAUUUUGACUUGAAAUGAUGAUUUUUUUGGUGGGAUCUUCAACAAAUUGAUGAUUUUUUGGAACUUAAGGAAAAAGAUUCGAUCUUUUUGUUUUUUGUUGUUGUGGGGAAGUGUAAAAGGGGUAGUUGAGAUUGUGAAGAUUAUGAAUGAAGCAAAAUUUGUAAAAGAGGUGAUGGCUAUGGAGCAACUGUGAGAAAGAGAGAAGGAGAACAAUGUCGAAAUUCUGAAUCGGGUCAAGGAUGAACGAACCUUGUGAUAUUGGGCCAAAUUGGGCCUAGAACAUUUCCAUGAGUUAUGACUCAUGGGUAUGCGUUCGAUAUGAAAAAAAAUAUUUUUUUUGAAAAAGUUAAUCUGCGUAAGUAAGAGAAGUGGGCUAUUGAUGGUUUCAAAAAAGGUAGAGAUAGGUCGAAAAAAUAUUGAAAAGGACUUAUUAGAUAAGACGUGAUAUGAUUUCUGGUUACUAAAAAUAUGAUUUUAGAUAAGAGGUUAGGGAGGAUAUGAAUUUAGAUAGGAUGGUUAAUUCGACAGUUGAUCGUCGUUUCGCUUUGAAUUUAUAUACACUUUUGAUUAUUGUUUUAUCUUGUUUUAAGUAUUGUUUAGGAUGAAAUCUACACUAAUUCUUCUAUUAUGUUACUUCUUUCCCUAUAUCACUUUGGUUGUAUUUUUCUUGGAUCUGUUGGAAAUAGCAUUUAUAUUUUUAAGAUAAUGGUUUUUGCAUACACUUUACGUUUCUAAAGCUUCAUUAGUAUAAUUAUACUAAGUAUACUGUACUCCCUCCGCUCAAUAAGAGUUGUUCACUAUACUAAAAAUAGAUGUCCAACAACAUUUGUUCACUUUAUAAUUCAUGGAUGAUUUUACAGGUAAUUUCCAUUUUACCCUUAUCAUUAAUAUAUAGUCUUUUUUUUUCUAUAACAUUUUUCAGCAUAUUAUAUUUAUUACAUUCAAAGGGUGAUAUAAUAAAAUUAUCCUUUUAUUUAUAGUUUCUAAAUAGGUGUUUCAAGUCAAUAAUAAACAAUUAUUGUUGAAUAGAAGAAGCACUUGUUUAUAAGAUUACACAUAAAUAACAUAUCAAUGAAAUAUCAUAAAUAAGGUCCGAAAAAAGUAAAAUGUACGCAAACUUUAUCACUAUAUCAUAGAGAUAGAUAGAUCGUUUUCAUAAAAACCUAGCUGAAGUAUGGCAAUUUUUAUGUACAAAGACAAGGAAAUAUUGAAAAAUAAAUAAAUAUAAUAUGUAAUAAGAAGACAAUGCAAAAUUUACCAUAAGACAACAAAAUACUAAAAUAUAUUAUUAAAAGCAAAAACUACAAUACAACAUCUAAUAUAAUAUUAUCAUAUAUAUCAAAAUAGGACGUGAAAUAUAUUAUCCUAAUUUUUUUUGCAGCAAAUGUGAUUCUAUUUCAAUAUUUCAUAUGAAAUGAGUAUUAAUAAAAUUCAGAAUAUAUAUAAUAUUUUAUAAGUUGUUUUAUCAAAAAAUUAUUUUCGAAAAGAGUUUGUUUUAUUUUAGACUUUUUAGGAGUCGCCACUUAAUUUUUAAGGAAAAUAAAGAAAACUUUAAUUUUCAAAACACUUACCAAAAAAAUCAAUUGAAAAUAUUAAAGGGGUUCGGGAUUCCUAUUAGCAUCUUAGGAAGGUGUUUAAGGCACCUAAGACUCUCCGCUAACUACGGUUUUCCAACGAUUAACAAUAUUUGACUAUUUUUGUUUUCAAAUUUUUACAAAGCCUUAAGUUGAACUUUCAAAACAUUCCCUUAGGCAAAUUUUCAAGUUUUGAAUAUUUAUUAUUUUAAGACUUAGUUUUAACUUGAUAAAAUAGAACGGCGUUUCGAAAGGGGCUUUGGAGUUUUCUAAUCCUAAGCUAACGGCACUCAAAACGAAACACAAAAGCAACUAAAGGAGAGAUAGAGAGAGAGAUUUUGGGUCCAAAUUCGGGUUCUGUUCGCCUUGACCGAAUUUUGGACCCACCUGUCGUUGGGUUUUUAACCUAUUUUGUACCUGUCCUAAUCUAAGCAUACAAGAUAAAAUAGAAAUAAACAAAGAAAACGAGGAAAACAACUAGGGCUUAUGCCCAUUAAAAAAUGCAAAAAUAAAUAAAAAGGGUCUUCUAAUCCCGUGCUCCCUCGGCUUUCGAUCUUCGUAGAACUCGAAAUUUAACUUCAUACGCCGGUUUUCACGAAUUGACUCGAUGAAAGACAUUUAGAGCCUUUAUGGCUCCCUCGGAAUAAAGAGGACAAGAGUUUAAUAAACUCGGACGGUUUUACAUGCAUAAAGAUGGAAACCAUGAUUAGAACCUCACAUGAUCGAAACUGAAAUAAAUACAAGGUAAGUCAAGACAAUAUCCCAAAUAAUUAUAACACAAAUAACUUAAGACAUGGACAAUUAAUAUAGGGAGACAAAUUCUAAAGAAACUUAAUAAUUCAAAUCACGCCAUUUACCACAUGAUAAUCUACUUAAGCAAGGGGACAAAAUGGCAAAUACAGAAUCACAAUACUAAGUGAAAAUAAGCAGCUAAGUUGUUCAAUCCAUACUUCAGUUGAUAUACGACAUAAACACAUUUGUAUCUGGGGGUUCUGUUUUUUUUUCUCUGGGUUCUCGGAAUGGUGUAGGGGAAGGGGGAAGGAGAAAGAGGGGAGAUGGGUCGGGUUUUUUCAGGUAUUGGGUUGGAAAGGAAGUGGGCUGCUGAUGGGUAAUUGGGCCUGGGGAUGUUGGGGCCUGGAUUUAACUUAGUGUGUAUUGGGUCGCCUGAGAAUAAAUGGGUUGGGAUUUUAAGAUGGGCUGCUGAAUAUUUGGGUUUGGAAAGGGAAACUUGGGCCUGGGAAUUAGGAAUAAGGUGAGGGGCCCAAAUUUGGCUCUUCCAAAUUAAAUGGAAAAAGAGUUCAAUUUAAAUAAUAGUCAAUCGAUUCAAAAACGAAUUAGGUAUAAAUUUAUUAACGAGCCUAUUUGUUUAGUAACAUUAUUAUUUAAAUUAUAAAAUAAUGAUUCAAAAUAUAAUUGUGAUUUAAAGUAAACUAGUUUAAUAGAAUACUUUCUAAACUUAAGAUAUACAUGUAUAUAGAUAUUUUAAUUUUCGCAAGCUUUAUAAAACUAGUUAACUUAAAUAAUUUGAAAAACUCACGAAGCUCGAUAAUUAAGUUAUACCAAUGUGGGUCAAAAAUUGGGUGUCAACAUAAGUGUUCAAGGAGAUUCUAAAUUUCUAAUCGUUACCCAAGUGGGCAACAAAGUCAAAGUGAGUUUCAUUUGUACUUUAUUAUUAAGUUUUUUUUAAUACAAAUUUCGUAGAUAUUAUUAAAAUAAUUCUCAAUACAAAUAUUAUAAUUAUGUAAAAUUAGUGAUUUCUCCAUUUAUAAUGAAUUUUAUAUAAUAUUUAGGUAAAAGUUUUUACAAUUCUUUGAAUAGAGAAUAUAAUUAUGUGACUUUAGUCUAUGAUAAAUCAUAAUCAUGUGAUGGAAAAUUAAUUAACCUAUGAAGAUGGAAUCAAAAUGAGAAUAUUAGGAUAAAGAAUUGGACUUUCUAAUAUAAUAAAACAAAAAUGUGACAAUCACAUGAACUUUUUCGAAAAUGAUAUAAAGGGGAUGUCGAUGACAAAAAAAAGACCAGCAAAACAAUGCAAAACUUCAUUCCUUGUGGUUAACAUUGGAGCCAAGUAAGACCAAGAGGUCUUUGACAAAACAUUAUAUCGUAAAUUUAAUUUUAUUUAUUUAAUAUGUAUUGAACUUUUUAUAUUUAAAUUUGUUAAAUAAAGAAUUUGGUCCCAUUACUAUUAUUGUGUAGUGUGCCAAUAAUUUUUGUUACGUUAAAAAAGAAAAGAAUGGACUAGAAAGAGAUGGUCAUUUUUGUUUUUGCUUUUUAUUCAUUGUUAAAUAUCUAAAUUAAAAUUGAUUAAAUCUAAUUUUUUUACAAAAAAUUUCAUUUGAUAUCUAUAUUAAAAUUGAUUAUCGAGAAAUUUCAUCAUAAGAGGAAAGAUACGUAAUACUUUGUCUUUUUAGAAUGAUGACAAAAAAAAUGUGUGCGGUUCAUAGUAUAUCGACGAGAAACAUGUUGCUUUAACCAAGUGUGGAUUAUUCAAUGUAUUAAUAUCGAAUUUAUCUGGAUUUAAUCAUAAACUUUAAUUUAUACGUAAAAGUUUAUAAAAAUCGUAAUAAAAUACUAUUCUUUUUGUUCUAAAUUUUUAUCGAUAGUUCUUUAAUUUCAAUUUUUUUUUCAUAUUAUAUGUUUAAGAUUAUAAGAUGAAAUGACGUUUUAAUACAUUCUACGUAUUUUUUACUUUAAAUAUUGAACUAAUAAAAUUUAAAUUCGAAGUCUGCUUUCUAACAUUCCAUCUUCAUCAUACGAUCAAUCGUAAUCUAAACUAAUACAUCAUAACAUGCAAAUAUAAUGCAAUAUAAAACAUCCAAAGAGACACACAACUUUAUAAAAUAUGGUACAUUUUCAAUCAUAAAAGGAAUUAUCUUUUUGUUUUAGGCCAAAUAUGUGGGCGUUGGCCCUGAAAGUUUGUUUUAAUUGUCAUUUUAACAUUAAACACACAAGUGGACAACUAUUUAAAUUAAUUUUUCAAAAAGUUAAAGGUCCUAAUUAAAUAUCCAAUAUAUGGUAAUCUUUAAUUUUGUUACGUGAAGGAAAGAAAAAGGUGUAAAGUAGUGAGAAAUGGAUUUUAUACCUAACUUGCAGUUUGAAAAAUAUAAAUCAUCGAUGAUUUGGUGGUGAUAACUAUAAAAAGAUAUAGCUGAAACUUUAAAAAUAUGAGAGUUAUAUUUAAAUUGUAUAAAUACAAACGAUAAUUAUAAUACAAUUCAAAUUCAAUAUUAAGAAUUGCUAUAAAUUUGAUGGUUAUUAUUCUACAAACAAAUAUAAUACAUGUCUGUAAACUAAUUUAAAUAGUAUAUAUCGAAAUGUUUGGAAUUCAUACAUAAUACUUAUUAUAUAAUAUAUUGGUUUUAAAAAUGUUUUAUUUAUUUAUGUAAAAUGAUGACCGAAAUAAUAUAUUCUACUUUUUAUAACCGAUUAAACUAAACUUUUUAUAAAUUGUUUUGGAGCAACCUUAUUUUGUACUUUAAAAAAUUCAUUUUUUUUAUUUUUUCGACUUUAAAGCCAAAAUUAUCCUUUAUUUAUGAAAGUGGAUGUAUUUUUAUCCCUUUAAUAUAAGGUUGAGUUUUCUUUAAGUUUGUAAUGUUAAGUGGGGCACUUUAUAUUAGUCCAAUUAACAGAAUUGACUUAGAAAUUGAUGGCGAUUACUUGAAAAAAUCGCUACAAAAAACAUAAUAAAAAUAAAAUUUCAUUUGAUUUUUAAACCAAAAGAAAAGUGACAUGACUAACGAUUUGAUCCCAUCUUCUUUUUUUUUUUAAGAAAAAAAUUAAAAGAAAAAUUUAUUAAACUGGAUGAUUAAUUUUAACAUAAAAAUUAAAAAAAUAAAAAUCAAUCGAGCUCACUAUUUGAUAUUAUUAUUUUCAUCUUGAUAUUGUUACUUCAUAUCACUGAAUUAUAAAAUGCGUUAACGGCAAUUAUCAUAGACGCAGACUGAAAGCAUAAAAUUACAACUAUUCCAUUUUUGUUUUUUUUUUUGCCAACCCAAAAAAAAAACUAAUAAUUUAUUUACAUAAUUAUAGAAAAUUGGAAUUUAUUCAUGUUUUUGGACCAUUCAGAUAACCCCACAAUAAAAAAAAAGUGCACAAAAGUGCAAAGUGCUACGUGUCCUAAUUAUAGCCAUACUACAUUUGUGCAUAAAAUUAGCCACCAUUAUUUUUAAGAUUAUUCUUUUUCUUGUUUUAAUUUAUAUGCCACACUUUCUUAUUAAUCCAUCUUAAACAGAAUGACACACUUUUUAUUUGACAAAUAUUUAAUGACAUUAUUAACAUUUUAUCCUCGUUAGAUUUCACUUAUUUGGUUAAAGGUGGUGUACUUUUCUAAUCUAAAAUCAUUAAUUUUAGGUAUAAUUUUAGAACAUUGCAAAGCCUUUUCAUAUAUUUAAACAAUGUACAUAAUUAUGUAAUUAUGUUAUGUUAUAUAAAUUGAGACGAAAAAAAUAUUAUUUAUCAGGUACGAGUGUCACUUUACACUAGAGGUGUUUACGGACAGAGACGAAUCCAAGAUUUGAACUUCAUGGUGUCAAGUAUACACAUUGCUUAGAUUAUUAAAUCAACUUUAGGUUUCAAUUCCGCACAAAAUCUAUAAAACAUAACCUUUUUAAAAAUAAUUUUACUAAUAUUAUAAACAUAUAUUAUUCAUUUAUAAUAGUUCUCGACGAGUUUACAUAUUUUCAAAACUGUCAAUUAGAACAUCAUUACUUAUAUUUGUAAAUGUAUCACUUACUACGUAACAAACUAAACAAAUCAUUUGAAUAUCACUCAUCACUCUUAUUUAUAUUUUAUUUUUUUAUCUACUUCACCAAAGAAAAUGAUAAUUUCACAAUUGCGAUUGCUACCAGAAAAAUAUUUACUUAAUCAAUUUUAAAAAGAUUAAGUAAUAGAAAUAUUUUUUAUUUUAUUAAGAAAAGAGGAUUUUAUCAUAUCUAAAUAUAAAUUAAAGAUGAAGUUACUAUGAUAUUAUUUAAAAAGUAAAUGACAUUAUUCUAUUUAAAUUACAAAAUGAGAUUAAGAAAAGUAUAACUAUUUCCAUUUUUUUAGCUAAAAGGAUUUCAAAAAAAAAAAAGUAACAAGAAAGAGAUUUUUUAAAAAUAAUAAUUUUAUUAGAAAUAUAUAUAAAAAAUUAAUAAUAUUCGUUAGAAAAAGUGAAUUUUCAAAAUAAUAAAGUAAUAACACGAAUACUUUUAGGGUCAAACAAUUAAUAGUGGAGAAUGGAGAUAUUUUUAGUACAAAUUAUUUAUACAAAAUAUCUUUAUUCAAUGUGACAUAAUUUUAAGCUAUUUUUAACACUUUUCCAUCAAAUAAAUAAUUAAUAACAAAUUAUUAAAAAAUCAAAGAUUAAUAAAUUAAAUUAAUGAACUAUAAUUAGUUAUUAAAACCAAGCCAACUAGAAUUAAAUAGAAAAAAGGAAAUAUAAUCUUCAAAAUAUGCUUUGUUGAAGUAUAAUUCCUCGUCUAUUUAAAGCUUCGGAGAUUUAAAUUGGCAAGCGAAUUACACAAAGCAAAUGAAACUACACCUUUUGGUUCUGUGGGUGUCAUUUGCUUAUUUAUAAACAUUGUACAUAUAUACACCUAUAUGUAUAUCACGUUUCGAUCGAAGCUCGUGGGUGGCGUGGCACCCAUAAAUCGUAGUAGAUUCGCCCCUGUUUACGGAUCGAUUUAGGUCGGUUAUAGAUCAAAAUCAAAUCAAUUUAAUUAAUUUUACCAAUCAAACCAAAUCAAAUAUACUAUACAUUUAUUGGUUUGGUUGUUCGAAUUUCGAUUUGAUUUGAUUCAAUUAUUCGAUUAUCAAUCAUACAGAAAUAAAAGAAACAAUUCAUUUUAAAGAGGAACAAAAGAGGCAAGAACUCAUUCAAAAUGAAAAAUACUUAAAAUAGCCGAAUUUAUAAAACUUUUUAUUACUAAAUUUACUGUGAAUAAAACUUUUAAAUUCACCAUUUUAGCCUAGAAGUAAGAGAGAAAAACAUUUCCACCAAGAAUUGUCAAGAAUACUCAUAUACAUGAAACCAAUAUGAUAAAUGUUCUCUUCAGGACGGUUCAUAAAUAAAUUAUGAUAAACAUAUAUAAGAUAUUUAAAAUAAAAUAAAAUAUAUAUAUAUAAAAUUUAUCGGUUCGAUUAUUUCUUCAACUUUUUAAAUAAAAUCAAAGACUAUCAAUUCUUAAGAAUCUUAGAACAAACUAAACCAAAUAAAAUUAAACGAUUUAAUCAACUUAAUUUAAUUUUUCAAUGUGGGUCAAUUUUUAUCCAAAUACUUUUACACCCACUUUUCACCAUCACAAGGGGUAAGAACUAGCAAAUUAUUUUGCCUUAACAAAAACUUACUAUUGGUGUAGAGAAAAUUGGUUGAUUUUCUUAUCAAUAUAUAUAAUUUAGUACCCAAUUUUCCCAAAACUAAAUAAAAUAUAGAAUAUCCACUAAGGUGGUUACACGUGUACACUCAACCAAUGACGGCACUUCAAAUUCUUGAUAACGGUAUCUUCCCACCUUCAUAUAUUUCAACAUUUUAUUGUUAAAAUAAAAUCGCACGCUCUAUUUUAUCUAAAUUUUAUUUAUAGAAUUAUAUUAAGUAUGUUAUUAUUAAUUUUUACGUAUAAAUAUAUUUCAUAUUAAAAUCAUAUAAGUUGACAUCACUAAGUUCGUUGGAUUUGCAUGUAGACCCAAUUAUUCAGAUACUCAACAUGACUCAUUUAAUAUUGGAUUAUUGAAAUAUUUGUAAUACAUUAAGAAUAUAAUUGUUAACUAUUUUAAUUUUUAAUUAUACGUAAAUAUCAAACAAAAAUAUUAAUAUGAUCGCUAUAUUAGAUGAUAACUAUAAGGAGCCUACACAAUUAACACUAUUUAACUCUAUUCUUUGCAUUUAUAAAAAGUUACUUUAGUCUUAGGUUCACAAUGUCAAAAUCUAAACAACUAAAAACGACGAGGAGUAAGGUUUGCAACGACGAUAACAAGGAUUAGGCAACAAUUAGAGUUGUGAAUUGUGAGUAUUAACUAUACUUUUACUAUAUUAGGCAGAAUUUUUGCACUCAAUGAGUAACUUGAUUUAUUUAUUUUUUAUUUCGCCCUAAAUUAUUGGACAAGUCAUAUAUUUGUUUUGAAAACAUUCUUUUAUUGGCUAAAUCGAAAAUUGAAUCGUUAAAGAUCAAAAAUCAAUAACAAAUAUCUUAUUGGUUUAACAUAUUUAAAAAUAAAAAACCAAUAAAUCUAACUAAUAAUAUUUAAUACGAAAACGAAAUGGACUGACACACAUUCCUAAAUUUUUGGUCAAAAUUUUUUCAUAAUUUCCCUAAAAUCUAAAAUAUUAAAUAUUUGACGGAAACAAAAAAUUCACUUUUAAUAAAUUAUUUGAAGGACUAAAACAGUGGAAGAAUAUAUUUAAGAAGCUAAUUUGAACCUAGUGCCAAAUAUAAAGGGACCAUUUUUGUCAUUUUUCAACUUGAAAAUCUACGUGUCUUAAUAUAACACCAAAGAAUUAAUAUUUACUGAAAAAAUGUAAAAAUGAGGAUAUGGAUUCUGAAUCACUCAAUUCCAAUCAGCAAAAAUAAAAUAAAAUAAAAUAAAAUAAAAUUUAAAAAAUAAUAAUAAAUGCUAUAAAAUGACCAAAAUGUGUGGAGCAAAAAGUGCAGAAAAAACCAACAAAUUGCAUUCUCCAUUCUUGGAAGUGGCCAUUCUUGAUUUCUUGAAACAAAGGUUUGUUUCCCUUCACUUCUUGAUAUGUAAAGUUGCAAUCUUUAUAACUUUCUAUUGCUUUGCUAGUGUUUUUGUUAUAUACAGGGGGUGGAGUUAGAGGGUAAGUUACGCAUUUAGUCGUAACUUUAGUCAAACUUCGUAAUAAUUUAGUAAGUUAAAAUAUAUUAGAAAUUUUCAGAAUUCAUAAACUUUAAAUUUUAAAUUUUGACUUCGCUUUGUGUGACUAUACAAUUACAGAAAUUCAGAGUGGCCAUUGUUGAAAGAGAGGGUGGAAUUUGUGUAAGUUUUGUUUCCUUUCAGUUCUUGAUAUAUAAAGUUGCAAUCUUUAACAUUCUUUGUUCACUUUCUAUAGGUUUGCUAGGUUCGGUUAAAUUCAGUAGCUUUAGUUUAAACCCUAUGCGGAAUAGAGAAUGUGUAAACUUUAAACUUCAAAUUUUGGCUCCGCAUACGACUAGCGACUAUAUAAUAAUAGGAAUUGAGCACUUGGCUUUUGUAUAUAGCUUCUAUGUGUACCAAAAUUAGAAAAUCAGGCGAUUAUUAUAAUCUUGUUGACUAAAUAUAGAAUGCAUCCAUUACCCCCAAAAAGUGUGAUUCCACUGUCAUAGGAGGUUUUUUUUAUUUCAUUUUAUUUGUGCUUUCAAUAAUGUAGAGUAGUUUUACAAAGAUCCUUUCUUUGUGACACAUGGUAGGUAAUAUUGCUGAUUUUGUUGUAGUUUUGGGGUUAUAAAGUUUCAAAUUAUUUAUACUGGAGGGUAGGGGUGGGGGUUGUCUAUAAUGCAGGUUAUGGUUUUACGUGAACUCAAUAAUUAUUGUAGAUACUAAGAAAUCCACUCAGUGUUCUUGCGGUGUCUUGCUUUUGAUUUCAGCAUCACUUGUAGUUGAUUGUGUUUAGAUUAUCACAUUAUUCUGUGGCUGUAACUGUAUCCUUGUUAGUUGCUUUGUUUCUACACUGUUGUUUUCCCUCUUUUAUACCUAUUUUGAUAUGUUGUACUCGAACGAGGGUCAUCGGGGAACAACCUCUUUACCUCCGUGAGGUAGAGCUAUGGUCUGUGUCCACUCUACCCUCCCCAGAUCCCUCUUGUAGGAUUUCACUAUAUUGUAAUAUUAACUUGAGGUCACUAUAGGAGCUCAAAAACUUCUAAUUUUGAAUCAAUGUCUGGUUAUACUUUUUUUGUCAUAACUGUAUCUCAAAUGUGGUGUUUGGUUUAUCUCAUUUUGCAGAAGUCAAGAAACAGGUUACUCCUGUUUGAGUGAGGAAAAGUUGGUUUGCCUGUCUGUGGUCUUUUUAUAAUCUUUUUCUACAGAAGAGAAAGUGGGUAAUUUUGUUUGAGAGUGGAAAUAUUCUCUAGUGGGAAUCUACUAGGAGUAAUUUAUUUUCUAUAAACUAAGUAAAGUUUGGAAGGUGACAAAAAGAAAGACAAAAAUCUUGGAAUUGUUUUAGACAACCAAGGUUUUCUUGCUCAGAAUGUCUGUUGCCUUGUUAUGGGUUGUUUCUCCUUGUGACGUCUCAAAUGGGACAAGUUUCAUGGAAUCAGUCCGGGAGGGAAACCGUUUUUUUGAUUCAUCGAGGCAUAGGAAUUUGGUGUCCAAUGAGAGAAUCAAUAGAGGUGGUGGAAAGCAAACUAAUAAUGGACGGAAAUUUUCUGUACGGUCUGCUAUUUUGGCUACUCCAUCUGGAGAACGGACGAUGACAUCGGAACAGAUGGUCUAUGAUGUGGUUUUGAGGCAGGCAGCCUUGGUGAAGAGGCAACUGAGAUCUACCAAUGAGUUAGAAGUGAAGCCGGAUAUACCUAUUCCGGGGAAUUUGGGCUUGUUGAGUGAAGCAUAUGAUAGGUGUGGUGAAGUAUGUGCAGAGUAUGCAAAGACGUUUAACUUAGGUUAGCUUCUUCAAUCUAUUCAUUCGUUUACCAAAUAUUAUUUGGUAAGCACUAAUUAUGAAUAUAUAUAUGUUCAUGUUAUUGAUGAAGACAAAAUUUGAUCUUUGUUUGUUUAUUCAGGAACUAUGCUAAUGACUCCCGAGAGAAGAAGGGCUAUCUGGGCAAUAUAUGGUGAGGUUUCUAGCCAUUUAAUAACAGUUACGCGCACAAACACAUAUGAUUAAUCGGGGACGAGAAAAAAAGAAAUGAAGUUUGAGUUUUGAGGGUCAUAUGUAAUAGGUAAAUCCGAGCUUGACUAGCUUGAGAUGUUUAUUGUCAUAUCAUGCUCAAUACUAACCAAAACACUGAAAAAGAACUUGAUUAUAUUUACAUACUAAUAUUUUCAUUUGCGUUGCUGUUCACAUUUUUACCUAUGGAACUGGUUUUUGUGAUUUGUUAUACUUCAUAUUCGAUGUUAAUAAAAUAUAUCAUUCCUCCCUUUUUCUCCACUUCAAGCUUUACUGUAGUGUUGAAAGGGGAAACUCCUUUUAAUGAUUGCAUAUAUAAACGAACUUCUUGAGUUGAAUAGUUUCUCAUUAUGAUCUGUUUAAACAGUAUGGUGCAGAAGAACAGAUGAACUUGUUGAUGGCCCAAACGCAUCAUAUAUUACCCCGGCAGCCUUAGAUAGGUGGGAAAAUAGGCUAGAAGAUGUUUUCAAUGGGCGGCCAUUUGACAUGCUCGAUGGUGCUUUGUCCGAUACAGUUUCUAACUUUCCAGUUGAUAUUCAGGUUAGUCUACCAAUUCUAUGGUCUUUAUAUUUGUUCAAUUUGCGUUUGAUGUCACUUUUGCUGAGGGCUUUUCUAAUAGCUUACUUCAGCCUAGCGGAAAUGUUUGUAGUUGAAUCUCUAGUUCUGUCUCCUAUAUCUGUUUCUCUCGUCCUAGAUACUACACAUACUUCAUUUCUGUUUUAACAUUUUAUUCGUCUUUUGGUGUUGUUUUGUAUGUGAAUCAUAUAUUUGGAACAGAAUCAUUAUUAGUUCACAUGAUUUCAUUUGCUUUCUUCAAUAGCGUAAUUGUCUAACCUUCCAAUAUAUGUUGCAGCCAUUCAGAGAUAUGAUUGAAGGAAUGCGUAUGGACUUGAGAAAAUCGAGAUACAAAAACUUCGACGAACUAUACCUUUAUUGUUAUUAUGUUGCUGGUACGGUUGGGUUGAUGAGUGUUCCAAUUAUGGGUAUCGCCCCUGAAUCAAAGGCAACAACAGAGAGCGUAUAUAAUGCUGCUUUGGCUCUGGGGAUCGCAAAUCAAUUAACUAACAUACUCAGAGAUGUUGGAGAAGAGUAAGUACAAAGCUGUGUUUUACGCACAUAAUUUUUUUUGCUAAUAUUUACAUAUCAAAAUAUAGGAAAAUGAGCUCUUCGGUUAUCCGGUUUAUAUUUUUUUUAUGUCAACAUAAUAGUAUAAAGUAAUUAGUAUCAGUCGUUCUGGGAAUAAAAUUGCAGAACUCAAUUUAGCCGUGUUGUGAAAUCCUGCUUGUUUUGAGAGCUUAAAGCUCAUUAGUUAGUCGUUAGAGACGAAGAAAUUCUUCGUUGUCCAUCUUUAUUCCACCUUAAAGUUGUGAUAUUUUCAUUAUUGGUACAUUUGGCAAAAACACCUGAACAAAUUUAUGACGGAUGCCUUUUGAAAGUCACUAUACCUGUCUAGUCGGCGUUUAUCACAUUUCUUUGACAUAUUGAACUUUGAAACAUGAUAUCAGCUCUAGACAGUGACGAGCCAUGAUCAAUUUCUUUCCUUUAUUCUUUCUUUGGAAGUGCCGUAUUUAGGCUUCCGUUGUUCUUAUAUAUUGCUUUCCCUGCAGUGCCAGAAGAGGAAGAGUCUACUUGCCUCAAGAUGAAUUAGCACAGGCAGGUCUAUCCGAUGAAGAUAUAUUUGCUGGAAGGGUGACCGAUAAAUGGAGAAUCUUUAUGAAGAAACAAAUACAUAGGGCAAGAAAGUUCUUUGAUGAGGCAGAGAAAGGCGUGACAGAAUUGAGCUCAGCUAGUAGAUUCCCUGUAAGCAUUCGUAAACUCUUUAGUUUUAUGAAAUGAUUCUUUUUUCGCGUUAUUAGAUGAAUAUGGUUGCUUGUGUUGAGUAUUUCUAGGUCGAUGAAGUUGAGACAAGGGUUUUUAAGUUUUAACGACUUUUACGGGGUGCCAUGUUAUCUGCUACCUAAUCUUAGGUAGUUGACCGGAAGGGCUAGAAUUUUAACCUCAUGUUCACCCUACCAACCAAGAAAUGAACCUCGCAUAGAGCUCGUAGUUAUGAAUAUUUGCUUUGGCAUGACAUUGUGCGGAUCAUGAAAUGUCUUAGAUUAUAUGGAAAAAUCAUUCUAUUACAUCGAAUAGAUACAUUAGAUCUAAGAAGCACGCCGUGUUGUAAAUGAGAAAUUCUAUAGCUCAGAUCUUUAGUUUUCUCUGAACGACCUACAAACCAACGGAUAACCUUGUAUUGAGCUUGUCGUUCUCAGUAUUUGCACUAACAUUACGUCGUGUGGAUCCUGAAAUGGCUUGGAUUGCUAUUAUUCUGGAUAUGGCAAAACCAUUUUAUUAGUACUAGAUAUCGAAUAACUACAUUUGACCCUACAAGUACCCUGGGUUGGAGUUACAAUAUCCCAUACCUCGUAUCUUUAGUGUUCUCUUAUUUAUCACCUUUGUCUACUAUUCUGGCAAAAUAACCUCACUCGUUACUCGGUGUUUUCCAGGUAUGGGCAUCUUUGGUCUUGUACCGCAAAAUACUAGAUGAGAUUGAAGCCAAUGACUACAACAACUUCACAAAGAGAGCAUAUGUGAGCAAAUCAAAGAAGUUGAUUGCAUUACCUAUUGCAUAUGCAAAAUCUCUUGUGCCUCCUACAAAAACUGCCUCUCUUCAAAGAUAAAGCAUGAAAUGAAGAUAUAUAUAUAUAUAUAUAUAGCAAUAUACAUUAGAAGAAAAAAAGGAAGAAGAAAUGUUGUUGUAUUGAUAUAAAUGUAUAUCAUAAAUAUUAGGUUGUAGUAACAUUCAAUAUAAUUAUCUCUUGUAGUUGUUGUAUCUUCACUUUAUCUCAACUCCUUUGAGAGAACUUUCCGUAGUUAUCUGCUUUGCACUUGGUUACUCAGAAUUUUACUGUGGGCAUGAUAAUUGAUAUACCAAAUUCAGUUUUGAUUCUAUCGAAAAAUUUGUUAUUACAUUUUUUUGGGGGGAAAGGAAUUAUCUCAGAUAUGACGAUUUUACAUUUCAAUUUUCUAAAGUUGUUAUCCAAAUUCGAUUCAAUCCAUACACCAAUAUCCAACAAGAGAGUUAAGAGACACAUUGGUCUAGCCAUCUAUACGCAGAUUAUUGAGUAGUAUUUUUUAACAGUGCAAACAUAAUUCGGUUUUUUUGUCGAUUCGGUUUGUAGAAGGGAAAAAUCACAAUAUUUUAUAGUUGAAUUUGUAAUCUAAAUUCGAGUUGUAUGAUACAAGUUGCUUCGAAUCGAUCUUGAUACAUAUUUCUACCUAUCUUAAUAGUCUUUUCACCUUUUUAAAACUUUAUAUCAACAAAAUUAGACAUAUAAAUUGUAACGCAACAUACUUUAUUAAGUAUUGGUGGUUUGGGCCAAAACAAACAAGAUCAUUUAAGGUAUGAGCAACUCUAUCUUGUAUAUUUAUUUACGGAUUAUGAUUUUAUUUUAAGAAAACUUAAUAAAAAUAUUAUUCAAUUACUUUUUUUUAUAUAUGUAUACACACACCUGGGCAUCAAGGAGGAACGUAACAUACAAUAUUUCAAUGAAAAUACUGGUCGAAUAUUGUUUCAUAUUAUCAUAUUGUAUAAAUAUCAAUAGAAGAUAUAAUAUUAUUCAGAUGUGGUAUCAAGGAUAAAGAAGUAGUGAUUCAAUGAAUAGAUCAAAAGGACAACAGUAAAACAAAUAGUUUGGGCCGUAGGCUCAAUCAAAACAAAUAAAUUAAGUUAAGUUCAAUUUGAAUAAAUACUUUACGUAAUAAAUCUAAUUUAUAUAAGUUUUAAAAAAUAAUCUCAUAAAAUAUUUCGUGAUUAUUAUUCUUAUCCACGAACCCAAAAAAACCCUAACCAAUGGAUGAGUCGAUGGGGGCCAAGUAUGUUUGCUAGUCCACCAACAUAGGACUUACUUCAUUAGGUGUGAAACCGACAUUAAUUUGACCAAAAACUAGGUGGGAAAGUUUUUUUUUUCUUAUUUAUUUAUGGUAAGAAAAAUAAAAGGGAAAGUUACCUUUCACAUCGAAAAUAUGUGCUCUAUAUUUAUUUGAAAUAAUGAUUUUUUUUAAAAAAAAUACAUUUUAUCUAUGGCACUCUAUUUUAUUCAAAAUUGUAUUGAUUCGCUUUUCCUAAAAUUUCAUAAAAAUAGUAAAUGUGUAUAAUAUAUUGGUUCUAUGGAUUUUUGUAAGGGUUUUGUCUGAUUUUCUUGUUUAUUUUUUUAAGAAAGAAAAAUAAAAUAUUAUCAUAAAUGUUUUGAUUUUUUUUAAAAUAAAGUAUUUUUUUAUUUCAUAUUUGAUUUAUUCCUUUCUUAGAGGAAAUAUUUGAAAUUUUAUAAAUUGUAGACCUAUCUUCUCAUGCCAAAAAAUACAAUAAUAACCGUUUAUUAAAGAGUUUUGUUUAUGAGAGAUUAUUCUCCCAAUAUUUUAUGCUAUUUAUAUUAGUUUUCACAUGACGUCAUGAUUACUUUUGUAGCCAACAUGUUGUUCGAUUCGAAAGUGAUUAGGGCGUCACGGGAAAGUUUACCAUUGCAAAGCAUAUGGUUGUUGACAAUAAAAAUAUGUACGAAAAUAUAUUAUUAAUAUGAUUUUGUCAAGAGACUUACAUAAUAUUUAAAAUCAUAAACUCUAUUGGAAGAAUAAUCUCCUCAUAAAUAAAAUUUUGAACGUCUACCCCGUGGAUGCUAUUAUAUAAUUCUAUGAAAAUACAAAAUAUUCCGACUUUUCUCUAUAGAAAAAAUAACCAAAAUGUGAAAGUGAUUUAUUUUUUUCUUUCCGAAAAAAGUAAAAUAAAUUAUAGUAAUGCUUUAACUUUUCUAUAAAGAAAAAAUAAUAAAAAUAUGAAAAGAAAAUCGUGUAAAAUGCUAACAAAGUAUGAUCCAUAAUAUUUGGGUGGUUAAAAUUUAAAGAAUAUUGAGAGCAUAAGUAAAAGUCAAGUCAAAUGGUGAAGAAAAACAAAAAAAAUCCCAAAAAGGUAGUCUUCGAAAUGACUGAAAUGGCUGCUGUCUUUUUUUAAAAAAAAUUUAUCGCGAUAUAUCUAUAUAUAAAGAAAAUAAUGAUGAUAUAACUAUUUUAUCAUACUUUUUACAUUAGAUUUUAAAAAUAAUUUGGCGAAUAAGUAAUUAAUGAAUGAUAAAAUAGCAACUAGCAAAUCAAUAGAACAAGGGUUCGCUCCACCGUAGAUCUACAAAUAAAAUAAGUAGAUCCAUUACCAGUCGACUCCUGAUCGAAAAGACCUAACGAACUAAUUCCUUAUUUAGAAUCAUAGAUGCUAAUGGGGCAGGAAAUAAAUAUAAAAAAUAAUAUUAAUUAUAUCUUCUUGAUAUGUUAAAAAUAACAAAUAAAACUAAAAAUCUAUGUUUAAAUAAUGAAUAGGUAAAAUUGAAUACAAAAAUAUUAAUUAAAAUUUAUAUAUAGUAUCAAAUAAAUCGAAAAAAAGCAUAACUUUCAAAAAUUCUAUAUCGAAUCAAAGCGUAAAUAAUAGUGGAUGAAAUGUAGAAUUUCGUGAAAAACUAUAUUUUAUAUUCGACGAUAAAAUUACUUUAAUGUAUAUAUAGAGUAUAUAUUAAAUUCCUUUAACUUCUUCAUAUUUUAAAUUUUGUUAAUGAAAAUUUUGACUAUGCUAUCAUACGUGGAUCGAAAUAUAGGCACAAGCACACUUCUCACAUUAUACACGUAUAUAUGGUCAUCGAUUUGUUCUAAUUUAAUUUGGUAUAAGCUGAAAAAUUUACAACAAUUUUUUCUCCCUUCUUAGAAAAGUUUUAGUAAUGCAUUUUAUCAAAAAUAAAUUAGCAUGUGAUUGUGAUAAAUAUUAUUUCAACGUGUUUUACGUUACUUGAACAUGCUUUUUUCUCAAUUUAUAUAAAAAAGAAAGACCGUUGAAAGAAAAAAAAAAUUAGUUUUUGGGGAUUUCUAAUUUGGUCAAAAAGAAAAACGUGAAAUAUGAAAAUUUAUCGGCUUGAGUUAUAGUAAAUUAACUUCCAAUAUAUAUAUAUAUAUAUAUAUAUAUAUAUAUAUAUAUAUAUAUAUAUAUAUGGCUUAACUACCAAAUGAAGAAAAAAAAAUUUAUGUUCUUCGAGAAAAUGUUUGGAUGUUGAUAAUACAGACGUAUAAGAAAAGAUUUUGACUCUAGGUAUGCUUGUAAAAAAGAAUUAUUCGAUUAUCGAUUUGAUUUUGAUAUUUAAUGUUAGACUACUAGGUAGAUCGAUAAUUGAUUAAAUUGAUAGUAGUGUACUACUUUAUCCCUAUAUAAAUCUUAAAUAUUAACUUCAGAACUUUACCAGUUACUAUCAUUUUUUUUACGGUUCAAUUCAUACUUUAUAAUAAUUUUGAAUUCACAAUUUUAUACCAUACAACAUGUCAAAAUCAAAAGUAAGAGCAUCAUUCCUCUUAAGUUUUCUUUGUCUUGUACUUUAUAGUGUUUUCAUCCUAGUUGUCAUUGUUUUCAUUUGACGAGCGAUCUGUAGAGUUACAUUAUUGUCUUAUCGCGUCAAAUUAUUGGAGAAGUCAUAUAUUUGAAUUAUAAGUAUUUUCUUAUUGAUUAAACCGAAAACGAAUUAAAAGUCAAAUUCAAUAAAUCAAAAAUCGAUAAAGUGUUUUAUUAAUUUAACAUAUUUAAAAAUAAAAAAUCGAUAAAUCAUAUUAAUAAUAUACAAAACCGAGCCGAAAUGACCUACAUACGCCCUAUGUUUGAAUAUUUAUGUACACAAACAAAUAAAAAAUUUUACGAUAAAUUAUUAGCAACAUCGCUAUAUUAUAUUUAGCAGCAAAUAAACAUAAAUAUUUAUAACCAACACUUCAUAUAAAUAAUAUUAAAUUUUCUUUCCAAUAAAAUUCAAUUAUAUUAACUCAAUUACCGCUAAAAAUUUAAAUUUAAUUCAGCGAGGGAGAGUUUGGUUAGGGCAGCCCAGGAUGAAGUGGUAAGGUCAAAGCAGCCAAAAGUUAUUAAUAAUUAAUAAUUAAUAAUUCAAUUAAUUAUUACUCUCCAUUUUCAAGGGUCAGUGGUCUUAUUAGUUGGAAUUGAACUGUGAAAUAUGGUGGAAUUUACUAUUAUUAUUUCUUCCGUUUUAUUUUACAUGACACAUUAUUAUGAGAAUCAAUUAAAUUCUUUUUAUUACUCUUUUUAUAUAUAUCAUUUACCUAUUUAAAAUUGUUAACUAUUAUAAUUUACCAUCAAAAUUUAAAAAUUUAUAUCUCAAAAUUUAAUUAUGCCAUGUAAAUUACGACAUGACUAUACAUAGUCAUUGCAACUUCACUAUGAUUUCCACCUAAACAACCAUUUAGGGACCCAUAAUGGGCCACAUUAGUCUUGACUCCACACUUAGUUUUUUCACUAUAAAUUUUCCAUCUUAGUUUGCAUCUUUUGCAUACAAAUUCUAAGUUACCUCACUAUAUUUUCCUCUCCAACAAAUUUUAAUACCUUAUACUUCUUUUUAAAAAAAACACAACUUUUUACUUUAAUAAUCCUAUGGAUAAUUUACCAAAAUGUGGAGCAAAUUAUGUGUCUUUAACUCCUCUUACCUUCUUAACAAGAGCCUCAAAAUGUUAUGCCAAUAGGACCUCUAUCAUCUAUGGCAAUGUACGUUUCACAUGGAGCCAAACCUACGAGCGUUGUUGUCGCGUUGCUUCCUCUCUUCGAUCCCUUAACAUUGUCAAGAACGACGUUGUAAGUACAAAAUAUCAAUCAGUUAUAAUUUAAACGCGAUGAAUUUAUGUUAUGUAUAUGUUAAAUGUGUAAAAGACCAAACACUAUAUCGAUAUGUAGUUUAACAAUAUGUUAUGUCACAUUAGUUAGUUACAAAUACUUGUUAUAGAGAUUUACUUGUAAUAUAAAAAAAUGUCAUUCUUUUUACCGUAGACUAAUUAUAAAAAAAAUAUCAUGUUAGCUAAGAGCUAUUAUAUUUGACGAUAGAUUAACGACGUGUCUUUUUUGUAGGUUUCAGUGUUGGCACCAAAUGUUCCAGCAAUAUAUGAGAUGCAUUUUGCUGUGCCAAUGGCAGGGGCUGUAUUGAAUACAAUAAAUACAAGGCUAGAUGCUAAGAAUAUUGCAAUUAUUCUUAAACACUCUGAAGCCAAAGUAUUUUUUGUUGAUUAUGAGUACCUUGAAAUUGCUAAAAAGUCCCUUGAACUACUAUCAACAUCCAAAAUGACAAGAAUACCCCUCGUCGUUGUCAUCGAUGACAUCGACUCCCCUACCGGAAUCCAACUAGGUGAGCUCGAGUACGAGCAACUCGUACACCAAGGAAAUCCUAGUUACGUCCCCGAAGAAAUCACCGAUGAAUGGGAUCCUAUCAGCUUGAAUUAUACAUCAGGUAAUGUUGAAAACGUCUGAUCAUCUCAUCUAAGAAAUUUAAUUUAUUUAUAAAAUUGGUAAACCCCCCUCUAAUCUCAAUUUAUUAGCCUAUCCUAAAAAGAAUGACAACUUUUAUAUUUCAUAGAAUUUAGCUUAAAAUAUCCUAUUUUACCCUUAAUGAUUUAUGACCACAAAUAUAACUAACAUAAGUUUCAAAAGUGGUUCUUUUAUCCUUGGGGAAUACCGAAUACCAUCACAUGAGUUGAGACGAAAAGAAUAUAUAUUUUUAUUUAUUUAAUUAUGUUUUCAACAGGUACAACUUCGGAGCCUAAGGGGGUUGUGUAUAGUCAUAGAGGGGCAUUUUUGAGUACUUUGAGCCUAUUAUUAGGUUGGGAAAUGGGUACUGAGCCAGUGUACUUAUGGUCUUUACCAAUGUUUCAUUGCAAUGGAUGGACAUUCACAUGGGGUGUAGCAGCACGUGGUGGUACAAAUAUUUGUAUUAGAAACACAACUGCCAAAGAAAUGUACACAAACAUUGUGUUACAUAAUGUUACACACAUGUGUUGUGCACCUAUUGUUUUCAACAUCUUACUUGAAGCCAACUCACAUGAGUACUCCAAACCCUUAACCACACGUGUCCAAAUCCUCACGGGCGGCGCACCGCCGGCCGCACCUCUUCUUGAGAAAAUCGAGAAGCUCGGAUUCCACGUGGUCCAUGCUUACGGGCUCACAGAGGCAACCGGCCCGGCCCUCUUGUGCGAAUGGCAAGAUAAAUGGAACGAAUUACCUAGUGAAAAUCAAGCUAAGUUGAAAUCGAGACAAGGGGUUAGUAUACUAACCCUAGCCGAUGUCGACGUGAAAAAUAUCGAUAACAUGGUUAGCAUGCCACGUGACGGAAAAUCAAUCGGAGAAGUGUGCUUGCGUGGGAGCAGUAUUAUGAAAGGGUAUUAUAAGAACGAUAAAGCGAAUUACGAGGUCUUUAAAGAUGGUUGGUUUUUUACCGGUGAUGUUGGUGUAAUUCACCAAGAUGGAUAUUUGGAAAUUAAAGAUAGGAGUAAAGAUGUUAUAAUUUCUGGUGGAGAAAAUAUUAGUAGUAUUGAAGUUGAAAAUGUUAUAAUGAAACAUAAAAAUGUUGUAGAGGCAUCUGUUGUGGCUAUGCCACAUCCAAAAUGGGGUGAAAGUCCAUGUGCAUUUGUGAUUUUGACUAAAAACUCACAAAUUAAAGAAAUGGAUAUUAUUGGACAUUGUAGAUUAAAUUUACCAGGAUUUAUGGUACCAAAAAAGGUGAAAUUUGUUGAAGAAUUACCCAAGACUGGAACAGGAAAAGUGCAAAAAAAUCAUUUGAGAACAAUUGCUAAAACAUUUGUUGUUGUCACAGAGAAGUCAAAUCAUCAAAAAAGCAAAAAUAUUACAAGUCAAGUCAACAAAGAAAAGCCAAGAUAUUAUGAGCAAAUUCUUGCUUUGUCUCGUUUAUAAGAGCAACAACACAUUUAAUGUAAUUUCACAAAAUGAAAACUAAAGAGGAUCUCUAUCUUAAAGAUAGAUGAGAUAUUUCCGAACCGUAAGGGUUUAUUAUUAUAAAAAUCAAGUGUUUAAAUAGUAUUGUUGUACUUUUUUUUUGCUGCUGUGUUUUUUUUUUGUGUGUGUGUGUUUUACCAAAAAGUAAUUAAUUAAUCAUGUAACUUUUGGGGACAUCUUUAAUUGGAAUACUAGUGAUGAUUGUCUUGCUUACAUUAUCAAAUAUAUAUUUCAAUAAUUUUUUCAAUCUAAAUUUAUGUGACAAUUUAUACUUUUCGAUUAUUAAGAUUGAAAUCAGCCUAUGUUUAAUUAAUAUAAAAAGAGUAAAGAAUUAUUCAAUUCUAUUUUUGUAUUCCAAAAAUUACUAAACUUUCUUUAAAAGUGGGAUAACUUUUAACAAAAAUUAUAUAUUAUUAUAAGUGGGAAGCUCUAAAAGUGAAAACUUGAAUUACCAUUUUGACCUUAUACUAAAUUGAAAUUUGAUUAGUUAAUUUAAAUAUUAAAUUGUCUCAUUUUAAUAAUAAAAAUAUUAAUAACUUUUGCACUUCCUUAGAUUAAUUUCUAAUUAAAAUAUCUAAUUUAAUAAUACUUAUCAUUUAUUAUAUAUAUGUAUAUUUAAUUUAAUCUCCAUCAUAUCAUAUAAUCAUAAUAAUAAUAAAAAAUAAUAAUAAUAUACUAAACGUGGAAGGAAUAUUAGGCAAAAAUUAGAUUACAUUUUGUCCCUAUAUCAUAUAUAAAUAUUAAUCGUCUAAUAAAUUGCUAACUGAAUAUUAAAUAGUAAAUUUUAAUUACUACAAGGGAGGAUUACACAUUAAGCAAUAUCAAAUUUAUCAAAUUCUUCCGGUUACAAUUUAUUUAUGUUGAUGGUUAAUUAAUAUUAAAUUGUUAGAAACAAUUAUUAUCAAGAAGACAAAAAGACUUCUAAUGAUAUUGUUCAAUGAAUUAAAGGUAAAGACUAAAGGUUACAAAAUUAAUUAGGAAACUCAUAGGUCUCUUUUAUUUUUUUCCUUUCAUCUCCCUUCACCUAAAAUUUUCCUAUUUAAAGUCACCUAGAAAUGAAAAUUAACUUAUAAAUCUCAUCUGAUCUUCUGACUAAAGUAUGUUAAUAUGUCAAUUCUCUCUUAUAAAUUAAGAUCCAUUUUUUCAUUUUUGAUAUAUCAUCUCUUUUUUCCUUUUUAAUUUCCUUUCUGAUCAUAGUCAUAUACUGAUGAAGAAAAGUUGUCAUCAAUUGUUAAGGGCAAUAACAUUAUUGUUGUAUUCGGAUCGAAGAUAUUAUGAUUAAUUGAUUGAUUAAUUAUAAAGAAUGUUUAAAAGAAAAUAAUAUUUCUUUAUCACGUUAUAUGAAUUAUAACAAAAUAAUGAAUGUUUGUACUAUAUUAUGUAAAGUGAUUAUAGCUAUGACCAUUUGUAAGUUAUUUUCAUAAUUGUUUUAAAUGUUCUUUUAUAAUGUUUCUCUUCUUAUUCAUUUUAAGUUAAAUAUGUUCUCUAUUUAUAUAAAGAAGUUUAUGUUUAAAUAAUUAAAUAGAUGUUACUUAUUUAGACUUUAUAUAAUUAUUGGUGUAGAACAUGUACAAUACUAUAUUUCUUAUUUCCAAAUCAAAUUUAAAAUUGUCUCAAUGAUAUAUUAGAUAUUUUAUUAUAUGUCAAAUUAUUUGUGUUUUAAAUAGAUAAUUUGAAAUAUUUGACAAAUAUGUUGACUGAAUAUGCAUGCAUUUAUAAUUACUUCAUUAUCUCAUAAAUUAGUAUCUGUUUCAUGUACUUCUUAUCCCCCCUCUUUUCUUACUUUUAAAUACUCAUUUACAAUUCAAUAUAUGUAUCGAUUCGAAAGAUUUACUAACAUUAGCUUAUGAAUUACAUGAUGUUUACUUUUUUAUGUAUAUUUUAUUUUUGUAAGUUAUGACAUAUAGCAAAUCCAACAAUAUAUGUACUAUUUACAAAUUAUUGAUUGUAGUAUAAAAUUUAUAUUAAAUAGUUUAAAAUAAACGUGCAACGCACGUUCUGAAGACUAGAAUGAAGAAAAAGCGAUGGUCCAAUUUAGACAAGUCCAUCUGGCAUUUGAUGGGCUUGGGCAGCACCGGUCCGUAAUCCUUCCACUGCAAAGAGCGGGAGGUAAUCGUUGCUCUGUGAAGCCAGCCUGAUGCAGUCCCCUCCACUCUAGAAUCCAUGAAACCUAGGCCUUCGCCUAGGUCACAUGGGCCAACUCCUCGCUUGGAGAGGGCGGUCCAAUAUAAUAUUGGCCUAAACCCUACCAUUUGGACUAAUCCAAUGUUCCAUCACUUUAAAGCCCCCACUCAGGUUAUAAGUUCACGUUACUGAACUCGGCAUGCAAUCCUUAAACUCUCAACUUAAUAAAUUGCAUAUAUUUCUUUUCUUCAAGCGAUGUGGGAAUUAAUUAGAAUGAUUUUAUUAGUUCCUCAUAAUUAAAAUGACUUUACAACAAACAUUAUCUAAAAUUGAUCCGUGUAGGAUGUUUAAUUUUCUCUUUCUUAUUUAUAUGAUCUAAUUAAUUUUUGAAAUCACUAAAUUUUUUUUUAAAAAUAAAUUUAAUCAAAUUAUGAUUUUUCGUUAUUGGUUAAUCUCAUGUCUGAAGUUAGCUGACUUUCAAAUACGAAUAAGUAAUUUCAUUCCUGAUCUAUAAUUAUGUGAAAUCUUAUUUAAAAUAUGUAUAAAUUACAUGUCCAUGCUAUUGGUACAAUAUUAAAGACAUCAAAUACUGAUCACGUAUCCUUAUUUAAUUGAUACUUCUCCAAUCAAUACAUGUCCACCGUUAUGAACUUCAUGAUAUUGAAUCCAAGGUAAACAUAAAUAGCCAUCCACUCAACUGCUUAAACUUAAAAUAGUUGUUUAAGGUAUACGAUUCACGUAUAAUAUGUGUAUAACCUGUAUAUUGACUAAGAAAAUUAAACAAUUAAUCCGGCCAAAAUUUUGUAUAAUGAUCCAUAAAAUAUAUAAAAAGCAUGAGGUAUUGAGAUAUUUUUAAGCGAAUACAAGAUUAUACAUGAAUUUAGGUCACAAACUAAAUGACAAUUUGAGGCAUAUAGGAAUAAGCAUAUACAAAACAUUAAACACUAUAUAUAUAAAUACUACAAGAUCAAAAUCAUAAUAAACAAAAUAGUGGAAUACAUCGACAACCCCUUUAAAUUUGACACUAAACAAAGGUAGAUAUAGGAUUUUGAUAAAUUAUACAUACAUAUCAAGUAAAAAGAAGAAAAAAAACCAUCUUGGUGUAUUAAGCUCUUGCUAUAUGCAGAUUUUUGGAAAUGGAACGCAUCACAAAGGUCUAAUAUACACAACCUUACUCUGCAUUUCUGCAACAAGUUGUUUCCAUGAUUUAAUACCCCAACAUUCUGAGAUAUGAUAACAACUUUAUCAAUGACGCCAAGGCUCCCCUUCUAUACACUUAUUAAGUGGACCUCUUAAAUAUAAUUACGGGAUUCAAACCAAAUACAAGAUUCGUACAAAAAUUAAUGGUCAAGUACACUUCUCAACUAUUAGUUUUUCUCUUUUCCUAUCUGAACUAUCACUAAUCACCAUCUAUGUAUUAAAACAUACCUCAAAACUAACUAGGUCAACUAUCAGUUGUUAUCUUUCCUUAUCUGAACUAUAACCAUCUACUCAACAUCUUUAUGUUUUAAUUUUAAUACAUAGAUACUAACAGUUGAUCUAUGAAACUAUUAGUAUCUAUGUAAUAAAUUAUAAGUAUUUAAUUAUGAAUCUAGUUAUUAUUAAUAUAUUAGUCCAAUUGAUCAGUAAAAAUUUAUAAAUUUUAAAAUCUAAAUCUCACCGAGCAAAUUAAAGACCAAUAAAUAGUGGAUCUUGCCUUUGGGAAAUGUGCUUGAUGCAACUCCAAUUUUGGUAAGAUCCCAUGGAGUUACUAAUAAUAUAGAAUUUUGAUUGUAAUUGUAAGUGAUCAGCCAAUUCUUCAAUAUCACAUGCUUCACUCCUUUGGGUUCUUUUAUGGUUUGGGUCACUUUCCCCAUAUCCAGCUCUAUCAUAUUGAACUAAAUAUAUCCCCAUUAUUUUCAACAUUUCCUAAUCACAAUUUCAACAAACAAAUUAAAACAUUCUUAAAAUCCAUUAUAAUAUAAAAUGAGGGAAUACAAAUACAUAAACUUAUCAAACAUAAUUUUAUAUUAUACUAAGGUCCUAUUACUCCCUAAACUUAUUUUAUAAGUAAUUUUCUACCCCGUUUUGGCCUACGUGACACUAGCUUGAAAAAAUAAAGUCAACCAAGGUUGGUCCCGCAAGAUAGUGCCACGUAGGCCUAAAAAAGGUAGAAAAUUAUUAAUAAAAUAAGUUCAGAAGGUAAUAGGACCUUUGUAUAGUAUAAGCGUGUCUCUAAAAUUCGAACAUAAAUACUUGUGCAUUAUCCCAUAUAACUAAGAUGGAGGACUUAGUAUAAAUACUUGAACUAAAUAUAUCCCCAUUUUUUUCAACAUUUCCUGUUCACAAUUUCAACGAACAAAUUAAAACAUUCUUAAAAUCCAUUAUAAUAUAAAACCUUUAACGUUUUUAAUAGUAAGCUCGUAUAUUUUUAACGUUAUUGAGUUUAGAUGUACUCGAUAAAAUAAAGUCAUAUCCCCUUCCCCCGGUUCCAACGUGCAUACUAAUUAUUGUAAUGUUAGUGAAUUUGUACACAUGUUUAUACUCCACGUCGAAAGAUUAAAAUGAACCUGAUGUUAUAAGGCUGUUGUCAAAAAAAUAUUUUUCGCUCUGCGCACUACACGCUAUAAAGUAUAGUAUGGAGGAGAUAUAGCAACCUGGGGUGCAAGAAAAUCAAUAUCUUUGGAGCCAUGAACAAAGAUUAUUCUAUAAUUGGAUUUCUCCUUAGUAACACCUCUCUCUUUGUCUCAAUUUUUAACAUAUAAUAUUAAAUUAAUCCCCUUGUCCUAAUUGAGUAAAGUAGUUCAUUUUCUGAUACAGAAAAACAUUUUGUUUACAUAAGAUCGACUACUUUCGUUGACUUCUUCAUAGAUUAAUGGCUUAAUAAUGUGAAAAAUGCAUAACUAUCUCCUCAAUUGAAAAAAUUAAAUUAAAGAAUUACCAAAACAUGUUCAAUGAAUUUCUUAAUGAAAAUACAUAAUAAGCUGGACUAAAGUUACUACUUCAGAUGAAUCUGUAAAAUAUACACUUUGAAAGAAAUUAGCAGCAUUGGACAGACAUUAAUUGUGUAACAGUAAAAGACUUCCAAGGAAAUAAUCCAAACAAACAAACAUACUUCUCAUUGAAAUCAACAAUGGCAGCCUGAUGCUACAACUUCAUUCAUAUCAUUACAGAAAUUCAAUCGAAUGACGAUGAAUCAGAGCACAUUACUUGUUAAGCAAGGGGAAAAAAGGGAAACUAAACAACGUUCAAGAUGAAUCGGAGCACAUUACCUGUUAAGCAGAGGGGAAAAAAAGGGAAACUAAACCUAGUUAUGAUUUUGUUGGAAGAUGAUCGAUCACAUCCUGGAAAUCUUGAGAGGAACAAUGGAUUUGAGAAUUUCUUCCCUGGAGGAAACAAGUUGAACACUUCCAAGUCUCUUAAUGAGAUGCUGGCAGCAAUCUUCAGCAGCUAUGAUUCCAGCUGAAUAUGCACCGUGCACAGACCCUUGAUGGUCAUCCAUACACACAGCUUCGCCACCAAAGAAUAGAUUACCUAAAGGUGCUCGAAGCUUAUCAUAUAUAUCUGUUGGCUUUCCAACCAGAUCAUAUGAAUAGCAUCCUAGGGAAUCCGGAUCUGUUCCCCAGCGUGAUACGAGAUACUGAACCUGCAAAUAGUAUCAACAUAUAUAGCUAUCAGCUCAAUGGUUAUUACACAUGCUUUCCUUAUUUCACUUCCAAAUAAUCUAUUAGUUACUAACAAUAUAUGUUGAUCAGACUCUUUAAAGAUGUCGUAGUGCAUUUGUGGCGAAUCCGACAUGUGUGUUGCGACACAUUGGGUGAGUCCAAGCAGCAUAGUUAAAUAAUGCAUGCAUCAGUAAUAACUGUAAUAGAAUUAUGUAGGACCAGGUAUUACUCACAGGUUCAGGUGCAUCAGGAAACAUUUUUUUCAGCUGACGCAUAACAAAAUUAGCCGCCUCUUUGUCUGAUAAUUUCUCUACGUCAUAAGCAAGUCUUCCGGCAGCCAUAUAGACAAGGACUUGAUGCCCUGUUGCCUUGUGGAGGUUAAGAAAAUACCCACAAGCAUAAGAGGUAGGUGCAACAAUGCCUAACAAUUCAACGUUUGGCCAAAAUACAGUAUCAAAUCGUAAUGCAAUCUUGUUUUCGUUGCCCACACCAAGAUCUGCUAUUGCAGAAAGCUUCCAAUCUGGCAAUUCGGGUUUGAACUCAAUUAAGUUGGCUUUGAGGACCCCAAUAGGUACAGUUAUUAUAGCAGCAUCCGCAACAAAAUUCCUCCCAUCCUCAAGUGUAACCAUCACUUUGUUAUACCCAUCCGUAAUCGCCUUCACUCUAGUAAUUCAGAUCGAUGGAAAAUUAGAAUUGCAGACAAGCAUGGAGGCUAAAGUAUAGGUAAAUCAAGAUAAGAAAUUACUUGGAAAAAAUUCAACUCUGAUGCAGACAGGUAAUCCAUCAUAGAUUAUGAAGUGAUUGAAAUGAAGGUAAAAUACAAAUAAGAAAGCAUUAUUUCCAGCAGAUGAAACCCUUCUGGGGCAUUUUCUCCCAUUAUUUCAGUGGCCUGCCCUUUUUCAGGCAUGGGGAUUAGGAGAGAGGAGAGAUGUCUAUGCCUGGAAGUGGUGUGACUUAAAAAGAAAAUGGAAUCACUGUGGAGGAAAUGAAUUGCAUUUUGUUUCUUAACUUUCCUAUAGAAAAUCUUGUGACAAGAAGAUUCAAUCGAAGUCCACAAGUUGGUCCGUCUAUCGUAAGUGCAGCAUUAGUUUUCAGAUCCUAAAGUGAAAAAGCCAACAGCGUAACAAGCUAAAGAAACAACAAACAAGAUGUCAAACUUCACAUUUCACAGAAAACCCCAAACAUACCUGUGAUUCAAACGAAUAUCAAUAUCUUUUGACAAUGCCUCAAUCACCGGGUGAUAACCCUGCACCAUUAGUCCAUGGCCACCCGUAAGAACUUGCUCCUGCACACAAAGUAAACAACAUUAAUAUUACAUAUUUAGGAAACUACUCAUUAAACAUAUCCUAAUGGCGAUAAUUUAAAGCAUCUAAUGUAAAAUGGAACGCCAAAAUUUCCUAUCUGGAAGUAUGUAGAUAUCUGAAAAUGAUAGCUAUAAUAACACGAAUUGUGCCUUUAACUUCUGACAUACUUGAUAGUUUUCUUACUUAUAGCAUUACUGAACCAGGCAGUUAGAGCCUUGCCAUUCGGAUGAGGAAUAUUGUCUUUGGGGAUUGGGAAUAGUAAUAAAAUCUUUUAAAUGCACAUACUUUUUAAAGAGAUGCACAUAAAAUUACUCUUUUAGAAAAAACUUAGAAUAACAAGUAAAAGAACUUGCCUGAUCCCAAGUUUUCAAGGAGAUCGUGUCUGCAUCGGCAGAAAACCAUGCCUCCAUUCUGCAUAUGUACCACUGCAGUACUUCAUGAGAGACUCCUUCUUGCCUGCCGCAACAUGUAAGAUCAGUGGAUGUAACUAGAUUACACAUUUAAAAGAAACAAACAUAAGUUGGUUAUAAGAGAAGAACUUUUUCGCAUACCUCAGCUCAGGAUGCCUGUCCAGUACAAUAGAUAUUGCUUGAAGAACCGAUAUGUCAUUACUAUUCUCAUUUCUCACUUUCUCAGUCUGCAUUUGCCAAUACACAUAAUUAUUCACUUGCGUCUUUAUAAAACCUCAAAAGGUAUGGCACUUGGUGUUAAAUAAAUACAGAGCAAAGCCAACCUCAUCGAGGAUUUUCUUGAAUACAUCUCCUACUUCAGCAACUAUUUUAUGAGGAACUUGAUGGCCAUCCAUGUCAAACAGCAUGCAGCUUUAAAAAGAAAGAAAACAUAAGCAAGAUCCUGAAUGAUGAAAUAACAUCUCUAGUUAAUUUACACAAAACAAAAAGAAUAUGAGCUAAAAUCUAGCAGAUACAGCAUGCUUCAAUAUGAGCGCACUGAGAAAACAAAAAGAACAGAGGCAACAAUUCUUGACGAACUAUAAGUGUGCUUUAUUUUUCAUUAUGAAUCAGAUUACAAUACACUGCAAGAUACUUUCCUGCAGAAAAACUACUGAGACAACUUAAGAACAAGCUAGCAGAUUUUUGCCCCGAAUUUUCGGUGGCUACAUCAGAAUGGAAACAGACCAUGACUUAGAAAUCUGAAACCAAAAAUCUGAAGUGUAACUAAGAUAGCCACCCCCUCCAUUUAGACAGAUAGAGAGCGAGACAGGGUGUUUUAACAAAAGGAAGCAUGUCCAGUAAACAUGAUAAAAUCAUUUUGAAAUUAAAUGUGAAAAACCCAAUUUACCUUUCCAAAUCAUGGUCAUACAGAACUGAGUCAUCACCACUAGUUCGAUACAGUGUGAGCCCCAGCCGACGUAUCAAUGGAGCUAAAGGAUUUUCAUUGCACACUCCAUGGAGCCUGAGAUGCAAUUUGAAGAACAUGAAUAAGCAUCCAGUUCUGGAUGAAUUAGAAAGGAAAAGGUUAGUGUUACUCACCAUGAAGCUCCCAUAUCAACUGGACAACCAAACGAGUUGUCAGUGUGUAUGCGACCACCAAGUCUAUCUCGUGACUCCAGUAAGAGCACCUGGAUAAAAAUAGACCAGCUUAUUAGCAAGAAAAAAAUAGCAUAAAAGUCACUACAUGUGAAAGGGGUUUAAAGUCAUGAGUGACCUCACCUUGAAAUAAGCAUUGUGAAGGAAACAUGCAGCAGCUACCCCUGAGAUACCUCCACCAAUUACAAUGACCGACGGAGAUGAACCAUGUCGCCUCCCUAAGCAAGGUAGUAAAGUGCCUAGUUAACCAAUAGUUUCAUGGCCAUAAUAUAUAUGUGUGUGUGUGUGUGAAUAACAUAUUUCUGUUAUUUCCAAGAAUUCAUAGAUGCAAUAUGUUUCCAAUAAAGCAUGUCAAAACCAAUGGCACAACUUGUAAACAAAUAAUUCGUAGAACAGGUGCUAAGCUUAUAACAUUUUUUUGAUAUCAGACAAAGUCCCCUGUUUGGUUAACUGGUCAACCAUAGUUGGGUAUAAGUUGAAACUCAGAAUAUAAACACACCAUUCUACUCCUCUCCCCUUAAACACCAAGAUUUUUUCAUCGUCAGGGCUCACACUACUAAUGUUUGCCUUCCACAUUACCUAUGUUCUAGGGGUAUCGAAAGCUUAUAAUAUAAGAGAGUAUUGUUCCUAAAAAGACAAAUCACUUGAUUCCCCUCAAUUAUUCAUAUUAUUAAAUGAUAUGAGCACGUAAAUGAACUAUGAAAGGAUCCUUCGCUUAUUCAAUCCACAUUUUGCCCAAUCAUAAAAAUCAUAGCUCUGAGUUAAACAAAUAUAAGCCCACACACAUAACCCAAGCUAACAACCUUACCGCUUUUCAUCUAUUAUUUCAGUAAAAUCAUAGCAAUCCCAGUAAUCAGUCACAGUUAAACGGAUAGAGUAAUUUCCCAAAACACAAACACAUUACUCCAUCCAUCCCAAUUUAUGUAGCACUUAACAAUUUUGACUCAUCUUUGAAACUAAAUUGGACUAAUAAGUAACAAUUCUUUUCAUGGACAGAUGCAGACCCAAGAUUCGAAAACAACAAGAUCACCACCAAAGGCAAAUGCACGUUAGAAAAAGGAACCAUCUCGUUGAUAUUCUAAUGUCUAAAUAUAAAUUAAAUCAUCUAGUUGAAUGAAGCUCGCAUUGUCAACCAUUUGUUUCAACACCACUUUACAAUCACAAGUUUGAUCUGCACCAUAUUUGCAUAUAAAUCAUAAACACUUUACUCAAGGUUGAUAACACAUUAUACAUAACAAGGAUGUAUUUCCAUAAUAAUCAAGAGAAAAGUACAUGAACAAGAAUUCGAUACAAUUAACAAACUAACCAGAAUCAUUCCCUUUGAGCUCCAUGAUUCAACAAUGGUUCGUAAGAAAUCAAUCAAGAAUAGAAAAGGGUGUGUGGAGAAUGUUGUUAAGGGUGUAUAGGAAGCAAGAAAUUGGAAAGAAUGAUAAAGCAUGAAGAGAAGAAGGCCAGCAAUGAUGCGGCUUAAAUUGUAACAACACUGUAACUGAUCAAAUCCACUCAUAAUCAUAAAAUCCUCUAAUAAACAAAUCGUUCGAUCACAAAUUUCGUUUUUUCUUUUCUUUGAGGCAAUUCGUCGAACAGUUGUUAGGCAACGGCAAAUGAGUGUUUUCAUAUAUAAUGAAUGAAGAAUAAUAACAGUUUUAACAAGAAGCUAAAGCCAACCGUUUUUUCAUGAUAUUGUGUUUGGUCAGGGUUAUUUUUGUCAUUUUUUUUUAUUUUUGGUGGUACCAUCUCAUAUUUUAUAUUCUCCAAUUCAUAUUAGUUGUUCAUUAUUUUUAGGUAAAAUAUAUAAACGUGUAACUUUGAUAUUUAUGUCAUUCAACUUUCGACGUGUACAAACCGAGAAAAGGAUUAAAAUAGUCCAUCUUCUUUAGGUUAAAGCUUAAAGUGAUCCUUCAGUUUUCAAAUGGAGUACAAAUAGUCUCUUAUGUUUGCAAUAUUAGCAUUGAUUUUAUUCAUAACCUAUGUAUGGGGUGUGCAAUCGUCAUUUUUUAUAUUAGUAGAAAUAAAAACUUCAUAUGAAAGAAUGUUAAGAAGAAAAAGACUUUGUUUUGUUUAGUAGAAAUCGUAUUGCAGGUAAAGUCGAGAGGUUCAUUACGAUAAUUUCACGUGCAAUAGUACAAUUUUUUCUUUUCCUGCAAAGUCAUAUGUUAAGAUGUUCUUAAUUUAGCUGCAGUAAUAUUUCUAGUAAAUAGAACAAAGUAUUUUUCUUAUCACCUUUUCCCAAACAGAGUUUUUUUAUUUCUACUAAAUAUAUAAAAAGACGAUUGAACCUUCCUUAUAUAAAAUUCUGGACAAAAUUAACGUUAAAAAAUAGGCAAAAUUUUAAGUUAGGACCAAAAGUGCACCAAAAAUACAAACAUGAGGAAUUAUUAGAACUCCAUGUGAAAACUUAGGAAUCACUUUGAGUCUUAACGUAAAGAUGAGAGACUAUUUUGAGUCUUUUCUCUGUACAAACCUAUAUAAAGUUGGAUAAGUAGAAACAUAAAUCCUACGUAGUAUCACACAAGACAGUUCACGUCUUAUAUGAUAUUAUAUGUGUAUUAGAUCACUAAAAUAGGAAAAUCUACUUAUUUAAUUUUAUAUAAAUUUAAAUUUCUGAUCCAAAAUUCAUUAUGUUGUGUUUCAUUGUUAUUAUAAAUAGUUACUAAAGUUUAUUUUUAAAAAUCACAAAAAAAUGUCAUAAUGCUUACAACUAAUUGUCAUAUAAGUUGGUUCACCUAAAUAGAGUAGCAUCAAAUAUUCAAAAAUACAUUUCUUCUUUUUUUUAGUCAUGGCGCAAGUAUUGAUGAUAUCCUAAACUAACAACCUCACAAUUUCCACUAAAUGCACUUUGCGUGUACGUGUAAAUCGAGAUAUUUUAGAUUUUUGAAAUUUAUUAUUAAUAAUUAUAAAUUAUUUAAUUGAUAAAUUGUUAUUAUAUUAUUUAAUUAGAGUUGUUUACUUACGUACUUAUAAUUUUAUUAGUAUAUAUUUAUGCUCAAAUUUAUGAAAUUUUUCAUGUUUCAGAUUUAUUUAUGAAUUAUGAUCAAUGGAGUUCGAUAUGCAAAAUUAUUUAUUAUAUUUUUUUAAUAGAAAGUGAAAAGAAGCUUAAAGGAAAAGUUGGACUCAAAAGGAAACGAAGAGAAAGUGUGUUUAGCACUACUUUUAAAUCCUAGUAUUUUGCUAGAAUCGUGGCUCAUAUCAUAUUUUUUCUUAAAUAAGAAUAAAAUAAAUAUUUAAAGCACAAGUUAAUUAUAUAUUCAUAUGAUAAAAAGUUAAAAACUAUAUUAAAAACUUUGUGAAAACAAAAUUGCAAAAUUGCAAAAUCCAUUUUUUAUUAUUUGAUAUGAUUUUGAAAUUUAAGAAUUCGACACAAAUAGAAGUAGAAAUUAAGUUUUAUACUUAAAAUAGGCAAUAAUACAUGUAUUGAACUCUAAACUUGACUUCAAAUUUUAACUUCGACCUCCAACAUUCAUAAUGCACAAACAGACAUUUUAACUAUCCAACUUUUAAAUAAAUAAACACAUGAGUUCUACAUGACCACAAUACACGUUGGAUACCACAUAUGACAAAAAAUGUGUCUAUUUGUUCAACUUGAUAUAAGUUUAAGUGUAUAUCUGUGCACAUCCAAAGUUAAAGAGCAUAAAUAUGAUUUAAAAUCAAGUUAAAGGACAUAUUUAUGUAUUAUGUCUUUAUAAUAUCCAAACCAGACCAAUUCAAACAUGUGUAUGCCCCUAAAUGAAGUUCAAUCAUAUAUAUAUUAAUAUUCUGACAUUUUUAAUGACUUCAACCAUUUUUAAUACGAAGCUCAUACCCAUACCAUUUAUUUCCAACUCUCAAAUUUCACGCCUUUAUUUUUUUUAAUAGAAAAAAAUCAUCAUCAUCAUAAUUAUAAUAAUAAUAAUAAUAAUAGAUUUAGUCAUCUUUUGAUAACCAAACCAAUUUCAAAUACCAUAAAAAGAUUCAAUUAAUGUAUCAAAACUUUGAACACACAAUAUACUUAAUGAAGUCUCACAUGAUGAAAUCGAGAGAGGACAAAAGUAUGCCUCUACCCGACUCAAGUAACACAUAUAAAAGAACAUAAAAAAUAAAUAUAACAAGUACUACAAAAAGUAUCACAUAGCAUUCUAAAAAAAGAAACAGUAACAACAACGAAGUAAAUACAUUUAGUAAAUCCUUUUGAUAUAGAACCAUCAAGCAAACAAAGGGGUUUGAGUUGUAAAACUAGUUGCACUAGUUGAUGUAUGUGGAGGAACAGGAGGUCUACUAUUAUUAUUCCCAAGAAAGCUUCCAUUUCUCUUUGCUCUUAAUGAUGAACAUGAGCCUCUCUUUGAGCUUAAUCUUGAAGAACUAUUGCUUCUAAUAGGAGGAUUCAAGUUAUUUGAUUUGAAACCUUCUAAGAAAACUCCAUAACUCUUGCAUGAUUUUAGCUUCUUGUUGUAUGGAUUUUCUGGCUUAGCCAUGUCCUCUAAGCUCCUCACAUUUGAUAGAGAGGUGAAUGAUUGUGAUUUCCCAUUGUAAUGUUUUGACAAACCUCUCCUAUUAACCCCCCAAAAAAAAGGACAAUUAAUUAGCAUCAUAAUGAAAUAAUAUGAAAAAUUGUUGAAGAAAGAUUUAGAGGGUGUUUAGAUAAAAACAAAUAAAAAGAUAUGGAUCUCAAAUCUUAUUUAAUCUCAAAAGCUAGAUUAGGGUGUGAAAGUAUUUCUGAGAACGUAUAAAGAGUCACCAUAGUUUAAUCUGAUGUGGAACUCUUCAAUACCUAUCUUACGUCUAAUGCUGGACAUUUAUGAAGUAGUAUAAACAAAUUAAUAUGAAAAGAAACAAGAAUUGAGAUGAAUCCUAUCCUAAUAAUUACUUAAAAUCGAGUGUUUUUAAGUUAAAACCAAAUCAAAAGACAUCUCUCUAACUUUUGCUUAUUAUCAACUUUAGUAAUUCGAUCCAAACGAGCAAUUACUUAUUUUUAAUACAAUUGACAAGUGAUUUUUAUGGUUUGAACUUACUUGCGCGUAAUCUAACUAUUUUUAAGUACAAUACAUAUAUCGAAUAAAUCUUAUUCAACAAUGCUCGAAUAUGGAAGCAAAAUAAUAUAGUAAGUAUUCUUUAAACGCCUUGUAACAAUUGAUAUCAAAGGCCUGUUUAGACCUACUUUCGAUUCAAGUAUAAGCCAAACAAAUUUUAAACUUGUAUAUAAUCACCAAAAAGAAAUUACCUUGUUGAUCUUUCAAAGUAGUUGUAUCAAACUUCUAGCCUUAUUUCAAGUAUUUUUAAAUUACCAACUCCCUUAGUGUUGGUAUGUUUAGUCGGGCGGCGGCCGUUAGGUCACCUAUUUUGAGUUAUGGACACACGAGGUCAAAACAUGUGUGCCGGGCGCGCGACCCAUCAAAUAUUUCACACUUACAAUCUCUUAAGUGACCUUAUAGUCGAUAAAUGACGAAUAUUUACUCAGUUUUAAUCAGAAUUAAAAUCUCUUCAAGUCAUGAGCGAUUUCAUUCGGACAAAGCUAGGUAGAGUUUGGAAAUCUAGACAAAUCCACUAACUUUUUCGUAGAUCAUAUAUUUCUAUUAAAACUUUUUUAUAUAUAUUAACUAAUAAAUCCCCAACAAAAUUAAUUAACUGCAGUAAAAAAGAAGCCAUGAAAAUGUUAAUCACACUGGUAUUGUAGAUUCACAACCACCAUUAUUCUUCUAUUCUAAAAUUUAAAAUUCUCUAAAAACUCUUAAUUCUGAUUUCGUCACUUGAUAAAUGUCUCUUUCAAAUCACACGUAAAGGGUCUUCUGUCCAAAUAAGCUACCUAAACCAUUUUCAAAAGUUAAUUUCUCAAAUCAUUACUCAACUAAUAAUUAUUAUCUCCCUAAAUUAUAUUUUUCUUAUUUCUUGAGAUUCGAACAACAACUAAAGCUUCUAUGUCACAUAUGAAAUUAGAAACUUUUCGUCAAUUCAAAUUUAAUCCAACUUUAAUAUAAACACAUAACAUUAAAAAAAAAACAUAAAGAAAACAGAGGAAAAGUAGUUGUUACUUGAAGGGAAGUUCUUGUAGAAGAGUGGACAUAUUUUGCAAAGCUCCUUUUGUGUGUUCAUCAUGACUUAUUGAAUCACUACAAGAAGAAUUCGGAGAAGUUGGAUCCGAAGAAUCCCCUUCUCCUCCUCCUUCUUCGUCAAACAACUCCGAAUCAGAUGAAGAGAAAUUACUCAAUAUUUCAGAAGAAUCAGAAUCAUGAUUAAUAUCCUCAUCCAUGAUCCCAUGGUUGUUUUGUUGGUCCAAAGAAACUAAUCUCAUUUUCACAUUCAUAAUCUAAAUAAACAAAAUCCACCAUACAGCUCUUACAAAAAAAAAAUGUAAUUUUUUCGAUUGAAUGAAUAGGUGUAACAAGAUAAGGAAAAAAGGUGUAUAAAUAUAAAUAUUUAUACUAUAGUUUUUUAAAUUUUUAAUAUUAAUGUUAUGUGAUAUCAAAAUAUUUUUAAAAGAUUCGGCGUUAUCCAUUUUCUAUCUUAGUGCCAACCCAACCAAAUUGACCCCACUUGUCCCAAACAGUACUAUAAAUGGAAAGAAAAAGUGUUUGAACCAAACUGCAUUCAUCCUUUGGCGCAUGCACACCACUUUCGUGUUAUUUAUUUAUUCCAUCUUCUAUCCUUAACUCGAUAAAAUUAAAUUUAGUAAAAAAGAAAAGUUGAAUCACGUAAAUACGAAGAAAAGUUUAUAGCAAGUUGAGGAGAAUGAGAGAGACUAUCCUUCGGUUUAUUACUAAGAGUUUUGAAUAUCUGCUCGUAUAAAUUUGAUUGUUAUAUAGUUAUAAAUACUCAUAACAAUUUACAAUAAUUUGAGUUACGUGACAUAUUUCACCUUCUCUAAUUAGCUUUGAAUGAAGCGUCAAAACAUAUUAACAUGCCGUAAGAUAGUUCUUUUACCAUGGCACCGUUUUAUAUGAAAUAAAUAUUCAGAUUUUAUGAUUUAUAAAAAGACGUUCAUUAGAAAAUUUGAAGAACCUUUAUGAUAUUCUUUUACUCUCUAUCUUUAUCAUUUCCCCACCCAAACACACACAUCGAGAAGAUCGUAUAGAUACAUGAUAUAAAUGUUAUUUUCGAUCUUUGUAAACUCACUAAUCUGUUUCACAAAAUCUAUUGUUAAUAAGAAUAAUGAUUUUUUUUGAUAAAUAUAUUUCUUAUUCAAUGUAUAUGAAAUGGGGCUCACAUAUAUUUAAAUUUCUCAAAUUCAGAUUAAUCGAGCUCUGAUAUCUACAUUAAAUUUUUAAUUUUUAUUUUUGUGUGUGUUAUGCACCUUAGAUGUGGGCGAGUUGAGUGUUUGAAAAUGUGGAAUAAUGGAUAAGGCUCUCCACUCCAACUUAUUACUUUACCGCUACUUGUUUAUUUUCUCUUUUUUCCCUUUUUGUUUUCCUACGGCGCUCCUUGUUUUUAUUUUUUUUCUUAUUAUUAUUCAUUAUUAAUUUCCACCGUCCCUAAAAUUAAAAAAUAAAAAAUAAAAACUAAUAUCUAUGCUCUUUUUGCUUUUUCCAAAAGAGAUAUUUACUUGAAACUUUUGACGUGGAUUUAUUUUUAUUUUCUUAUUGUUUUAAAUAUAAUUACAUUUUUUGAGGACAUUGAAAUAUUAUUCACGGAUUCCCAAUAAUAUUAUCCAUUAUUAUUUCUUCUCAUAACUUGUUUACAAAGUAUUUAAGAAAAAUCAUAAUAUUUAAGUAAUUUUUCUAAAUUUAUUUGUCAAUAAAAAAGAUUAUUGGUUCACUAAUAAAUUUUAAAAAUAUUUUGAGCAACCAUUAGUAUUUAAAUUUGUAUUUUAAAAAAAUGCUUUUAGAAAAAACAAAUUAAUAUUUGAAAAUCAACUUAUGCUGCUUAAAAUACUUAUUUCCCCUUUAAAACUUUAUCAAAUACCGUACAUUCUAGAAUAAUUAUUUAAAAAAAAAUUAUGAUGACUUUUAAUUAUUCAAAAAAAAUUUAUUAGAUGUGAAGUAUUGUGGACCUAAAUUCCGUUUGGCCAUGGAGUUGGGGACAGUUGGAAUUUGGUAAAUCAUAUCGUUUUCGUUUUAAUUUGUUUAUUCUAUUUUAAUUUGACAUAAAAUAUAAAAAAUAAUAAUUUGUAUUUAUAAUUAUAAAUUAAAAAUAAAUUAAAAUAUUUGUAGAUUCAUAAUACCAAAUAUUUAAAGGGAAAACUAAAAUUAUAAAGCUAUAAUAAAUUAUUAUUUUUUAAUAAUACGUAAGACAAACAAAUUAAUAUGGUAACUAAUUACAAAAUUAGGAGGUAAUCACUACCUUACUUAAUUCAUUAAUUAAACUUGUACCCAAGUCUUUAUCCUCCACCACUUCUCUCUUCCAAUAGUUAUCCAUCCACAUAAGAGGACACGUUUAUUCAUAUAUAUAUAUUUUAAUAUUUAAAAUAUGAUAUUUGAUAAAUUCAAUUUAAAAGUUAUAUUUUCAAAUAUAAAAAUGGUACUAUGUUGAAACUUUAAUCCAAGGCCAUACAAUGUUAAAUUAUUCAAUUUUCAACUAUCAAGUGAAAUAUUCUACUGUUUGAAUUAGUUUGAUUGAUUUGAAAUAUAUUAUUCAAACUAAAUAAUGUUUGAUAUAAAUUUAAUAUAUUUAGUUUAUUUGAAAUAGAUUUUAUAGAUUAUAUAAAAAAAAUUAUUAGAAGUCAACUAUAGUUAACGAUUUAAAAUAUUUAAAAAGUGUUGAAAAAUUAUAAUUUUAAAAAGUAUAUUUUUUUAUUGUUCAACUAUUUUCUCCGUGGCUCCGUCUCGAUUUAUUUGUUAUAUAUUUCUCUUUUAGAAUACAUAAUUAAUUUUUUUUUUACCACUUCUCUAUCAUUAGUGUCUUAACAAUAUAAUUUUUUCUUUCUAAAAUUAUUACGCUACUGAAGUGCUUGUAAUUAGUGAGAACAAUUAUUCUAAAGGAUAAAAUAAUAAAUAUUAAUUGAUUUGAGAUAAAUAUUUUGAGAAAUUACUUAAUUAAGAGCAAAUAACAUGGAAUUAGCUUUCACCAAGUGGACGUGCCGGAGUGGUUAUCGGGCAUGACUAGAAAUCAUGUGGGCUUUGCCCGCGCAGGUUCGAAUCCUGCCGUCCACGUUUUGUUGUUUUAUUAUUUCGUUUCCUGAACAAAUAAUUUGUUUUUAUUAAGAUUAGAACGUUUAAAUUUGAUUGCACACUUAAAUAUUAAGAUGUGUAUUAAGAUCUGAAUAAAUAAGCCCCUUUUAUUUUUGUUUCACGAACAAAUGAUUUGUUUUCGUUAAGAUUAAUACGUUUAUAUUUUAAUGAACAUUUAAAUAUGGAAAAAAUGUAUAUAAUAGCAAACUAAUAACCUAAAAUAAAUGGAGUAGCUAAGGUUUGAUUUAAUUGUGCUCCAUAGCAAACGUUUGCAAAAGAUUGUCAGGCGCCUCUCUCCCAAAUAUCUCGCUCGCUUCCUCACUUUUUUAUACAAAUACAAGUGUAUAAAAAUUGUUUCUAAUUGUAUAAAGCAGAUAAAAUUGUAUAAAUACAUAUAUUUUUGUUCCCCUCUCUCCCCUCUUCUAGAUCUCGCUUGCCACUCUCCCAAAUCUCGCUUGCCACCCUCGCCUUUCUCACUUAUACAAACAGAAGCGAAAUGUAUAAAUUGCGUUUCUGUUUGUAUAAAGCGUGAGAAAACUGUAUAUUCACAUGCAAAUACAUAUUUUCGUCCUAUACACUUAUAAUUAUACAAUAAAAAUACUCCUCUGCCCAGUUUCUUUUGUCUUUCUCUCUUUCUCGUUUUAUACAAUUCGAUUCAAUUGUAUAUUCCUUGUCAAGUCUCUUUUGUUUUUCUCUCUUUUCUCAUUUUAUACAAAUUCAAAUUGUAUAUAAUUGUUUUAUACACUUCGUUUUUAUACAGUUCUCUGCCCAAGUGUCUUUCUCUUUCUUGUUUUAUACACUUCGUUUUUAUACAGUUCUCUGCCCAAGUGUCUUUCUCUUUCUUGUUUUAUACACUUCGUUUUAUACAAUUUGCUUUAACUAUAUAUGUAUAGCGAAAUAUACAGUUUCUGUGUUUGCUAUGGAGCAAAAUUAUGCAAACUUUGCUAUAACAUACAAAUAUAAAUUUUUUAUGUGCUACAUGUGAAAGUUGCCCUUUAAAUAUUAAGAUCUAAAUAUUUGAAUAAGUAAGCCCCAAAUAGAUGGUGCACAAUGACUUUAGACGAUUCAACUUAUCUAUUUGCUACUCUUCCGUCUCAUUUUAUAUGUCUCUUUUUUAUUUUGCACCUGAACUAAGAAAUGAUGUAACUUUACCCUUCUACCCUUAUUUAAAGUUUUCUUAAGUCAACUUUAUUAAUAAAUGACAAGAUUAAUGAACUAUUCUAUCAAGGGUAUAAUAGGUAAAAUAUGAUAACUUAUGCAUAAAUUUUAUAAAACGAAAAAUUAUCGAAAAUAACCUUAAACUAUCUGAAAUAGCUCAUAUUUACCCUUUAACUAUAUAUUUCGACUCAAAGCUAUUCUUUUUGUUAGACUAUUGGGUUAACAAUGUCCUCCUUAUUAACGAAAGUUGUUAAAUGACAUGUAAAUGUCACAUUACACGCUAAUAGGGUUCCACUAACACAUAUACUUUCACAUAUAACAAACAUAAAAAUCAUAUUUGUAUAUUAUAACUAUAAUUUGUAUAAUUAUACUUCAUAACAAAUUUUAUAUUUACUAUGGAACUUUUGAUUUUGUAUAAAUCGUUGAAAACAUUUAAUUUUAUACGAAUAGUAGAAUUACACAUCAUUCAUCGCCAGAGUAAAUAACUCAAGCCUUAUUACACGCGUGUACAAUCAUACAAAUACUUAAAGAUAUAUAUAAAUUUUUUUUUAUCAUAAUACAUUUUGAUAAUUAAGGAUGGAUUGAUUAAAUUAAUCUUUAAUUCCAGUACAAAUUAAUGAUCCAUCAGUUUUAAACAAUUUACAACCUUCAUCUGCUGUGCAACAAUUGACACAAACUUGACUAAUUUGUUCAUCUCCUGAAGAAGGACAAGUCAUGUAGGCCACUUCAUCAUCACAAUAUUGAAGACAUGACUUGGCAUUUGUAUAUUCCACUUGAAUUACCAACAAAAAUAUACCUACAAAAAAAAUUACAUAUUUAGUUUGAAAGUUUGAUAUGUGUGCAAACACAUCGAAAUUACUAAACUUAAAGAUUAGCUCAUGAAAAUAUAUAUGACUGGCGUGAUUCCUUAGCUUAUCUAAUUUGACUAAACAUGUAGAUUAAAUCGACUCGUAAGAAAUUCUAUUGAAAUAUCUUCAAAAAACUUAUUUACCAGUUGAACGGAUCAAUAAUUAUCCAUUUGUUUAGCUUAUCUUGACUCAAUCUAUCUUGAUUUAUGGAACGGUCUAUUUAAUAACACAACCCAUUAGACUCUCCAAAGAUCAACACAAUCUAUAUAUUGGUCUGCUCAUUUACUAACUCAACUCAUUAUGAUUCAACAAAUUUGUUCAUCAAAAAGUUUAAUCGAUUUAACAAAACAUAACUUGAAUUGUACUAUGAGAAUUUCAUCAAAAUAUUCUUAAUCUUUUUUUUUUUCAAAAAAAAGUUGAUCUGUUAUAUAUCAACAUAAUAAUAAUAAUAAAAAAUAAAAUUAUGUGCUAAAUAAAUUAUGAAAAUAUAAACAAAUUAAAGAAAUUGAAACUUGAUAAGAGUUUGACAGAUUAGCCAUCAACCCAUUAUUUAAUCCAUCUGAGCUUAUAUAACUUUUUCUCGGUCAUUAAUCCGUCCAUUUAUUAAUUAAUUCUACUUUCAUAACUUUUUAAAAUCAAUAUAACCUGAAUAUAUAUAUAUAUAUAUUAUUUUUGUUCUAGCUACACAAUGUAUAUUAACUUCUAUGCGAUUUUAUUUUUUUAGAUUUUGAUAUUCCUUAAAUAAAACUCUAACUCUACUACCGUACAUAUAUAUCAAAAAAGCUUUACCAGACAAUAGAAGGAGAAAAAGGAUACCAACUUUGUAAAAGGCCAUUGUAUUUUUUUUUUCUUUUGCUACUUAUUUGAGGAUAAUAUCAUCUCUUAAUAUAAGCUAUUUAUAGAGCAAAUACAAAUAAGAAUUAAUAUAUAACUUUUCUCAUAAAUACACCAAAUUUGGAUUAACUUAAGCAGUUGUCAAAGUGGACCAAUUGUAAAUUAAUCAAAGCUAACUCAAUGCAGCCUUCACAUUGGAUUGCAUGACCUUAUUGUUUUUAAUUUUUGGUAUAUGAUCAAUCACUCAAUAACGAUGUCAUUUUUUAAGAUUAUUUUUUAGUUAUUAUAAUAAAUAUUUGUUUUAUUUUAGAAAAUACUACUAACUAUUUUAUUUUUUUUAAAAUGGAAAAUAUUGACUAGGUUUCGAAAAAUCAAUUAAUUUAAUUAUUUAAGAAAAAUCGACUUUUCGAAUUACGGAGUCGCCACUUGAUUUUGAUAAAAUCAAGAAAAAAUUUCAAAAGAUUUAAAAACAGAUAAAAUCGAUUGAAAAGGUUCGAAGUUCAAUGUACAUCCCGAGAAGGUAUUAGGCCCUCGGGAUGCCCGCUAACUUGCGGUUGACCGGCAAUUUGACUAAAUGACUUUUUUAAGUAAAAAGAAAAUUUAUUUUAAUAUUUAUUAUUUUAUUUUUUUUAAUUAUUAUUAUUAUUACUAUUUUUUAUUUCUAAAGGAGCUAUUUAAAGGGAUUUAAUUUAAGGAAAAACUAAUUUGUGACAAAAGUAAAUAAAAUAAAAUAGUAAAGUUUAAAAUAAUGAAAAAUGGCUACCCUUUAGGAGAUUAUUAAAAUCCUACCACACAUUAAUUAAUUCAAGCAAAUAAUAAGUAAAGAGGAGAACAAAAUUGAACUUGGGCCCUUUCAACAAACUAAAAAUCCUGCAAAAAAAACAUUUAGGCCCCGUGGGCCUGUUAGAAAAAUUGUUGAAGGGCCCUGGGCCAUUCCUGAAAAAAGGAUCCUGAAGGAUAUACAUAAAUGUAUACAUACUGUAUACAGUAUAUAUUUGACCCUUUUGAACCUCUUGAGUCCUCCACCUGUUUAAAUACAUAUUUUCGUUACUUUUCCCUGCAUUGCCUUGCGUAUUUGUACCUGUAUUAUUUUUUUAAAACUUACUUAACAAGUGUAUAUCGUCGCCCGAUAAUGUAUACUAAUGUAUAUGGGCUGCACCCUACGUCCGCAUUGUUUGCCUAAUUCUGAAUUUUAAUUAAAAUAAGAGUACCCGUACGUUAACCUGCAAUUCACAUUUUUACACAUAUUUAGUAUAGCGUCUAUGUAUAUCAGUGUAUACAGGCUGUAUAUCAGCCUGAUUUUCAACUUUCGAAAGUUGAAACUCCUUUUCCGAAGCGUAUCCUCACUGCCACAAACCCAGAUUUCGAGUUCGGAUUUCCUGUGCAUUUUUGACAUGUAUACCAGUGUAUAUCAGAUGUAUAUAGCUGGUUUACAGCUUCAAAAAAAACAUGCAGUCAAAUUCUGCAAACUGCCACUUCCAGUAGCUCUCCAAUGCCGGAUUUCGACCUGUAAAUGGGUCUUAAGACCUCCUAGACUUGAGAUGGGCCGACUCAAAGAUCUUUUAACUCGGAGGAAUGCGGGAGUGGAGUCCGAAAUGGACUCGAAUCGAUGUCACAUGUAAUGAAAAAACAAAAGAAAAGGAUUAACAAUAGCCAUAAAUAUUAUCAUUAAAACAAGAUCCUCAACAAGCAUUAGGCAAGAACGAGUUCUUUAGACUUUCAGACAUACAUAAGUAUGAAACCUUCGGCAAAUUCGAAGAUAGCAAUAGACAACAACACAUAAACUAUUGUAACUAAAGUAUGCUUUGAAACAAAGGGAAGUCAUGCUUUCAUUAAGAUGUAGAAGUCAAAAGAAGAAGAGUUGUCCACAUGAAACCAACAUAUCAUCCCAAGCCUAAGAAAAGAAAAGCAAAUAACAGUGCCUUGGCUUAUUGAAACAAACCUCAAAACCCCCUAACCAAUUUUUUUUUUUUGAGUUCGAAUGACAAGCUCAAGCAACGUAAGAAACUUAUUAAAGAGAACCAACCAAGAGAGACAAACAUUGGACACCAACAACCCCAAACAACGCAUUAAUUAACCUCACAAAUACGAACUCGUGCCGAGGCCUAUAACGACCAAUGUAUAACGUUACAACAACCUCCAUCAUCACAUGAAUCACGCUUAAUGCUUAGAGUACACAUAGAAUCAACAUUUGACGAAAGAACUCUUAAAACAGGGCAUGUCAAGCAACUCCAAAGGGACAACACAUUAAGCAAUGGUAAGAGAACUUUUCAGGGGACACAAAGAAAACUUAAAGUGAAGACAGAAAGGGAGAUAAGCUAAACUGAAAAUGCACUGUCCGAACAGUCGAAUUCACAUUGAUGAACACCAGGUGCAGCUAUACAUGUUAACUCAUGAGAGAAAAAUCAUGACACUGCACAUUAUUCAUACCAAGCUGAAAACACCAAGAAACCAAGAGAACAUGGGGAACAAACGCCAUAAUUAACACUUACUAACAAACCUAAGACAAGGGGAAUGAAAAAGAAAGGAGCAUCAUGAAAUAUACAAAGCAUAAACAACUUAAGGAACACUCAGCGAAUAGACUCUAUAAGAAAACUAACAAGUCAGUUAUAACAUACAUCCGUAUUCAAAUUUCAUAAUCGUCAUCACCACCCGAGUCGUCAAAACAUCAGAAGAAGCCAUUUCGAAACGAAAGAAACAAGAAAGUUGUACGAAGCAGGGGAUUACCUCUUCGGAAGCGGCAAACUGGAACAGCAAGGAGCCUAAUAACUUCACCACCUUACGAAGACUCGAACCCCUGGCGAAGAAACGAAGUCUAGUCGAGAACUUAGAUUCAAACACGAGACACUAGCAACUCUUCCGUCUCAGUCGUUUUCAAAGUAUUUGCGAUGUUUUUCUCAAGUUUUCUUGAUAUUUCAAAGAUAAACAGAAAGAAAUUUACUCCGGCAAACUCUUACAACGAAAUUUCAACUAAAAAUUUUCAACCCCUAUUCCGAAAACGGAGGGAGUUUAUAUAGAGGGAGAAUUUUUAGGGUUCUUGGGGUAGGAGGGCGGGGGAAUUUCGGGAAAGGAUUGGGGCAAAUUCGAGACUUCACCCUCCAUUUUGAAAUUCAAACCCAUGAAGAUAAGGUUGAAGCUGCCACUAGUACGAUCCUUGUACCCAUGGACAAAGUUUGUAGCCUAUCUUGUUGUUAGGCCGGCGCGAGCGUACGAAUUUCAGAAGGAAACGGCUCUAAAGCUGUUGCACAGCUCGCGUGAGAGAGGAGGAGAGAGGGGGGAGAGAUUCAUGGGAAGGGAUUUGGGCUUGAGGGGAAUUAAUUUGGGUUAAUAGGAACAAAGGAAAGGGGGCCCAAAUCUGAUAUUGGGAGUAGAUUAAAGGAAAAAGAGGUGGAUUUAAAAAUUGGCCAACUUUAAAAAUAAAAUGGCUAUAUCUUAAAUAAAAAAUGAAUUUGUAUUAAUUAAUCAACGAGCUUUUAUUUAAUAAAAUAUUUAUUAAAAAUCGUAAAAAUUGAUUAAAGUAAUUAUAAUUUAGAUUAAGCUAGUUUAUUAAACACUUAGGUGUAUAUUUUGAUGUUUCGAAUAAUCAUAAGAUAUACUACUUAUAUACAUAAUUAUGUAAAUAUGUAUAUUACCUAAAAUUAUGACAAGAGGUAUUCGAGGUAACAUAAUAUUCAUGUAUUAUAUUAUUUAAUUUUUACAAAAUUUAUAAAAUUAAUUAAUUAAAAUUAUCCGGAAAAUUUAGGAAGCUCGAUUAUUAAUUUAUACUGCGCAGGUCAAAAAUUGGGUGUCAACAAUAUUUCUUUUAUUUCAAAUUAAUUGAAUUGUUGAGAUAUCUUUCAUUUUUUAAAUUCACUUAAUUGUUCAGUUUUCAAAAUUACUUUUAGAACAUUCUUUCAAUUUUACCUUUCAUAAGUUAGUAUUGAAAUUACUUAUUAAUUAAUUUUAGUUAUUUUAAUUAUAAUUUUGACAUUAGUUAAUAAAGAUAAAAAUGAAAAGUUAUGCCUAAUUUAUGAAACACCUCAAAAAUUUAAUUAAUCUGAAAUGGAGGGAGUAUAUUAUUAUAGAAACUGAACUUUUACAGUAAAAUGUUACUUUAUCUCAAUUUAUAUAACACAAUUAAAAUUUCAAGAAUAAAUCAAAUUUUUCUUUGAUCAGUUUCUUUUUCAUGUCUUUUAGAUAUUUUAACUUGUUAACUAUGUAAUGUAUAGUACUUUUUUUAUUUUUUAAAAAGUAAUUUCAAUUUUUUAUGUCCAAAUUUAGGAAUACCGUACUUUAACGUAAAUUUUGGUUUCUCAAGCCAUUAGAUUAAUACACAAAAAAAGAACAAAAAAUUAACAAAUCAUAGUUUUGCACAAGUUCAUCUUCAACUAAUUAAAAUAAUAAAAGAGAUGACAAGAGAACACAAACUUAUCAUGUACACAAUGAACAACUUAAUUUAGAUCUCUAUUUAAUAAUAAAUUAUUAUUCCCUCCAUUUUUAUUUAUGUGUCAAUCAUUUUAAAUUUCACAUUUUUUACGAAAUUUGAUAAAUUUAAUGAUCUUUUGAACUCAAAUUUUCUAUAGAUGAACACAAAUUAAUUUAAUUUAGUUUUGCUUUUUAUCACAACAAAUCCCAAAAAUAAACUAAUGUUGUAGUAGUUGAGUUUGUUUUUUUUAAAAAAAAUUCGAUGUUCAAUAUCUAAAUAAAUUGAGUUACUAUUAUGUUUUGAUAUAAUUGUAUUUGAUGUCAAAGCUAAUACUAUCAUAACUUUGAUAUUACCACAUAAUUAACAUCUCAAUUAAGAGUGAAGGACAAACUAGUCGUCUUGAACUAUCACAAGUAUUGAAGGACAACAUUUUUAAUUAUGUAAGAAAAUCUUUUUUUUUUUUACCAAAAAAGCUUUAAUUUUUACUGGUUCAUUUCGAUUUUGAAAUUUAUCGAUUUAAUUUAUUAGUUAUCGAUAUGCUAAAUCGUUGUAAAACCAUUAAGAUAAUUUACUUAUCGAUUAUUAAUUUAUCAAUUGUUAAUUUAUGUAAAUUUCAUUAUGAUAGUGUGUGUUAAUACAUACAUAAUGAUAGUUCAGAAAUAUUUUGAAGAAGAUUUGUAGGUGAACUUAAAUGGAUCAUCUAAAAAAUAAUUCAUUAUGUAUAGGUAUUGUAGUACAUUAAACAAUAAUGUGAAGUGAUAUAUUAUUUUUUUUUAAAAAAAACUAGUCGUUUCCUUUUCUUCAUUGGAAAUUAAACAGAAAAGAAAAAGUUGGUAUUUAAUAUAUUUUGUUUCAUUAUCUUUUCUCAUUUUUUCCUUGGCUGGAAUGCGAAAAUAAUGACUCACUAAAAGCAUAUAGUAUUUUAUUUUUAACAUGUUCAUUAUUGAUUUGACAUAUUUUUUUCAAAAAAUAGAACAACAAUUUCACUAUAUUAAUAUAAUAAAUUAAAUGUUAUGAAAAUGUGUUGAAAAAUAACUAUAAUAAAUAAUAAGGAAAAAUUAAGACCUAAAUGAGAAAUUAUCUCUAGUAAAAAACUUAAAUAUAGUUUUUAAUAAGACGAUAAAUUAUUCUCGUAAUUAGAUGUGCAUCCAGAUUUAAAUCUUUAACAAUCAAAAUCGUAGACUAUUUCACUAUAUUAAUAUAAUAAAUUAAAUGUUAUGAAAAUGUGUUGAAAAAUAACUAUAAUAAAUAAUAAGGAAAAAUUAAGACCUAAAUGAGAAAUUAUCUCUAGUAAAAAACUUAAAUAUAGUUUUUAAUAAGACGAUAAAUUAUUCUCGUAAUUAGAUGUGCAUCCAGAUUUAAAUCUUUAACAAUCAAAAUCGUAGACGGCAGGAUUCGAACCUGCGCGGGCAGAGCCCACAUGAUUUCUAGUCAUGCCCGAUAACCACUCCGGCACGUCCACGUUGAUGUAAAUGAAAUACAUAAUACAUUAAAUUAAAAGUGGAGCUAGGAUUUUGAGUCUAUUGUUCAAGAUUUUAUAAAAACACACCUUAUUUGGUUUUAAAUUAUUUAUAGGAUAUAUUAAAUUAAUGUUUAAACACAUAGAGAAAAUUUGAGGAAAAAUUAUUGAGUUCUACCGAACUCGUAAAAUAUGGUAGAAAUAGACUAUGUUGAGGCACAAAAUGUGCCUAUUCUGGUUCUUAAUACCAUUUUGUUGAGUCAUGUUCAUAUUGCGAUGAAGUUAUGUUAUAUGUAUCGAUAGUAUAAAAGUAAUUACACAAAUAAAAUAUUACUCUAAAGGUAAUUGCAAAUAACUUCAUGUAAAUGGCAUUGAUAGUUAACCUAUAACAGAUUGUUACGAAUUUUUUAUUACAACGUGUUACUUAUUAUCUAUGUAUAUAACUGAAAUUCAUUAAGGGAAUAUAUAUACGCAUUACAAUUCGAAUAAGCAUGUCCUAAUUUAUAAAUCUAUAUGAAUAUAGGACAACAUGGAGAUCACAAUGAAGGCAAAAUUGAAUAUUAAGAUCUUAGAGUUGUAUAUAUAUAUAUAUGUGGAUCCAAGCUACAUAGUAAAUUAACAUGAUGGUGAUACAAAAUUCAACGUUAAGAAAUGUUGUAGCUAGUCAAACUAAGACAGUUAAACUAAAAACGUUAAGAAGUAGUAGUAGAUGUGACAUUAUAUUUAGUAUCACUGUUUACUGUCUUGAAGAUCCUGGUUCAUCCCUCAAACUCAUUGCUUCCAAUUGACGUAGCAAGUUGUCAUUUCGAUCUCUAUUAGCUGAGCUUCUUGUUGAGAUAACACUUCCAUCAAUUAGCCAAGUCAUUGGAAAUGCAAUGUUUCUGCAGAAAAAUGAACUCUGGUGUAAGUUAGCUGUAAAGUCAACGACUUAAUAACACGUUGAGACGACUCGACAUGUUCAUGGAGUACUAUAUUAUUAUUAGGUAAUCGGAGAUUCUUUUACUCUGUCAGUGUAUAAAAGCUAAAUCGAGGGACAAAAUGAGAUCAAAAGACAUGUAUGUACCGUUCCACACGUUUGUAUUUGCAACGAUUCAUCAUAUCAACUGUAUAUUGACCAAAAUGGAUGUCAAGAUCCUUUGCCAACUUUGGUAUAUAAUAUCCUGGUAAAAUGUCCCAUAUCUUUAGCACUUGAAGAUAUCUCGAGUUGUCUUUCACAAUAUCGAUUGUCCAAAUCAACUUUAGGUGCUUUACAUUGUAGACCUCCAACAGUACAGAAGAAUUUCCUCUCUUGUUGUUGAACCUGUUGUUCUUUUCUGAGUUACGCCAACCACUCGAAAGCUUCUCUACAAGAGUAUUCACUUCUUUACUUAUCUCAGCAUCCUUGAUUCUGGCAAUGGAUUUAGUGAAAUUCUCACUAAAUAUAACCUGUUGAGUUAAAACAGCAAAGAACGUGUUAUAUCUACGUUAUGUAGAAUGUGUUCUAUUUUGGUCUUAAACAUGUCACGUGGAAGAGUGAAAGAGAAGUGAAAUAUUCAUCAUACCUUCCAUUUAAUGUUCUGAUUUGGUCUCAUAUCAUUCAACGAUUCAUUAGUCGCGUUCAAAGUUCCUUGAUUCAAUCGUUUAUCAUCAGUAACAUCAAAGUAACAACCACGAGUCUUGGCGUCAAUGACCAAAUUCUUCCAUAUGGAACCACUAUUAACCAAAGUUGUUCCAUUUCCCAAUAUCCAAAGACAGUACCUUGCUCGUGUCAAUGCUACGUUUGCUCUCUGAAGAUUAGAAAGAAAACCAACCGAUCCAUUGCCAUUCCAACGAACAGUAGAGAUAAUUAUAACAUCCUCUUCACCGCCUUGAAAACCAUCAACAGAACGUACAUUCACAGAGAAGUCACUCUUUACAUCUGUACUAUAUUUCUUUCCAAGAAUUUGUUGAAUAGCAAAAACUUGAGCCUUGUAAGGAGAUAUACAACCAACA